This 261581-nucleotide long non-coding RNA is filed under the name Populus trichocarpa (black cottonwood). RNAcentral describes it as "long non-coding RNA (PTRI_LNC000851)". The stretch from base 235538 to 235628 matches the Rfam family "MIR478 microRNA precursor family". Lineage: Eukaryota; Viridiplantae; Streptophyta; Magnoliopsida; Malpighiales; Salicaceae. The record is from RNAcentral.
UAACAUUCUUACAGGUCUCUAAAAACAACAUCACGCCUAAUUUCAAGGAGAAAUUGGGUUUCUAUGAGAAGCAGAUUGUAGGUUUUCUAAACCCAAGCAGAUACAGGAAGCCUAUUCCUAAUCUACAGCAAGGACAACCUCCCCAACCUCGUAUUCAACCUAUGCAGCAACCCCAAUCUCAAGUUCCUCAAUUGCAGUCCCAUGAAAAUCAACUGAUUCCCCAGUUGCAAUCAAUGAAUACGCAAGGUUCUGUACCACAGAUGCAGCAGAACAAUAUGUCAAGCUUGCUGCAUAAUUCCCUUUCAACUUUAUCUGGGGAUUCGACGUCACAAUCAAACAUGAUGAAUCCAAUACAACCAGGCUCCAAUUUAGAUUCUGGACAAGGAAAUGCACUGAGCUCAUUGCAGCAGACACCUGUAGGAUCUGUACAAAAGAAUCUCGUGAGCAUUUCCCAACCAACCAAAGUUAACACAUUGUCAACACAAAGUGGGGCGAGUAUGCUGCAGCCAAAUAUUCCCCUUCAGUCGAAUUCCAAUAUGAUUCAACACCAGCAUCUAAAACAGCAGCAGCAGCAGCAUGAACAACAGAUGCUACAAACACAACAGCUUAAACGAUUGCAGCAACACCAGAAUUUAAUGCAGAAUCAACAGAUGCAGCAGCAGCAAUUACACCAGCAAGCUCCGUCUCCUAUGCCAGGAGAUUCUGACAAACCAGUUUCUGGUAUUUCCUCACUCUUAAAUACUGGAAAUAUUGUACACCAACCAUCUGUUGCACAAGCACCGGCUCCAUCCCUUGCAAUUGGCACUCCUGGGAUAUCUGCAUCACCUUUGCUUGCAGAGUUUACCAGUCCUGAUGGUGCUCAUGGCGGUGCUUUGACAACUGUUUCUGGCAAGUCAAAUGUUACAGAGCAAUCACUUGAGUGCUUGAUUAAAGCGGUUAGUGAUGCUCUCCUUUUGGUUUUACUCCACCCCACCCUUAUUUUGGAGGUUUCUGAAAAAGAAAGAAACUUCUUUGUGAAUGAGAUGGUGAUGCUGUAAUUUUUUUUCCCAGGUGAAAUCUCUGUCUCCCAAAGCACUUAGUGCAUCUGUCGGUGACAUUGGCUCCGUUGUCAGUAUGAUUGACAGAAUUGCUGGUUCUGCAGCUGGUAAUGGAUCUAGAGCUGCAGCUGGUGAGGAUUUGGUAGCAAUGACAGGAUGUCAUCUUCUUUCGUUUUUGUCUUUUUUAUUUUUCACGUGUUUCUCACAACAUGGGAACUCGAGGGAAUAAAAAGUGCUGGGAAGUAAUUUUUGUUGGAACGUCUUGUGUAACAUCUUCUUUCGAUGAUGACCUCUUGGAUGUUUUGGUGAUAUCUCUACAUCCAAAAUCAUAUAGACCGCUACUGCUGGCACUUGCAGUAGCCAAUGAGCACUGAUAUAUAUUGCAGAGUGAGAUAAGGUUAACUCGUUGCAUUUUCAUAAAUAAAAGGGAUUUCUCUUCUUUUCUUUGUCAAUUACAGUGCAUGUGUAAAAGUUUUCUUACUCAGAGUAAAUGCUAUUGUAAUGUUUUCACAGAGACUCCCCUGUUUUGCAACUAAUUCACUUCUGAAUAUAUCUGGGAAACAGAAAGGCAAUCAACAAAGAGUAAGGCAUCUUCUGAAGAAACAAAGAAAUUUAAUACCCUAAACUAAGCAGCAGGUAGAAGGCAAAAACUGAGCACAAAUUUUCAGGAAGGGACAAAAAAAAUAAAAAAGAAAGCAGAGAAAAAUACAGACUCAAAUUCAACAACACCCAUUUUCUUUCCAUUGGAACACUUUAAAUAGUUUAUUAAAUAAAGCAUAUAAAAAAAUCAACUUAAUGAUCAAUUCUCUAUAAUUUCGGCAUUACUAAAAACAUCCAAACUAAUAAACUAUUAGUUAUUAUAGUCAUUUUAAUAAACAUUUUAGUUAUGAAUUCACCAAACAUUUUGAACAAUUCAUAUUGAUGAAUUAACAUGUCAAUUUUAGAUUUUUUGACUUACUAGUUCCUUCAUGAAUUACUUCUAAAGCAUGCUAUAUAUCUCUAAGCAUUUUUAUAGAAUAUAAUUCUAUCAAAUUCACUUUUACCCAAUGUAUAAUAUAAAAUAUUCAUGGCUUUAACAUCCAUAAAAAAUAAUUUUUUAUCAUUUUAUGUAUAUUCACUUCUAGUUUUAGAAAUCUCAAUACCAUUUUCAAUUUUGAUAGGUUUAGGAGAUCUAUUUUGUACGGAUAGCCACAAAUUAAAAUCAAUAGAUUGACAAUAAACUAUCAUACAACAAUUUAUUACUUGCUCUUUGGUGAUAGGAAUGUGAUUGUAAUAUUAUUUUUCAAGCUUACUCAAUCUCUUAUUCUUGAUAGCAUAACCAAUAAUAAAUGGCGAGCCAAAAUUUAUAUGUUACUCUCUGUAAGAAUUUUGACUGCAUAAAUGUAAAAGAAAAUAGUUUUAAAAAGACUAAAAGUUUUCUUCAUUAUAAAAACCAUGUCAGAAUUGUCUCUUUUUAUAGGCAAUUCUGACACUUAAUUUUAAAAUAACUUUUAAGACAAAAGGUUACAAUUUUCUAGUUUAAAACUACACAAUUAUAUUUCAAGUAGAGUUUUAACAAACACAACUUUUCAUUCACACCUUAACAAUCCCUCCACAUGAUAAAAAUUGUUUGAUCAUAAUAAAAUACAAAGUAGACAUGAAAAUAAAGAGUAGGAGCGAAAAGUCAUUGCAUCGAGCAAGAUAACUUUUGGCCUUGAACCUUUCAUAGUUAAAACUAUUGGAUUCACUCGGCUAAUCAGCAAACAUGAUAUUUUGAGUUGUUUAGCCUUUUGUGAGAAACCAGAUAAUAUAGAUUACACAUUUCAUUUUCUUACAAUUUUGGUUCUCACGGUUGUGUUCAUUUUGGCCUCGAAUACGUCUUGAUUUCAAAGAGCUUUAAAGAAUUUGCAUUUUCAAUCCUGAUAGAAGUGGCCUUAUUUCACACUCACAUAUGUGAUUCUUAUUAAGAGUAUCAUGUAAUACCUCACUUGAAUUUCUCAAGCUAUAAAAGUCAUUAAAAGCUUAGCUUAUCCUAUUUUCAUUGCAGAUAGCACUUUAUAUCAUAUGAAUGGGUAAGAGGGCUAUUAUUAAAUGACAUGUGAUUUGGUUGCUUCUUUGAAUCUAGAUCCUGGGAUCUCCAGUAAACUAGGUUGGGUCGCUAUCAUGACAAUUCAUUGAACUGUGUCUUAAUCUCAUUCCCCUCGAUGAUUAUUGACUUGCUCUAUUGUUAAGCAUUUUAUUAGUAAAUUAAUGAUAUUAUCAUUUAACUUUACAUGGUUAAUAAAGAUAAUCUCAUUUUAGAUCAACUAUCUUACAAUAUUAACAAUUGUGUCAAUACUUUAUGUGUGUGUGUGUGUGUAAGCAUGGUUAUAUUUCAUAUCAGCAUCAUAAUAAUAGCAAAUGUGAAGUAUGUAUUCAAGCAAAGAUGACAAAGAAGCCUUUUCCUAAAGUAGAAAGGAAUUCUCAAUUACUUGAGUUGAUCCAUUCUGAUAUAUGUGAAAUAAAUGGUAUGUUAACAAGGGGUGGGAAAAGAUAUUUCAUAACUUUCAUUGAUGAUUAUUCUCGUUUUACCUGUGUUUCCUUAUUAAAAACUAAAGAUGAAGCCUUUGGAAAAUUCAAAGAAUUCAAGAAAAUGGUAGAAAAUCAAAAGGAAAGGCAAAUUAAAGUUCUUAGAAGUGAUAGAGGUGGAUAAUAUUUUUCUAAGGAGUUUUCUACAUUUUGUGAGGAAAACAAAAUAAUCCAUCAAAUGACAGCACCUUAUACACAACAUAAUGGACUUGCUGAAAGGAAAAAUAGGACCUUAAUGAAUAUGGUCAAUGCCAUGCUUUUGAAUGAUAAAUUACCAAAUAAUUUAUGGGGUGCAGUCUUACUUACUACAUGUCACAUUCAUAAUAGAGUACUAUUUAAAAAAUCAAAUGUUUCUCCCUAUGAAGCAUGGAACGGUAGAAAAUCAAAUCUGAAUGAUUUUAAUGUGUGGGGGUGUGUAGCUUUUUGUAAAAGUUCUGAUCCUCAAAGAACAAAAUUAGGACCCAGAGGUCUUAAGAGUGUUUUUGUUAGUUAUGCACAAAAUUCAAAGGCUUAUAGACUUUUGGAUUUAGAAACUAAUGUGAUUAUUGAAUCUAUACAUGUUGAAUUUAUCAAAAAUAAAUUCAUAAGUGAUUCAAAUGUGUAAGAACCAAAUCUAAAAGUAAUGACUCCUAGCUCAACAUUAAGUGAAAAAUAUAAAAACCUAGAAGUAAUAGGUUCAACUGAACCUAGAAGAAGUCAAAGAGUUAGAAAGGAAAAACACAUAUAUACAGAUUUUAUUUCUACUUAUUCAAUUGUAUUUUUAGUGGAAGGUGAUAGAAAUACAAUAUUAAAAAAGACACCUAUGAUCUUAAAUAUGGAAGAUGAUCCAAAGACAUUUGGUCAAGCUAUGUCUUCUAGGGAUGUUGCUUUUUGGAAAGAAGCGGUAAAUGAUGAAAUGGAUUCAAUAUUGUCUAACAAUACUUGGGUCCUAGUAGAUUUACCUCCAGGUUCUAAGCUAAUAGGAUGUAAGUGGGUGUUUAGAAGAAAAUACAAUACCGAUGGUUCUAUACAAACCUUCAAGGCAAGAUUGGUUGCCAAAGGUUUUACUCAAAAGGAGGGUGUUGAUUAUUUUGACACUUAUUCUCUGGUGGCAAGAAUUACAUCAAUUAGAGUUUUAUUUGCAUUAGCAUCAAUUUAUAAAUUGUAUGUUCAUCAAAUGGAUGUAAAGACGGCUUUCCUAAAUGGAGAUUUAAAGGAGGAAGUGUAUAUGGAGCAACCUGAGGGUUUUAUACUUCCUGGAAAUGAAGAAAAAGUCUGUAAAUUGAUAAAGUCUUUAUAUGGUUUAAAACAAGCUCCGAAACAAUGGCAUGAAAAGUUUGACAAAGCAAUUUUGUUGAAUGGUUUUCAUCACAAUGGUGCUGAUAAGUGUAUGUAUUCCAAAUUUACAAAAUAUUUUGGUGUGAUUAUUUAUCUCUAUGUAGAUGACAUGUUAAUAUUUAGCACCAAUAUGAUUGGAAUUGUUGGAACCAAAAAGUAUCUCACUUAUAUCUUUAAAAUGAAAGAUCUUGGUGAAGUAGAUACAAUUUUAGGUAUCAAAGUUAAGAAACAUGGUAGUGACUAUGCACUUAAUCAGUCAGAUUAUAUUCAGAAAAUGCUCGAUAAGUUUAAGCAUCUCAAUAUAAAGAAGGCUAAUACCCCAUUUGACUAUAGUAUGAAGUUAAAUGAUUAUUAUGAUAAAGCUGUAUCACAACUAGAAUAUGCUAGUGCCAUUAGAAGUCUUAUGUAUGAUAUUCAUUGUACAAGACCAUAUAUAGCUUUUGCUAUAUGCAAGUUAUCAAGAUAUAUAAGCAAGCCGAAUACAGAUCAUUAGAAGGCUAUUGCAAGAGUCUUUGGUUACCUAAAAAGAACAAUCAAUUGAGGUCUAUUUUAUUCUGAUUUUCCAGCUGUGAUGGAAGGAUAUAGUGAUGCAAGUUGGAUGACUAGUUCAAAUGAUAAUAAGUCCACAUCAUGAUGGAUUUUCUCACUUGGAGGAGGUGCAAUAUCUUGGGCAUCUAAGAAACAAACAUGCAUCUCUCAUUCUACCAUGGAAUCAUAAUUUAUUGUUAUGGCUGCUGCAAGUAAAGAAGUAGAAUGACUAAGAAAUAUGUUGUUUGAUAUUAAGUUGUGGCCACAACCUAUGUCAGCUAUUUCUUUAUACUGCGAUAGUGAAGCAACUAUGUCUCGAGCUUAUAGUAACAUUUACAAUGGUAAGUCAAGACAUAUAAGCAUUUGACAUGGAUAUAUUCGAGAGUUGAUUACAAAUGGUGUAAUCACCAUUGUCUAUGUGAAAUCUAUGAAUAAUUUAGCGGAUCCGCUCAUAAAAGGACUAUCUAAAGACAUGGUACGAAAAAUAACUAAUGGAAUGGGGUUGAAACCUGUUUUUAAAGAUACCAGUAAUAGGAACCCAACUUCGGAUCAACAAGAAGCUUAUCUCUUAGUUUAAUGGGUAAUAAUAAGUUACUGUUUUGUAUAUGUUAGACACUGAUAAUUAAUUUGAGUCCCUAUUCUGAUAGUAUUCAGUGUAUUCUAUUACAUAAAGGAGGAUGAGCAUAGGCUCUUCAUGGAAUUUGAAGUUCGUGUCUAAUGUAAUAGAGACAUGUAUAAUUCCACCUAUAUGAAUAUAAAAGUGAUGCCGCUUUUGACAAGAGUUAGGGUUUUUUCUUGUAAAUAUUCAUAAAAAAAAUUAAAAUUAAGAUUUUAGCACAUGACCAUAAUAGUGCUAAACAGUUGUAAACCUCUUUAAGAGUUUGGAUAGUAUUAUGUGUGUAGUAUCUUUUAUUCUACAACAAAAGUUUUGGUUUAAUCUGCGGACACCAAUAACUUUAGUAGGAUUCAAGUUCUAACACUAAUUGAAGUUUUAAAAUGCAAAAUACCUUCUUGUAAGCAUAAUUCUAUAAAGUGAAAAGACCUUCAUUACAAACUAGUGGGGGAUUGUUGGUGUAGUUUGUAAAUGAAUAAAGAAAAGAUGUUUAUCUCACAUUGGAAAGAAACACUCCCUCCUAAUGUUUCUAUGUGUGGGUUUCUAUUGUGUAGUAAAUUAAGCCAUGGUGGACAAACUCUCCUAUUUGGCUUUCUAAUGUUAUUAUAUGGAUAUUUAUAAUAUCAAAAAAUAGCAUUUGGAACUUGAAACUUGGAUCUUAAUAUGAACAGUCAUAUUGUUUCAUCAAUAGUCAUAUUGUUUGAUGAACAGUCAUAUUGUUUCAUCAAUAGUCAUAUUGUUUGAUGAACAAUCAUACUGUUUCAUCGUUAUGUUUUAAGUCUAUAAAAGCAUGUUACUAUACAGAAAAGAGGCACAACAAAAAACAUACAUUCUUUUCUUGGUCUUAUCUUCUCAUUCUUUUAGAGGUUUAGAGGGCUUAGUUGUAUCCUGGAGGUAUUGUCUCUAUGUGGGACAAAUAAACACCUUAAAAAUAGUGUUUUCACGCCUCUAAGCCAACUCCAUAUUUGUUUCCAUCCUAAACAUUCAUAUCAAGAAACAUUGCGCCACGCCUGCUAAACGUCCACGAAAGAGUCGCCGACCGUUAUUCCCGCAUUAAAGUCCAUGCAUGGUCGCCUCAUUAUCUGGAGACGACCGCAUGGCAUUCUCUGGCUAUAAAAACCAGAGAAAGGCCAUGACAAAGAGGAGGGGGGGACAAAACAAAAGACAGGAGAAAAGAGGCAGGAGAGAGAGAGAGAGAGACCGAGAGAGAGGGGGCCGAAAACACAAACCAGAGAAAAAAAACCGGAGGAGUAACCCAGGGAAGAACACAGAAAAAACCAGGGGAACACUGGAGAACAAAUGAGACAGAAAUAGAGAGAAAUUGCUAGCCAACGCAUGAGCACCAACUAGCCUCGUCUCCGGUUGCACCACCCCCUGAAUAGACGGACGCGAAGGAGAACAGGGGAGUAAACGAAGAGAGGACAUAACACCGGGAAACCGAAAACUGAUAGAAAACCAGAAGAAAAGGAAGAACCACAGAGAGACGAACAACACAGGAGCUGAGAACGAACGAAAAAAAGAGAGAGAGAAGACAGAGAGAAAAAGCAGAGGCGUAAGGUGAAACAGAGAAGAACGACCAGAAAUAAACCAAAAGAAAACAGAAGUGAAGGGGAAGUUUUGGCCAGCCACCACACCUUCUUCGUCAUCCAGACCAGGUAAGUUCUCUCUUCUUCGUAAUUAUAAUUACAUAGGUAUUGUACAUAUGCAAAUUUAAUUCACUACUAUAAUUCACCGGUUUGUGCAUGCACGCGUGAAUCAGUUCACACAUGCCUGUUGUCCAGCUGGGUCACUGGCUUGGGUCAGUGACCAGGCUGGGCUGCUGGGUUUAGCCCAGCCUGACCGAGCUGAGCUGGAUCUAGCCCCCAAAAAAAAUUUAAAAAGGAAAAUAUAAAAAAAAACUAGGCAUGGGCCUCGGGCCUAGGUGGCCUAAUCCCCUUUAUUUAAGUCCCUUUUAUUUUGAUAUUCAACCAAAAUGACCAACUUUUCCCUCAUAUUGUUUUUAGGGUAUUUCACUGUAUAUUUGAUCUGUAGAUUUUUACUGCGAAAUUCGGUGUACGAUACUUUUUUUUUAAAAAAAUAUGCAUGCAUAUAUUUAAAUUCAUUUUAUUGGUUUAUUCACCAACGCUAGAGUCAGGAAUACAAUUUAUUUUGUUUUUGCUACGUAAUAUUUAUCAAUGCCAGAGUUGGAAGUAUCUGUAGUCGAAUAUUCACUGACGCUAGAGUCAGGAAUAUUACAAGCAAACCAUCAUAGCAUAAAUCAACAAACUCUUAAUAAUUUAAGACAAAACCAACAAUGCAGCUUAUCUCAGGUAGGGUGUGCUAGGGGUGUUAAUAUCUUCCCUACCCAUAACCAGUCUUGUACCAUAAAAUCUCUAUUGACUAGUUAGGGUUUCUAAUGACCAUAAUACUAGGUGGCGUCUCCUUAAACCAAACCUUUUUCCCAUAAAAGAACAAGAUGCCAGAAAUCUGUUCUUUUCAAGAAUUUUUAAGGUCAUCGCGAUGUCGGGUGCGACAAUACCCAAAACAAUUGCCUUGCUAAUGGGGAUAAAGUUGUCUUUCUUAAGGGAUCUAAAAGUUAUUUGUAUAUUGAUUGGGGAUAAUUUAGUAGGUUCACUCCUUUUUUCAUAUUAAAACUACAUCAUUGCCCUUGCAAUAAAAAAACAAGUGGCCUUUUGUUUUGGGUCUAUUUUGUCUUUUCUAUUUUAUUUGCACAAUAAAAUGACAUCAAUACCCUCGAGAGUUCAAAAAUAUUGACACUUGACGAGAGGUAUUUUUUAGUCUUUUUCAUGUUUUGUGUACUGUAAAAUGACAAAGUUAACCUUAGAAUAAAAUAAAUCUAAAGCUAGUGUGGGAUAACAUUUUCAUCUUUGCAAUAUAGCUUUUUGUAAUAUUUAGAUGCUUUUAGGGGCUAUUUAGUAAUUUAAAGUAUUGAAAUAUUAAUAAAUCAAUAAAAAAGCUGACAUAUGCGUAGCACGUGUCAGCGCGUGAUAAUCCACCACGUCAUUCAGGAGACUAAUAAACUAACCUAAACUCGUUCUUGCCCAACAGCGAGCCACAAACAAUACUCUUUUGAAUAUUAGAAGCAUGAACCACAUUGUUCAUAAUCGACUCUUUCAUAAAUGUCAUCCUUAACAUCACCUUUUUCUGGCCUAGGAUUUUGCACACUAAGAGCCUAUUUGACGUUGCAGUUGAAUCGUUGUUUUUCCAUUUUGAAAAAAAUUAUUCUUGCUUCAAUUGUUUUUGCGUUCUUGGAUUGUUAUGAUGUGUUAAUGUUAAAAAUGAAUUAAAAAAUAUAUUUUGAUACAUUUCCAAGUAAAAAACACUUUACAACGCAACCGCUACCACACUUUUAAACAAUCACUAAGAAGUUAUCCAGGAAUAAUUGUUCUCCAUUUGCAGUUGUUGCAUACUCAAAAAAAUAUUAUGUCAAAACAUACAUGACAGGUGGCUCCAAUAUCAAUCCACCACUUUUUAAGAUUGUGCACCAGGUUUGCUUCUGACAUAACUACAACAAGCUUUGCAGCUUUCUCAUCAACAUUCUCAAUGAUUUUGUUUUGUGCAUUUUUUCCUUACAGAUAUGCCUUUGCUUUUUACAAACAAAACAAGUUUCUUUGAACUUCUUUUUGCCGACACUAUUACCAUUAGAACUCUUGAGAGAACUUGCUUCAUAUUUAAGUUCACCAGGUUAAGAAUGUUUAGGAAUCGGGUUUGCCAUCGAGACCGCAAAGAUUACCAGGUUAAAUUAUUUUGGUUUUUUCCCCGCAUGAUAGAAUGUUUAGGAAUCGGGUUUGCCAUCGAGACCGCAAAGAUUACCAGGUUAAGAAGUACAUUGAAAUUAUUAACAAUAGAUUUAUCCAUUUAUUAUCUCAAUAACAAGAUUAACUUUAUAAUUAUAUAUCACACUUAUAUAAUCUGAAAUAAUAUUAAUUAAAAUGAAUCCCAAAAAUUUAACACACUAAUUCUGCAAAAAACAAAUUUAAUAAACAAUUUAACUUUGCAACUAUGUAUUUAUUUAUUUGUUUUUCUAUGAGACUCAAUUUUUUUUUUAAUAAUCAUCAAGAGUAUAUUGAAAAGGCCAUAAAGCCAAUAGACAGUGAAAUUUUUAACAGAAACUCAAUGUAAUUUUCAACAAAAACUAUAACAAUACAAAUAAUUACAAAUAUUUUUCUUUCAACAUCAACAUAAGAAAACAAUAUGCACUCUUCUAAAGUUAUGAUAAAAAAAAUCUGAUUGAUACUUAUGUUGUUUUAUGAUUAAAGUAACAAUAGCAUCUAAAGAGAAUGAAUUAGGUGUUGCACUAAUUAUGUCAAAAUAAUGCAAGUAAACACACUAAACACAUAUAACACAAAAACCAACAAUAUAAUUCAAGUGCUUAAAGUAAAUAUAUAAGAAAAAAGAGAUUGCAAACUCGAUUUUUAACGUGAUUCGGUAAGCUUACAUCCACAUCUCAAGUACUAAUCAUACUUAAGUAUUGUACUUUUUUACUAAUCCAAGUGAAAGAUACAUUGCCCUUGAUGAAUUCACACCAAGAAAUUACACCACUUGAUGAAUUUUUCUCUUUAAGAUUUUUCUCCUAGAAUUCCGGUUAAAUAGAAUUGCACUUAAUAUAUAUUAUUUCACCAUAAUUAUUAUCCAGAUAUGCAACUUUUUUUCUUUCCGAUCAUCUGUUUUCUUUUUUUCAUAUCAAUACAACAACAAAGGAAAAUACCAUGCAAUAUAAAAUGUAUUUCCCUGUAGAAUCAAUGCAACAAGUUUACAGACAACAGACGACAAGGAAUUUAACAUAGUCAUGGAAUUUAACUGAAGAUAUAUACACUUUACUUUCUCUAUUAAAAUUAAACUAUUUUUUUUAAUCUAUGUCAAUAUAUAAUCAAUUUGGUCUUGAAGAUAUAUAAAUAUACACAGAACAAAUAUGUUAGAAAAUAAAUUGUUUAAGAUUGUUAGAGCACCUUAAAUAGUUCAUAAAAUUAUUCUUCCCUUUUACUAUAAUGAUGAAGUACAAGGGUUGUUGAUGAUGACCUCUUGGAUGGCUACAUGAAGCUUGUUCCGUUUUAAAUUUCAAGGUUAAUCUAUUGCUAUGAGCAUACGUGUCUCAAUUUAAAACUCGAGUUGCAACUGAACUUAAAUGAAUGGUGUUGGAUUUGGGCCUUCUAUUUGUUUUAACUUCUACAGGGUUGAAAUGAUAGUGAUCUUAAAGUAGAAAAGCAGCAGACAAAAAUCAAUUAACCACAAUGGUGCAUGGUUUCCUAGUUUCUCAGCAUAAAGUUGAAUGUUUUGUUGACCUUUCUACAUCAAAAAUCAUAUAGACAGCUACUGCUGGCACUUGCAGUGGCCAAUGCAUACUGUAGAGUAUAUAUUGCAGUGUGAGAUAAGGUUAACUCGUUGCAUUUUCAUAUAUUGAAAGGAUUUCUCUUCUUUUCUUUGUCAAUUACAGCACAUGCAUAGAAGUGUUCUUCCUCAGAGUAAAUGCUAUAGUAAUGUUUUCACGGACUCCCCUGGUUUGCAACUGAUUCACUUAUAUAUCUUGGAACAUAGCCAUAAAUGAAAGGUUCUUCUAGUUCAAGAAAAUUAACCAUGAAGCUCGUAACUAGAAUUUUUAGACAGAAGGGUGGCCAAGCGAACUCCUAUACUCCGUACGUCUGGAAUAAUACAGGGAAAGGGUGUUUAUGUAUUUUGAUGUCUUAUAUUACUUGACCAACUCUUGCUUAUCUCAUUAUUUGUUUUAAUUUUUUGCUAAUAAUUCCACACAUUUCUGAUAUGGUGUGGUUUUUGAGUUCAGGGUUCUUGCUCAUUGCUGCUAACUUCUCUAUACUUGCCUGGUCAUUAAAAAUGAAACGUAAUGAUUUGCAUAUGCUGAAUGGAGACAUUAAAGAGGCAUCUUCUGUUUUCUGGUCAGGAGGGAUUACAAGAACUCAAGAAAUUUUCCAUAUGUUUUGAGGAAAAGAUUUAUACUACCACUACCAAUCAGGUAUUUGCCUAAUGUGAGGUUUAAUAAUUACGAUAUUAUCUAGACAUUAAUAUACACACGCAUUUAUGCUUGUACAAAUGUGUGUGUAGUGUGCCUACACUUCCUCACCGUUCAUUCUGUAUGCAAGGCUGAUUGGGAGUUCACAUUAUUUUGUUAAUUCUCUUGACAAGUGUUUUAUUUAGAGUGACCAAGUUCAAGUACAAGGGAAGAGUGCAAAAAGCAAAUAGCGAAUCAAUACAUAAAUAAUUAAAUAAAAAGAGAGGAAACAAAAGUAUAUCAUAGAGAAGAUGAAAUGAUAGAGCAUAUAUCCAUUUUCCUCCUCUUGUAACAUGGAUUGCUCUGAGAUCUGAUGUUUUGUUAUUAAUAUCUGAUUUCAGUCUGAUUAUAUAUCUACGAAAAAUAUCUCUGGAGAUGCUUUCGAUGGAGAUCAGGUCUCAAAAUGCCAUGCCCACUGUCCCCAUGGAUCCAGCAGGUAAUAAUGCACCCGAGCAUUGAAUUUCUAAACAUCUUACCUUUUGUUUUUCUUCUCACAUUGUUAUCAAACUCUUUUACAUUUUAUUGCUGUAUAUUGCUAUGUAUAUCGCCUUGCUAGAAAAAUCUCAUGAUCACCUCCACGAUGCUAAUUCUAUAAUGCAUGUGAAGUGUUUCAUCCUUAACUUGUUAAGAACAAGGACUAUGAUGCAUUGCUAUUUUAUAUUUUAUGAUUGAGAUGGUAGAUUUUAAAGAUUUUCCUGUUUAGGAGAUAAAAGUAAGAUGUCACUUUUUUGCUUUUCUUCCGAGAGAGUAUUUGAUCCUUUUUUCGUAUAAAAUAAUGCUGGCAUGCAUUGAAUUUCCAAACAGCUUAGCUUUUGUUUUGUUUGUCGCAUUGUUAUCAAACUCUUUUACAUUUUAUUGCGGUAUAUUGCUAUGUGUAGGGCAUGCUUUAAUCAAAAAGUUGAGUAAUUGAUGAAUGCUAGGCAUGAAAAUGACAUAUUAUUUUUGUUUUCUGUCUCCUCCUUUUCUUUCCCCCACCUCAAAAAUUGUCAUGUUAUUUUUGUUUUCAGCCGCCUCUUCUUCCCCAAACCUUUAAAAUUGUUUAUAUUUGCUUUGGAAGCAUGACAAACUUCAUUGCCUCUCAGCUUAAGGAGAUUGCAGCAGGUCUCGAAGCUUCUGGGCAUUAGUUUAUCUGGGUAGUUAGAAGAAACAAAAAGAGUCAAGAAGACAAGGAAGAUUGUUUACCUAAAGGAUUUGAGGAAAGAAUGGAAGGCAAAGGGCUAUUAUCAGAGGAUGGACACUCCAAGUUUUGAUUCUUGGUCAUGAAGCAAUAGGUGCAUUUGUGACUCAUUGAGGAUGGAACUCAACUCUUGAAGGCAUAAGGCAAAUAUUUGCUGAGCAAUUCUAUAAUGAGAAGUUGGUGACUGAUGUUUUAAAAAAUGGAGUUAAGGAAUGGCUUAGAGUGCAGAGAUCAUGUUAAAAGUGAAGCUGUAGAGAAGGCAAUCACUCAAAUUAUGAUGGGUGAAGAAGCAGAGGAAAUGAGAGAGAAGAAAGCUGAACAAGGGAACGCAGUAGAUGAAGAAUAUGAGUUUACUGCAUUUACUGUCAAGAAUACAAACGUGAGCACUAAAAACUAAUUUGUACAGGAUACUCUUUAUAUAUAGAGUAGUAAUUAACUUCAUCACUUAUUUCUUUCUAUGAAUACAAUAUUCCUUAUUUAUAUAUAUUGAUUUGUUUCUUAUAUGAGGUAGCUGUAGUUUCCUUCUAUGAAAGAUCUGCCAUGGCUGUAGUUUCCUUCUUUGAGAAGUAGCCGUUGGUUGAGGUAGCUGUUGAUUCCUGUGAUUUCCAUGUAUGGUUAAUUACCAUUCUGAAUAGUAGCCGUUGGAGGUGUUAAUUCAGAAUGGUUGCUGACGAGAGUGAGGAUCCUGUGGUGGUGCUGCUGCUGUCUCCUGCUGCUGCUGCAGAGGUGUGUUGUUGCUGUUAAUACCCUCCCUCAAACGUUGCCGAGGUUGGAGGCAAAGUUUGCGCUGAAAACGAAGAAGAGUAGCUUUGGACACCGGCUUAGUAAACAGAUCAGCAAUCUGAUGUGUAGUGGGAAUAUGAUGUGUAAUAAGUUUCCCAAGAGCUACGCGUUCGCGUAUAAAAUGAUAAUCAAGUUCAAUAUGCUUGCUGCGAGCAUGGAAAAUAGGAUUGACCGUCAUAUGGAGCGCACUGAGAUUAUCACAAUAGAGCACUGGUGGAGAUAGCAAGGGAAUGUGUAAAUCAUGAAGGAUGUAGGUCAACCAGGUAAGUUCUGCAGCCGUGUUGGCCAUAGCACGAUAUUCAGCUUCAGUGCUAGAGCGUGAAAUAGUAUGUUGUUUCUUGGCACACCAGGAGAUGAGAUUACAGCCAAGGAAGACACAGUAGCCAGUGGUAGAACGUCGUGUAGUAAGACAGCCAGCCCAAUCAGCAUCUGAAAAAGCAGAGAAAUUAAGAUUAGUAUUAGAAGUGAAGUGCAGACCAUUAUUAAUAGUACCUUGACAUAUCGUAAGAUACGGCGGACCAUUUUUAAGUUGACAGUUGUAGGAGCAUGCAUGAAUUGAGAGACAUAAUUAACACUAAAAGAGAGAUCUGGUCGAGUAAGGGUGAGAUACUGGAGGGAGCCAACAAGCCCCCGGAAGAAACUGACAUCCGCUAAAGGAGGAGCAUUGGAGGAGGCUUUAGUUCGUGCUUCAAGUGGUGUAGUCAUGGGUUUACAGUCAACCAUUUCAGCACGUUCUAGAAUUGUAAAGGCAUAAUGUGAUUGUGAUAAAUGAAGUCCAUUUGGCGUGGGCGAAAUUUCGAUGCCAAGAAAAUGAUGAGUAGGGCCUAAGUCCUUCAUGGCAAAUUCUUGACUGAGUAGAGUAAUGAAAUCUGCAACAAGUGUAUCUAUAGUUCCUGUAAGAAGUAUAUCAUCAACAUAAAGUAGGAGAAUAAGAGAACCAUGAUCAGAAUGAAAAGUAAAUAGAGAAGGAUCUGCCAAGCUGCAUAGGAAACCGUAUUUGAGGAGAAAGGAACUAAAACGAUCAAACCAAGCACGAGGUGCUUGUUUAAGGCCAUAGAGGGCACGUUGGAGCUUGCAGACAUGCUGUGGACGUUGAGGAUCUGAGAGUCCUGGUGGCUGUUCCAUGUAGAGAUUUUCAGAAAUCAAACCAUGUAGAAACACAUUUUUCACAUCAAGCUGCCGUAGGGGCCAAUGAUGAACAAGAGCUAUAGUGAUAAUUAGCCGAAUGGUGCCAGGCUUUACAACGGGAGAGAAUGUUUCAGUGUAGUCUAGGCCAUCAAUCUGGUGGUAUCCUUUGGCAACAACACGGGCUUUGAGACGCUCCAAGCUGCCAUCAGAUUUGAGUUUGGUUUUAAACACCCAUUUGGAACCUAUGAUAUGCAUAUCGGUGGUACGAGGUACCAAUUUCCAUGUCUGAUUUUGGUGUAAGGAUGUAAGUUCAUCCUCCAUUGCUGCUUUCCAUCCUGGAUGAGCUAGUGCAGCUCACACAGAUCGCGGUUCAUGCGGUAUUCCAGCAGAGAUGACAGAUGUUAAUGCAUACUUGGGAUUUGGUUUUAUGAUGCCAUGCUGGGACCGAGUGGUCAUGGUGCGAAGAGCUGAAGUAGAGGAAUUGGGAACAAACUCAUCUGCGGAGGCAUCACUACAAGGAGGUUGUGCAGCUUGGUGUAGCGCACGUUGUGAACGAGUAACCAUAGAGUGAGGAGCUGAAUUUGGGUGGUCUUGCUGCUGCAGAGUAGUUAAGUUCUCAGAGAGUGGUUGCUGGGAAAUAUCAGGGCAGAGAUUGUGGGCAAUCUCCUGCUGAGUGGGAGCUGCCACCUGCUGAAUAUCAUUCUCCGAACUAUGGUGUUGUAGUGAGGAAGAGGGUUCUAUAGAUGGAUCAGUGGGAGAACCAGAAUUAGAGAGAUCUGAUACGUGCAUGAAGAUACAUGCAAACCGCAACAAACCAGAAGGUGGCAGUAGCGCACGUGGUACGUGGAAGACACUUGGACGUGGAUCAUGCUUGGUCGCCAGAUUGUUAGUGGGGUUUGUUAUGGAAUUAGUCAUUCUCCAGUUAUUUUUAGUAUUAACAGUUAAUAAGGAUUCCUCGGAGGAUCCCUUGUUUGUUUCCCAUUUUCUAGAUAGUUUCCCAAAUUCUAGCAUUGUUUGUUAUUCAAUUCAUGUAUAAAAGGGCCUGGUGGCAUCCAAUAAAGGUAUCGAAAAUUAUCCAAUACUGUCUCCUCUCUUACUUCUCUGCUUCUCUUCUCACUCCCUAAAUUCAACCUAUCAGUGGUAUCAGAGCCAGGUUACACAGUUGUCAUGGAUACUCGCGGAAAAAGUAAUGCUGAAUUCCGGACUGAGGUCAAUGACGCCUUAGCUAGGCAUGAGUCUAGCUUUGAUCAGGUGAAUGCUGCCCUUCAAGCAGUAUUAACCGAACUACAAGCCAUCCGCACCCAAAAACACCCAAACACUAACCCUCCCGAAAUCAAUCCCUUUGCAUCAGAAUCAUCAUCCCAGUUACAUAGUUCUCGCAACCCAAACACCACUGGUCAAACACACUCCCACCUCAAACUCUCAUUCCCUCGUUUUGAUGGCAGUGAGCCCACAGGUUGGGUGUACAAAGCCGAACAGUACUUCGAAUUUCAGGACAUUGACUCGGCCCAGCAGGUCCAAUUGGCCUCCUUCCAUCUAGAUGGAAUUGCUCUCCAAUGGCACCGAUGGCUGACCAAGUUUCGGGGACCCCUUCUGUGGAACGAGUUCGUGCAAGCCCUUUUGCAACGAUUCGGACCCACAGACUACGAAGACCCAUCGGAAUCGCUCACUCGUCUCAGACAAACUACCUCUGUAGCAGCUUACCAAGAGGCUUUUGAGAGGCUCUCCCAUCAAGUUGAUGGACUACCGGAAGGUUUUUUAAUAGGAUGUUUUGUUGCAGGGCUGCGAGAUGAAAUUCGUAUUGAUGUCAAGAUUAAACAUCCCCACACACUGGCAGAAGCAAUUGGAGUUGCCCGACUGAUUGAGGAGCGCAAUCUACUGCAAAGGAAGACCCAUCUUCCAAUUCGGUCUUCUUCCAUGAAUUUACCCUCCAGGGCACCAGCAAAUUCAGUAGCUGGAGUGUUGGGACCACCCCCAUCACAAAGACCAAACCUAUCACCAACAUCAUUCCGGAGGAUCACCACUCAAGAAGCUCGGGAACGAAGGGAAAAAGGGGCUGUGUUUCUAUUGCGAUGAGAAAUUCAAGCCAGGCCAUCGCUGUGAACAACCACAAUUGUUUAUGAUCGAAGACAGCUCCAACACCAGCCUUGAUGAAGAAAUAACAGAUACUGAGGACAUCAUCAAUUCAGAGGACAUGCCCGAAAUCUCAUUCCAUGCUAUCGCAGGUGCUGAACACCCUCAAACCUUACGGGUGUUGGGUCAAUUGGGCAACAAAAAGGUGACCGUGCUCAUUGACGGAGGCAGCACGCAUAACUUCAUUGAUCAGGUGGUGGUAACCAAAUUUGGGAUACCCAUUAAUCGCAGCCAGCGAUUUCAGGUAAUGGUGGCUAAUAGAGAGAAAAUCACUUGUACUGGGCAAUGUCAGAGCCUCACAUUAAUCAUUCAGGGCAUAGCCAUCACUGCCAAUUACUGUGUUCUACCGGUCAUGGCUUGUCAAGUGGUACUGGGUGUGCAGUGGCUUGAGACACUGGGUCCGAUUGAAAUGGAUUUCAAAAAGCUCACUAUGAGCUACAAAACGCAUGGAGAGAAACACACCUUUUACGGGUUGAAGCACACGGGUCAUGCUGCCUUCACAGAGAAGGAGUUUCAUGGGUUACAAGGGAAUGGAUUCUUCCUUCAAAUCAUUCCCUCACAUCCCAUCAUUGACAGUAGCAGCCAUCCACCGGAGCUUAAGGCCCUUCUAUCCGAAUUCUCGCAGGUGUUUGAGGAGCCCACGGGUCUGGCUCCCCAGAGAGCCAAAGACCACCACAUACCUCUACAACCCAAUUCUGGCCCAGUAAGUGUGAGACCCUACCGCUACCCGUAUUACCAGAAAACCGAGAUAGAAAAAAUGGUGCAAGACUUGUUGAAGUCUGAAUUGAUACGCCCCAGUAAUAGCCCAUUCUCCUCUCCUGUUUUGCUAGUCAAAAAGGCGGAUGGGGCUUGGCGUUUUUGUGUGGAUUAUCGCGCUUUGAAUGAAAUCACCAUCAAAGACAAAUAUCCAAUUCCCGUAAUUGAUGAGCUCCUAGAUGAGCUGCAUGGGUCUCGUUACUAUUCCAAAUUGGACCUACGAUCCGGCUAUCACCAAAUCCGGGUACGAGACGACGACAUACCUAAAACAGCAUUCAGAACUCAUGAAGGCCAUUACGAGUUCGUUGUCAUGCCAUUUGGUCUAACCAAUGCUCCUGCAACCUUCCAAAGUCUUAUGAAUGAUCUUUUUCGUCCCCACCUCAGGAAGUUUAUUUUGGUUUUUUUUGACGAUAUUCUGGUUUAUUCCAAAUCGUGGGAAGACCAUUUAACCCAUUUGCACACUGUUUUGAAGAUUCUAGCAGAUAAUACACUCUUUGCAAAGGAGUCCAAGUGCAGAUUCGGGGUUACAUAGGUUGACUACCUAGGCCAUGCUAUUUCAAACCAAGGAGUAUCGGUGGAUCCUACCAAAAUUCAAGCAGUGGUUGAGUGGCCUACCCCUACGACAGCCAAGGGGGUCCGCGGAUUCUUGGGCCUGGCCGGCUAUUACAGAAAGUUCAUCCGCCAUUUUGGAGGAAUAGCCGCACCACUUACCCGAUUGCUGACCAAGGAUGGGUUUCAGUGGAGUGCAGAAGCUGAUUUGGCUUUUCAACGUCUGAAGGAAGCCUUAACCCAGUCCCCGGUCUUACGCAUGCCAGAUUUCUCUCAACGAUUUGUGGUCGAGUGUGAUGCCAGUGGGAUCGGAAUUGGUGCAAUACUUUCCCAACAGAAUCAACCCGUGGCAUACUUUAGUGAAGCACUAAAAGGGUCUUCUUUGACACUAUCCACUUAUGAGAAAGAAAUGUUGGCCAUCGUCAAGGCAAUUCGUAAGUGGCGACCAUAUCUGCUUGGUAAACCAUUCACAGUUCGCACGGACCAGAGGAGUCUCAAAUAUCUCCUGGAGCAGAGGAUUACUACCCCAGCACAGACACGUUGGCUUCCUAAAAUUCUCGGCUAUGACUAUGUAAUCGAGUACAAGAAAGGGAGCGAGAACCAAGGGGCAGACUCACUGUCCAGAGUAGUGGAAUUUCAGUUUUUGUCCAUCUCGUUCCCAAAGGCAGAGUGGUGGCCAACUCUGCAACAGGAGGUGCAACAGGAUCCAUUUUAUGCCAACUUCAAAUCAACGGACCCCUUCAUGGUUCAAAGAGACGGAGUGUGGUUCAAGAAGGGUAAGGUGUUUUUAAGCCCGAAUUCUACUCUUAUCCCUCUACUUUUGGCAGACUGUCAUGCCACGCCGAUUGGUGGACACUUUGGGUUCCAUAAAACACUCGCACGCAUUAAGCAAGACUUUACCUGGCCCAGAGUUCACGUCACAGUGAAGGAAUUCUUGCAGCAAUGUACCACAUGUCAACGCUUCAAAAAAGAUUGCAUGAAGCCAGCUGGGCUGCUGCAACCCCUACCUGUGCCUUCCAAAGUUUGGACUGAUAUCUUCAUGGACUUCAUCAAAGGAUUGCCUUCCUCCCAAGGGUAUACUUGUGUAAUGGUGGUAGUGGAUCGCCUGUCCAAAUAUGCCCAUCUCAUUUCGUUGAAGCAUCCCUACACAGCAAUCACGGUGGCCAAAGCCUUCAUCUCCUGCGUCGUCCGCCUGCAUGGUAUUCCAGCCUCUAUUGUGAGCGAUCGUGACAAGGUGUUUAUUAGCUCCUUCUGGCGCACCCUCUUUCAGUCCCAAGGCACUCAGCUGUGCAUGAGCUCAGCUUACCAUCCUCAGUCGGAUGGUCAGACUGAAGUUGUCAACCGCAUCCUCGAACAGUAUUUGCGGUGCUUUGCAGGUGACCAGCCACGUAAAUGGUUCGACUGGAUUCCAUGGGCAGAGUUCAGCUACAAUACCUCGCUCCACUCUGCCACUAAGAUGACGCCAUUUGAGGUGGUUUAUGGUGUUCCCCCUCCUAGUUUACUCACCUAUGUUCCCGGUACCUCAAAUGUUCAAGCCGUGGAUGAGCAUCUGCGCGAUAGAGACUGUCUCCUUCGUGAGCUGAGGAGGAAUCUGUUGAUUGCCCAGAACAGGAUGAAGAGCCAAGCUGAUCAACAUCGCAGGGAUGUCUCCUUUGACGUUGGAGAUUAUGUGUAUUUAAAGCUCCAACCUUACCGUCAAUCCUCAGUGGCAUUUCGUAGCUCAAUGAAGUUAGCCCCACGGUUCUUUGGGCCUUACCAGGUCCUAGCUAAAGUCGGAACAGUUUCCUACAAAUUAGCACUGCCACAGGAUUCCCAAAUCCAUAACGUGUUUCAUGUUAGCUUGCUACGGAAAUACUUUGGGCCCCUCCCUCCUACAUCAACAGUGGUGAGCCUUCCUCCUAUUUCAGAAUCAGCCAAUAUUCUUCCACAACCUGAGGCUGUCCUGGACCGACGAGUAGUUAACAAUGGGAAAUAUCAUCCAAAACAUGAAAUUUUGGUCAAAUGGGAUGGUGCACCAGUGGAAGAUGCUACUUGGGAGAAUGAAAGGCGUUUUAUCAAGACCUAUCCCACCUUCAUCCUUGCGGACAAGGAUUCUUAAGGGGGAAGGAUUGAUACGUGCAUGAAGAUACAUGCAAACCGCAACAAACCAGAAGGUGGCAGUAGCGCACGUGGUACGUGGAAGACACUUGGACGUGGAUCAUGCUUGGUCGCCAGAUUGUUAGUGGGGUUUGUUAUGGAAUUAGUCAUUCUCCAGUUAUUUUUAGUAUUAACAGUUAAUAAGGAUUCCUCGGAGGAUCCCUUGUUUGUUUCCCAUUUUCUAGAUAGUUUCCCAAAUUCUAGCAUUGUUUGUUAUUCAAUUCAUGUAUAAAAGGGCCUGGUGGCAUCCAAUAAAGGUAUCGAAAAUUAUCCAAUACUGUCUCCUCUCUUACUUCUCUGCUUCUCUUCUCACUCCCUAAAUUCAACCUAUCAAGAUCAUGAAGGGAUUGUACAGCCGCAGAGUUAGUGAUAUCAGGUGAAGAAGUGUGCACUGUCUCCUGCUGGAAUGUCUCCGGCUGAGUAAUUGAAGUGUCAGACUGCUGCUGAAGCUGUUGGCGGGCUGGAGUACUGUCACCAUGGAGUUGCAGAGCAACAUCAGCGGGAGAAAUAUCUGUAAAGCACACUGUCUCCUGCUGGAAUGUCUCCGGCUGAGUAAUUGAAGUGUCAUACUGCUGCUGAAGCUGUUGGCGGGCUGGAGUACUGUCACCAUGGAGUUGCAGAGCAACAUCAGCUGGAGAAAUAUCUGUAAAGCACGCUGGUGUAUCUGAGGUCAUAGUAGGAAGCAGGGGUAUGGGCAGUGAGCUGCUGCAUGGUGGCGUUGCUGGUGUUUCAGAGAUAUCUGUAGGAGAGCGUGAAGCAAGGAUAGUUAGCCAAGAAUCAAAUAUGCUAAGGACAUGAUUAGAAUGAUCAAUAUUUGUGGUGAUAUUAUUUUGUUUAUACGGAAGGAUAGAUUCACUAAAAACCACAUGUCGUGAGACAAAAAAAUUUUUGCUUGUUGGAUGAAAGCAUUUAUAUCCCUUAUGUUGAUCACUAUAUCCUACAAAAAUACAUGGAACACUUUUUGGAUCAAAUUUAUUUCGUCUUGUAUCCCAAGUGUAAGGGAAACAUCGGGAGCCAAAAAUACGAAGAGAUGAAUAAAUAGGGUGGUUACCAUGUAAGCGGAAGUAUGGAGUGUCAUAGUUAAGAGCAGAAGAGGGCAGUCUAUUAAUGAGAUAAACAGCAGUUGUGAAGGCUUCAACCCAUAAAAAUAAAGGAGUACCACUAUGGAAUAACAUUGUCAUACCUAGUUCUCUUAUAAUUCUGUGUCGCCUUUCAACCAUACCUGUUUGUUCAGGAGUGUAAGGACAAGAUACCUGGUGAACAAUUCCUGUGGAGCGAAAAUGACUUGAUAAUUUUGAGUUAAUAAAUUCUCCUCCUCCAUCUGAGUGAAAGACUUUGAUCUGUUUAUUGAAUUGCCUACUAACAUACUUUUCAAAUGCUAUAAACACUGUUAGAAAAUCAAAUUUGUUAUGAAGAGGAAUUAUCCAUGUAUAUUUAGAGAAAUCAUCUACUAGGCAAGCAUAAUAUUUGAAUUUUCCAAUAGAUAAAACAGGGGCAGGUCCCCAUAAAUCACAAUGUAUUUUUUCAAAAACAUCAGUACUUGAAUGUUCAGAAUGCGAAAAAGGUAAGUUGCUAAGUUUUCCUAAUUGACAACUAUCACAAAGGUGCUCAGUCUUCAUAGCUCCUGUGACGUCAAUCAAUCCUGUAUUUUUUAAUAGCUGCACUGCAGAAGCUUGAGGAUGUCCUAGGCGUUGAUGCCAAACUGCUGCUGAUCCAGUUUUAAAACGAUAAGAAAAAUGUAAUUCUGGCGAGUUGUGCAAGACAUAAAGAUCACCCUUACGUCUACCUGUGAUCAGAGGUUGUCCUGUUUUCCGUUCCUUAACACAAAAAUCAACGUCAGAAAACUCACAGUUCACAGGAAAUUGUUUGGUAAGCUGACUUACUGAAAGUAAAUUUUUAGUUAAUUCAGGAACAAGAAGAACAUCAUUAAUAUGUAAUUUAGUAUUGUUUUGUUUAAUAAAUGAAUCUCCAAUACCAAUAAUCGGUAGAGACGAUCCAUUUCCAAUAACCACAGAAUCAGUUCCAAAAUACUUACGAACAUCAGUUAACAUACCUGGCUUACUUGUCAUGUGAUUCGAUGCACCAGUGUCUGAUGUCCAUUCCGUGUCAACCACGGUGCUUCCCAAAUAGCGGUUGCUCUUUUGCAAUAUUAGAAGCAUGAACCACAAACAAUACUCUUUUGAAUAUUAGAAGCAUGAACCACAUUGUUCAUAAUCGACUCUUUCAUAAAUGUCAUCCUUAACAUCACCUUUUUCUAGCCUAGGAUUUUGCACACUAAGAGCCUAUUUGACGUUGCAGUUGAAUCGUUGUUUUUCCAUUUUGAAAAAAAUUAUUCUUGCUUCAAUUGUUUUUGCGUUCUUGGAUUGUUAUGAUGUGUUAAUGUUAAAAAUGAAUUAAAAAAUAUAUUUUGAUAUAUUUCCAAGUGAAAAACACUUUACAACGCAACCGCUACCACACUUUUAAACAAUCACUAAGAAGUUAUCCAGGAAUAAUUGUUCUCCAUUUGCAGUUGUUGCAUACUCAAAAAAAUAUUAUGUCAAAACAUACAUGACAGGUGGCUCCAAUAUCAAUCCACCACUUUUUAAGAUUGUGCACCAGGUUUGCUUCUGACAUAACUACAACAAGCUUUGCAGCUUUCUCAUCAACAUUCUCAAUGAUUUUGUUUUGUGCAUUUUUUCCUUACAGAUAUGCCUUUGCUUUUUACAAACAAAACAAGUUUCUUUGAACUUCUUUUUGCCGACACUAUUACCAUUAGAACUCUUGAGAGAACUUGCUUCAUAUUUAAGUUCACCAGGUUAAGAAUGUUUAGGAAUCGGGUUUGCCAUCGAGACCGCAAAGAUUACCAGGUUAAAUUAUUUUGGUUUUUUCCCCGCAUGAUAGAAUGUUUAGGAAUCGGGUUUGCCAUCGAGACCGCAAAGAUUACCAGGUUAAGAAGUACAUUGAAAUUAUUAACAAUAGAUUUAUCCAUUUAUUAUCUCAAUAACAAGAUUAACUUUAUAAUUAUAUAUCACACUUAUAUAAUCUGAAAUAAUAUUAAUUAAAAUGAAUCCCAAAAAUUUAACACACUAAUUCUGCAAAAAACAAAUUUAAUAAACAAUUUAACUUUGCAACUAUGUAUUUAUUUAUUUGUUUUUCUAUGAGACUCAAUUUUUUUUUUAAUAAUCAUCAAGAGUAUAUUGAAAAGGCCAUAAAGCCAAUAGACAGUGAAAUUUUUAACAGAAACUCAAUGUAAUUUUCAACAAAAACUAUAACAAUACAAAUAAUUACAAAUAUUUUUCUUUCAACAUCAACAUAAGAAAACAAUAUGCACUCUUCUAAAGUUAUGAUAAAAAAAAUCUGAUUGAUACUUAUGUUGUUUUAUGAUUAAAGUAACAAUAGCAUCUAAAGAGAAUGAAUUAGGUGUUGCACUAAUUAUGUCAAAAUAAUGCAAGUAAACACACUAAACACAUAUAACACAAAAACCAACAAUAUAAUUCAAGUGCUUAAAGUAAAUAUAUAAGAAAAAAGAGAUUGCAAACUCGAUUUUUAACGUGAUUCGGUAAGCUUACAUCCACAUCUCAAGUACUAAUCAUACUUAAGUAUUGUACUUUUUUACUAAUCCAAGUGAAAGAUACAUUGCCCUUGAUGAAUUCACACCAAGAAAUUACACCACUUGAUGAAUUUUUCUCUUUAAGAUUUUUCUCCUAGAAUUCCGGUUAAAUAGAAUUGCACUUAAUAUAUAUUAUUUCACCAUAAUUAUUAUCCAGAUAUGCAACUUUUUUUCUUUCCGAUCAUCUGUUUUCUUUUUUUCAUAUCAAUACAACAACAAAGGAAAAUACCAUGCAAUAUAAAAUGUAUUUCCCUGUAGAAUCAAUGCAACAAGUUUACAGACAACAGACGACAAGGAAUUUAACAUAGUCAUGGAAUUUAACUGAAGAUAUAUACACUUUACUUUCUCUAUUAAAAUUAAACUAUUUUUUUUAAUCUAUGUCAAUAUAUAAUCAAUUUGGUCUUGAAGAUAUAUAAAUAUACACAGAACAAAUAUGUUAGAAAAUAAAUUGUUUAAGAUUGUUAGAGCACCUUAAAUAGUUCAUAAAAUUAUUCUUCCCUUUUACUAUAAUGAUGAAGUACAAGGGUUGUUGAUGAUGACCUCUUGGAUGGCUACAUGAAGCUUGUUCCGUUUUAAAUUUCAAGGUUAAUCUAUUGCUAUGAGCAUACGUGUCUCAAUUUAAAACUCGAGUUGCAACUGAACUUAAAUGAAUGGUGUUGGAUUUGGGCCUUCUAUUUGUUUUAACUUCUACAGGGUUGAAAUGAUAGUGAUCUUAAAGUAGAAAAGCAGCAGACAAAAAUCAAUUAACCAUAAUGGUGCAUGGUUUCCUAGUUUCUCAGCAUAAAGUUGAAUGUUUUGUUGACCUUUCUACAUCAAAAAUCAUAUAGACAGCUACUGCUGGCACUUGCAGUGGCCAAUGCAUACUGUAGAGUAUAUAUUGCAGUGUGAGAUAAGGUUAACUCGUUGCAUUUUCAUAUAUUGAAAGGAUUUCUCUUCUUUUCUUUGUCAAUUACAGCACAUGCAUAUAAGUGUUCUUCCUCAGAGUAAAUGCUAUAGUAAUGUUUUCACGGACUCCCCUGGUUUGCAACUGAUUCACUUAUAUAUCUUGGAACAUAGCCAUAAAUGAAAGGUUCUUCUAGUUCAAGAAAAUUAACCAUGAAGCUCGUAACUAGAAUUUUUAGACAGAAGGGUGGCCAAGCGAACUCCUAUACUCCGUACGUCUGGAAUAAUACAGGGAAAGGGUGUUUAUGUAUUUUGAUGUCUUAUAUUACUUGACCAACUCUUGCUUAUCUCAUUAUUUGUUUUAAUUUUUUGCUAAUAAUUCCACACAUUUCUGAUAUGGUGUGGUUUUUGAGUUCAGGGUUCUUGCUCAUUGCUGCUAACUUCUCUAUACUUGCCUGGUCAUUAAAAAUGAAACGUAAUGAUUUGCAUAUGCUGAAUGGAGACAUUAAAGAGGCAUCUUCUGUUUUCUGGUCAGGAGGGAUUACAAGAACUCAAGAAAUUUUCCAUAUGUUUUGAGGAAAAGAUUUAUACUACCACUACCAAUCAGGUAUUUGCCUAAUGUGAGGUUUAAUAAUUACGAUAUUAUCUAGACAUUAAUAUACACACGCAUUUAUGCUUGUACAAAUGUGUGUGUAGUGUAGUGUGCCUACACUUCCUCACCGUUCAUUCUGUAUGCAAGGCUGAUUGGGAGUUCACAUUAUUUUGUUAAUUCUCUUGACAAGUGUUUUAUUUAGAGUGACCAAGUUCAAGUACAAGGGAAGAGUGCAAAAAGCAAAUAGCGAAUCAAUACAUAAAUAAUUAAAUAAAAAGAGAGGAAACAAAAGUAUAUCAUAGAGAAGAUGAAAUGAUAGAGCAUAUAUCCAUUUUCCUCCUCUUGUAACAUGGAUUGCUCUGAGAUCUGAUGUUUUGUUAUUAAUAUCUGAUUUCAGUCUGAUUAUAUAUCUACGAAAAAUAUCUCUGGAGAUGCUUUCGAUGGAGAUCAGGUCUCAAAAUGCCAUGCCCACUGUCCCCAUGGAUCCAGCAGGUAAUAAUGCACCCGAGCAUUGAAUUUCUAAACAUCUUACCUUUUGUUUUUCUUCUCACAUUGUUAUCAAACUCUUUUACAUUUUAUUGCUGUAUAUUGCUAUGUAUAUCGCCUUGCUAGAAAAAUCUCAUGAUCACCUCCACGAUGCUAAUUCUAUAAUGCAUGUGAAGUGUUUCAUCCUUAACUUGUUAAGAACAAGGACUAUGAUGCAUUGCUAUUUUAUAUUUUAUGAUUGAGAUGGUAGAUUUUAAAGAUUUUCCUGUUUAGGAGAUAAAAGUAAGAUGUCACUUUUUUGCUUUUCUUCCGAGAGAGUAUUUGAUCCUUUUUUCGUAUAAAAUAAUGCUGGCAUGCAUUGAAUUUCCAAACAGCUUAGCUUUUGUUUUGUUUGUCGCAUUGUUAUCAAACUCUUUUACAUUUUAUUGCGGUAUAUUGCUAUGUGUAGGGCAUGCUUUAAUCAAAAAGUUGAGUAAUUGAUGAAUGCUAGGCAUGAAAAUGACAUAUUAUUUUUGUUUUCUGUCUCCUCCUUUUCUUUCCCCCACCUCAAAAAUUGUCAUGUUAUUUUUGUUUUCAGCCGCCUCUUCUUCCCCAAACCUUUAAAAUUGUUUAUAUUUGCUUUGGAAGCAUGACAAACUUCAUUGCCUCUCAGCUUAAGGAGAUUGCAGCAGGUCUCGAAGCUUCUGGGCAUUAGUUUAUCUGGGUAGUUAGAAGAAACAAAAAGAGUCAAGAAGACAAGGAAGAUUGUUUACCUAAAGGAUUUGAGGAAAGAAUGGAAGGCAAAGGGCUAUUAUCAGAGGAUGGACACUCCAAGUUUUGAUUCUUGGUCAUGAAGCAAUAGGUGCAUUUGUGACUCAUUGAGGAUGGAACUCAACUCUUGAAGGCAUAAGGCAAAUAUUUGCUGAGCAAUUCUAUAAUGAGAAGUUGGUGACUGAUGUUUUAAAAAAUGGAGUUAAGGAAUGGCUUAGAGUGCAGAGAUCAUGUUAAAAGUGAAGCUGUAGAGAAGGCAAUCACUCAAAUUAUGAUGGGUGAAGAAGCAGAGGAAAUGAGAGAGAAGAAAGCUGAACAAGGGAACGCAGUAGAUGAAGAAUAUGAGUUUACUGCAUUUACUGUCAAGAAUACAAACGUGAGCACUAAAAACUAAUUUGUACAGGAUACUCUUUAUAUAUAGAGUAGUAAUUAACUUCAUCACUUAUUUCUUUCUAUGAAUACAAUAUUCCUUAUUUAUAUAUAUUGAUUUGUUUCUUAUAUGAGGUAGCUGUAGUUUCCUUCUAUGAAAGAUCUGCCAUGGCUGUAGUUUCCUUCUUUGAGAAGUAGCCGUUGGUUGAGGUAGCUGUUGAUUCCUGUGAUUUCCAUGUAUGGUUAAUUACCAUUCUGAAUAGUAGCCGUUGGAGGUGUUAAUUCAGAAUGGUUGCUGACGAGAGUGAGGAUCCUGUGGUGGUGCUGCUGCUGUCUCCUGCUGCUGCUGCAGAGGUGUGUUGUUGCUGUUAAUAAUGAGGACUAGAGCAAAGAAGCUUUCAGUGCUUUGAUUUAAUAACUGCCAAGAAUGGAAGGCUGUUGAAGAUGGUGGAUCUUCUUGCUCCAAUUUCAAUGCUUUGAUUGAAUAACUGAGGUGGGGUAGCCCUUGAAACAGAGGCAUAGAACAUUUUGUUACUACUUAGUAGUGGUUUUGGCAAUUUAUUUUCAGAUAAGUCUUGAGAGUUGAAAGAGUAAUCACAGACGAGUCAAUGACCAAUCCAAAUCAGUUCCCUUCCUAAUGGUUCAGGAAUGACAAGUCCAGCUUAUUUAUUGAGCCCAAAUAACUUUUCAAAUAAAAAGGUUGAACUUAGAGACAGUACACUACAAAUUAAGCACCUAAUAGCUAGACAUACAAGACAAACAAUCAUCACAAACUAGGAACAAUCGUCUUCCCAGUAACAAAUUCACCUUCUCAAGUUGGAGAACUUGCGAAAACUAGCCACUACAAAAUAGUAGCAAGUAUCUAUGCAGUCUUCGAUGAAGUACGACCACCUGCGUCGCCAAUAUGGAUCGAUGUAAAGAACUACUACAAUUAUCAUCACCACAACUGUGUAACAUACACCGAAAUUGAUGUAGAAAAACUCCAUGUCUAUGAAACCAUCAUCUCCUUGUUCAUCAUAAGGCACUGGCUGUGAUGGCACUGGUUGUGAUGGCACUGGCUGUGAUGGCACUGCUUCCUCACUACAAUUGUUUCGCAAUGGAGGUCCACACAAAAAAGGAUUUCCUUCGUAACAACUUUCAUCAAAGGUCCCAAACUGAUAUUUUCUCUCGGGUGUGUUACCUGACAAGUUAUUAUGCGCCACACUAAAAACUUCCAGUGUGGUAAUAUCAGUAAGUUGUGGAGGGAUGACACCAUUCAAGUUGUUGUAAGAAAGAUCCAAACUCUCAAUCUGCUUUAGGUUUGAGAAUGUUGCAGGGAUAGAUCCAGUGAGAUUGUUGUGUGAUAAGUUUAAUGACAGUAUCUUACUUAAGUCUCCAAAUUCUGGUGGGAUUGCUCCUACGAAGUUGUUAUUGGAGAGAUCAAUACCAGACAUGUAGCUGAGAGUCUUCCCCUUGUAACGAUAAUACAUAUUUUUAGUUGUAAAUUCUAUCACUUCUUCUGUAAAGUUAAGCAGAAAACCCUUUCUCAAGUUGUACAUACUCUCCACUAGUGGUGGACCCAUUGUUUCAUAAUAAGCUUUUUCUAUGGACCUUGAUAGAACAUCAGCUCCGAGAUCUGCGAGCGUUUUCUGGGAACUUUCCUUGAAAGUAAGAUUGCCCAAACAGGAGGGUAGUGGACCAGAGAGUUGGUUUUGUGAAACAUCCAAAAUGCUUAAUUGUUCUAACAAGCAUAAUUGAACAGGGAGCUCACCAUCAAAGUGAUUAGCCCUCAGAAGAAGAACACUCAAUGAUGAAAGAUUGCCAAUCCAAUUUGGAAAGGAGCCGGUGAAGUUGUUAUCUCGAAGAUCCAUCGUAACCAGGGAAGAGUUGUUAUAAAAUCCAUAUGUUAAUGGACCGCUCAAUCUAUUUUCAGAUAGAUGCACAUGGGUUAUUUGUGGUGGACUGAAACAAGAUGGUAUAUAUCCAGACAAGUUGUUCUCAGAAAGGUCCAAAUAUUCAAGCUGGUUAAGCUUACAAAAGUCUCUUAGGAUCGGACCCUUAAAAUAGUUUUUGGACAAAUCAAUUGCGAUAAGGCCUGUAGAAUUGACUAACCACCUUGGAAGCAUGCCUGAAAAUUGAUUGUCACUCAAAUCCAAUGUUGACCACAUUUUCCACCCAUAUAAUAGAAAAUCUGAUAUCUGACCCCAAAAGUUGUUACCGUGUAGGUAGAGAUAUUCUAAGGUAGAAGAAUUGAAUACUGAGGUUGGUAAUUGCCCACCCAAAUUAUUGUUUGACAGCUUGAGAAACCAUAUUGUUGUUAGUUGUUCUAGUUUUACUAUAGACAAUUGAUUGUUGGAUAAAUCUAAAAUUUUCAAAGAGCUAAUAUUUCCUAAACAAGAAGGAAUACAACCUGUGAAUCCAUUAUUGGCCAUCCUUAAGCUCCACAUAUUUGGAAAGAUCAAACAAAUAUCUUUAGGAAUUUGACCGUUCAUGUUGUUGUUGGAAAUAUCUAAUUCGGUCAUAUUCAGAUAUGGGUGAUCUUGCAACUGUAAAGUACCGACAAAGGAGUUGUUGCUUAGAUAUAGUUGCUCCAAUCGUGUAUUGUUCUUAAGCAACCAUGAUGGAAACAUUGCGGUGAUGUUGUUGUGGGAGAGAUCAAGGACUCUUAUGUCGUAUUGGUAAUAAAGGAAGUCGGGAAUUUUUACAUUUAGUGCUUCUGUUGUUUUUGACAAUCGGAAAAAUACUAGUUGGAACUUUGGAAUCAAAUUAUCAAAGGCAGCAGGUUCUGUUACUAGCUUGUUGUUCUCACUGGAGAAGAACUUGAGGCUUGAGUGGUUCAUAAAAGGCUUCAUUGAAAUGGGAACUUCAAAGAGGUUAUUUGAUAGUGAGAGGAAUUCAAGGGAUGUGAGGUUGGUAAGAGGACCGGAGGCAAUAUUUCCAGUAAACUGGUUUUCAGAAACAUCUAAUAGUUGUAGAGAUGACAAGUUCCCCAAACAAUCUGGGAGUGAACCUCCUAAAUUAUUUCCAGAGAGAUCUAACUGCCUCAGAUUCUUUAAUUCACACCAACCUGUACAAUUUAUCUUGAAACAGUCAAAACAGUGUUGAAAGAAUCUUUUAUUGAUGAUAGUUGUUAAUUUACCUUGAGCGGGUAGGGUGCCAUGGAGGUCACAUUCAGCAACAGACAAAACUUUAAGAUCAGGCAAUGCUCCAAUGUUCUGGAGAAAGUUUAUUGGGAGAGAAGUACGAUCUAGAUACAAUUCUUCAAGGGUGCUAGAAUUGAAGAAAGUCCCUGUGAAAAAGAAAGAAGAAGAGAUAUGAUGAAAAUUGUGGUCGUACAGAAUAGCCAUUCCAUUUAAUAUUAUUAAUUAAGAUUUUAAGAAACUAAACUAUGAUUAACCUUGACUUAAAUUAGUAUCCUUGAGAGAAAGGGUCUUCCUUAAACCUAUGAUGUGUAGAAUUGAAAGCAGGCAAUCAAGUAAGUAGUGAAAUUAAGUGUUAUCUUGAUCGAGUUUUUAAACCUAUGAUAAAGAACUGAUAUUGAAUAGUGAGAUGAUUUUUGGAUAGAAACAACAAAUUGCCUGAAAAAUCCAGAGAUAUUGCCUGAUAAAUUUAAAUUUAAAGACUUUACCAUUGACGGUCGUCGAUCCUAGCAACAUAUUGCCUGAUAAAUUUAAAGACUUGAGAUAAGAAAGCCCACGCAGAUGUGAUAAAAUGCUGUCGUUGAAUAUAUUAUAGCUCAGGUCCAGGUUAUCGAGUUUCUCCAAAUGUGAUGAUAUGAUCUCAAAACCUGCAAGAGAGUUGUUUCUAUAAGCAAGUCAUAAUUACAUAAUAACUUUAAUCAAACAUGAUGAAAUACUAUCGUUGAUUAUUAAAUGAAUAUAAAGUCCUCAAUUUUCAUAGAAGGAGAUAUGAGAAGGAGAAAAGAAAAUGUUUCGAAGCUAAAUAAUUAAAAGGUUACCAUAGAAGCUACCUGAUCCUGUCAAUCCAUUGCCUGAUAGAUCCAAAGACUUGAGAGUGGAAAGCCCAGUCAUGCAUGACAAAAUGCUUUUAUCAUUAUUAAAUCGGUUAUCACUUAGGUCAAGAUUCCUCAGAUUUGAUGAUAGGACUUCGAAGCCUGGAAGAGAAUCAUCAAAGCAAGAUAAUUGACAUUAAACACCAAUCAACCUUGAUUUAUUUUAUGAUUAUAAGUGCAGAAACAUUGAACUAACCUUCAUUCUCCAAGCAACCAACCAAUCCAUUAAAUCGCAAUUCGAGACUUUGCAAUUCUUUAAAAGGCAGAAACAAAGAUGCGUUGAGAACCCAAUCGCCAAAGCUCUGAUCCCUUGCUCCACUAAGAGAGAGUUCGAUCACUCGCCUUGUAGUGUUAUCACACUCGAUCCCAUCCCACUCACAACAAUUACUACUGUCCACCCAAUGUCUCAAGGAAAAGCCAUCUGGGUCGAUCAAAGAUUGGAUCUCCAAGAGACCAAUUCUCUCUUCCUCCAAACAUCCAUAACAACGACCAUACCAUUCGCCAACCAAAGUCAAUAAUAUUGCUAGCAACAUCCAAGCCCCCAUUCUUUUCAUCAUCAUCUUAGAUAAUUCUAUGUGACAUCAAGAACGUAGAAUAUUGUUGUUUGUUAUGUGCCUUUGGGCAACCAUAGAGGUCCUAUUUAUACUACACUGUGGCCAUUUCCGUGACUUUGAGAUGUUUUCUUUAUUUAAUUUCCAUGACUUUAUCUGCAUAUCUUGUGCAGGUUCGGUGUUUUGAGAUUUGAAUAUUAUUUUAUUUCUUUUUGGAAUAUUCUUGGAUUUGAAUAUUAUUUUAUUUUAUUGUUUAGCACUUAGUCUAUUUGCAUUUAAUUAUAUUUUGGUUACUAAUUAUUCAAUUUAUAAAAAAAUAAAAUAAAAAAAUUGUUGCAGUACUUCAACAUAACAUAUAUUUGUUUUUAUGGUGGGAAAGGUAUUCUUGACUUGUUUUUAUUACAUUUCAAUAUUAAAUAUAUUUUUUUCAAUCGAGUCAAAGAUAUACAAUUUAUAUUAGAAUGAGAAGACUAAUCAAUUUCUCUAGUUUUCUCCCUAAUUAUAAAAUACAUCUAAGAUAAAAGGAAUUUAUUUCUUGAAAUUAAUGCAUUAAAAAAUAUAAAAAUAUUUUUUAAAAAUUAAAAUAGUAGUAAAAGAAAAUUUAGUUUUUGAUUGAAGUGUAAACUAGUGGUCAAUGAACAAAAAGAAACUUUAUUGAUUAUCUAAUGAGUUACUUCUCCAAAAAGAAUAUAUAUAUUAUUGAAUAUCUAAAGGAAACGAUUCAUGAAACUCCGCCUAAUAUAUAUAUAUAUAACAGAGAAAUUGUCGAUAAUAGCAAUCAUUUUCUUAUCUCUUGUAUCAUUCAUAUCUUCCACAAAUCUUAAGUAAUUGAUGAGAAAGAUCGUGAACGCGGAUGCUUGACUUGUUGUGUGGCAUUUUGAUUUUUAAACACAACCAUGCAGUGAUUUCCUGGUGAUUUCCUUAUGCAUACUGGUGGUCCUUCAGAAUCUUGGAGGACCACCACAAGCCAAUCUAAAAAAAUGCUAAAAGUAAUCUUGAGGGUUGUAACUUAACUGGUCAGGUCCUGAGUUUGUUCCCCGAAGAUCACCAGUUCGAGUCCCACAAACCUCAGAGCCACUUGAGGCUUACAUGAUCAUUAACUUCAGGGCUCGUGGGAUUAGUCGAGAUGCACGCAAGCUGACCCGAACACCCACGUUAAUAAAAAAAAAUGCUAAAAGUCAAAACACACAAGCCAUAUAAAAAUCACACGACAGCCAAUUGCCUUAUCUUGUGAAAAAAAGAUCAAAAAAAAAAAAAACAUUCUCUUAGGUAUGCAAUGACUGCCUAUCUUCUCAUGGGGAGCAAAAAUCAGUAGCCUCCCAUGGAAUCCUAAUAAACCUUUCUCUGUGCUCUUCUAAGAUAUUAAAAAUGUCAAACAUACAUCAAUAAUCAAGAUUUGGGUCCUAGAUCAGACAAGUUAGCUUAUGUUGACUGGUGUUAAUCUAAAAUUGUAUCAUUUUAAGAAGAAAAAAAACUGUGUAGUUAAAAAAAAAAAACUAGUUUUUGACUGAGUUGAUUAGGUUCUUGGUUGAUUUAUCUGGUCGAUGAGGCUUGAUUGGGUCAACUCUCACUUGGUUUUUUCUAAACCUGAAUCCGGUCAGAUUCCAGAUUAAAAUGGUAGGCUUGAAUUAAAUUUAAUAACGCUGAUUAAAACCACAUUGUAGAAAAAAAAAUUGAAUUGCAUAAAAGUAAUUAACCGAAAACUUAUAUUCCUUCUUAUUGUCAAAGAACCAUCUCAACCCUUAAGCUAUUAGGUGAGGUCCCAAGAUAUGAUUUAUAUUAUUCUUUAACACACUCCCUCAAGUGAAAGCCCUUUGGGCUUGAAACUUGCAAAUGUCUACAUUACCUUGUGCUUGAUUUUUAUCAAAUUAAUGGGGGGUGAGAUUCGAACUCGUGACCGCUUGGUCAUCAAAGCUCUGAUAUUAUAUCAAAUAAUCACCUCAACCCAAAUUAAAACUUAAACUAUUAGAUGAGAUCCCAAGUUAUGAUUUAUAUUAUUCUCUAAGAACCCAUAUCAGUUUUUUUUAAGGAAAAGUAUGAAUCAAAGGUUAACGCUAGGCAGCUCACUUUGCAUGACAAUGACGGAUAUAGAAGACUUGCUACUUUCUUUAUGGAAAUAACGUGUGGAAAAUCAUGCCUUAAUGUUGAUGGUGAUGGCAAAAACAACCAGUAUCGUUGAUAAAAUGAACCACAAAUGAUAUUAUUUCUAAAAUACUUUUUUUCAUUGUCAUGACAACAAGUCUUCUUCUUUUUCUUUCUAAAGAGUCUAUUUUUUGUAACACAACCAACAAGUAAAAUGGAUAGGAAUUUGCAGUGUGAGAUGGGUCUGUGAGACUUUUGCCAUCUGCAUUUUUUCCAUGAUAUAGGCCAGUGAGAUAGUCCAUGAAACCAUUGCCCUGUAAGCAUUUAUGAGUUCGUGAGACCAUUUCCAUCUGCACAUUGGUCCCUGAAACCGUUGCCAUCAUGCAUUUUUUCCACGAGAUGGGUUCGUGGAACAUACUUUGGUUUAAUUGGGAAUGCUGUUAUUGAUUGAAAACUUUCUAAUUAAAAUAAAUUUGAUUAUUUGAUUGGAAGAAAUCCUUAAAUGUUAUUAACACAAGAAAUCAAUUUAUUUUCUUAAGAAAAAAAUAUUGUAACCAUAUAAGUAAUUUAUUUAUUUAUUUUAAUGAAAUAUAAAAUAGUUUUAAAUAAUCUUGUGGUAUAUUUCUUGUCUUUAAGAGCUAUGAACUUAUAUCUCAAAACUUGAAAACUAAUAUAAAGAUAUUAAGUGAUCAUUGAGUGUGUGUGUAUGUAUAUAAUCCUUUUCAAAACAAAAAGGAUUUUGAUGGAGAUCAGGACAUUGCAACAAAUUAUCCACGAGAUGGGUCGGUGAUACCAUUGUCAUCAUGUAAUUUUUCCCACGAGAUGGGGUCGUACGCUUGGGGCUCUAAAAGCUAUGGUUUUUAAUUUCAUCAGGUAUAUUUUAUUUCAAUUCUAAAAAUGAAAUAAAUUAGAAGAUAUUUCAUCUUGUUUAGAAUAUUAUCUCCUUACAUGCAUGAAUUUCACCUAAAUUUUGACCAGAAUAUAUCGGUUCUAUUCCGGCCAUUCUAUUAUGUCCAAAUAAUGUUUUGUUUUGCUUUUAUAUAUAUAAAAAAUAUAAUUUAUUUUUAUGAUAUCAAUUAUACCUUUCAAUUUGACUAUUAGAUUAGACUGAAAUUUUAUAAUCUCUUAAUAUGUAUUUAUAUCACAAGUUAAAAUUUUAGAGCAAUCAGAGUUUAGAAAGACUUGUGAAAUUACUGUUGAUAUUUUCAUAAUUUUAUUUAAAUUCAUAAUUUUUUUUUGAAAUGUUAUUUUUUGUGUUUUUUUAGAUUGAUUUUUUUUAAUUUUAUAAUUUAAUAAUAAAUUUAUUAAAAAUUAAAAUUCAUAAUUUAUUUUUAUUUAUUUUAUUUAAAAUUAUUAUAUUCUCAUUACUCAUAUCACGAAAAAAACCUUUGCUUUAAUUGGGAAUGCUGUUACAAGUAAUUGGACUCCGUGGGAUGGGAGACCGUUGCCAUCAUGCAUUUUUUUUCCACAGCAUGGGUCCGUAAAGUCCUCUAUAAAAGCUUAAACCUCCUUACUAUCCUCUAUAUCAAUUGAUCAGCAUUUAUAAGAUGGGGCUGUUCCUUCUGAUGCUGAUGGUUUUAGUAAUGAUGGUUUCUUGCAAGGAUGGCUGCCUCUUGGAGUAUAUUGACUUGAGAAUUAAUUGUUUUGAUAACAGUAUUUUAUUAUUUGUGGAGUUAUUUCUAUUUUUUAAAUUAUUAUAUUUAGAUUAUAAUAGAGUGAAAGAGUUAAUAGGUUUAAGAGAUUAGGAAAAAGCUAAUAUUAAUUAUAGUUAGGGACCAAACUGGAAUUUUUGCAUAUUUUUAAGGGUCAAAUUGUAAUUUUAUUAAAUUGAUGAAGGACCAAAAUGAAAAUAUCAUAUUUAUAACUAUACUGGAAUUUUGCCCAUAUUUCUUCUUUAAUUUUGCCUAGAAUCUCGGAUUAUGCUCUAGGGACCAAUCUGUAAUUUUUUUCAAAGUUUGGGGAUUAAACUGAAAUUUUCACAAAUUGAGGUACCAAGCUGAAAUUUUUUCAUCUUCAACCUCAUACCCAGAUUUUUCACAAAUCACCUAUUGAUAUAUCAAGAUUUUUAACUAGAUGAGGGUUUAGGUCAUAGAUUGGCCUAAUACUCAGAUCAAGAUUUGGAUCAAGUUAGCUUAUUGACUAGUGUUAAUAAAAAAUUGUAUUAUUUUAAGAUUUAAUUUAAUCAAAUAGAUUCAACUCCCAUGCCAUUCCACAAUUAAUUUAUUUUAUUAUGAUUUAGUGUUAUGUUAACCAGGCAACAUUUAAUUACCAUGAUAUAAAAUACAAAAAUAGUGGGAACAUAAAAAACAUGCUUUUAUAUAUUUUUUAUUUUAAAAGUACAAAUUUUACUCUAAGACUAUUGUAAAAAGAUAUUUAUUUUAAAUUUAUUUAUAUUUUUAUAAUUCAAAAAUUAAAAAUAAAACAGAAUUAAUCCAUACUCAUCUAAAAACAAUUAACUCUAACAUCAUUAUUUUAUAACAAAACUAGCAAAGAUAAUUUAUUAAUCACUAAGUUUUCUGGUUAUAAAUACAUUAGUAAUUGUCUUCGUCUCUUUUGUAUUUCUAACUAUUAACGAAUUGAAUAUAUAUAAUAAAUACCGAGUGAAAGAAUAAAUUUAGUUGUAUAAUGUACUAAAUAUUAAAUAGGUGACUUUAGAAUCACCAAGCAGUGAAUCACACGGGAAGAUUGAAAGAAUAAUUAAAGUGAUUUUAGUAACCGACAAGUUGACCCCAAGUCAAAAGUCUUUUGUGGAAAAACAUGAAUAAAAGGUUGAGGGUAAGGUCAUUGCUAUCAAGCGUUUUUUUCUACGAGAUGGGUCCGUUACACCAUUUCCGCUCAAGCUUGAGAAGUGAUGAUAUAUGCUUUAUUUUCAACUUGUAUAAAAAAUAAAUUUUAAUGUAGUGUGUUAGUGUUAAAUAAUUAUCUUAAUCUAAUAGUUUAAGCUGUUAGAUAAGGUCUCAAGAUAUGAUUUAUAUUAUUCUCUAACACACCUCUCAAGUAAAAACCCUUUGGACUUGAAACUUGUUCAGGUUCACAUUACCUUGUGUUUAAUUUUUAUCAAAUAAAUGAAGAUGGUGAGAUUCAAACUCGUAACUGUUUGGUCAUCAAGGCUCUGGUACCAUGUUAAAGAAUCAUCCCAACCCAAUAGCUUAAGCUGUUAGGUAAGGUCCCAAGAUAUAAUUUAUAUUAUUCUCUAAUACACCUCCUACUUUGUGUUUAAUUUUUAUCAAAUAAAUAGGGAUAGUGAGAUUCGAACUCGUGACCGCUUGGUCAUCAAGGCUCUGAUACCAUGUCUAAAAACUAUCUCAACCUAAUAGCUUAAACUGUUAGGUGAGGUCUUAGGAUAUGAUUUAUAUUAUUCUCUAACAAUAUUUUCUUCACUUUCUAUAUAGUUUUACCUUACACUAAUAUUGUCAGAAAAUGAUAUAUAGUUCUUGUGUUAUCCUUCAAGAUUUCAAUUGAAAAGGAGGGUCGUAAAAAAUUUAAUUUUUAUAAACAUACCCUUAACUUAAUUUGGAUGUGGAUAAUUGUUUGCAAUAUAUUUACAUCCAAUAUAAACAAUUCAUCAAUGAUCAAGUCGGCAUUGGUUAGCUAAAAUAUUGAAAAUACUUACUCUUUUUUUUUUUUUGGCCAUGCAGUUCCUAUAUAUAUAUAUAUAUAUAUAUAUAUAUAUAUAUAUAUAUAUAUUAGUUGAAAUUUCAUGAUGUCCAUUAAUCCUUUUAAAUUAAAGUCAAGUUAUUAAUUAUAUCCUAUAAAUUUCUAGAAAAACUAAUUCUCUCAAAUUUCGUCGUCUUUUUUACUAACUAUAGAAGGCGAUUGCUACAAACUAAAAUUUCAAGAUGAAAUUGAGAAAUCUGAAGGAGCAAACUGAGAAUCUACCAAAAUCUGACCAAGUCGUUUCACUAGUGGUUUCAAUUAAAAAGCUGAGAGGCAGGCAAUUUCCCAGAAACCCUCUUGGACCCCAUAAAUGAAAUAAUGACACAUGCCGGGGAACAUAGAAAAAUGAGCCUAUAAUCGAAUGAUCAAUACCGGCGAAAGAAAUCAAAUGGAGUAUAAGGUGAAGAGUAAGCCAUCGACAGCACUUUGGAGGCUAUAAUCGAAUCAGCUGCUUCUAUAUAUGCAAUGGGUCGCAUCCCAACUUGCAGACCUGAUAUGAAAUUGUUAUGAUGUUCGUUCUGUAACUAUCAAAACUCACUUAAUUCUGUAGUUUCCAUCUCUUUUUUACUUAACAUGUGAUGUUUGAGAGUGAAGGUAACUAUUGCUUUUUAAAAUAAAAUAUAAUUUAUGUGGUAUCUGAAUACAUAGGAACAAUAUCUGUGUGCCUCAUGCAUGCUUUUCAAAAUCAAGUUUGGGGUUUUUUACACCCAAAAAUCUAUUUUUCAAUUAUGUUUUCACCAAAACAAAAGCAACUAAAAAUCACUUAAUUAAAAGAUCAAAGUGAAUCUAUUUACUUUCUCAUACAAAAAUCAGUCCAAAAAUAAAAAAUAACUUAAAACCUAAAUUUUCUGAUAUCAUAUCUACUUUUUCAUGUAAUUUUAAGGUGAACACUCGAAUAAAACUACUUUUAUCUAAUGGACUAUUGACACAAAGAUUGACUAUUUUGAGGGCCAAAAUUGAUUUUAACCGAGAUUUUAUCUUUUUACCACUAGAAUUUAGCUACUCUCUUUUCUCUUUGAAACUAAAAAAAUAAAAAUAAAAAAAUGACCUUUUGAGUCAAAAUUGAAUCUUACAAAAUUAUAGGGAUUGAAGAUCUAUCAAUUGGAAGUAAGAAAAUCCAAGCUAACUUUUCGCAUUAAUUUUGAAAAAGCCACCUAGUGCCUUUGUUUUUUUCACUUUGAUCCCUUAACUCUCAAUCAUGCCCUUCAUCAAUAAAUUGAAAGAAAUUUAUUGGCGAAAUAAAUUUAUUUCGAAGCCCUUCAUCCUUUGCAAAAUUUACAAGAACAUACCUGAAAGUCCUUGUUGAGAAUCUUGGAGAUAGAGCAAAAUAGAGUGGCAAACAUUGAUACAAUGAACUGAACUUGCAGGACAAGGUCAAAAGUCAUGGCCUUGCCAGCCUUCAAGAAAGUAAACUCCAAUGCAGGCAUUAGAAACCCAUGAAGAGCUGCACCACCAAUAUUCAUGAAGAAACCCAAAAUAUAUUUUCCUUUAGACUCCCACUUGGUCUAUCUCCGUUCAUGUGAAAUACAAGAAUAAUAGACCCAAGGGUCAUCAAAAUCACCGCGUUUAUUCAGUAAUGUGUGAAGCCACUGAGCUAAAGAAUAAAUAAUCCAAGAAAAUUCCACCAAUUACCAUUAAUGUAAGGAAUUCCUGCUUCUUUUUUAGAAGAUCUUCUGGUUGUAUUUGGUUAAUAUCUCAUGCAGAAGAGACACAAAUAUAUAAAAGACAAACAAGUUUAAUUAAAGAGAUAGAAACAUAAAAUAAAUAUGUUUAUAAGAUAAUUUUAGAGUAAAUUUCUAUAUAUAUUUUCAAAUAAAAAACACAAAGAGACAUGUUCAGUACUUGUAUCAUAAGUUUUAUUAUCAUCAAACGUUUGCCUUUCACUACUUUUGCAUGUCUAUAAAGGAAUUUGAUUUCAUUCAAAACACAAUCUAAUAAUUUUGUAGAGAUAAAGAAGACAAGCACGUCGCAAACUGAUCAAUGGCCAUUGAAGUAGACAAAACAGUACUGACUAGCACCACCAGCUUUUACUUGCAUUUGGCUUGAAAGACGAGUGGACUACAUCAAGCAAAUAACAAAAAAAAGCAUGUAAAGAACUAUGAUUAAUUUAAUAAAAAGUAUCUUGCAGUAUUAGAAGGUUUCAGUGAUAUGCCUAUUAAAACAUAUUUGUCAAGUGAUUCUUUAUCCUACAUUGGUUAUAUAUUUAUUCGACGUGGUGGUACUAUUUGUCGUGAAUCCACAAAUACUAUUCAUCAUCAUAGUGUUCAUCUACAUGCAGAUCACUAUGGAUUGAAGCAGUAAUAUUUUUAAAAAAAUUUCAAUUUGGUUCUUAAAAUUUUAUUUCACAUGAUUUUAGCUCUUUUAAACCCAAAUUAUCACUCAAUUGCAUAUUUUUUUGGGAGAGAUGGUUGAAUUAAAAAACAUAGGACUGAAGUGAAAAAACAGGUGAAAUAGAUGGUGACCUUGAAAUUUCUCUUAAAAGUUCAUUUUUAUCCCCCAUAUUUUUUUUAGCUCUUAGGUGACCGGUCCCUUUAAUUUUUAAAAAUUUAAUUUUAAUAUUAAACUUUAUUUUUUUUAUUUUUCAGACUUUUUUAUGGGAGGAGAGAGAAAGUUGUCGUUGGUGAUGAUUUCAGCCAUUGAAAUAAUCAAUUUUUGUCUCAAAUAAUUCCAUCUAAAGAGAAGAGUUUGAAUUAAGUGUUUUGUUUUACCUUGAAAAUACCUAAAAAAUAGAUCCGAGCUCAAGAAGAUUUUUGAAUUCAGGUUGAUAUCAGAUUUUAAGGUGUUUUUUUUGUGUUUUUUUUAGUCCAUUAAUUGUUUAACAAGAUUUCUAAGGUAUUUUUUAGGAGUUUUAAAUAACAAAUAGAUUAAAAAUAAGUUUUUAGAUAAAAAAAUAUAAACAUCAGUUUUCCCGCUACAACAAUGGAUGGAAUCUAGAAAUCUAGAUGACACAUUAUCUUUUUUAAAAAAAAAAAACAGUGUCUGACCCCUUAGCUUAGAAAAUAAAAGCCCUUUGAUUAGCAGGCUUGUCAAUGUCUAAUCUCAUUCUUUCUUUCUUUUUUAAUUAGUACCUUUUUUAUAUAAUUUUUUAUUUUAUGUUUUACUAAUACAUCAUCUAUUGUUUUGGCUUAUUUAGAAUUUUUUAAAAUGAAAAUAGUUUAUUUAAUUAUAUUGAUUGUAUUUAAUUUUUAAAAAGGUUGAUAUGAUUUAUCUGUAAUUUUUUAUAUAAAUAUUUAUAUAUGGAUUAAAUUUACCUUUAAAAAAUUAAUUAAUUAUUUAUUAUAAUAUUUUUAAUAUGUACAGCCUUGUAUAAUAUUUUUUUCUCUCUUAUUUUAUUUAAUAAAUCUUAUAUUCUGGACAUAUCAGUAUGGUUGGUUAGGUUUGGUUUUGGGGUGAAAAAAGAAAAAUCCAACCACAUCAAAUUAAAUGUUAUGGUUUGUUUUAAUUCAAUUCAUUUUUUUAUUAAGAAACCCAAUUUCAUUCUUGGGUUUUUUAGUUGAUUUUUGUAGAUAGACUCUGAUGUAAUAGGCAUGGUUGUUUUUGAGGUUUUUUUAGUUUUUUAUUUUAAAAAAGCAAUUGUUUGGUUUCAUUCAGUUUAAUUUUUUUUAAUCUCUUAAAUCUAAAGCCAAUUUAAGAUCUUUUAAAACUUUCUAAUCGGUUUUUUUUUUAAUUUUAUAUUGGUUUUUUUUUUCAAUUAAUUUUAUGAUAAGAAUCUCGUUAUAAGAAGUAAAAGGAAAAAAAAAAAAAAACAAUUACAUGUCGCAGCCAUGUUUUCACAUGGCCUCCGUAAAGUUCGAACAUUAACAUGGUCUCUAGACAAUAAGAACCUGUUUGUAAGUUUAGCAGAAUUAUUUUUUAAAAUAUUUUCUAGUUUAAAAUAUAUUAUAAUAAUAUCUAGUUAAUUAUUUUUAACAUCAAUAUAUUAAAACGGUCUAAAAAUACUAAAUAAUUAAUUAAGUUUUUUUAUAAAAAAAAACCGGUUCAACUACGGGGCUAAGGAUGUGUUUGGAAGUAUGGUAGUAGUAAUUUUUCAAAGUGAUUGUACUUGAAAAUGUAUCAAAAUAAUAUUUUUUAUUUUUUAAAAAUUAUUUUGACAUCAGCCCAUUAAAACAAUACUCACAAAAUUGAGCAUCAACCUAAAAAUAAACACUUAUUUGAGACAAUUAUCCCUCGAAAGCAAACAAAAAGUAAUAAUGCAGUUCAUUUCCUAACCAAUUCAAUGUUAAAUGAUAAAAUCAAAAUAUUAAAAAUAAUUAAAAGACAAAAAAAACAUAUUAUAAUGGUGGGUAAACUCGUCAAACUUGUGAAUCGGGUAAGUCGAGCUAAUAUGACAAACCUGUAAAUUGGAUCAUUGACUCCAUUGGAAUUAUAAUUUGUUUUUUAAAGCUAUUUUCUUAGUUAACUAUAUGAUAAUAAAAAUAGAUAAUUACAAAAUCAAACACCAACUUAAUACCAAAAUGUUUUUAGAUCAUGAUAACCUCAUAAAAUGUGAAACAAAACCAAUUAUGAAACUAAAUUCACAAUUAAUCCAGUAUCCAAGGAUGAAAAAAAAAACUGAUUUAAAAAAGUUAAUCUUGUCAACUAGCCAAAUAUAUCCAUGGAAUUUAUAAAGUUUAAUAACAUAAUUUUUUCUAAAAAUUAUUUUUUUAACUAUAUAAGGAAAAAAUAGACUAUAAAAAAGUCAAGUUUAAUUAUAAAAAAAAAACCCCACCAAACUUGUAAACUAGGGCAACUUAGAUUACCUAGCAAACUCACAAACCAUGUUAACCUUAUAGAAAUGUAAAAUAAAAGAAACAAAUUAUAAAGUUAAAUUCUCAACCAUCUCAAUAUUAAAAGAUAAAAUUGAUAAAAAAAAAAUUUGAGAAAAAAAUCAUAACAAAAAUUAAAAAAACAAAAACAAAAAUGAAAGAAAGCAAAACAUUAUGGAUUACUAUUGUCAUUCACAAUACAAUGUGUGUGGGUGAACAAUGAUUUUCUCACACCCUUUAAUUUUUGUUAUUUUAUAAAGUUUAAUAACAUGACUUUUCUCUAAAAGUUUUUUAAUUAUAUGAGAAAAAAAUAGACUAUUAAAAAAGUCAAGUUCGAUUUUAAAAAAAAAUACAACCCACCAAACUCGUAAACCAGGGAACCCUAGGGUACUUUGGCAAACUCAUAAACUACACUAAUCCCAUAUAAAGGAAAAAAAAACAAACAAAUUACGAAACUCAUUUCUCAACCAUCUCAAUUUUAAAAAAUAAUAUUGACAAAAAUAGAUUUUAAAAAAAAUCAUAAUAAAAUUUCAAAAAAAAAGAAAAAAAAAAGCAAGACACGGUGGAUUAUUAUUGUAAUACAUAGUGUAAUGUGUGCUGGGUAAACAAUGGUUUCCCCUACAUCCUUUAAUUUUUAUUACUUCAUAAAAUUUAAUAAUAUGGUUUUUCUCUAAAAUUAUACUAUAAAAAAGCCAAGUUCAAUUAAAAAAAAACCUCACCAAAUCCAUAAACUGGGGUACCCUGAGUUACCUCGACAAAAUCGCAAACCACAUAGAAAGAAAAAAUAAAAAGAAAAAAAAUUAAAUUUAAAUUCUCAACUAUCUCAAUAUUAAAAAUGAAAUCAAUAAAAAUAAUUUUUUUUAAAAAUCAUAUAUAAGAAAAACAAUGAAAAGGAAAACAUCAUGUGUUCAAGGGAAAAAAAAAACAAAUAAUAUGAGGAAAUAUUAUAGCAAUCUAUAAUGUUUUAUGAGAAUAAUUGCAGUGCUAUCCCCAUAUAUUUUAAUUUUUCUUAUGAUAAUAAUAAUUAUAGUCUCUCAUGUCUCACAACUUUAUUUGUUUUUCUUGAAUAAGUGCUAAUGUUCUUUGAGGGGUCCAAGCACCAUAUAUUGAAAGAAAGAACUAGUUCAAAUUGAAGCACUAUUAGUUUUAGAAGCACCAUGAAGAUUCAGGCGUGUAAAGAUAUCAAAGGCUCCUGCCACAUGUCAAAAGAUUAGAGAAUGAAAUUGUUAGAAUACUGUUAGUAACUGUUAGUAUUGUUUGUCAGUUAAGAGAAUUAGUUAGCAUUGUUUCAGUGAAAUAAAAAGAGAAUAGAUAACGUGCAUAACCUUUCUACUAUAGCAUAUAUAAACAUGUCAGAUAAGAGAACUGUAAUCAAUUAAUAAAAGAAUCAGUGCUAAAGUUCUUCUUCUUCUUCUUCUCUGUUUAACAGAAUCACUCUCUGCUUUUCUUCAUCUUUAUUCUCUGUUUUUCUUCAUCUCUAUUCCUUUUCUGUGUAAAUCUUACUGUCCUCACAAGGCCCACAUCUUGCUUAUAAUACCCAAGAUCCUAGCACCUUGUAUUUAUAAACGCUAGACACAGCUGCUGUUUCAAUGAAUAAUUCUCCACGCUAUUAUUGAUAAAUAUUGUGUGCUAUAUAUACAGCAGUGUGGAAAUUCAGUUUAGGAAAAAUAUAAAUGGUAAUGCUAAAACUAUGCUAUUACAAUAUACAGCUGCAGAAUUCAAGUUUGGAAUCGGCUCCAAAUAUAGCGUUAAUGGCAGAAUCUUUGCCAUGAUUUUCGGCUACACCUUCUCUGUUUUGAUUUGAGCAGAUUCUCUGCUAGUUUCCCUGAUAGUAUUUAAAUGAAAGAAAAAGAGAAGGGCAAAAGACUGCCAUGAGGCAACCUCAAGUAUCAUACACCUCUGUUUUUGUCCUUUUCAUUUUUCACGUGUUUCUCACAAGAAGCGAACAUAAAGUGCUGGAAGGAAUUUUUUGUUGCAGCGUGAGAUAAGUUUAACUCAUUGCAUUUUCAUAAAUUAAAGGGCUUUGUCUUCUUUUCUUUGUCAAUUACAGUGCAUGUAUAAAAGUUUUAUUGCUCAGAGUAAAUGCUAUUGUAAUGUUUUCGCAGAGACUCCCCUGCUUUGCAACCAAUUCACUUAUAUAUCUUGGAGCAUAGUCAUAGCCAUAAAUGGAAGGUUCUUCCGGUUCAAGAAAAUUAACCACGAAGCUCGUAACUAGAAUUUAGAGUGACCAAGGUCUUUUUCAAGAACAAGGGAAGUGUGCAAAAUGCAAAUAACGAAUCAAUACAUAAAUAAUUAAGUAAAAAGAGAGGACACAGAAGUAUAUCCUCAGACGAUGAAAAUACAGAAAGCCUAGCAUAUUAGAAAGAGCAUUUAUCCAUUUUCCCCCUUCUCUUGUAACAUGGACUGCUAAGAAAUCUAAUGUUUUGUUAUUGAUACGUGAGUUCAGUCUGAUUAUCUGUUGUGCAUACUGGACCGAAAGCAAACACAAAUAAAACACAAACAAGCAGAUUUACGUGGUUCCCCAAAACCGGGUACGUCCACGGAGGCAGCAGAUUGUAUAUUAUUGGAGGAAUGAUACAAACACUCAACUCAACCCAGUACAAUCCCACAAAACCCAGUGUUUCACUCUUACACUCGGUGUUUCUCUCAAAUCUGCACUCUUUCACUCUCACAGUUGCACUAUUUUCUUCUGCACACUUGCACUCACACUGCACUCUCUCGUUCCUCUCUUCUAUCUUCUAUCUUUCACACACAUUUACAGGAGAAAGGAAAGCAUAAAUAUAAUGGAUGAAAAGGAGAGGGUGGUUGAAAAGGAGAGAGUGGUUGAUGGUUGUUGAGAAAAAAUAUUGACAAUUAGCAAAUGUUGACAAUUUGCUACAAAUCUCCACCUUGGCAAGAUUUUUCCAUUCAAUCCUCGUGAACAAUCAAUGCUACCUCCAAUGCGUCAUAUGACGCUGCACCCUGAAGGUGCUCAACACCGAGAGAUGUUGACCAAGUCCAAACAAUGUUGGAACUUGAUCCCUGAGACACAUUUUGUGAGCAUGUCAGCUGGAUUAUAUGCGGUACCAAUCUUCUGUAGCAGAAUAUCCCCUUCAUCCACAAUUUCUCGAACAAAAUGAAAUCGAACAUCGAUGUGCUUGGUGCGGGAAUGAUGAACCUGAUUCUUUGCAAGACAAAUAGCACUUUGACUAUCACAAUGGACAUCCACGUGCUCUUGAACAAUUCCCAAAUCUUCAAUCAACCCAUGUAACCAAAUAGCUUCCUUGAAAGCUUCCGUUACUGCCAUGUACUCUGCCUCAGUUGUUGACAAAGCUACUGUUGAUUGUAACGUUGACCUCCAACUUACAGGCCCUUUAGCAAGUGUAAACACGUAGCCUGUUGUGGAACGACGUUUGUCUAAGUCACCAGCAUAGUCCGAGUCCACAUAACCAACUAAAUUUUGCCCAAGUCUAUCAUCCCUCUCAAACUUCAAACCAAUAUCAGUUGUGCCAUGAAUGUACCGUAGAAUCCACUUAACUGCCUGCCAGUGACCCUUUCCCGGAUCAUGCAUAUACCUGCUCACCAUACUGACAGCAUGUGAAAUAUCUGGUCUCGUACAAACCAUUGCAUACAUUAAUGCACCAACUGUAUUUGCAUAAGGAAUUUGAGCCAUAUGCUUGCGCUCUUCCUCUGUGCGUGGAGACAUUGAAGCACUUAGCUUAAAAUGAGGAGCUAAAGGUGUGCUUACAGGCUUGGUCUUACCAUCUACCCCAAAUCUCUGUAGAAUUUUCUUCAAGUAUUGGGUCUGUGUCAAACAGACUGUGCCUUUUCUUCUGUCUCUCUGAAUCUCCAUGCCAAGAAUCUUCUUAGCUUCUCCAAGGUCCUUCAUUUCAAACUCAGUGCUCAGUUGAGCUUUCAGUCUAUCAAUCUCCACCUUGCUCUUCGAUGCGAUCAACAUAUCAUCCACAUAUAAGAGCAAAUAGAUGAAAGAACCAUCAAGAAGUUUGCGAAAAUAUACACAGUGAUCAAACUGACUCCGUGUGUAUCCAUGUUCUGCCAUGAACUUAUCAAAUCGCUUAUACCACUGGCGAGGAGAUUGUUUCAAUCCGUAUAAUGACUUCUUCAGUUUACAAGCCCAAUUCUCUUUCCCAGUGACUUUGAAACCAUCUGGCUGAGACAUGUAAAUUUCCUCUUCCAAAUCUCCAUGUAGGAAGGCAGUUUUCACAUCAAGUUGGGCUAACUCCAAAUCAAACUGUGCAACCAAGGCUAACAGAAUACGGAUUGAUGAAUGCUUAACAACUGGAGAGAAUACCUCAUUAUAAUCUAUCCCCUCCUUCUGAGCAUAGCCUUUUGCUACCAAUCUCGCUUUGAAUCGGAUGUUGUCUUUUCCAGGAUUACCUUCCUUCUUGGCAUAUACCCACUUGCAACCAAUUGUCUUCUUUCCUUUAGGGAGUUGUACCAAAUCCCAAGUCUGAUUCUUAUGGAGAGAUUUCAUCUCUUCAUCCAUUGCCUCUUUCCAUUUUGCACUUUCUACACUCUGUACUGCUUCUUUGUAGGUGUAGGGGAUUCCAUCAUCAAUCACCGGAAGUGCAUAAGCCACCAUGUUACAAUACCGAGCAGGUUUCUUGAUAACCCUUUUUGGUUUACUCGUUGCAAUGGAUUCUUGUUGUGUGGUUGCUGGAGUUGUUGCAUCCUCUUCAUCUGAACUUUCAUCUGAAUCUCCUUCAGUAGAGAUUGUCUGAACAGUCUUUAUAGGGAUGACUGAAGUCUCCAACUCCACCUGUUGUGCAUCACCAGACUGUUUUUCCUUCUCCUGUGAUUUCUCUUGCUGUAACAUGCCAGACUCAUCAAAAGUGACAUCUCUACUCAAGAUCACUUUCUUUGAUUCAGAACACCAGAGUCUGUAGCCUUUUACUCCUCCACUAAAGCCCAAAAAUAUAGCUUUCUUGGCUCUAGGAUCUAGCUUGGACUCAGUAACAUGAUAAUAUGCUGAGCAACCAAAUAUACGCAUAGAGUCAUAAUCAUUUGCAGGAGAGCCUGACCAUACCUCUAAGGGGGUUCUUCCAUUUAAUGCUGCUGAAGGUAACCGGUUAACAAUAUGACGAGCAUAACUUAAUGCCUCGCCCCAGAACACUUUGCUUAGUCCCGAAUGUGAUAGCAUACAUCGGACUUUCUCCACCAAUGUGCGGUUCAUGCGUUCUGCUACUCCAUUCUGUUGUGGUGUUUUGCGAACAGUAAAAUGUCGCUUGAUCCCUUCAUUCUGACAAACUUCAAAGAAAGGAUCUGAAGUGUACUCACCACCAUUAUCUGACCGAAGAGUCUUAACCCUCCUUCCAGUUUGAGUCUCCACCAUUUUCUUCCAUUUCAGAAAGAUAUCAAGGACCUCAUCCUUGUGUUUCAUCAUGUACACCCAUACUCGUCUUGAGAAAUCAUCAAUAAAAGUAACAAACCAACGAUUACCUCCAAGAGAUUCAUUCUUUGAAGGUCCCCAUACAUCUGUGUGAACAUAAUCUAGGAUCCCUUUUGUGUUGUGUACUGCAGUGCCAAACUUGACCCUUGUCUGUUUUCCAAGAACACAAUGCUCACAGAACCCAUGCUUCCCAGUCUUGGCGCCUUUUAAUAGACCUUGCUUGACUAAUCCUUGCAAAGCCUUUUCACCAGCAUGCCCUAAGCGCAUGUGCCAAAGUCUGGAAUUAUCUGCUUCAUCAUCUUCUAUACUUUUGGAAACAGCUGCUGUACCAGUAACUGUAGAUCCAUCCAGGAAAUAUAAGUUUCUUAUCCUCGUGCCUCUUAAGACAACUAAUGCACCACGAAUUGCUUUCAGGACUCCACCAUGCAUGAUAAUCUUAUAACCACUGGAUUCUAGGACUCCAAGUGAGAAGAGAUUUUUCUUCAAGUCAGGUACAUACCGUACAUCUGUUAGUGUCUUGACUACCCCAUUAUGCAUCUUCAGAUGGAUAGUCCCAAUCCCUUUGAUCUCACAAACAUCAUCAUUACCCAUCAACACAACUCCUCCAUCGAACUCCUCGAGUCUCGAGAAUAAGUGCUUGUUAGGGCACAUGUGAUAGGAACAUGCAGAAUCAAGAAUCCAUUCACCAGAAUGGUUUUCUGGUGAUGAGACCAUGAAUGCAGAGUCUCGUUCAUCCUCAUCCCGUGCAACGUUCACAGUUGGUUCAUCUUUUUCCUUGUUGCCCUUGAUUGGACAAUCUUUCUUCCAGUGCCCUUUUUUGUGACAAAAGGCACACUCAUCUUUUGCAAGAUAUCGUCUGUUUGAUGAUUCUCCUCUGGAUUUUGAGCGAGAUCUCCCUCGCCCUCGAAAUCUUCUGGGGUUUGUUCUGCCUCUAACUGUCAAUGCUUCUGACGUUGACUCCUUGUGAACAAUCUGGUCCUUCUUUCGGUACUCAUUAUUCACCAAAGCAUUGGACACAUCAAUGAAUUUAAUCUUUUCUUUACCAUACAGUAAAGUGGUGACGAGAUGUUCAUAUGUGUCAGGCAGUGAAUUCAAUAAUAGCAGAGCUUUAUCUUCAUCAUCAAUUUCCACAUCUAAAUUCUUCAAAUCAGCUAUCAUUUUAUUGAAAUCAUUUAGAUGCUCAUUCAUAGAAGUACCUUUCUUGUGCUGAAAACGGAAGAUCCUUUUCUUCAGGUAGAGACGAUUCUCUAUACUCUUCUUCAUAAACUUGUCCUCCAGUGCUUGCCAUAAUUCCUUUGCAGAGUUUUGUUCUGAAAAGGCGUACUUCUGAUCCUUUACAAGACAAAGUCGGAUGGAACUGCAGGCCAACCGAUUUAUCCUUUCCCAGCUUUUAUCAUCCAAAUCCUCCGGUUGAUCUUCUAAAGUGAAAUCCAAAUUCAUUUGGACAAGCAUAUCCAUGACUUCACAUUUCCACAUGCCAAAAUUACCUUUCCCAUCAAACUUCUCCACCUCAAAUUUGGUAUUCGAUACCGGGAUGUAUUGUGGAGGUAUACUAGCAUUCCCCGCUGAUUUUUCUUCUGGAAUAUCAGCCAUUAGGACGUCUUUGGAUUACAAAUGGACUCCUGAAAUUGUUAAAACACGCACUUUUAUGCUCAAAAGAGCCAAAACAGUAACUUCGGUGUGCUGUUUCACAAAACGGACAUCACGGUUGCGUCCGGAAUGGUUGAAAAUGCUAGGAACCAACUUGACUCGGCCAAAAAACAGGUCAAAAAUCACUGAGUUGGCCAAAAAACCAAUCUGACCGAGUUGACUCAGGGAAGGAAUAUUCUGUCUCUGAUAAAGAAUAUUCUGUCACGGGAAUAUUCUGUUACUGGUAACGGAAUAUUCUUAUUCUGUCAAGAGAAUAUUCUGUCACUGUUAGAUGACAUGUCUGAUGACGUGGCUGAUGACAGGGCGAUGUGGACCCUCUGUUGAUGACGUGGAUGAUGACUCAGCGCCUACGUGUCGGAUGACGUGGCUGUCUUCUCAGGCGAGAAUUCCGGCAAUGACUGGUUUUUCCGGCAGAUUUCCGGCGAAACUUCGGCGAGCUCUACAGGGCUCGUUUCAACUCCGAUUUCGAUGAUCUUUAUAUCGCCGGACUCGUAUGGACGAGAGGAAUCUCCUCAGCUGGUCAAAAGCAAGAUCUGAGAACUUUGAAAAUUCUGCAACUUUGAACAGAGAGCUGAAAAACGUGUUUUUUCAGUGUUCUAGCUUCCCUAAUGCUCUGAUACCAAUUUGUUGUGCAUACUGGACCGAAAGCAAACACAAAUAAAACACAAACAAGCAGAUUUACGUGGUUCCCCAAAACCGGGUACGUCCACGGAGGCAGCAGAUUGUAUAUUAUUGGAGGAAUGAUACAAACACUCAACUCAACCCAGUACAAUCCCACAAAACCCAGUGUUUCACUCUUACACUCGGUGUUUCUCUCAAAUCUGCACUCUUUCACUCUCACAGUUGCACUAUUUUCUUCUGCACACUUGCACUCACACUGCACUCUCUCGUUCCUCUCUUCUAUCUUCUAUCUUUCACACACAUUUACAGGAGAAAGGAAAGCAUAAAUAUAAUGGAUGAAAAGGAGAGGGUGGUUGAAAAGGAGAGAGUGGUUGAUGGUUGUUGAGAAAAAAUAUUGACAAUUAGCAAAUGUUGACAAUUUGCUACAUUAUCUGCGUAAAAUAUCUCUGGAGAUGCUUUCGAUGGAGAUUAGGUCUCAAAACGCUAUGCCCACUGCCCCCAUGGAUCCAGAGCGUGAAAAUGAAGCCGAGCAUUGAAUUUCUAAACAUCAUUUCCUUUUGUUUUAUAUUUCGCAUUGUUACCAAACUCUUUUACAUUUUAUUGCUGCAUAUAUUGCUAUGUAUAUACCAUGCUUUAAUCAAAACCUAUAAUGCAGGAAUAUCUGCAGAUGGCCAUUCCCAAAGGGAAAACUAAUCUUCCCUAGAAUAUUACAAAGUGCCAUUUCUACAGUGAGAAUAGCGUUUCGUUUUGGUUGUUUUGUUGAUGAUAACUAGAUCUUAAAACUAAUCCCUGUACUUUUACAUGAUGCUAUAAACUGGUCCCUUUUAUUAGUAAAAUGUUGAGCCAGUCAAUUGAUUAUUUAAAAAUCUUGAGGGAUUAAUUUGUUUGUUUCACAAAAAAAGACACUGAUUAAAUAAAAAAAUUAUCAUCAUAUGCAUGAGUGUUUACUUGUCCAACAACAGUUUGCAAGGGGCAGAUCCUUGGAUGGAUAUUAGAGGUGAGCAAAAAAACCAAUAAACAGAUUAAACAAAGAAAACAAAAAACAAAUAACCGAAAAAACCGAACCGAAAAAAAACUGAAUUAACUGAUUAAAAAAUCACAAAAAAAUUCCGGUUCGGUUUGGUUUCGGUUUCUAAAGUCUGAAACAGAUUGAACCAAACCGGUUAAACCAUGCCAGCACUUAAAAAAAAAAAGUAUAAAUAUGAUGUUUUUUCUAACACUAAACCUAAAGUAACAUUCAGUCGCGACCCCCGCCCCCCCUUCCCUUUGCUCUCUACAUCUCUUCUCUUUGAUUUUUCUUCAUGCUCCACAAUUGUUACUUGUUAAGCUCCUGCUCCAUGCUCCUAAAGGUCCUAAACCAACGCCCCCCCCCCCCCUUCUCUGCCUCUCAUCAUCUUCUCACAACCCCUCCUUUUUUCUCCCUUUUUCUCUCUGCCUCUCAUCUCUCCCCGUAGCCCCCCCUCCUUUUCUCUCUAUCUCUCAUCUCUGCAUCUUAUCUUCUCCACUUCAAGUUUGUGGGCACUGGGCAGAUAAAAAAAAGAGAUGGCUUUUUGAUGAUUAAGAUUCUAACUCCACUUCAAGUCCAUCCCUGCAUCUUGUGGGUUUUUGCUUUUUUUUUAUUAUGCUAUAAUUUGCUUGUAGUUUGUGGGCAAAUAUGUUUUUCAAAUAUGUCUUGGUCAUGUAAAUUGGAAUAAGUUUCUGAAUAACAAAAAUGAGAUUUGCUUUUCGGUUUUAUCGGUUGUCAUAACCCAAUUUUUUACCCUUUUAUUUUAAUUUUAUGAUAAAAAGAAAAAAUGAUGAAAAAAUAUAUAUAUAUAAUAAUGAUGAAAAAAAUAAAAAUGAAAUAAAUGAAGAAUGAAUUAAAAUUUGGGUUAAUGGCAACAUGAUUGGACGCUUAAAGAUUUAAUUUUUGACUUGUCUAAUUAAUCAAAUCAAUUGUUUAAUUGGAGAAUUGAUAAGUUUUGGGACUUAAUUAAGCUUGAAAUUAAUUUAAUUAAUCCAAUCAAGGGUUUAAUUGGAGAAUUGAUAAGUUUUGAGACUUAAUUAAGCUUGAAAUUAAUUUAAUUCAUCCAAUCAAGGGUUUAAUUGGAGAAUUGAUAAGUUUUAAACUUAAUUGGACUUUGGAUUUAAUUAAAUUAAUGAAAUCAGGGACUUAAUUGAAGAAAUAGCAAAGUUUGGGGUUAAUUGGGAGUCCCAAUUGUGAAAUUAAAAUCCAAGGAUUACAUUGAAAAAGGCGCGCAAAUGCAGGGGGCCAAUUACAGUUUAAACCAGGGGUUUAAUUACAAGACUUUCAAAACUGCAUGGAUCAAAACGAAAAAUGGCCGAACGACGUCGUUUUGAAGAUGUUGUUCAUCUUCUUCUCCUUUAUGCCAGUGACCGUUUCCGCAGUAAUGGAGGGAGGAACAUUGCAGCAGUAAUCGUCGUCCGUUGGCUUCAGUUAUGAGCGCCUUAAUGGUGGCCGACUGUUAGCCUACCGCCCGUUAUCAACCCGCCAAGGCCUAUAUAAACCGAGCAGCACCGAAGAGGAGCGAGGUUAGAGGGAGAGAGAGAGAGAGAAAAGAAACCGAAAAGAAGAGAAACACAACCAAAGCACACAAUUUUUAGGUUCAUCUCCAGAACUCCCAUACCAGAACUAGGCUUCCCUCACCAGUUCUGACUUAAGAAAAACGAGAGAGAAAACCGGCCGAAAGAGAGAGAGACGGUGUUCUGAAAAACAGAGCAAAAGAAACGAAGAAAAAUAAACCAAAACAGAGACGCAGGAAAGGAAUACAACAUGAAAACCAGAAGGAGUAAGAAGAAAUUCGAAGGCAGAAGCGUCGUCCUCAGCAAUCACGAACAAAUUCCCUGCAAACGAACCAGGUAAGUCUUCUGCUCUGUUUCCCUCGCUUUGCCUUAUUUCAUUUUCGACGUCCGUGUUUAAUUCAAUAACAGGGCCAUGUACGCGUGAUUUAGAUCACGCGUGCCUAGUGUGGCCCAGCCAGGUCACUGGCUUGGGCCAGUGACCGGGCUGGGCUGGCUGGGUCUAGCCCAGCCCAUGUGGGCUGAGCUGGGCACAGCCCCAAAAACAUAAAAAAUAGAAAAAUAGAAAAAUAGAAAAAAAAUAAUAAUAAUAAAAAAAUAAAAAAGUAAAAAAGGUAGAAAAAAUAAAAAAUGUGUAUGCAUAAAUAAAAAUAAUAUGAAUUUAUUGGUGUAUUCAUUGACGCCAGAGUCAGGAAUAAAAAUACCGGUUUAAAUUUAUAUUAUUUUUAUUCAUUGUAUUUUAUUUUAUUUAGCUAGAAAAUAAAAAAAUAUGUGCAUGUGUAAAAAAUAAUUUUUUUUAUGUGAAUAUUCACUUGCGCCAGAGUCAGGAAUAUUAUAAGAAAAUUAUCAUAGCAUAAACUAAUAAAUAUUUAGCAAUUUAAGACAAAACUAGCAAUGCAGUCUGCCUCAGGCAGAACGUUUAAGGGGUGAUAAUAUCUUCCCUUUUACGUAAUCAAUCCCGAGCCAUAGAAUCUCUGAUGACCAGUUAGGGUUCCUAGUGACCGUAAUACUAGGUGGCGACUCCUUAUACAAGACCUUUUCCCCUAAAAGAACAAGAUGCCAGAAAUCUGUUCUUUUUUCACAAUCUAGAAUUAUUUGUGGGCCGCCGUGAUGUCGGGUGCGACAUCGGUUUUUGAACAACAAAAGUCGAACCGAACCGAACCGAAACCAAUAAAUUUGAACCGGUUUCGGUUCGGUUUUGAUUUUAAAUUUUAAAAUUAAUAAUGUCGGUUUGGUUAAUUUUUUCAUGUAAAAAUUGAACCGAACCGAACCGAAAAUGAUCACCCCUAGGGAAUAUGUCUUCUCUUGAAUUCUUGAACCUAUCAGGGGACAAUUUCUCUGGUCUUUUACUGCCUAGAUUCAGCAAUUCCUCAAAAUUGAGAUAUGUUUAUUUGUCUAGAAAUAAAUUGCAAGGACCAAGCGCAAUAAAAUUUUAUGAUUCCUUUGAGAUAUUAGCCUUAGAUCUUUCCCAUAAUGAUUUAACUAGUAGGAUUCCAGAAUGGAUUGACAGGUUAUCUAACUUGAGAUUUCUACUUUUGAUUUAUAACAAUCUUGAAGGUAAAAUCCCAAUUCAAUUAUGCAAGUUCGACCAAUUAACCUUGAUUGAUCUAUCUCACAAUUAUCUUUCUGGUAACAUCCUCUCUUGUAUGAUAUUUACUCAUCCUUUCCCUAUUCAAUACAAUUCUCGUGAUUUUGUGUCCUUAUCACAACAACCUUUCGAGUUUACAAUGAAGAAUGUAUCUCUUUUUAAUAGAGGCAACAUUAUCUGGAAUUUCACUGGAAUUGAUGUCUUAUGCAACAAUUUCACAGGAGAGAUUCCCCGUGAAAUUGGAAGCCUCAGCAUGAUCAAGGUAUUGAAUCAUUCCCACAACAUUCUAACUGGACCAAUUCUAUCAAUAUUUUCAAACUUAAAGGAAAUAAAGAGCUUGGAUCUUUCCUACAACAAAUUGGAUGGAAAAUCCCAUCUUGACUAUAGAAUUUUUCAGUGUGGCACACAAUAAUCUGUCUAGCAAGACUCUUGCAAGAGUUGCACAAUUUGCCAUGUUGAAGAGAAUUGCUACAAGGGCAACCCUUUUCUUUGUGGAGAACCGCUACCCAAAAUAUGUGGUGCAGCUAUGCCACCAUCACCAAUGCCAACUUCAACGAACAAUGAGGAUCAUGGUGGCUUCAAUAAUCUGUUUGAAGAGAGCUGCUACAAGGACAACCCUUUUGCAUGUGAGCUUUAAGGUUGCAUAGAUCAUGGUGUUGUUGGUGAUAGGUGCAAUUCUGUACAUAAAUUCAUAUUGGUGACAAGCUUGAUUUCACUUUAUUGAGGUGAGCAUCAAUAAUUACUAUUAUUUUCUUGUGGAGAAUCUUUCCAUUUUAUCUAAGUUUGGAUUUUCAUAGCCUUUUAUCUUGAUGGUACUAAGCCUUGGUGCAUUGUUUUGGAUUUUAGUUUCAAGAUUUAAAUAAGUUUAUAUUGAUUUUCAUAUGAGUUUUGUUUUUGUUUUUAGCUUCUAUGUGAUAUAUAAUAAUCAAGUUUUUUUUUUUUUUUAAAGGUUAUCUAAGUUUUUUUAGCUGUUUUUUUUAUGCUUUUUAGGAUUUUUUUUUUUGCUUUUUUCUUUAUUUUUUUUAAUUAAUUUUUUUCGUUUAGUUUAGUUUGUUAAUGUUAAAUUUCUUUCUAUUUAGUUAUUAGACUUUCAUGACACAUAUCUCGAGUUUCACGGGUUAACCUGGUUUCACGGGUGAACCCAGUUAAUUCCGGGUUGACCCGUCAAUUUUUUAUUAUUAUUAUUUUCAUAAAUAUUUUUUUUUAAUUUAGUUUGUUAAUGUUAAUUUUUUUUUAUUUAGUUAUCAGACUUUCAUGACACAAAUACUGGGUUUAACAGAUUAACAUGGUUUGACGAGUUAACCCGAAUUUUUUUUCUUUUUAAUUAAUUUUUUUUGUUUAGUUCAGUUUGUUAAUAUUCACUUUUUUUUAUUUAGUUACCAGACAUUCAUGACACAGAUCCCGGGUUUAACGGGUUAACUUGGUUUGACGAGUUAACAUGAAUUUUAUUUUAUUUUUUGCUUUUUUUUUCUUUUUAAUUAUUUUUUUUCGUUUUGUUUUGUUUAGUUUGUUAAUGUUAAAUUUCUUUCUAUUUAGUUUUUUUUCUUCUUAGAGGUUUUUUUUCUUUUAUUUGUUAUUUUUAAUUAAUUUUAUUUAAUUAAUUUAGUUUAUUAAUAUUAAAUUUUUUUCUAAGUAGUUCUCGACUGAUGCCUUUAGUUUUUUUUUUAUGCCUUUGACUGUGAACUGCACAGUGCAGUCCACUGUGAAAAGGCUGAUGCUUUUUUUUAAUUAAUUUUUUUUGUUUAAUUUAAAUUGUUAAUGUUAAAUUUUUUUCUAUUUAGUUAUCAAACUUUCAUUACACGGAUUCUGGGUUUGACAGGUUAACCUGGUUUGACGAGUUAGCCUAGUUAAUUCUGGGUUAACCCAUUAAUUUGUUUUUUUCUUUUUAACUAUCAAGCUUUCACGAUGCAAAUUCAAUGUAUGACGGGUUAACCUGGUUUGAAGGGUUAACCCAAUUAAUUCAUUUUUUUUUUCAUUAGUUUUUUUUUCCUGUUAGUUUUUUUUUAACUAAUUUAUUAAAUUAUCACACUUUUAUGACACAACCUUGCAGCCAGACCCAUGUCCAAUGUUAUUGGGUCUGGUAUUGCAAUCCAGACAUUUUUAUGCUAAGGGUUAACCCAAGUUUAAUGUUAUUAUUAAUAUUAUAAACAUUACUCUUAGAUCAGGCGUUGCAACCAAACCUGAGACUCUUGGGUAUAACUUUGUAAAAAAACCUAAUACUUUUAGAUCUUAACUAUUUUUAAAAUGCAAAAAAUAAUUGACCUGCGGCAUCGCGCGGGGCAUGUAACUAGUAGAUUACUAAAGGGGAUCGAUUUUGAUUAUGAUUUGGUGUGGGAAAUUCUCUGCGUGCCUACAUAGAGUGUGGCUUCUUGAAACUCCAAAAAAUAUAUAUAGGUGUUUGCCUAAACCAGUAUUGGGCAGAUAAAGAUAAGCCAGGAUUGCCGAGGAAGAGGCUGUUCAGGUAGUCCGAACAGGGAUCUAUAAUCAUUAGUUAUAUAAUCAACCCUAAUCAGAAUUUCCCAAGAAAGAAUUAACUAAAGACUUCAGUUAAUGCUGAUGAACACGAGUAAAGGAUUUGCUAAAGACAAAACCAUGUAUUUAAGAACCAUUGCUAAGCUACAGGUUCUGGAGCCACAAACCACUCACAUUUACUGGGGUUGAUCCCAAAUUGAGACAAAUCUAUUUGUCCGGUUCGGAGAACCUUCAAACAAAAAGAAGAGUUAAACCUUGUAAAAUUGACUAUAUAUCAUCAAAAGGACAAGAAACACACAGGAAACCUCAUAAUUACCUCAGAAUGCACCGACGUAAAACACACAGGAAAUCCCAACACAUCAUAAGACAACAAAAGAAAACAUAUAUUUAGCAGAAUAAAAAGGUUGUACAAUUCUUUCACAGCUUACAGUACGUAUAGAAUAAGCAUUAAUAAUUACCUUCAUCUGGAUCACCCGAACUACCUGCAACAUGUAUCAUCACAUCACGCGGGCCACCCUAAGUACAACAAACAAGGAUAUGGUCACUUGCACUAUCUAAGCAGAACACACCUCCAGCACCAAUAUUACUCAGGAUUCUUUGCAAGUCUUCCAAUUUCACUGGUUCUGAUGAAGAGUUUACAUCACUCAUUACUUCUGCACCAAGGUCUGGGACAACUGAGUUUCCAGUCCUGAGAGCGAUGAGCAAAAAUCUCAUCGGAAUAAAAGAAAAUGGCCACGUAAUAUAUACCUGGCCAUUUGUUUUUGGUAACAAAAGUGCUCCUUAACCUUUUUGAAGUUAUUUUAGAAUGAAUUACAAGCAUUAAACAUUUAUAUAUAUGGACAAACACCGAGUUUAUGCAAGUCUGUGCAAGGGCAAUAUGGGGUGAAGGAUUUGACAUGGGCUAAGGUGGGUGAGAUGUUUUUGUCAAGAAAUGAUUUUGGAAAAUUUCUUGAUAUUUCAUGAAUAAAUAAGAUAUGAGUCUUUAUCAAGGAAAGAACAUAGGCUCUCCAAGAUGAUUGACCAGAAGGAGAGAAGGGAGGCUCAUUCUGCUCCACUGACUCUUAGUCUCAAAGAACAAAAAAUUACAUAGCUCUAUAUCCUUACUCUUACUUGCUAUAUCAACUCUUAGAGUUGAAGUAUCAUCUUUGACUAUGCUUCUUUGUUAUAAUAAAUAUACCUUGAUGAGAUAUUAUCUUCAAGCAUGUCUUCAAAAACUUGGAAAGGAGUAGAAGCAUCAGGCUCUUCUUCAUCAACUACACCAAAUUGUUUGCAUUUAAGAGAUCGGGGGAGGGGGGCAGAAGAUUAGACUUUGCAUUUAAAUAUAAGCCAAGAUGAUUAGGAACAAAAUAAUGACGAGUAGCAUGGCUAACAAAGGACUCAAAACACAAAAUUGUUUACCAAAUGGACGAUUAAUAUAAUAGUUGAAAGAGCUACAUAAUUGUGAAUCAUCUUUAGCUUUUGGCUCCUGCAAACAUGUUACACAAUUUUCCAAAAUCAUGCAGCUAACAGCUGAGUCAAUGUUACACAUAAGAGAGUGAAAAACGCAGAAAGUGAACCUGACCUGCACCCAAAUGAAAAACUUUCGAUCAUCUGUAUUGAAUUUCAAGAUGUAAACUCUUCCCAAAGCUUGAUUAACCUGAAUAACCCAAGGAAUUAUGAAUCUAUGAUAUUACAAUCAAUUAUUAGAGUCAAAUAUCUUCCAUCUAAGAAAAAACUAGGAGAGAAAAGUGUACCUUCUCAAAAACAGCAUCUUCAGAAAAAAAUAAUAUGAUCCUGUCAAUCAACGCGUCAAGAAAAAGCUACCAAAGUUCUCACCUCAAAAGAAUAUUAACAAAACAAACAACAGAAAAAAAAAUAAAAACCAAAGUUGGAAGGGAGAAACAAAAUCCCCAGGCUCAAAAACAUAAUAAUAACUAGGAUACAUCUUCCACAGCAUUCAAAUUCCUAUCAAGCCACUGGAAAUGAAGCAAACCCUCAUCACCCUGGAACAAUUCAAAAAUUUCGACUUCAAACAGGAAACAAGAUGCUAGAAACACUCUAUCUAGUACUUAAGAUAAACCAAAACAAUAGAAUUAACUAAAAAUCUUUACACAGACACGAACUCUAUAUAACACAAAAAAAAAAAACCAAAAGACACCAGUUUACCCUUCCAAUGCGAACAAGUCCUUUUCGAGAAUCAGGAACAAACUUUUUUCCAACGAAAACCAUUUUACCAGCACGAAACUCCAACAUAAUUUCCUACCAACAAAACAACCACAACACCAUAACAUAACCCCACCAAGAAAAACAUACUUGUACAUCCAACAAAGCAAUUACAGGCUCUAAUUAAAAAGAAACAGAGAUUUUAAGCAAAACCCACAAUUUUAAAAGUGAUUUUAUUUACCUGCAUUGCUGAAAUAUCUACAGUUGAUGAAGAACCCAUUUUUCGCAUACUUCCUCUAAAGCUUCCUUUUUUUCAACACUGCAAAAAACAAAAAACAAAAAAAAGAAGGACAAAUCAAAUACCCAAAUCAGAAACAAUAACAGAAAAAAAAUAAAAGAAAAUCCAAAGCUGGAAGUUGUAAUCAGGAGGAGAACCAGACAAUUUCAGAUAGAAUGACAUUUUAUCAAGAAUUGAACUGGGCAUUCAGUUAAUUAAAUAGGUUGUAAUCAGGUGAGAGUAGUGUCAACAACAUGUUUAGUUUUCCUCUCGGAAGUGCCAUUCUGCACAAGUCAGUGUUUUAAAAAUAUUUUUAAAAAAAUUUUAAUUUGUUUUUUUAGUGGUUUUAAUUUAUUUUCAUGUAUUAAUAUUAAAAAUAAUUUUAAAAAAUAAAAAAUAUAUUAUUUCAAUUUAUUUUAAAAUAAAAAAAACUUAAAAAAUACUGUUAACACAGUAUUAAACAAACUCUAAUCCUAUAACCAGAUGAACAACGUUAAGAUAUUUGUUUUUUGUUUUUCUUUUUUUUGAUAAUGAGACUGUCGUAAACAAUCUUGCCUAAUGAUUGUUAAGAAAUGAAAGAGGCAAUGCAUGGCUAAACCAAUGGAAGCUAAAAAGCUAAUGUUAUCCCUAGUAAGCAAUUGUUGCCGCAAUGACAUAUGCCUCGUUAGAGAUAUAUUUGAAUUUACAUAUUAUUAUUAUCAUAUAUUUUGUAUUGUCGUUUAAAAAAUAAAUAUUUUCCUUAUAUAGAGUAGAAUGUUUUUAAUUUUAUCAUUUAAAAUUUAUAUAUUUUUUAAAAAAUUAAUACAAUAUACAGUUAAUUAAACAUCUAUAAAUUAAUAUCAUUGAGAACAUGAAAUUUAUUAAUUAAUUAAGAUGUUAUUUAGUAAAUAAAUUUAUACACUUAUACAUUAAUCAAUAAAAAAUUUUCUUUUUCAAAAACAUUGAACUCAAUACAUGCAUCGUGUAUAAUAUUAUCUAAUCAUCAAAUUAUGAAUUAUCAUAAUUCUAUAUAUUUAUUUAAAUAAAACAAGUUCAAGAAUUAAUGUAAUCAAUCUUAUUAAUUAAUAAAAUUCAUGUAUGUAUUAACAUACAAGCAAAAAAUCUAUAAAAAGAAUAUACAAGUGAGCCAAACAACAAUAUAUAUUAAAAACGAACAAGAGGUCGAAUUAAUAUCCAUUAACUAAUAGUAAAAUUAAGAAGAUGAUACCAAAGAGACACAAAAUCACAAAAAAGCAUUUAACAUUUCAGAGAAAGAAGCCUGCAACACCCAUUAAGGAAAAGAGAGAAGGGAAAGAAAUGUGGAUUAAUUCAUACAGAGGCUCACCUUGUUCCAGACCAGCGCGAGACUGUAGACGAACCAAGAGCAAAAAAUGCAGGAGAGAUAAUCAUGAGAGAAACAAAUUCAUAUAUCCACGAAUAUGUACAAUAUUUGAAACCUAUAAUGCAAGAAUAGCUGCAGAUGUACAUUAAUAUUUUUAAUUUAAAGAAUCAAUUAAUUAUUUAAAAAACUUGAGGGAUUAAUUUGUUUGUUUCACAAAAAAUAGACACUGGUUAUAUAAAAUUUUACUUAAAUUUUUAUCAUCAUAUUUUAAAAGAAACCAGUUUAUGUUUUGCGCAACACGAAAAAUCAUAUAUGCUUAAGUAACUAUUUGGCAUCUUAAACUCAAUUUAGUAAAUUAAUUUUAAUUUUUUUCUAUCCGGCUCUUUUCCUAUAUCAAAUUUAAAAUUAACCAACAUAAAAAUUAUCCUCAAAUGAUACAGUCAAUAUGAUAGGUUUACAAAAAUAUAUUAAAUUGAUUCUAAUUUCAUGGCUUAACUCUUCAAACCCACUACUCGAAUAAUAGACUCCAUCUAGUUGUAAUUAUUAUUUUGUUUUUUAAUUAUUUUUUAUUGAAUAAUAUGAUAACAAUAUCAAUUCAAAAUCAACUAAAUAUUAAAGGAUAAAAUAAAAAAAAUAAAAAAAAUUCAAUAGAAAAAAAAAGGAGAAGAAUGGUAGAGUUUAAAAACAAAUAAACAAUAUGACGUCAUUGUUAGAGCACCUGAAAUUACUGUUCCUUUUUACUAUAAUGAUGAAGUUUCCACAUAAUAUAAAACAUGCUUAUAAAUUAAUAACCGAAAUAAAAAUUAAAUUGAGACGACAAUCAAUUCUUUAACUUUAAAACGAUUUAUUAACAAUAGAAUUGAGAAGGCCCGCCACAGAUCAAGAGGACAGCUUCAAUGAAGCCAUCCCAGCCAAUGCAGGUGAUUACCCGUCGGUUGAAGUCUCAUCGCGCGCCUAGCACCAGCCAAACCGCCUCAAUCUGAACAUGCACCAGACAAAGUUCAUGAAAAGACGCCAGGGAGCCUCAGCAGCUGAGAAGAAAGUGCGGGAACACCCACCGCACGAGAAGAAACGUGAAAAGCAGAGAGGGAGCGCGGUAAAGAUUGUCAAGCCACGGGAUUCACACACAGUGCACCGAGUUUUAAUGAGCACUCUUAGUUUUUUUUUAUAUAUAUAUAUAUAAAAUUCUUUUAGUUUUAGUUUUAGUUUUAGUUUGUUAGUUAUGAACAGUGAAGCAGCACCAGAAUACAGUUCUUUUAGUUUGUUAGCGAAUCUGGAAAAGAAUAAAGUCAUCUGUCAAGCUCUGUUCACUUUGGUCCGACAUUCCUCACCUCUCCCCACCUGAGCUCUCUCUCUUUCCCUCCUCCGCUUUCAGAAACCGCCGCCGCCACCACCUCAACCAAUAAGGCUUCAAAUCUCACCCAGAUGCUUCCUUUUCUAUUAUGUUUUUGUUUUUUAAAAUUUACGUCUGCUUUUUCAUUUAUUUAAUUGAAAUUACUAUCCAGAGAGAGAAAUUCGAUUUUAAUAAGUAAAUUAAAAAGAUAUAUAAUCGAACCCGAUGAAAUCGCUGCUCGUGAACGCAACUCGAAGAAAGGCGCAAUCAGCCGACUAUACUAUGGGUGGAGCAUUUAAUAUGGUCAGGGUUAUUGUGUUGUCUAUUCAAAGAAAGAUGUGCCUGUAAAUUUGUUAAGUUGAUUCUUAUCAGUCUACUCUUUAGAGUUGAUGAUAACAUGAAAUACUCGUUGUUAAUGCUCGUUGUUUUCUUCUUCUUUUUUCCUAGAUUAAAACAUCCUAGACAAUCUCUUUGGGAUGGUUUAGUAUUUCUGGCCUCUUCAUCUUCUAUUUGUGCUAUGGUUUUUAGUCUGCUGAUAUUGUUGAUAUUCAUUGGGGAUUGAAAGGCCUCGUUUUAUGACUUUGUUUUGUCUUCUUCUUAUUUCUUUAUUCUUUUGGGGAUGCGGCAUUUUCCUCUUUCAGAGAAAUAAAUAUAUACAUAAAUAACAAGAACAGGACGGGAAGGAGAGGGGGUUUUGACAAUAAGUAUUUGCUUAGAAGGGAAUGCUUCUUUGGUUUAGAAGCACCAUGAAGAUUCAGGCCCAAAUCUUUGCUUAGAAUGCCCGAAAUAAAUAUAUCACACACUUCUUUUUUUGUUUUUUGUUUUUCAUCUUUUCAUGUGUUUCUCACAAGACGUCACUUUCUUGCUUUUCUUUCGAGAGAGUAUUUGAUCCUUUUUUUGUAUAAAAUAAUGCUGCCAUUCAUUGAAUUUCCAAACAUCUUACCUUUUGUUUUGUUUGUCGCAUUGUUAUCAAACUCUUUUCCAUUUUAUUGCGGCAUAUUGCUACGUGUAUGGCAUGCUUUAAUCAAAAAGUUGAGUAAUUGAUGAAUGUUAGGCAAGAAAAUUACAGAUUAUUUUUGUUUUCUGCCUCCUCCUUCUCUUUCCCCCACCCCGAAAAUUGUCAUAUUUUUUUUUCAGCCGCCUCUUCUUCCCCCAACCCUAAAAAUUGUUUAUAUUUGCUUUGGAAGCAUGGCAAACUUCACUGCCUCUCAGCUUAAGGAGAUUGCAGCAGGUCUCGAAGCUUCUGGGCAUCAAUUUAUCCGGGUAUUUAGAAGAAGAAAAAAAAGAGUCAAGAAGACAAGGAAGAUUGUUUACCUCAAGGAUUUGAGGAAAGAAUGGAAGGCAAAGGGCUAUUAUCAGAGGAUGGACACUCCAAGUUUUGAUUCUUGAUCAUGAAGCAAUAAGUGCAUUUGUGACUCAUUGAGGAUGGAACUCAACUCUUGAAGGCAUAAGGCCAAUAUGUGCUGAGCAAUUCUAUAAUGAAAAGUUGGUGACUGAUGUUUUAAAAAAUGGAGUUAAGGAAUGGCCUAGAGUGCAUGGAGAUCAUGUUAAAAGUGAAGCUGUAGAGAAGUCAAAUUAUGAUGGGUGAAGAAGCAGAGGAAAUGAGGAGUAGAGCAAAGAAGCUAGGAGAAACGGCCAGGAAGGCUGUUGAAGAAGGUGGAUCUUCUUGCUCUGAUUUCAAUGCUUUGAUCGAAUAACUGAGGUGGGGUCGCCAUUGAAACAAAGGCAGAAGUAAGUGUUGUCACUCGUGCAUAGAAUAUUUUGUUUCUACUUAGUAGUGGUUUUGGCAAUAUAGACAAGUCUUGAGAGUUGAAAGAGUAAUCACAGCCGAGUCAAUGACCAGUCCAAAUCAGUUCCCUUCCUACUAGUUCAGGAAUGACAAGUCCAGCUUAUAUAUUUAGCCCAAAUAACUAAUCAAAUAGAAAGGCUGAGCUUAGAGGCAGUACACUACAAAAUAAGUACCCAAUGUCUUAGAGACAAACAAUCAUCACAAACUAGGAAAGACCGUCUCCCCAGUAACAAAUUCACCUUCUGAAGUUGGAGAACUUGCGAAAACUAGCCACCACAAAAUAGUAGCAAGUAUCUAAAUUAUUUCCAGAGAGAUCUAACUGCUUCAAUUCACACCAACUUGUAUAAUUUAUCUCUAAACAGUCAAAAUAGUGUUAAAAGAAUCUUUUAUUGAUGAUGUGAUUAUAUUUGUUAAUUUACCUUGAGCGGGUAAAGUGACAUAGAGGUCACAUUCACCAAUAGACAAAACUUGAAGAGCAGGCAAUGCUCCAAUGUUAUGGAAAAAGUUUAUUAGGAGAGAAGUACGAUCUAGAUACAAUUCUUCAAGGGUGCUAGAAUUGAAGAAAGUCCCUGUAAAAAAGAAACAAAAAGAAAAAAGAUAUGAUGAAAAUGGUGGUGGUACAUAAUAGGCAUUCCAUUCAAUAUUAUUAAUUAAGAUUUUAAGAAACUAAACUAUGAUUAACCUUGAUUUAAAUUAGUAUCCUUGAGAGAAAGGGUCUUCAGGGAUGGCAAUGACUGCAGGAAGUCCGGCUUCCUUAAACCUAUGAUGUGUACAAUUGAAAACAGGCAAUCAAGAAAGUAGUGAAAUUAAGUGCUAUCUUGAUUGAGUUUUUAAACCUAUGAUAAAGAACUGAUGUUGAAUAGUGAGAUGAAUUUUGGAUAGAAACAACAAAUUGCCUGAAAAAUCCAGAGAUUUCACAACUUUACCAUAGACAGUCGUCGAUCCUAGCAACAUAUCGCCUGAUAAAUUUAAAGACUUGAGAUAAGAAAAUCCACGCAGAUGUGAUAAAAUGUUGUCGUUGAAUAUAUUAUAGCUCAGGUCUAGAUUCUCGAGUUUCCUCAAAUGAUAUAUGAUCUCAAAACCUGCAAGAGAAACUAAAGAUAAUUAGAAUUGAUGAGAUGCUGUUGUUCAAUUGAUAUAUGAUUCUCAAAUUAUACAUACAUAUACACACACACACACACACACACACACAUAUAUAUAUAUAUAUAUAUAUAUAUAUAUAUAUAUAUAUAUAUAUAUAUAUAUAUAUAUAUAAUUGAUAUUUAUAAAAGCAUUAACUGUAGAGGAAUAUUUGGUACUUUGUUUCCCAAUAAAAAAUAGAUUUUUCUGCAAAGUAGCACCAAAAAAAAAACUGUUCAAAACUUAUAUAAGAAAUUAUACAGUUAGCGAGUCACAGAUGAUGAAUCUUAAAAAAAAUUGGCAAUAAUAACAGUACUCUAUUGCUAUUAAUUAACUUAAAUAUUCAAAACUUAAAAAUAGUUUUUAAAUUUAUCCAUGCCAAUUUAUCUUAAGAGAGUCGCAAUCUGUGACUAGUUAAAUUAUAUUGUUUCUGUAAAUAAAUUUUGAAUUGUGUUAUUUUUUGUUCUAGGUGCUAUUUUGCAAAAAAAAAAAAAACCUCCAAAUAAAAUAAUAAGAUUAACGUUUAAGUUGUCUAUUGUUCUUGGAUUUGUAGGUAUAACAACAGAAGAUAGCAAUCAAAAGCGAUGGUGACAUGGUAGAGCUUUGAGUUAUUGCUGUGUUCUAAUGAUGAAGAUGUAGGAAAACGAUCUCCCUUCUGCUGUCUGGAGCUGGGCUUCCUCUCCCUGUAAGAACAAUCAACAUCUUAUCUGCGUUGUUGUUAGUGGCCACUUCAUCGACCCAUUAGUGGGUGGAUUUUAAGCUUAAAAAGGAUUUUUUUUAUAAAAAAAAAAAGGGAAGAGAGAGGGGGGGCGCAUCAUCACGUGAAAGCAAGGAGCUUGCCACCCAUUAUAGAGUGUGGGGCACUCUUGCAUCUAAGAAUAAAUGAUCCUGAGGUUGUUCUGGUGAUGGGUAUUGGCCAUUACAUAAAGCUUCGACAAGCCCUUUUAGCUGCCUGUUAUUAGAAUUUGUAUAAUGAGCAUUCAAACUUAAACUUCUUUAAAUGGGAUGAAAACGAGUGAAAAUCAAGAAGUUGGAGGUGUUCAUCUCUAAUGCAUAGCUAAAGAUCCUUUGUAAGAAAAUACAGCUAAAGACAGUGUGUGUGUGUGUACCAGAGAAAUUGUCGAUAAUAGCCAUCAUUUUCUUUGUCUCUUGUGUCAUAUCUUCCAAAAAUCUUAAAGUAAUUGAUGAAAAAGUGGAUACACCUCUUUGUCUUCUUUAUAGCACUGCUGGCCACUGUGAGUUAAAGCAUUAAAAGGUCGUGAACGCGGAUGCUUGACGAGCGAGUGUUUACUUGUUAAUUUUUUUAGAAGGAAUCUGGAAAAGAAUAAAGUCAUCUAUUUCACUUUGGGACAACAUUCCUCACCUCUCCCCGCCCUCCCUCCCUCCCUCUUCCGCCUCUCGGAAACCGCCGCAUCCAAUAAGGCUUCAGAUUUCUGCCAGGUGCUUCCUUUUCUAUCAUGCUUUUGUUUUUAAAAUUUAUGGGUGUUUUCAUUUAUUUUAUUGUAAUUAUUAUUCAGAGACAGAAAUCCAUUUUAAUAAGUAAAUUAAAAAAAACAAAUAAGCGAUCCGAUGAAAUCUCUGCUAGUGAACGCAAUUCGAUUUUAAUAUGUAAAUUAAAAAAGUAUAUAAUCGGAUCCGAUGAAAUCGCUGCUCGUGAACGCAAUUCAAAGAAACGCACAAUCAGCCGAUUCUAAUAUUUUCUUUUUCAACCCCACCCUAAUUUACAUGAUAUUAUCCGAUUUUUCUCACAGUUAUUGUUGUAAUAAUCAAGCCCUGAAUUCUUGAACCCAAAUUUAUUUUAUUUUAUUUUUUAGUUUUAUUUUUAAGUGGAGAAUAGAAAUCAAUUCAAAUCUUUUAGGCUCGAUCGAUAAUUUGUUAAUUAGUUUAUGCAGCAGCUGGAGUGGAAGAGAUAUUACUGCCGGAAUGGCCGAAAAAUGAGCUGUUUGGUUGAUUCUUCUUUUUUGGAAUUUACUGAAUUCUUCAAAAUUAUUGUGUUUUUAACAACAAUACGAUAUCCUUGGGUUUCAUGCUCGCUCACACAUGGAAAAAAGAAAGAAAGAACAGAACUUUAAAUUUUAUAAUUUGGUCAAGUUAAUGCUCGUCGUUUUCUUCAUUUUCCUAGCUUAAAACAUCCUAGACAAUCUCUUUGGGAUGGGUUAUUGUUUGUGGCCUCUUCAUGUUCUAUUUGCUGGGGUAUUUAGAGUACUGCUGAUUGAAAAGCCUUGUUUUAUUGCACGUUAGAAAAGUUAAUACAUACAUAAAUAACAAGAACAGGGGCCGGGGGGGGGGGUGUUGGGGUUUGACGGUAUGUAUUUGCUUGCGAGUAAAAAUUGGUAAGCACUUGAAAAAGGUCCUGUGCUGAAUCUAAAUUGGUAAGAUGUUAUAUACUGAUAUCUAGAAAGAUAACUUAAUCUAUCUAUUGAAGUAAAGCAUUUAAAUACGUAUACAAUGUUUUUGGAAUAUUAAAUAUCUAUUUGAUCAGAAUCUGUGAACCUCUAAAACCACAAUGAAUACAAAUGCAAGUUUGUCAUUGUAAACAUUGCAUCGAUGAUGUAUCACAAGUGUUGCUAGAAAACAUCAAGUUAAAAUUGAAGCACCAUGAGUUUCUCUAUGGCUUGGUUUACCAACACUCACCAUCUGUUGGUGCGGCAAGUUAUGAACUAGCUGGCUAGUUUUUUGCUUCCUUGGUUUUAGAAGCACCAUGAAGAUUCAGGUCCAAAUCUUGCUUAUAAUACCCGAAUACCCAAGAUCCUAGCACCUUGCCUUGAAUGGUCGUGUAUAUUUGUUAUGGCUGUUCAGAUUUUAUGCAUCCAUAUUUGGGAGAAUUCUUUAAUAAAGUACAUGCUAUUAGAUGGAAGUUCUCUUUAAAUCUAUUCAAGUCUGAAUAAACUGAUAUUCCAAUUUUCAUGACUUUGAUGUGCUCUUACUCUUCUGCUGUUCCUGACUUUCUUUUUAAGGUCUAUUCUAACGUGCAAUAUUAUUUAUUUAUUUAUUUAUUGUCAUGAUAGAAGUGAUUUUUUUUGGUUGGCCAAAACCCCUUGGAUGCCAAUAAUUGGAGGUCCACUGCCCCAGGCGGAGAACAUGUCAUUGACACGGGUGAUUGGAGAAUUCAAUUGCAGCCUGACUCACGGAAAAGAAUAGUCGACAAAAUGUAAGUACGUGUUUCCUAAUAUGUGCAAGUGCUGCAAAAUAGUAAAUUUUUUAUUUAUAUGAAAGAAAAGUAGAAGGGCAAAAGGUUAAUUAAAAUUAGCUGGACUGCCAUGAGGCAACCUCAAGUAUCACACACCUCUUUUUUUUGUUUUUCAUCUUUUCGCUUGUUUCUCACAAGAAGCAAACUUGAGGGAACGUAAAGUGCUGGGAAGUGAUUUUUGUUGGAACUUCUUGUGUAACAUCUUCUUUUGACGAUGACCUCUUGGAUGGCUGCAUGAAGCUUGUUCCGCUUUAAAUUUCAAGGUUAAUCUAUUGCUAUGAGCAUUGGUGUUUCAAUUUCAACCUUGAGUUGCAACUGAACUUAAAUGAAUAGUGUUGGAUUUGGGCCUUCUAUUUGCUUUAACUUCUACAGGAUUGAAAUGAUAGUGAUCUUAAAGUAGAAAAGCAGCAGACAAAAAUCAAUUAGCCACAAUAGUGUAUGGUUUCCUAGUUUCUCAGUAUAAAGUUGAAUGUUUUGGUGAUAUCUCCACAUCCAAAAUCAUAUAGACAGCUACUGUUGGCACUUGCAGUAGCCAAUGAGCACUGUAGAGUAUAUAUAUUGCAGCGUGAGAUAAGGUUAACUCAUUGCAUUUUCAUAAAUUAAAGGGAUUUCUCUUCUUUUCUUUGUCAAUUACAGUGCAUGUAUAAAAGUUUUCUACAGUGCACUGUAGAGUAAAUGCUAUUGUAAUGUUUUCACAGAGUUCCCCUGGUUUGCAACUAAUGCACUUAUAUAUCUUGGAGCAUAGCCAUAGCCAUAAAUGAAAGGUUCUUCUGGUUCAAGAAAAUUAACCAUGAAGCUCGUAACUAGAAUUUUAGACAGAAGGUUGGCCAAGUAAACUCUUACCUCUGGAAUAAUACGGGGAAACGAAGUAAAAAUAGAUGUCUGUAUUUUGAUGCCAUUUAUUACUUUACUAACACUCGGCUAUAUCAUUAUUUGUUUUUACUUUUUGCUAAUGAUUUUGUUGUAUACAUUUCUGAUAUUAGUGUGGUGUAUGAGUUCACAGUUUUUUCUCACUACUGCUAACUUCUCUAUACCUGCCUUGUCAUUAAAAAUUAAAUGCAAUGUUUUACAUGUGCAGAAUGGAGACAUUAAAGAGGCAUCUUCCGUUUUCUGGUCAGGAGGGAUUACAAGAACUCAAGAAAAUUGCCGUACGGUUUGAGGAAAAGAUUUAUACUGCCGCCACCAAUCAGGUAUUCGGCUAAUGCUAGGUUCAAUAAUUUUGAUAUUCUCUGGACAUGAAUAUACACAUGCAUAAGUUUGUGGAUUUAUGCAUGUACACGUGUGUGUAGUGUGUCCACACUUCCUCACUGGUCAUUCUGUAGAAGUUCUUAUCUUUCCGUUAAUUCUCUUGACAAGUGUUUUAUUUAGAGUGACCAAGGUCCUUUUCAAGUACAAGGGAAGUGUGCAAAAAGCAAAUAACGAAUCAAUACAUAAAUAAUUAAAUAAAAAGAGGAGACACAGAAGUAUAUCCUCACAGAAGAUGCAAAUACAGAAAGCCUAGCAUAUUAGAAAGAGCAUAUAUCUCUUUUCCCCCUUCUCUUGUAACAUGGACUGCUCAGAGAUCUAAUGUUUUGUUAUUGAUAUCUGAUUUCAGUCUGAUUAUCUGCGUAAAAUAUCUCUGAAGAUGCUUACAAUGGAGACCAAGUCUCAAAAUACCAUACCCACUGGCAAUGGUAACAAACCCCUGGAUCCAGGAGGUAAUAAUGCAGCCAAGCAUUGAAUUUCUAAACAUCCUUACCUUUUGUUUUAUAUUUUGCAUUAUUAUCAAACUCUUUUACAUUUUAUUGCUGCAUCCUUACUCUUUUACCAUUAGGGAAAUAAUUUCUAAAAAUUACAGAUUAUUUUUGCCCCCCCCCCCCCCCCCCCCCCCCCGCCAGCCCCAAAAUUGUCAAAUGGCACUUUUAUGCUUUGAGUCAAAACCACCUUAAUUAUUUCCCUCAUAACUUUAUGUGUGAACUGUCAUUGUUUCAUUUGUUUUUCUUGUUCAAUGCCUUCUUUUUUUCCUUUGACAUGGUUAUCCUUUUUGCCUUUUAUCUUGAACAGCAUCUCAUAGUAUGCCGCCUCAAGUUCACAACCAAGGGCAGUCGCUCCCUAUCUCAUUGUCCAGUAAUCAGCCUCAAGCACGUCAGCAGUUAUCACAAAACAUGCAGAAUAGUAUGUCAUCUAAUGGAGUUCAAAGUUCUGCUGGUUUACAAUCAGCAAUGCCUUCUGUCUCCAGUUUAACCCAGACUAUCGCAAACACUGUUGGACAGAAUGCUAACAUGCAGAGUAUCUCUGGUGUUUCACAGAACCCAGUUGGGAAUUUAAUGGGACAAGGGAUUCCCUCCAAUAUGUUUGUCAAUUCUCAGAGACAAAUGCCAGGCAGGCAACAGGUUGUUCCUCCACAGCAACAGCAGCAGUCCCAAAAUCCUCAGCAGUAUCUUUAUCAGCAGCAGAUACAACAACAGCUUUUAAAGCAGAAGCUUCAACAGGGAAAUCAUCCACACUCACUUGUGCAAUCUCACAUCCACCACCAGCAGCAGCAGCAAAACUUGUUACAGCCAAAUCAGUUGCAAUCUGGUUUGCAAACAUCAACUGUUAUGCAGCCUUCAAUGAUGCAAACCGUCUCUGGCCUUCAACAGAACCAACCAUCUUCUGUUCAACAGUCAACACAACCAAUGCACCAGCAACAUCCACAAUCAGUCCUUAGGCAGCAGCAGCAACAACCUCAACAGUCUGCUGGUAUUCAUCAGCAGCAAACACCAAUGAUGCAGCAGCCACUAUUGCCUCCACAACAGCAGCUAAUGGGGCAACAAUCAAAUACCACUAACAUGUCGCAAAAUCAGUUAAUUGGACAGCAAAACAUUGUUGGGGACUUGCAGCAGCAGCAGCAGAGAUUGCUAGGGCAGCAGAAUAACCUUCAAAAUCUGCAGCAGCAGCAGCAGCAGUUAAUGGCUCAACAAAAUAACCUCUCAAGUAUGCAUCAGCAACAGUUGGGCCCUCAAAGUAAUGUCACUGGUUUACAGCAACAGCAGUUGCUUGGAGCUCAGCCUGGUAACUCAAGCAUGCAAUCUAAUCAGCACUCUCUACACAUGCUGCAACAGCCCAAGGUUACGCUGCAGCAGCAAGCACAACAAAGUGGAAGUGCUUUGUUGCCGAAUCAAGGGCAGCAGUCACACUCACAGCUGCCACAGCAGCAAUUGAUGGCACAGAUUCAAUCACAGCCUGGACAGCUGCAACAGCAAUCAAAUCCAUUACAACGUGAUCUGCAGCAAAGGCUUCAAGCAUCAGGCUCCUUGCUUCAACAGCCGAAUGUGAUUGAUCAGCAAAAGCAGUUAUAUCAACCUCAAAGAGCCCUUCCAGAAACGUCCUCAAGUAAGUUUUUGUCAUCCUUGCAGCUUUCUAGCCUUGCUCCAACUUUAAUUUUGCAGCUUUGUGCUUUCAUGUUAGAUUAUAACAUAUUUAUUUAAAUUUCUUGAAAAUACAAUAAUGGUUCAAGUCAGUAAUGCUCUUUUUGGUAGCUUUAUGAGCUACGGCUGCCACUUAUGGCAUCAGAAAUGCCACUGCUAUUGGAGCCAUUGUAAUCACACAUACAUUUGUUACGACAUCAUGCCAUCCAGUGCAUUGCACCAACUAUUCACCUCUCAUAAUGGUUCAAGUCAGCAAUGCUCUUUUGGUAGCUUUAUGUUCUACUGAUGCCACUGCUAUUGAAACCAUUGCAAUCACACUCGUUUGUUACCACAUCAUGCCCUCCAGCUCAUCGCACCAAUUGUUCACCUCUCAUUUUGAAUUUAACAGACAUGAAUUUUAAAAAUAUAUGUAUAACUGGACAAUGCAUUUGACACUAGGGUAACUAAUCAUCAGCCAAUUGAUUUUUAUGGGAAGAAAGAAAUUAGCAAGUGGACUAACUCUGAGGCACUUAAGGUUUGGUGUGCUGAUAAAUCAUUGAGCCUUUUUUUUUAAUAUAUAAUGAUCACUUGUUGGGGGGGGGGGGGGGGGGGAAGCAUUUUAAAGGGUCUCUCUGUCUAUUUGAAUGAUUACAUAACGUUGAGAUGGAGUUCCUAGUACUCCAAGUCCAAAAAGGACUUGUAUUCCUAUGUAAGAAAAUACCAAUGGUCCUAUCUGGGAUAGGGAAAACCUAUUAAAGCUCCUUAUUCUUUAGGAACAAUAAAAUACUAAAUAGAAAUAAAACCAAGACCUACAAUAUUCCAUAAUUUUCAGCAAGUGUGAAAAUUACAGAAAUACCCUUGUGUGCAGAAAACAUUCAUAAAAUACAUGAAUUCUAAUCUUUUGUUGGCUGUAUCAAAAUUUUUGUAGCAUCCCUAGAUUCUACAGCAGAGAUUGGACAUGCAAAUGGUGCUGAUUGGCAAGAGGAGAUCUACCAAAAGGUAAUUUCUGUAGUUUACUGUUCAUUAGAUGAAGUUCAUGUAUGUCAUUGUCUUGCAAGAUUUCAAUGGAAAAGGUCUCCUGGAAUUUGGUACAAGGGAGUUUUAUUCAGCUAUGGUUGUGAUUAGUUAGGAAGCAUUGUAAGUUCCAUGAUUGCAGCAACUAAGAAACGAUAAAUUACUGAUAAGAUGAUUAAAGGUAAAUAAUCAGAUUUCUAGGUCAAGAGGGUUAUUUUCUUGGUACUGACACGACAAUUUUUUCUAUUGCAAAUCUCUCCCUUUCAAUUUUUUCCCUGUAUUUCCAUACAUUUAUUGUGUGGUGAAUUAUUAUUUUAUUAUUUCCAAUAAGUCCAAUUGACAAUACUUCUUACUGUAAUAGACAGACUUGAAAACAAGAGUGAACUGUUUCUGAAUAGUCAUCGUUAUAUUUGGUUAAGUGAACAGUUAUUUUCAGGAUUACAAUCAAAUUUGUUCUGAAACAUGUGACAAUGGAAGAAAGGAAAAUAAGUGGACCUAAUCCAUUGAAUCAUGACCAUGUCCAGUAUUGUUGAAUUUUAUAGAAAACGAGGUUGAAAUUCUGAAUCGUUUAAUGGCUGUAGUUGCAAUUCAUAACUGCAUAUUUGAUGAGGUCAAUUUUUUUGUGCCUGGGAGGGUACUAAAACGGGAAUAGGAGUGGUUGUUGAUAAUUAGGAUAUAAGGGUUAUAAAUCUAAAGUUAUAAGGCUAAGAAGUGUUUACCAAAGUCGUGACAUCCAUUGACUUGAGUUAGAACAAUAGAAAACAAUGGUGAGUAGUUUGCCGUGAGACAAAGUAACUGAACUUGACCAACCCCUGAAUCUUGUCUGAAGGGGUAACUACACAAUCCUUUGCAUGCAAUCAAUAACGAUAUUCUCUUUUGAGUUUUCGGCAUUGAUUCCACUUUGCUAUUUUUAUCUCAAACAAUAUAUGCUGUCCUCUGCCAUUUUAUUUAUUUAUUUAUUUAUCAAUUCUCUCAAGUUUGCUUAUGUUUCUUUCUGACUCUGGCACGUGAAGAAAUCAAGCAUAUGAUUGAUAAUGUCUUGCUGGUUAUAUGUACUUCCUAGAUCAAAGUUAUGAAGGAAACGUAUUUGCCUGAAAUAAAUGAAAUGUACCAGAGAAUUGCUACCAAGUUACAGCAGGUAAAUUGUCUUUGUAAUUUUUUCCGAUUUAUUUGCCCACACAUAUUCAUAAACCCCCACAGUUGAGCUUUUGUAUUAAUUUGUUUUCCCCAUCAGCAUUGCUUGUCACUGUAUCAUCUGCACUAAUUACCUCCCCCACCCCCAACCACCCCACAACCAUGCAUUGACACAGAAGAAUUGGAAUAGAAACAUUUUUUUCACUUAUGUUUUACUAGUUUUGCUAGAAAGGAUCAAUGCAAUUUUUAAUUCUCGUGUAUGUUAACUUUGCUUUCCAGCAUGACCCUCUUCCGCAACAACCGAAGUCAGAACAGCUUGAAAAGCUGAAGGUAUUCAAGGUCAUGUUGGAGCGCUUGAUAACAUUCUUACAGGUCUCUAAAAACAACAUCACACCUAAUUUCAAGGAGAAAUUGGGUUUCUAUGAGAAGCAGAUUGUAGGUUUUCUAAACCCAAGCAGAUACAGGAAGCCUAUUCCUAAUCUACAGCAAGGACAACCUCCCCAACCUCGUAUUCAACCUAUGCAGCAACCCCAAUCUCAAGUUCCUCAAUUGCAGUCCCAUGAAAAUCAACUGAUUCCCCAGUUGCAAUCAAUGAAUACGCAAGGUUCUGUACCACAGAUGCAGCAGAACAAUAUGUCAAGCUUGCUGCAUAAUUCCCUUUCAACUUUAUCUGGGGAUUCGACGUCACAAUCAAACAUGAUGAAUCCAAUACAACCAGGCUCCAAUUUAGAUUCUGGACAAGGAAAUGCACUGAGCUCAUUGCAGCAGACACCUGUAGGAUCUGUACAACAGAAUCUCGUGAGCAUUUCCCAACCAACCAAAGUUAACACAUUGUCAACACAAAGUGGGGGGAGUAUGCUGCAGCCAAAUAUUCCCCUUCAGUCGAAUUCCAAUAUGAUUCAACACCAGCAUCUAAAACAGCAGCAGCAGCAGCAGCAUGAACAACAGAUGCUACAAACACAACAGCUUAAACGAUUCCAGCAACACCAGAAUUUAAUGCAGAAUCAACAGAUGCAGCAGCAGCAAUUACACCAGCAAGCUCCGUCUCCUAUGCCAGGAGAUUCUGACAAACCAGUUUCUGGUAUUUCCUCACUCUUAGAUACUGGAAAUAUUGUACACCAACCAUCUGUUGCACAAGCACUGGCUCCAUCCCUUGCAAUUGGCACUCCUGGGAUAUCUGCAUCACCUUUGCUUGCAGAGUUUACCAGUCCUGAUGGUGCUCAUGGCGGUGCUUUGACAACUGUUUCUGGCAAGUCAAAUGUUACAGAGCAAUCACUUGAGUGCUUGAUUAAAGCGGUUAGUGAUGCUCUCCUUUUGGUUUUACUCCACCCCACCCUUAUUUUGGAGGUUUCUGAAAAAGAAAGAAACUUCUUUGUGAAUGAGAUGGUGAUGCUGCAAUUUUUUUUCCCAGGUGAAAUCUCUGUCUCCCAAAGCACUUAGUGCAUCUGUCGGUGACAUUGGCUCCGUUGUCAGUAUGAUUGACAGAAUUGCUGGUUCUGCAGCUGGUAAUGGAUCUAGAGCUGCAGCUGGUGAGGAUUUGGUAGCAAUGACAGGAUGUCAUCUUCUUUCGUUUUUGUCUUUUUUAUUUUUCACGUGUUUCUCACAAGAUGGGAACUCGAGGGAAUAAAAAGUGCUGGGAAGUAAUUUUUGUUGGAACGUCUUGUGUAACAUCUUCUUUCGAUGAUGACCUUUUGGAUGGCUGCAUGAAGCUUGUUCCGCUUUAAAUUUCAAGGUUAAUCUAUUUCAAUUUGAAACUUGAGUUGCAACUGAACUUAAAUGAAAAGUGUUGGAUUUGGGCCUCUAUUUGUUUUAACUUGUACAGGGUUGAAGUGAUAGUGAUCUUAAAAGUACAAAAGCAGCAGACAAAAAUCAAUUAGCCACAAUAUAUAGUGUAUGGUUUCCUACUUUCUCAGUAUAAAGUUGAAUGUUUUGGUGAUAUAAUCUCUACAUCCAAAAUCAUAUAGACAGCUACUGCUGGCACUUGCAGUAGCCAAUGUUAACCAAAAUCAUAUAAUCUUAAAGUUGAAUGUUGUAUUUUCAUAAAUUAAAGGGAUUUCUCUUCUUUUCUUUGUCAAUUACAGUGCAUCAUAAUAAGUUUUCUUACUCAGUAAAUGCUAUUGUAAUUUUUUCACAGAGACUCCCCUGUUUUGCAACUAAUUCACUUCUGAAUAAAUCUGGGAAACAGAAAGGCAAUCAACAAAGAGUAAGGCAUCUUCUGAAGAAACAAAGAAAUUUAAUACCAUAAACUAAGCAGCACGUAGAAGGCAAAAACUGAGCACAAAUUUUCAGGAAGGGACAAACGAAAAAAACCAAAAAGAAAGCAAAGAAAAAUACAGACUCAAAUUCACAACACCCAUUUUCUUUCCAUUGGAACACUUUAAAUAGUUUAUUAAAUUUAUAAUGAUCUGAUUUCUACGCAUAUAAAAAAAUCAACUAAAUGAUCAAUUCUCUAUAAUUUCGGCAUUACUAAAAACAUCCAAACUAAUAAACAAUUAGUUAUUUUACUCAUUUUAAUAAACAUUUUAGUUAUGAAUUCACCAAACAUUUUGAACAAUUCAUAUUGAUGAAUUAACAUUUAAAUUUUAGAUUUUUUGAUUUAUUAUUUCCUUCGUGAGUUACUUCUAAAGUAUGCUAUAUAUCUUUAAGCAUUUUUAUAGAAUAUAAUUCUAUCAAAUUCACUUUUACCCAAUGCAUAAUAUAAAGUAUUCAUGGCUUUAACAUCCAUAAAAAAUAACUUUUUAUCAUUGUCCGUAUAUUCCCUUUUAGUUUUAGAAAUCUCAAUACCAUUUUUAAUUUGAUAGGUCUAGGAGAUCUAUUUUGUAUGGAUAGCCACAAAUUAAAAUCAAUAAAUUGAUAAUAAAUUAUCAUUAAACAAUUUAUUACUUGCUCUUUGGUAAUAAGAAUGUGAUUGUAAUAUUAUUUUGUAUGGAUAGUUUUAUCUAUCUAUUAUCUCAAUAACAAGAUUAACUUUGCAAUUAUAUAUCACACUUAUAUAAUCUCAAAUAAUAUUAAUUAAAAUGAAUCACAAAAAUUUAACACAGUAAUUCUGCAAAAAAAAUAAAAACAAUUUAAUAAACAAUUUAACUUUGCAAUUAUGUUUUUAUUUGUUUGUUUUUCUAUGAGACACAAUGGAAUUUUCAAUAGAAACUACAACAAUACAAAUAAUUACAAAUAUUUUUCUUUCAACAUCAACAUAAAAAAACAUUAUGCACUUUUCGAUACUUACGUAAUUCUAGGAUUAAAGAAACAAUAACAUCUAAGGGGGGUGAAUUGGGUGUUGCACUAAUUAUAUCAAAUAAUGGUGUUGCACUAAUUAUAUCAAAUAAUGCAAUAAUUAACAAUAUAAUUAAAGUGUUUAAAGUAAAUAGAUAAGGAAAUAGAUAUUACAAACUCGGUUUUUAAUGUGAUUCGGUAAGCCUACAUCUACACCUCAAGUACUAACCGUACUUGAGUAUUGUACUCUUUUACCAAUCCAAGUGAAAUAUACAAAUGCCCUUGAUAAAUCCACACCGAGAAAUUAUACCACUUGAAGUUUUUUCUCUUGGUGACAAUACAUCACUAAUGCUAGGAGUUUAUCCAAACUCACAAAUGUUUACAAUUAUAAUUUGUUUGCAACAAGAUUCACUCUCUCAUAAAGUAAAUUGUACAAUUGAAAACUAUAAUCUUUAUAACUCACUCGAUAGCACUCAAGAUGAUUGAAAGUGUGUAAAUAUAAUGAGUGUGAGACAUUAUACUCAUGUGUUAGAAUAUAAAGAUUUAAUUUAGCACAACUUAAAAGCAUGUUAUGAUUGAUGAUUUCUAAUUGAUUUUUUUUUAAAAUAACUUCUAUGUUAUAUAUGUUUGGAAUCUCUCUUUUAUUUGUUAUAUAUAUAUAUAUAAACUAAUUGUUUAUAGUUGUUGAGAUGUCUCUAACAGCUAAAGUAAUCUAUAUGCAACUUAAACAAAAGAAUUCCAAUUAAAUGGAAUUGCACUUAACAUGUAUUAUUUCAAAUGCAACAAUUGCAUAGAUAACAGACAACAAGGAAUUUAACAGAAGAUAUAUACACUUUACUUUUCCUACUAAAAUUAAACUAUUGGAAUUUAACAUAGUCAUAAUCAAUUUGUUCUUGUGAGAUUAUCUAUUACAUGUAUAACAAAUAUAUUAGAAAAUAAAUUGUUUUAAGAUUGUUAGAACACCUUAAAUAGUUCAUAAAAUUAUUGUUCCAUUUUACUAUAAUAAUCAAGUUUCCACAUAAUAUAAAUCAUGCAUAUAAAUUAAUAAUCAAAAUAAAAAUUAAAUUAAGAUAACAAUCAAUUUUUUAACUUUAAAAUAAUUUAUCAUCUAUUUUCUAAUACUAAUAGUAUGAUUGUAAUAUUAUUUUUUAAUUUAUUUAAUAAUUUAAUUUUGAUAGCACAACCAAAAAUAAAUAAUGAACCAAAAUUUAUAUGAUAUUUUUUAUAAAAAAUUUGAUAAAAAAAAUAUAAAAACAAAAAUAAUGUCUCAAUUAGAAUAAUUUUUUCAUUAAUGAGAAGGCCCACCACAGACCAAGAGGACAGCUUCAAUGAAGCCAAUGCAGGUGAUUACCCGUCGGCUAACAUCUCCUCGCGCGCCUAGCACCAGCUAAACCGCCUCAAUCUGAACAUGCACCAGACAAAGUCUAUGAAAAGACGCCAGGGAGCCUCAGCAGCCGAGAAGAAAGCACGGGAACACCCACCGCGCGAGAAGAAACGCGAAAAACAGGAGACGGAGCGCGGUAAAGACUGAAGCCACAGGAUUCACAUACAGUGAAGCACUCUUAGUUUUAUAUAUAUAUAAUUCUUUUAGUUUGUUAGUUAUGAACAGUGAAGCAGCACAAGAAUACAAUUCUCCUGUUUGUUUGCUGGAAAAUAGUUUUUUUUAGAAAGUGAAUUAUUUUCCGAUGUUUGGUAGUGUAAUGGAAAAUAAGUUAGAAAACAUUUUUCAGUGUUUGGUUAUGUCAUGGAAAAUGAGUUGGAAAAUAACUUAUUAAUAUUUUAUUUUUUUCAAUUUUAUUAAAAUAAUAAAGAAUAAAUCUUACAAAUUAAAAAGUUGAAUGAAAAUAAAAUUGAAAAAAAAUAUAAUUUCAUAAAUUAUCUUAAAUAAAAUAAAUAAUAAUCAAAAUAAUAAAAAUCAAAUCUAAAAAAUAAAAAAUUUGAUCGCUUCAUUAAUUUCUCGUUAGGAAAAUGUUGAGCUUCUCAGCAAUAUUUCCUUACCUUGUGCCGCUAACUUGACGGUAAAAUGUGAUUAAAGGAUCAAUUAAUUAUUUAAAUCAACUUGAGGGAUUAAUCUGUUUGUUUAACAAAAAUACAGACACUAGUUAAAUAGAAUUUAACUCAAAUUUUAAUCAUCAUAUGCGUGCGUGUGCGUGUGCGCACGCGUGCGAGCGAGGGUUUACUCGUUAAUUUUUUUAGAAGGAAUCUGGAAAAGAAUAAAGUCAUCUAUUUCACUUUGGUCCAACAUCCCUCAAAGGCGCAGCUGUGCAUCUAGUUAGGAAGAACAUUUUAUAACUCACCUCAAGGUCGAGCAUGGUCAGGGUUAUUGUGUUGUCUAUUCCGAGGAAGAUGUGGCGUUCAAUCCAUGUGAAUCGCACGACUUGUCCAUAUCUUUCUUAUUGAUUACAAAUAGCAUUGAGAAUUAAAGAAUAUUAUCUUAAUAAGUUCCAAUUUAUUCUACAAAACUAUAUAUAAAGAUGUGACAAAAAGAUGUAUACAAAUUAGUUAUUUAUUGUUUGUAAGUAUUAUUGUAUUGCAAAGACAAAAAUAAGAUGCAACUUAUGGCGUGGUCGUCCAACCUGGUUCUGGUUUUGAUCCUGUUCAAAAUCUAUUUUGUUGAAUUGUUGAUCUACUUGUGAGUUAUUGGGUUAACUAGAUCAAUUUUUUAAACAAAACAAUGCCAUUUUAAAAAAAAAAUUGGUUCUGACAUAGAAAUAUAAUAUUAGAAACUUAAACCUUAUUGAUUAGCAAAAACUCAAUGGGAAAUUUAGUUUUGAAAUAGAUUGUUGUAAAAUCAAAUAUGAAUUGAUAACCAGAAAGUUUGCUUAAAAUUGCAAUAACCUUAUAGAAGAAAGCAAACAUAAAUAGAAUUAUUAAAUUCAAUGGAGUUCAUAUAACCAGGAUCACGAGUUUAGCGAGUUAAGCCAUGAAACCCUAAUCGAUCAAAUAUGUCGCCGUUUCAAUUAAAAAAAAUACAUCUUAAAAAGAAUUAAGCUAAACCACGUUUCUACCUAUUAUCUGGGUUGUCUUUAGACUUGUCAAGUCGACUGAGCCAUAUUAGGACAACUUCCAUAUAAUUAAAUUUGAAACUCGAGCUAGAUAAGAAAUCAGGUCAGGAAAUUUUAAUAUUGAUUUGUUGAAUCGGAUUUAAUAACAAUGCCAAAGAUCUGAAUAUUUAUUUUUUACUCAAUUUUUUUUAGGUCCUGUUUGUUUGAUGGAAACAGUUUUUUUUUAGAAAGUGAAUUCCUGUAAAGUGAAUUAUUUUCUGAUGUUUGGUAGUGUGAUGGAAAAUAAAUUAGAAAAUAUUUUCCAGUGUUUGGUUAUGUUAUGAAAAAUGAGUUGAAAAAUAGCUUAUUAAUAUUUUAUUUUUUUUCAAGUUUAUUAAAAAAACGAGGAAUAAAUCUUACAAAUUAAAAAGUUGAAUGAGAAUGAAAUUGAAAAAAAUAAUCUAAUUUUAUAAAUUAUUUCAAAUAAAAUAAAUAAUAAUCAAAAUAAUAGAGAUCAAAUCUAACAAAUAAAAAAAUUGAAAGAUGAUGAAAUUAAAAUAAUAAUAAUUACAAUUUCAUAAAUUAUUUCAAAUAAAAUAAAUAACAAUUAAAAGAAUAAGGACCAAAUUUGAUAGAUAAAAAAUUUCAAUUAAAAAAAUGAUAAGACAAAAGCAAAUAACAAUCAUAAAAAUAAGGACCACAGUUAAUAUAAAAAUCAAAUUAAAUCAAAUUUUAAGGAAGGAAAUUAAAAAAAAAGAUUCAAACAAAAUAUAUAUCAAUUAAAAGUUUGAAGACUAAAUUUGAUAUAAUCAGCAAAUAAUAUGAUAUUUCUAAAUUUUUCACAACUUCUGGAAAAUGUUUUCCGUCCAAAAUAAAAGGAAAAUACUUUCCUGAAAAUCGAGUUAAAUUUUUCUUUGACUGUAAAGUGUUUUCCAUUGACCAACUUUUUUAAUGACAAACAAACACAUGAAUGUUUGGAAAGUGGUUUCUAGAAAAUUAUUUUCCAGGCAAACAAACACCCCCUUAAUUCAAUCACUAAAGAGUUAUCCAAGAAUAAUUAUUCUCCACUAGCAGUUGUUGCAUACUAAAUUUUUUUUGUCAAAACAUACAUGAUAGGUGGCUUCAAUAUCAAUCCACCAUUUUUUAGGAUUUUCCAUGAAGUUUACUUCUAAUAUAACUACAACAAGCUUAGUAGCUUUCUCAUCAACAUUCUCAAUCAUAUGCUAAGAAAUCAUGGUUUUGUUGAGCUUUGUUAUCAUCAUAGGCUUGAUGAUGGAAGGAUUAUUGCUUCAUCAUGCUUUAUAUUUAAGUUCACGCCACUCAAAUUAUUUUGGUUUUUUCCCCACAUGAAGAAUGUUUAGGAAUCGGGUUUGCCAUCUAAACCACAAAGAUUACUAGGUUAACAAGUACAUCGAAAUCAUUAACAAUAGUUUUAUCCAUCUAUUAUCUCAAUAAUAAAAUUAACUUUGCAAUUAUAUAUCACGCUUAUAUAAUCUCAAAUAAUAUUAAUUAAAAUGAAUCACAAAAAUUUAACACACUAAUUGUGCAAAAAAACAAUUUAAUAAACAAUUUAACUUUGCAAUUGUGUAUUUAUUUAUUUGUUUUUCUAUAAGACACAAUGUAAUUUUCAAUAGAAACUAUAACAAUACAAAUAAUUAUAAAUAUUUGUCUUUUGACAUCAACAUAAGAAAACAUUAUGCACUUUUUUAAAGUUACGAUAAAAACAAAUCUGAUUGAUACUUAUGAUAUUCUAGGAUUAAAGCAAUAAUAACAUCUAAUAGAGAUAAAUUAGGUGUCAAACUAAUUAUGUCAAAUAAUACAAAUAAACAUGCUAAACACAUAUAAUAUAAUAAUCAACAAUAUAAUUAAAAUGCUUAAAAUAAAUAGAUAAGAAAAGAGAGAUUACAAACUCGGUUUUUAACAUGGUUCAGUAAGUCUACAACCACAUCUCAAGUACUAAUCGUAAUUGAGUAUUGUAUUCUUUUACUAACCAAUAAUAUAUUAUUUCACCAGUAAUUAUUAUCCAAUAUGCAACUUUUUUUUCCAAUCUUCUGUUUUUUUUUUCCAUAUCAAUCCAACAAUAAAGAAAAUAACAUGUAACAUAAAAUUUCUUUCCCCGUAGAAUCAAUGCAACAAGUAUACAGAUACCACACAACAAACAAUUUAACAAGUCAUGUAAUUUAACAGAAGAUAUAUUUACUUUGCUUUUCCUACUAAAUUUAAACAACUUUUUUGUAAUCUAUGUCAACAUAUAAAACAUAUAUAUAAAUCAAUAAAAAAAAUAAAAAAUAGGUAGAGGUAAUGAUUAAUUUUUUAGCUUUAAAAUUUUUUAUCAUCGCCUCUUUAUGCUAGUAAUGUAAUUGCAAUAUUAUUUUAAAUUAAUUUAAUAUUUUAUUUUUGAUAACAUAACCAAAAAUAAACAGCGAACCAGAAUUUAUAUAGAGUUUCCUAUAAAAAUUUUGAUAAAAAAAAAUAUAAUAGAAAUAAGUUUAUAAAAACAAAAACAAUGUCUCAGUUAGAAUAAUUUUUUCAUUAAUGAGAAGGCCUGCCACAGACCAAGAGGAGAGCUUCAAUGAAGCCAUCCCAGCCGAUGCAGGUGAUUACUCAUCGGCUGACAUCUCCUCGCAUGCCUAGCACCAGCCAAACCGCCUCAAUCUGACAUGCACCAGACAAAGUCGAUGAAAAGACGCCAGGGAGCCUCAGCAGGCGAGAAGAAAGCGCGGGAACACCCACCGCGCGAGAAGAAACACGAAAAACAGAGACGGAGCGCGGUAAAGAUUGUGAAGCCACAGGAUUCACACAUAGUGCACCGUGUUUUAAUGAGUUAUAUGUAUAUAUAUAUAUAUAAUUAUUUUAGUUUAGUUUUAGUUUGUUAGUUAUGAACAGUGAAGCAGCACCAGAAUACAAUUCUUUUAGUUUGUUAGCGAAUUUGGAAAGAAUAAAGUCAUCUGUCAAGCUCUGUUCACUUUGGUCCGACAUUCUUCACCUCUCCCCACCUGAGCUCUCUCUCUUUCCCUCCUCCGCUCUAGGAAGCCGCCACCACCUCAACCAAUAAGGCUUCAAAUCUCCACCAGGUGCUUCCUUUUCUAUCAUGUUUUUUAUUUUUAAAAUUUACAUCUGUGUUUUCAUUUAUUUAACUGAAAUUCUUAUCCAGAGAGAUAAAUUCGAUUUUAAUAAGUAAAUUAAAAAGAUAUAUAAUCGGAUCGAUGAAAUCGUUGUUCGUGAACGCAACUCGAAGAAAGGCGUAAUCAGCCGAUUCUACUGUGGGUGGAGCAUUUAGUAUGGUCAGGGUUAUUGUGUUGUUUAUUCAAAGAAAGACAUGCCUGUAAAUUUGUUAAGUUGAUUCUUAUCAGUCUGCUCUUUAGAGUUAAUGAUAACAUGAAAUAUUCAUUGUUAAUGCUCGUUGUUUUCUUCGUCUUUUUCCUAGACUAAAACAUCCUAGACAGUCUCUUUGGGAUGGGUUAGUGUUUCUGGCCUCUUCAUCUUCAAUUUGUGCUGUGGUGAAAGGCCUCGUUUUAUGACUUUGUUUUGUAUUCUUCUUAUUUCUUUAUUCUUUUGGGGAUGUGGUGUUUUCCUCUUUCUAUUACACUAUUUACUCCCUACAAUAUUUAUUUUUUCAGAGAAGUAAAUAUAUGCAUAAAUAACAAAAACAGGAGGGGAAGGGGAAUGGGGUUUGAUAGUAAGUAUUUGCUUAGAAGGGAAUGCUUCUUCGGUUUAGAAGCACCAUGAAGAUUCUUUGCUUUGAAUGGCCGAAUACCCAGGAUCCUAGCACCUAGGCCUGAAUGUUUGUGUAUAUUUGUUAUGCAUCCAUAUUUGGCUGAAUUCUUUAAUAAAGUACAUGAUAUUAGACGGAAGUUCUUUUUAAAUCUAUUCAAGUCUGAAUAAACUGAUAUUCCAUUUUUCAUGUUCUUGAUGUGCUUUUGCUCUUCUUGUCGUUCCUGACUUUCUUUUAAGGGUCUAUUCUAACAUGCAAUAUGAUUUUUUUUUUCUUUUUGGUUGGCCAACUGUCCUAGGCGGAGAACCUAUCAUAGACACGGGUGAUUGGAGAAUUCAAUUGCAGCCUGACUCAUGGAAAAGAAUAAGCGACAAAAUGUAUGUGCAAGUGCUGCAAAAUAGUAAAUUUUUUUAUUUAUAUGAAAGAAAAGGAGAAUGGCAAAGGGUUAAUUAAAAUCAACAAGAUAGCCAUGAGGCAACCUCAAGUAUCACACACCUUUUUUUUUUUUCAUCUUUUAAUGUGUUUCUCACGAGAAGAAAACUUGAGGGAACAUAAAGUGAUGGGAAGUAAUUUUUGUUGGAAUUUCUUGUGUAAUCUCUUCUUUUGAUGAUGACCUCUUGGAUGGCUGCAUGAAGCUUGUUCCGCUUUUAAUUUCAAUUUAAAACUCGAGUUGCAAUUGAACUUAAAUGAAUGGUGUUGGAUUUAGGCCUUCUAUUUGUUUUAACUUCUACAGGGUUGAAAUGAUAGUGAUCUUAAAGUUGAAAAGCAACAGACAAAAAUCAAUUAGCCACAGUGGUGCAUGGUUUCGUAGUUUCUCAGCAUAAAGUUGAAUGUUUUGUUGACCUCUCUACAUCCAAAAUCAUAUAGACAGCUACUUCUGGCACUUGCAUUGGUCAAUGAAUACUGUAAAGUAUAUAUUGCAGUGUGAGAUAAGGUUAACUCGUUGCAUUUUCAUAUAUUGAAAAGAUUUGUCUUCUUUUCUUUGUCAAUUACAGCAAAUGUGUAGAAGUUACUCAGAGUAAAUGCUAUUGUAAUGUUUUCACAUACUCCCCUGCUUUGCAACUAAGUCACUAAUAUAUGAAGCUCGUAGCUAGAAUUUUUAGAUAGAAGGGUGGCCAAGUAAACUCCUAUAAUAUGUACCUCUGGAAUAAUACAGGGAAAAGAUGUCUAUGUAUUUUGAUGUCUUAUAAUACUUGACCAACUCUUGCUUAUCUUGUUGUUACCCAUUUUUUAGUUCACAUAAAAAUGAGAAAAUACAAAAAACAAAUAUCAAAAGAAAUCCAAAAAAUAAUAGGAGCGAGAAAAGGAUUGCUGGAAUGCCGAAAAAAAAAUGCCAAAAUUGGUUGAGGAGAUUCAAAAAUGCAAAAGGUUGAAAUUUGACAGUGAGAGUCCUGUUGAUGAGGAAAAUUCAAUUUGAGAAAGAAAAGUCCAAAAUCAGAUGUUUAUGGACUCAAUUAAAUUUUAUCCAAGGUUUAAUUGAAUUUAUAGAGGGUUUGAUUGCAAGAAAAUUGAUUUUGUAAGUCAAUUUAGGCUUUUAUCGGAAGAAAUUAAAGUUCUGGGGUCCAAUUAUAAUUUUAAAGAGUUGAUUUGGUCAAAUCAGGGGCUUAAUUGCAUAAUUAUUGAAGUUUGAUGGCCAAUUAGGGACUUAAUUGAAAUAAUUUGAGACCAAGGAUCAAACCAGAAAAGGCGCUAACAUUAAGGGAUCCAAUUACAAUUUUGUCAGGGGGGUUUGAUUAUAAAACAGCGAAAACUUCAAGGGCCAAAUUAGAAGAACCCAAGCGGCGCCGUUUCCACCAUUAAUGGUCUUCAAACAGCUGUGAAUCGGUGACGAUAAUGGAAGGAGACGUUAGCAGCAAUUAUGGAAAAUAUUCUCAAUUCAAUGGGGCUGGUAUCGCGGCUGACAUCCCUCGUCACCGUGAUGGGCGCCGGCUUACCAAUAUUGCUGGCGUCCUCUGGCUAUAAAAGCCAGAGGAAGAGCUGCACCAAAAAUAAAAGGAGGUGAGAGAGAGGAGAGGCUACAGUGAAGAAAAAAAAAGGGGAGUGAGACAGUUUAUGAGAACGUAAGAAAAGUGAGAGGGUGGAGAAAUAGCGAGCAAGCAUAAGGGAGAGAAGAGGAAGGAGAGAAAGAAGCAAACCGAACGGGAACAGAGGACACGGUGAAGCAGAGAACCCAGCACCACCAUCGUCUUCGUCUUCUCAAAAUCAGGUAUGUUCGAUGCCCUUCUCCGUUUCCUUGCAAAAUGAGAUGAUGCAUGUUAGUAUGUAAAAUACAGAAAGAAAAUAUAAGGAAACCGACACCAGAAAUCGCCAGUUACAAUGCUCUGUUUUGUUUUCCUUUUUCAUUCUCGCACUGCAACAAAGAUGGUUAACAGAGCGAAGGUAAUUUAAUUACCUUCGCCCUGUUCAUACAAGCCUAAAUAUAUUAUGGUGCCAUUAGAUAAAAAUAUGCCUUGCAGUCUAGAUGGUCAGCUUACCUGGCUCUCAUCCGAGAGACCCGGUUUCAAGUCCCAACAAGGGAAUUCCUUUUUGAAGGUGGUCACUGGCAUGGGCCAGUGACCAUGCUGGGCUAGCUGAAUCCAGCCCAGCUACGCAGGUUGGCUGGGGUCCAGCCCAGCCAUAUGGGCCGGGUUGGGCCCAGCAAUAAAAAAUAAAAGAAUAAAAAUAAAUAAAAAUUCAAAAAAAUUAUUUAAAUAUCUGUGAUUUUCCGUCAAUUUUUACUGCAUUUUAAUUAAUACGGUUUGUAUUUUUAUACUGUAAAGAUACAAAUCCGGUAUUAAAAUACCAUAUUUUGGUCCAAACAUUAAAAAAGAAGUUUUGUUUUCAUACAUACGGCUAAGUCUCUCAAAAAUAAAAAAUCAUAUUGUAUUUUCAUACAACAAAGAAAAUUUCAAAAAAUAUGUAUUAGCAUGCAUUUUGGCUUUAAUAACCAGUUUAUUAAAGUCACGAGAACUAGGCCAAUAUUUCAAAAAUUCUAAAAAAUUUAUUUUGUUUUCUUUUAAUAUCGGGGGCCGGGUUAUGAUCUUAUACGUAAGACGUGUUCCAGAUAUUAAAUUUUCUUUGUUGGCAUUAGACCGGUUAGGUUUUACCCGAUAAGAUAAGGAUCUCUUUACCGAAGAGAACUUUUCUUAAACCAUAAACGGACCAACAAAUAGAAAGCACAACAUGACCUUAGAUUUUAUCAGACAAUAAAACAAUGCAGCUUACCUUAGGUAGGGCGUAUUUGGGGUGCUAAUACCUUCCCUUUACGCAACCAAUCCUCGUACCCGAUCUCUGAGACCAGUUAGGGUUCCUAGUGACCAAAAUACUAGGUGACGACUUUCAUUCUAUUUUUUCACUGAUAAAAGACAAGAAUACCUUGUCUCCACACAUUUGCCACAUUUUUAGAUAAGAUAAGAUAGAAUUCGAGGGUGGAUGUUUUCGCCGCGACGCCGCACACGUGCGACAUAUCUCAUUAUUUGUUUUUACUUUUUGCUAAUGAUUCCACACAUUUCUGAAAUUGGUGUGGUUUAUGAGUUCAGGGUUCUUGCUUGCUGCUGCUAACUUCUCUAUACUUGCCUGGUCAUUAAAAAUGAAACGUAAUGAUUUGCAUGUGCAGAAUGGAGACAUUAAAGAGGGAUCUUCUGUUUUCUAGUCAGAAGGGAUUACAAGAACUCAAGAAAUAUGCCAUACGUUUUGAGGAAAAGAUUUAUAUUACCGCCACGAAUCAGGGUUCAAUAAUUAUGAUAUUCUCUUGACAUGAAUAUACACAUGCAUUUAUGCAUGUACAAAUGUGUGUGUAGUGUGCCUCCACUUCCUCACCGUGCAUUCUGUAUGCAAGGCUGAUUGGGAGUUCGCAUGUUUUUGUUAAUUCUCUUGACAAGUGUUUUAUCUAGAGUGACCAAGUUCAAGUACAAGGGAAGUGUGCAAAAAGAAAAUAGCAAAUCAAUACAUAAAUAAUUAAAUAAAAAGAGAGGAAACAGAAGUAUAUCCUCACAAACGAUGAAAUGAUAGAGCAUAUAUCCAUUUUCCUCCUCUUGUAACAUGGAUUGCUCUGAGAUCUAAUGUUUUGUUAUUAAUAUAUGAUUUCAGUAUGAUUAUCUGCGUAAAAUAUCUCUGGAGAUGCUUUCAAUGGAGAUCAGGUCUCAAAAUACCAUGCCCACUGCCCCCAUGGAUCCAGCAGGUUAUAAUGCAGCCGAGCAUUGAAUUUGUAAACAUCUUACCUUUUGUUUUGUUUGUCGCAUUGUAAUCAAACUCUUUUACAUUUUAUUGCGGCAUAUUGCUAUGUGUUUAGCAUGCUUUAAUCAAAAAGUUGAGUAAUUGAUGAAUGUUAGGCAAGAAUAUUACAGAUUGUUUUUGUUUUCUGCCUCCUCCUUUUCUUUCCUCCACCUUGAAAAUUGUCAUAUUAUUUUUGUUUUCAGUCGCCUCUUCUUCCCCCAUCCCUGAAAAUUGUCAGAGGACAUUUUUAUGCUUUGAAUCAAAUCCAUCCUAAUUUUUUCGCUCAUAACUUUAUGUGUGAACUGCAUAUGUUUCAUUUGUCUUCCUUGUUCAGUGCCUUCUUUUUUUCUGUGACAUGGUUUUCCCUUUUGCCUUUUAUCUUGAACAGCAUCCCAUAGUAUGCGCCCUGAAGUUCAGAAUCAAGGGCUGUUUCUCCCUAUCCUAUUGUCCACUGAUCAGUCUCAAGCAUGUCAGCAGUUGGUAUCACAGAACAUGCAGAAUUGCAUGGCAUCUAAUGGAGUUCAAAGUUAUGCUGGUUUACAAGCGGCACUGCCUCCUGUCUCUGGUGUAACCCUGACUAACCCCAACACUGUUGUCCAGAAUCCUAACAUGCAGAGUAUCCCUGGUGUUUCACAGAACUCAGUGGGGAAUUCAAUGGGACAAGGGAUUCCCUACACUAUGUUUGCCAAUUCUCAGAGACAAAUGCCAGGUAAUGCUCUUUUUGGUAGCUUUAUGUGCCACUGCUUCCCUUUAUGGCAUUAGAAAUGCCACUGCUAUUGGAACUAUUGCAAUCACACAUGCAUUUGUAACCACACGAUGCCCUACAGUGCGGUGCACCAACUGUUCACCUCUCAUAAUGGUUCAAGUCAGCAAUGCUCUUUUAGGUAGCUUUAUGUGCCACUGCUGCCACUUGUGGCAUUAGUAAUGCCAUUGCUAUUGAAACCAUUGCAAUCACACACGUAUUUGUUACCACAUCAUACCCUCCAGUGCAUUGCACCAGCUAUUCGCCCUCUCAUUCUGCAUUUAUAUGAUCACAUAACAUUUAUAUGAAGUUCUUAAUACAAAAAGGACUUGUAUUCCUAUAUAGGAAAAUACUAAUAGUCCUAUCUAGAAUAGAAAAAACCUAAUGAAGCUCGCUAUACUUUGGGAAUAAUUAAAUACUAAAUGGAAAAUAAAACUGAGACUCGUAAUAUUUCAUAAUUUUCAGCAAGCGUUAAAAUUAUAGAAAUACCCUUGUAUAUGGAAAACACACAAAAAUACAUGAAUUCUAAUAUUUUGUUGUCCGCAUUGAAAUUUUUGUAGCAUCCCUAUAUUCUACAGCACAGACUGGACAUGCAAAAGGCGCUGAUUGGCAAGAGGAGAUCUAUCAGAAGGUAAUUUCUGUGAUUUACUGUUCAUUAGAUGGAGUUCAUGUUUGCCAUAGUCUUGCAAGAUUUCAAUGGAAAAAGGUCUCAAGAAAAUAAGUGGGACUUAUUCCAUUGAAUCAUGACCACAUCCAGUAUUGUUGAAUUUUACAGAAAAUGAGGUUGAAAUUCUGAAUGUCUCAAGUCAUAGCUGCAUGUUUAAUAAGGAGAUUUUUUUUUUGUGCUUAGGAGAGUUUUAAAACGGGAAUAAGAAUGGUUGUUGAUAAGGACAAUUUUUUUUGUGCUGAGGAGACCAAUAUUUGCUGAGCAAUUCUAUAAUGAAAAGUUGGCGACUGAUGUUUUAAAAAUUGGAGUUAAGGAAUGGCUUAGAGUGCAUGGAGAUCAUGUUAAAAGUGAAGCUGUAGAGAAGGCAAUCACUCAAAUUAUGAUGGGUGAAGAAGCAGAGGAAAUGAGUAGCAGAGCAAAGAAACGGCCAGGAAGGCUGUUGAAGAAGGUGGAUCUUCUUGCUCCGAUUUCAAUGCUUUGAUUGAAUAACUGAGGUGGGGUCGCCCUUGAAACAAAGACAUAGAACAUUUUGUUUAUACUUUAGUAGUGGUUGUGGCAAUUUAUUUUCGGACAAGUCUUGAGAGUUGAAAGAGUAAUCACACCCGAGUCAAUGACCAAUCCAAAUCAGUUUCCUUCCUAAUGAUUCAGGAAUGAGAAGUCCAGCUUAUAUAUUUAACCCAAAUAACUAAUCAAAUAGAAAGGCUGAGCUUAGAGAUAGUACACUACAUAUUGCCAAUAACUAGAUAAACAAUCAUCACAAACUAGGAACGACCGUCUCCCCAAUAACAAAUUCACCUUCUGAAGUUAGAGAACUUGCGAAAACUAGCCACCACAAAAUAGUAGCAAGUAUCUAUGCAGUCUUCGAUGAAGUACAACCACCUGCGUCGCCAAUAUGGAUUGAUGUAGAGAACUGCUGCAAUCGUCAUCACCACAACUGUGUAACAUACACCGAAACUGAUGUAGAAAAACUCCAUAUCUAUGAAACCAUCAUCUCCUUGUUCAUCAUUAGGCACUGGCUGUGACACCACUGCCUUCUCACUACAAUUGUUUGGCAAUGGAGGUCCACACAAGAAAGGAUUUCCUUCGUAACAGCUUUCAUCGAAGGUCCCAAACUGAUAUAUUCUCUCGGGUGUCUUGCCUGACAAGUUAUUGUGCGCCACACUAAAAACUUCCAGUGUGGUAACUUCAGUAAAUUGUGGAGGGAUGGCACCAUUCAAGUUGUUGUAAGAAAGAUCCAAACUCUCAAUAUGCAUUAGGUUUGAGAAUGUUGCAGGGAUAGAUCCAGUGAGAUUGUUGUGUGAUAAGUUUACUGACAGUAUCUUACUUAAGUUUCCAAAUUCUGGUGGGAUUGCUCCGAUGAAGUUGUUAUUGGAGAGAUCAAUACCAAACAUGUAGUUGAGAACUUUCCCCUUGUACCCAUAAUACAUAUUUUUAGUUGUAAAUUCUGUCACUUCUUCUGUAAAGUUAAACAAAAAAAAAUUUCUCAAGUUGUCCACACUAUCCACUAGUGGUGGGCCCAUUAUUUCAUAAUAAGCUUUUUCUAUGGACUCUGAUAUAAAACCAUAUGCGACUUCCAAUAUCGCUUUCUUGUCACUUUUCUUGAAAGUAAGAUUGCCUAAACAGGAGGGUAGUGGACCAGAGAGCUGGUUGUGUGAAACAUCCAAAAUGCUUAAUUGUUCUAACAAGCAUAACUGAAUAGGGAGCUCACCAUCAAAGUGAUUAGCCCUCAGAAGAAGAACACUCAAUGAUGAAAGAUUGCCAAUCCAAUUUGGAAUGGAGCCGGUGAAGCUGUUUUCUCGAAGAUCCAUCGUAACCAGGUAAGAGCUGUUAAAAAAUGCAUAUGUUAAUGGACCGCUCAGUCUAUUUUUCGAUAGAUGCACAUGGGUUAUUUGUGGUGGACUAAAACAAGAUGGUAUAUAUCCAGACAAGUUGUUCUCAGAAAGGUCCAAAUAUUCAAGCUGGUCAAACUUACAAAAAUCUCUUGGGAUCGGACCCUUAAAAUGGUUUCCGGACAAAUCAAUUACUCCAAGGAUCGAAAAAUUAACGAAGCUCCUUGGAAGCAUGCCCGAAAAUUGAUUGUUACUCAAAUCUAAUACAUUCCAUACAUUCCACCUAUAUAAUGGAAAAUCUGAUAUCUGACCCCAAAAGUUGUUACCAUUUAGGUAAAGAAAAUUCAGGCGAGAAGAAUUGAACACCGAGGUCGGUAUUUUCCCACCCAAAUUGUUGUUUGACAGCUUGAGAACCCAUAUUGUUGUUAGUUGUUCUAGUUUUACUGUAGACAAUUGAUUGUUGGAUAAAUCUAAAAAUGAAAGAGAGCUAAUAUUUCCUAAACAGGAAGGAAUACAACCUGUGAAUCCAUUCUUAGCCAUCCUUAAGGUGUGUAGAUUUGGAAAGAUCAAACAAAUAUCUUUUGGAAUUUGACCGUUCAUGUUGUUGUUGGAUAUAUCUAAAUUGGUCAUAUUCGGAUGGAGGUGAUCUUGCAACUGCAAAGCACCAAUAAAGGAGUUGUCGCUCAGAUAUAGUUGUUCCAAUCGUGUAUUGUUCUUAAGCAACCACGAUGGAAACAUUCCAGUGAUGUUGUUGUGGGAGAGAUCAAGGGCUCUUAAGUCUAAUUGGUAAUAGAGGAAGUCGGGAAUUACAUUGAGUGCUUCCGAUGUUGGACUACUUGACAAGCGGAAAAAGACUAGUUGGAACUUUGGAAUCAAAUUAUCAAAGGCAGCAGGUUCUGUUACUAGCUUGUUGUUCUCACUGGAGAAGAACUUGAGGCUUGAGUGGUUCAUAAAAGGCUUUAUUGAAAUGGGAACUUCAAAGAGGUUAUUUGAUAGUGAGAGGAAUUCAAGGGAUAUGAGGUUGGUAAGAGGACCGAAAGCAAUAUUUCCAGUAAACUGGUUUUCAGAAACAUCUAAUAGUUGUAAAGAUGACAUGUUCCCCAAACAAUCUGGGAGUGAACCUCCUAAAUUAUUUCUAGAGAGAUGUAACUGCUUCAGAUUCUUCAAUUCACACCAACCUGUACAAUUUAUCUUGAAAUAGUCAAAAUAGUGUUGGAAGAAUCUUUUGUUGAUGAUGUAAUUAUAGGCGGAUGGAGAGUUGUUAAUUUACCUUGAGCAGGUAGGGUGCCAUGGAGGUCACAUUCACCAACAGACAAAACUUUAAGAGCAGGCAAUGCUCCAAUGUUCUGGAGAAAGUUUAUUGGGAGAGAAGUAUUAUCUAGAUGCAAUUCUUCAAGGGUGCUCGAAUUGAACAAAGUCCCUAUGAAAAAGAAAGAAGAAGAGAUAUGAUGAAAAUAGUGGUGGUACAGAAUAUAUAGCCAUUCCAUUCAAUAUUAUUAAUUAAGAUUUUAAGAAACUAAACUAUUAACCUUGACUUAAAUUAGUAUCCUUGAGAGAAAGGGUCUUCAGGGAUGGCAAUGAACACAAUGACUGUAGGAAGUCCAGCUUCCUUGAACCUAUGAUGUGUAGAAUUGAAAACAGGCAAUCAAGUAAGUAGUGAAAUUAAGUGUUAUCUUGAUCGAGUUCUUAAAGCUAUGAUAAAGAACUGGUACUUUUGUAGUGAGAUGAUUUUUUGAUAGAAACAACAAAUUGCCCAAAUAAUAGAAGAUGCCAAGAGAUAUUCACAACUUUACCAUUGACAGCCGUCGAUCCUAGCAACAUAUUGCCUGAUAAAUUUAAAGACUUGAGGGAUGAAAGUCCACUCGGAUGUGAUAAAAUGCUGUCGUUGAAUAUAUUAUAGCUCAGGUCCAGGUUCUCGAGUUUCCCCAAAUGUGAUGAUAUGAUCUCAAAACCUGCAAGGAGUUGUUUCUAAGAGUAAGUCAUAAUUAUGAGCUCACGAUAUGCAUAAUAUAUAGAAACUAAAGAUAAUUAGAAUUGAUGAGAUGUUGUUCAAUUGAUAUAUGAUUCUCAAAUUAUACAUAAAAAGAAUGAUAUAUGAACGCAUAUUUAAUUAUAUAAUAGAUUAAGAAAUAAUUUAUGGAUAAGAUCAAAGCUCCAUAGAUAUUAAUCUUCAUAGAUGAAAUUAAAGCGCAAUCAAACAUGAUGAAAUGCUAUCGUUGAUUUUUAAAUAUAUAUAAAGUCCUCAAUUUUCUUGAUAAACAGAAUGCAACUUACUAUUGAUAGAUCCUGUCAGCUGAUUGUUUGACAGAUCCAAAGACUUGAGAGAUGAAAACCCAGUUAGAGAUGGAAAAAUGCUAUCGUUGUAUUGAUUCCGUCUUAGAUGAAGGUUCUCAAGCUUUUUCAACCUUGAUGACAAGACUUUGAGACCUGCAUGAUGUUCCUCAAAAGCAUAGAAAUGAUACAUGAACGCAUAUUUAAUUAUAAAAUAGGUUGUGCACGCUUCUAAGAUUAAGAUACAAUUUUUAAAUAUCAUUCUAAUUUUGAUCAUUGGAAAAAAAAAAACAAUUUACGGUUAUAAAGUCGCUAAAGAUGGAAGCUAAGUUAUGAUAGACUUACAAAACAAAAUAAAGAAACUUAUAAUUAAGAUCUCAUCGGUAAUUAAAACAAGAAUAAUAAUCGAUCCAUGUAAGUUCAAAUAUUGCCUAAUUUUGAAAAACUAAUUAAUUAGUUAUGAUAGUUUCAAAAACUAACUGCCUCUGUAAGAUGCUAAAUGCCUCUCUCGUUGGCUGUCUAGUGAUUUGUAUUGGAUAGUUUUUUUUUGAAUUGAUGUUAAGAUCCAAGUUUUAAUAAUUACAAUUUUCUUAAUUAUAUAUAAUAUUAUAGGAGAGAGCUUCUUAUUAUGUUAUUCAAAACCCAUUCAAACUCAAAUUCAUAAAAAAAAAUACUUAGAGUUGUGUUCGACUAAGGAUCUCAAGACAGAAAAAACAUAUAUAAAAAUAUAUUUAUUUAAAAAGAUAAAUAUAAAAUAUAUAUUUAUAGGAGAGUUUUGAAGUGAACUUCUGAUUGCUAAUUUAAUCUAAAUAUUACAACACUUUUGGCAUAAAAGGGCCAAAAUAAGAAUAAAAUAUAUGCCUCUUUACGUAGAUAUAAAGUUCUCAUUUUUGUUGAUAAAGAAACAAUAUAAUUAAGAGAAUGUCAUGUGAAGCAUUUAGGUAGAAACUGUGUAUUAUACCUGAUCCUGUCAACUCAUUGUACGACAGAUCCAAAGACUUGAGGGAUGAAAAUCCAGUAAGAGAUGGAAAAAUGCUAUCGUUGCAAUGAUUCCAACUUAGAAGAAGGUUCUCCAGCUUUUUCAACCUUGAGGACAAGACUUUGAGACCUAAAUAGCAGCUACCUCCUGAUCAUUUAAAUGCGUAGAAAAAAAUGAUAUGAGAAGGAGAAAAGAAAAGGUUUCGAAGCUAAAUAAUUAAAAGGUUACCAUAGAAGCUACCUCCUGAUCCAGCUGUCAACCCAUUCUCUGAUAGAUCCAAAGACUUGAGAGUGGAAAGGUUACCAUUGAAACAUGACAAAAUGCUUUUAUCAUUAUUAAAUCCGUUAUAACUUAGGUCAAGUUUCCUCAGUUUUGAUGAUAGGACUUCGAAGCCUGGAAAGAGCAAGAUAAUUGACAUUAAACACCAACCAACCUUCAUUUAUUUUAUGAUUAUAUUUAAGUGCACAAACAUUGAACUAACCUUCAUUCUCCAAGCAACCAACCAAUCCAUUACCUUCCAAUUCAAGACUUUGCAAUUCUUUAAAAGGCUGAAACAAAGAUGCGUUGAGAACCCAAUCGCCCAAGCUCUCGUCCCUUGAUCCUCUAAGAGAGAGUUGGAUCACUCGCCUUGUAGUGUUAUCACACUCGAUCCUAUGCCACUCACAACAAUUACUACCGUCCACCCAAUCUCUCAAGGAAACGCCAUCUGGGUCGAUCGAAGAUUGGAUCUCCAAGAGACCAAUCCUCUCUUCCUCCAAACACCCAUAACAACGACCAUACCAUUCGCCAACCAAAGUCAAUAAUGCUAGCAACAUCCAACUCCCCAUUCUUUUCAUCAUCAUCUACGUAGAAUAUUGUUGUUUGUUAUGUGUCUUUGGGCAACCAUAGAGGUCCUAUUUAUACUACAAUUUUGGCCAUUUCCAUGAUUUUAUCUGCAUAUCUUAUGCAGGUUCUAUGUUUUGAGAUUUGAAUAUUAUUUUAUUUCCUUUUGGAAUAUUCUUGGAUUCGAAUAUUAUUUUAUUUUACUGUUUAGCACUUAGUCUAUUUGCAUUUAAUUAUAUUUUGGUUACUAAUUAUCCAAUUUUAAAAAAAUAAAAAAUAAAAAUUGUUGCAACAUUUCAAUUUUUUUAUCGACAUUCAUGUGUGAUUUCACGUAAGAUCUUUUUAAAUUUAUAAUUGUACUUUUCUCGUUAUAAUUUAGAAUUAUUUAGGAGCCUACUUGCAUGGUGUCAUCACUAUUAUAUAUAAUUAAAUACAUAAAUUAUCAAUAAUAAUAAAUUCGGAAUAAUUAUAAAUCUUAUCCCUGUGGAUUGUGUGGCUACAGUAUGAUAUACAAAAACUUCAAAUAUAUAUAAAUAAAAGAAUGCUAAAAGUGACAUUCUCUUGGGUGACCACCACAAGCCCAUCUAAAACACACAAGCCAUAUAAAAAUCACACGACAGCCAAUUACCUUAUCUUGUGAGAAAAAAGAUUAAAAAAAAAAAAAGCAUUUUCUUGGGUGUGCAAUGACUGCCAAUCUUUCUCGUUAUGACAUUCAAUGCUCUGUAAGAAGUUGCAUGAUGCUCUUCUCAUGGGGAGCAAAAAUCAGUAGCCUCCCAUGGAAUCCUCAUAAACCUUUCUCUAUGCUCUUCUAAGAUAUUAAAAAUGUCAAACAUACAUAAAUAAUAAGAAAAACAAUAAAAAAAGAAAGCUAUACAAAUAGAGCUUCCAACAAAAAGACUAGGAAGUUGUUUACUGAAAAUUGAGAUUCAUAAUUUGUUUUGAUUUGUUUUGAUUUGUUUUGAGUUAUUAUGGUCUCAUGACCCGGGUCACAGAUUUAAAGGUUAAUCUAGAUUGACCCGGGUCGAUUAAUCCAAUAUGUUGUUGUUUCGAUAUACUUUUUUUAAAAAAAUAUGUCAUCUUGAUUUUUUUCAAGUGAAACUAUAUUUUUACCAGUCGUCCAGACAAUCUUUGAGCCCAUCGAAUCGAUCGGGUUAUAUCAAUUUAACUCUUAUUUUUUUAUUUAUAUUUGAAAUUUAAAUUGCAUAAUUUUUUACUUAUUUUUUUAUAUAGGUGGUUAUGAGUUACAAAAAUUAAGCAAUUUCGAGUAUAUUGACAUGAGAAUUAAUGGUUUCGAUAACAAUAUUCUAUCAUUUGUAGAGGGAUUUUCAUCUUUUAAAUCACUAUAUUUAGAUUAUAAUAGACUGGAAGGGUUAAUAGAUUUAAAAUGUUAGUUUUUUUAUAUACUUAUUUUUUCUCUAUUAAAUUUAAUUUCAAAAGAACACAAUUUUCGAUAACAGUAUUCUAUCAUGCAAUUUUUGUUUUGUUUCAAAAGAACACAAUCGCCCAAGCGGAAAUCCCUUGCAUAGAAAAGAGAGAGUUGGAUCACUCGCCUUGUACGUAGUGUUAUCACACUCGAUCCUAGGCCACUCACAACAAUUACUACUGUCCACCCAAUCUCUCAAGAAAAAGCCAUCUGGGUCGAUCAAAGCUUUGAUCUCCAAGAGACCAAUCCUCUCUUCCUCCAAACACCCAUAACAACGACCAUGCCAUUCGCCAACCAAAGUCAAUAAUGCUAGCAACAUCCAACCCCCCAUUCUUUUCAUCAUCAUCUACGUAAAAUAUUGUUGUUUGUUAUGUGCUUUUGGGCAACCAUAGAGGUCCUAUUUAGACUACAAUUUUGGCCAUUUCCAUGAUUUUAUCUGCAUAUCUUAUGCAGGUUCUAUGUUUUGAGAUUUGAAUAUUAUUUUAUUUCUUUUUGGAAUAUUCUUGGAUUUGAAUAUUAUUAUUAUUUUAUUGUUUAGCACUUAGUCUAUUUGUAUUUAAUUAUAUUUUGGUUACUAAUUAUCCAAUUUAUAAAAAAAAAUAAAAAAUAAAAUAAUUGUUGCAGUACUUCAGCAUUGUUAUCGACAUUCGUGUGUGAUUCCGUAUAAGAUCUUUUUAAUUUAAUUGUACUUCUCUCGUCAUAAUUUAGAAUCAUUUAGAACCCUAUUUGUGUUAUGACUAUCAUAUAUAUAAUUAAAUACAUAAAUUAUCAAUAAUAGUAAACUCAGAAUAAUUAUAAAUCUUAUCCCAGUGGAUUGUGUGGCUACAGUAUUUUAUACUUCAAAAUAUAUAUAUAUAUAUAAAAGUUAGAGCUGCUUUUGUUUUUAUGUUCGGAAAGGUAUUCUUGACUUGUUUUUAUUACAUUUCAAUAUUAUUAUUUUUUUUCAAUCGAGUCAAAGAUAUACCAUUUAUAUUAGAAUGAGAAGACUAAUCAAUUUCUCUAGUUUUCUCCCUAUUUAUAAAAUACAUCUGGUUUUUGAAGUCCAGAUUUUAGGAUAAAAGGAAUUUAUUUCUUGAAAUUAAUGCAUUAAACAAUAUAAAGAUAUUUUUUAAAAAUUAAAAUAGUAGUAAAAGUAAAUUUAGUUUUUGAUUGAAGUGUAAACUAGUGGUAAAUGAACAAAAAAAAAAAACUUUCUUGAUUAUCUAAUGGAAACUCCGCCUAAUAUAUAUAUAAUAGCAAUCAUUUUCUUAUCUCUUGUAUCAUUCAUAUCUUCCACAAAUCUUAAGUAAUUGAUGAGAAAGUGGAUAUUGCCAAGAAAGGUCGUGAACGCGGAUGCUUGACUUGCUGCGUGGCAUUUUGAUUUUUAAACACAACACUACUUUCUUUGUGGAAAUAACGCUACUUUGCAUGAAGAUGAUGGAUAUAGAAGACUUGCUACUUGUUUUAUGGAAAUAACGUAUGGAAAAUUAUGCUUUAAUUUUAAUGAUGAUAGCAAAAUCAAACAGUAUUGUUGAUAAAAUGAGCCAUAAAUAAUAUUAUUUCUAUUGUCAUGACAAUAAGUUUUUUUUUUUUUUUUUCUAAAGAGUCUAUUUUUCCUCUAGGAGAGGCCGCGAGACGUCCUCUUCCAACCAUCAUGCAUUUUUUCUACGAGAUGGGUUCAUGGAAAUACUUUGGUUUAAUUGGGAAUGCUGUUAUUGAUUGAAAUAUUUUUAAUUAAAAUAAAUUUGAUUAUUUGAUUGGAAAAAAAAUAUUGUAACCAAGUAAUUUAUUUAUUUAUUUUAAUGAAAUAUAAAAUAGUUUUAAAUCUUGUGGUAUAUUUCUUGUCUUUAAGAGCUAUGAACUUAUAUCUCAAAACUUGAAAACUAAUAUAAAGAUAUUAAGUGAUCAUUGAGUGUGUGUGUGUGUAUAAUCCUUUUCAAAACAAAAAGGAUUUUGAUGGAGAUUAGGACAUUGCAACAAAUUAUCCACCACUAGAUGGGUCAAUGAUACCAUUGUCAUCAUGCAAUUUUUCCCACGAGAUGGGGCCGUACGCUUGGGGCUCUAAAAGCUAUGGUUUUAAUUUCAUUAUGUCACAUCUAGAAUGGCAGGUAUAUUUUAUUUCAAUUUAAACAAUGGAAUAAAUUAGAAGAUAUUUCAUCUCGCUUAAAAUCUUAUCUUCUUAUAUGAUUUCACCUAAAUUCUGGCUGGAAUGUUUAAGUUAUAUUCUAGCUAUUCUGUUAUGGCCAAAUGAUAUUUUGUUUUACUUUUAUAAAAAAUUAAAAUAUAGUUUAGUUUUUGUAUUUAUUUUCUGGUUAUAUUUAAUUUGUCAUCAAUAUUCAUAACGUAAAUUGCUAUGCAUUUCGAAUCUUGAAAGGAUUGAAAGAUGGAAAACAGAAAAGAAAGAGAGACCCCCAGUUCAAAAGAAAAAGAAAAAAAAACAAUAGUAAAAGAAAGAGAAGAGAACAAAAGUGAAGCAGUUUUUACUAACUAUAUAAAUUUUAUAAUUAUUAAUAUUAAAUUCAAAAUAUGUACAUAAUGCAAAUAUGUAAACAUAUCAUGUGGUUUAAAGAAAUGAUUUUUAUAAAGAUAUAUGUCUUAACAAUAUUAAUCAACUCUUAAUAUUUUUCAUUUUAUAAAUAUUAAAAGUAAAUAUUAAAACCUAUUAUAUUAAUUUGUGAAGGUAUUUACUCGGAUGCGAAUUAUAUUUCUAAUUUUUUAUUAAAAAAAAAUUCUACAUACUACAACUAGCCUAAGAAAGUCAUUUUCAUCUAAAAAAAAGUAGAAAAAAUUGAAUUGCAUAAAAGCAUCACUAUAAAUGUUAUACUCCGAAAAUAUCUUCUUUCCUUGAUAAAAUUCCCUAAACUACUGUAUGUCUCUAACAGUGAAAAUAUCACUAUAAUUUACAGUCACCUUAUUUAAUCGAAAGAAAACUUUAAAGAUGCACCUCCAUCUAGUGUAUUUAAAAAGAUUUAACAAAUUACUUUACACGUGCUAUGCUACAAGUUACAUAUUUUUUCAAUGUAAACAAAAAUUAUAUAGGUAUUUUUAACAUUUUUCUAUUAAAAAAAACUAAAACAUAUAAAAAUUAACCAAUUUAUAAUUAAUUAAUUAAUUGAGAAUUUGAGCUCCUUAGAAAAGUUGUUUAUGGACUUUUGUUUUCCGGAGAAAGCUCCUUUAAAACCCUUGAGCACCACCUUCUUUAAAACUUCUAUCUUUGCCAUAACUGAGGGGCUCUGUAUUUUUUUUAAGGUGAAUUAACAAGUUACAACUCAACUCUGUAUUUUUUUUUUUAGUUUAAUGUGGGUGUCUGGGUCAACUUACGCGUACCUCGACUAAUUCCACGGGCCCUGAAAUUAAUGACCAUAUAAACCUACAGUGGCCAUCAUAUGAACAAUCACAGGACUAGGGCUCGAACUUGAGACAAAAAAAAAAAGCAAAUUUUUUAAUCUUAAAUUCUUACCACUGGAUCACUAUCUAAAUUGUUACCUUGUAUCUAAUCUAGAUGUGUCUGUGACUGUGCUUGAUGUUCUCAUAACCAUUAAGAUGGUUCGAACCCAAAUAAAUAGAAACAAAUUUAUUUUCUGUUAUUCUCCGAAUUCCUAGAUAGAAUUUGCUUGGAAAUGAUGAGCUACCACUCCCUUUUGACUUUGCUGGCCUCCCAAAUAAAUAAAGAAUUCCGCUUGAUAGAAUUUUCUUGGAAAUGAUGAGAAUAUUUUAUAAUUUUCUGGUUGACGCCAGCUGUCAACAACUGUCUUACAUUCCCUUGGCAUCGUGUUCCAUGCCCUUGCAAAAUAUUAAAGGCUCCAAUGCCUCUCUCGCAAUAAGAUUAUUUUUUUUAUUUGUCCCCGAAUACAUGUGUCAUUUAUCGAAAUAAUUAAUUUAAUCACACACAUAAAAAAAAAAAAAAAUUUAAAUAGGCGGCUUUAGAAUCAGCAAGCAGUGAAUCACACGGGAAGAUUGAAAGAAUAAUUAAAGUGAUUUUACUAACAUUGUAAAAAAAAUUGAAUUGCAUAAGAGUAAUUAACCGACAGGUUGACCCAAAGUCAAAGUCUUCUGUGGAAAAACAUGAAUAGAAGAUUGAUGGGCGUUGCGUGAUAGCAAAAGAUUUGAGAUCUGCACAGCAGGUUUUGAAUUCGAGUCAGGGCGUGCAUCUCUUGUAAAAGCUUGGGAUAGCCGGGAUUUUACUGUCUCAUCUGGGCCCAUAAAGUGCGCUUUCCAAGGAAAUGAGGUUCCCUCGAAUCCAUAAAAAAAAAAAAAGUAAUACCAUUGCUAUCAAGCGUUUUUUCUACGAGAUGGUCCGUUCCCCCAUUUCCCCUCAAGCUUGAGAAGGGAUGAUAUAUAUAUGCUUUAAUUUCAACUUGUAUAAAAAAUAAAUCUUAAUGUAGUGUGUUAGAAUGCAACCACCGAUUCAUUAUUUUUAAUGGCUGGUCAUUUAAACUUGGGUGUUUUUUCGGUAUUAAUAUAUAUAUUCCUCAAUUAUCAUAAAAAAAUUAAGAAAAAACUAAUAAUAAGAUUAAAAAUAAAUGUUUUAUUUAUCGAAAUAAUUAUUAAAAGUAAGGUAUACUCAAGGUAUAUGUGGGACGAUAAAAAAAUAACAAAAAAAUCAAUUUACAAAAAAAAUCAUAGAUUUAGUUUUCCUAAAUUUUAAAUGUAGUGCAACAUUAGCCUUUCAAGAAAUAGAUAAUCUUCCUCUUUGAAGGAAUUAAUUAGUGGGUUGGAAAAAUGUCGUCUUUUGCUCUAAUAUUUUCUUCGCUUUCUCUAUAGUUUUACCAUACACUAAUAUUGUCAGAAAAUGAUACAUACUUCUUGUGUUAUCCUUCAAGAAUUCAAUUGAAAAGGAGGGUUGUAAAAAAUUUAAUUUUUAUAAACAUACCCUUAACUUAAUUUGGAUGUGGAUAAUUGUUUGCAAUAUAUUUACAUCCAAUAUAAACAAUUCAUCAAUGAUCAAGUAGGCAGUGGUUAGCUAAAAUAUUGAAAAUACUUACUCUCUUUGUUUUUUAGUCAUGCAGUUCCACUAUUGUAUGUUAUUUUUGUUUAGCUAAAAAUAUCAAAAAAUAUUAAUUUGGAGUAAAAAAAAAAAAAAAAUUUAAUUUUUUUAAAAAUAUUUUUGAAACAUAAAAACAAACAGUGCUAAAAGACAUAGAAACAGUUACCCAAAUCAAUUUAUUUUUUUAAAAAAUAAAAAUAGAAUACUAUACAAAUGGAGCUUCCAACAAAAAGAUAUGGGAAGUUCGAGGGAAAAAAUGAUUAGUUAAUUCAAAACACCAGGAGUAAGUAAUAAUUACAAAACACGAUACCGAAACCAAAUUGAAAAGUGAGCAAAAUACAAAACUGGUUACAUGUAUCGAAAGGAACUGGAACCAAUUUCUCCACCACUGGAUGUCCCUUUUGUUCAGUCUAUGUUUGGUGCAAUCACCUAAAGCUAGAAACAAAAACAGCGCCUUAGUCUAUGUUUGGUGCAUUUUUUCCACGAGAUGGGUUCGUGGAAAAACUUUGGUUUAAUUGGGAAUGCUGUUAUUGGUUAGAAACUUUUUAAUUAAAAUAAAUUUGAUUAUUUGAUUGGAAAAAUCCUUAAAUGUUAUUAACACAUGAAAUCAAUUUAUUCUCUUAAGAAAAAAAUAGUUUUACAUCUUGUGGUAUAUAUGUCAAGCAUUUUUUUUCCCUCAAGAUGGGUUCGACAGACAAUCACCAUCAUGCAUUUAUGAGUCCAUGAGACCAUUGUCAUCUGCACAUUGGUCCCCUAUAGCGUUGCUUUUCCUCAAGACCAUUUCCAUCAUGCAUUUAUGAGUUAGUGAGACCAUUUCCAACUGCACAUUGGUCCCUGAAACCGUUGCCAUCAUGCAUUUUUCCUCGAUGAGAGGUCGUGAGACGUCCACUUCCAACCAUCAUGCAUUUUUUUCACGAGAUGAGGCCGUACGUUUGGGGCUCUAAAAGCUAUAUAUAUUAGAAAUAUUAUUUGAAAAUAAAUUAUUUUUUAUUUUUAAAAAUAAAAUUCUUCUAUACAAAAGAUUUUUAUAAGUAUAAUUUAAUUUAUUCAGUUUUUUAAAUAAAGUUAAUCUAUCGCAAGAGUACACGAAAUAAGUAUUUUUCCGUCAUGCAUUUUUUUUCCUCAAGACCAUUUCCAUCAUGCAUUUAUGAGUCUGGGAGACCAUUUCCAUCAUGCAUUUAUGAGUUGCUGAGACCAUUUCCAUCUGCACAUUAGUCUCUGAGACCGUUGCCAUCAUGCAUUUUUCCUCGAGGAGAGGCCGUGAGACUUCCUCUUCCAACCAUCAUGCAUUUUUUCCACGAGAUGGGUUCGUGGAAAAACUUUGGUUUAAUUAGGAAUGCUGUUAUUGAUUGGAAACUUUUUAAUUAAAAUAAAUUUGAUUAUUUGAUUGGAAAAAUCCUUAAAUGUUAUUAACACAUGAAAUCAACUUAUUCUCUUAAGAAAAAAACAGUUUUAAAUCUUGUUGCCGUCAUGCAUUUUUUUUUCCUCAAGAUGGGUUCGACAGACAAUCACCAUCAUGCAUUUAUAAGUCCAUGAGACCAUUGUCAUCUGCACUUUGGUCCCCUAUAGCGUUGCUUUUCCUCAAGACCAUUUCCAUCAUGCAUUUAUGAGUCCAGGAGACCAUUUCCAACUGCACAUUGGUCCCUGAGACCGUUGCCAUCAUGCAUUUUUUCCACGAGAUGGGUUCGUGGAAAUAAUUUGGUUUAAUUGGGAAUGCUUUACUGUAUUUGUUUUCUGGUUAUAUUUAAUUUUUCAUCAAUAUUCCUAAGCACGUAUUUUGAAUCAUGAAAAGCACGUGGAAAAGAGAGGGAUGGUGAAAAUGACAUGUAAAGGGACUGUUUGGCAGUGCGCAUAGAAAAGGGAAAGUGUCAUUGCCAUUUUGAGUGGUGUGUUUGCAUUUGAUUUGUUAAUUUCGAGUUUUGUCAAAGAGUGAUUACUAGUCAUCAAGCAUUUUAUUAAUUUAAUUUAUCCUGUCAAGUGAAGGGCCAAACCUGUCAUUCAUUGCCAGUCACAGUCACAAGUCUUGGUCUUACCAUUUUACUAUCUAUUAAUUAAUUAAUUGUUUGAUUAAUCAACGAAACUGUGCGUUUCUCUUGUGAUUUCUCGAAGACGGCCAUGAAUAUAUAUAUAUAUAUAUACAACUUUUCAAAACAAAAAGGAUUUUGAUGGAGAGGACAUUGAAACAAAUUAUCCUCGUGAUACCAUUGUCAUCAUUCAAUUUUUUCCACGAGAUCAGGCCGUAUGCUUGGGGCUCUAAAAGAUAUUAUUUCUAAUUUUAUUAUAUCACAUCUAGAAUAACAAGUAUAUUUUAUUUCAAUUUAAAAAAUAGAAUAAAUUAAAAGAUAUUUCAUUUUUAAAAUUUUAUUUUGUUUUAUGAAUUUCACCUAAAUUCUGACUAGAAUAUUUUGAUUAUAUUCCAGCCAUUUUAUUAUGAUAAAAUAAUAUUUUGUUUUGCUUUUAUAAAAAAAAUAUAAUCUAAUUUUACAGUAUCAAUCAUAUCUUUCAAUUCGACUGCUGGAUUGGACUAAAAUUUUACGAGGAAUCUCCUAACAUAUAUUUAUAUCGCAAAUUAAAAUUUUAAGGCAAUCAGAGUUUAGAAAAAUUUUGCGAAAUUACCGAUGAUAUUUUCAUAAUUUUAUUUAAAUUCAUAAUUUUGUUAGGAAAUAUUAUUUUUUGUUUCUUUUUUAGAUUGAAUUAUUUCUAAAGUACUUCUUGUCAUUGUCAUGACAAUAAAUCUUCUUCUUUUUCUUUUUAAAAAGUCUAUUUUUUGUAACACAACCAACAUGUAAGAUGGAUGGGAAUUUGCAGUGUGAGAUGGGUUUGUGAGACUUUGGCCAUCUCCAAUUUUUUCCACGCCAUUGAGAUGGUCUAUAAGACCAUUGCCCCGUAAGCAUUUAUGAGUUCGUGAGACCAUUUCCAUUUGCACAUUGGUCCCUGAGACCGUUGCCAUCAUGCAUUUUUUACACGAGAUGGGUUCGUGGAAAUACUUUGGUUCAAUUGGGAAUGUUGUUAUUGAUUGGAAACUUUUUAAUUAAAAUAAAUUUGAUUAUUUGAUUGGAAGAAAUCCUUAAAUGUUAUUAACAAUAGAAAUCAAUUUAUUUUCUUAAGAAAAAAAUAUUGUAACCAUAUAAGUAAUUUAUUUAUUUAUUUUAAUGAAAAAUAAAAUAGUUUUAAAUCUUGUGGUAUAUUUCUUGUCUUUAAGAGCUAUGAACUUAUAUCUCAAAACUUGAAAACUAAUAUAAAGAUAUUAAGUGAUCAUUAAGCGUGUGUGUGUGUAUAAUGCUUUUCAAAACAAGAAGGAUUUUGAUGGAGAGGACAUUGCAACAAAUUAUCCACCACGAGAUGGGGCUGUACGCUUGGGGCUCUAAAAAACUAUGGUUUUUAAUUUUAUUAUGUCACAUCUAGAAUGGCAGGUAUAUUUUAUUUCAAUUUAAACAAUGAAAUAAAUUAGAAGAUAUUUCAUCUCGUUUAGAAUGUUAUCUCAUUUCAUGAAUUUCACCUAAAUUCUGGCCGGAAUAUUUUGGUUCUAUUCCAGCCAUUCUAUUAUGAUCAAAUAAUGUUUUGUUUUGCUUUUAUAAAAAAAAAAUAUAUAGUUUAGUUUUAUGGUAUUAAUUAUAUCUCUCAAUGCAAUUAUUGGAUUAGACUAAAAUUUUACAAGGAAUCUCUUAACAUAUAUUUAUAUCGCAAGUUAAAAUUUUAGAACAAUUAGAGUUUAAAAAGACUUUGUGAGAUUGCCGAUGACAUUUUUAUAAUUUUAUUUAAAUUCAUAAUUUUGUUUCAUAAGGUCAUUUUUUGUGUCUUUUUUUAGAUUGAUUUUUUUUUUUCAAUUUCAUAAUUCAACAAUAGAUUUAUUAAAAAUUAAGAUUCAUAAUUUGUUUUUAUUUGGGAUUAUUAUGGUCUCAUAAUCUGGGUUACGGAUUUAAAAGAUUAACCUAGAUUAACCUGGUUCGAUCUAAUAUGUUGUUGUUUCAAUAUUUUUAACAAAUAUAAUUUUAAUUGAUAUUUAAAAAUAAACUAACUUGAAAUUAUAUAAUUUAAAUUUCAAAUAUAAGUAAAAAUAAAGAGUUAAAUCAAUAUGACCCAAUUGAUUUGAUGAGUCCAAAAUAUAUAUAAAACAAUCCAAACGACACGUCAAAAUACUCAAAAAUCAAAAUAUAUUGUUACAAUUAAAAAAAUAAAACACCAAUUAAAAUGGAAUUGACGACCUUGCUUGAUAUAAGCCUAAACUCCUCGCUGCCAUUUGCAAGAGAUAGUUACUUAUACCAGUAGCAAUUUAAUAAUGAUUGGUCAAAUUUUAUAUUAAGAUGGGGCUAUUAAUUCAAAUGUUGAUGGCGUUAGUAGCAAUGAUUUUCUUGGAAGCAUGGUUGCCUCUUGGCUGCUUGAAAAUAUAUGGUUUUUUUAAUGUCGCAUGUGUGCUGCGUCAUGAAAAAAAAAUUCACUCUCAAAUCCUAAAUAUUGGUAUCCUGGAAAAAUUGGGAAAAAUAAGGAGACAAGAAAUUCUUGUCUUUUAUUAGUGGAAAAAUAAAAUGGGAGUCGCCACUUAGUAUUUUAAUCACUAGGAACCCUGAUUGGUCUCAGAGAUUGGGUACGGAGACUGGUUGCGUAAAGGGAAGGUAUUAGCACCCCAAAUACGCCCUACCUAAGGUAAGUUGCAUUGUUUUAUUGUUUGAUAAAAUCUAAGGUCUUGUCGUGUUUUCUAGUUAUUGGUCCGUCUAUGAUUUAAGAAAAGUCUUCAUCGAUAAAGAGAUCCUUAUCUUUUCGGGUAAAACCUAACCGUUCUAACGUAAACAAAAGAAUUUAAUAUCCGGAAUACAUCUUACGUAUAAGGUCGUAACCCCAGAUACUAAAAGAAAAUUUUUUUUUUGGAAUUUUUUAAAUAUUGGCCUAGUUCUUGUGACUUUAAUAAACUGGUUUUUAAAACCAAAAUGCAUGUUAAUACAUAUUUUUGUUGUAUGAAAAUAUGAUAUGAUUUUUUUCUUUGAGAUACUUGGCCGUAUGCAUGAAAAUAAUUUUUUUUUUAAUUUUUCAAUGUUUUGACGAAAACUAGGUAUUUUAAUACCAGAUUUGUAUCUUUACAGUAUAAAAAUACAAACCAAUACUAAGAAAAAUUUAGUAGAAAAAUAUAUGGGAAAAUUAUAGAUUUUUUGAAAUGAUUAUUUUUGAAGAAUUGUUUUUUACUGGGCCGGACCCGACCCAACCAUUUUGGGCGGGCCGGCACUGUCCGGGCUGGAAAACUAAAACAAACAAUGGAGAGACUCUCCACUGUUCACAUGCAACGUGAACAGUGGAGCGGCCUGGAGAAGACAAAGAAGAAGAGGAGGAAGAGGAAGAAGCAGACCUGCGGCCUAGCGGUGCUGCUAGUGGCGGUGGACGGUGUUGCGGUUGCGGAGUGUUAGAAAUAAUGUUCAGGACUGCUGAGCUGGAAUUUUAUUCUUUCUUAAUUUUUGAUUUAGUCAAUUCUGUUCCUAUUCUCUUGUUCUUGUUGCUACUUCGCAGCUCUGUUAUUUCCAUUAUCAAUUGAUCAUGGCUUGAAUGUAGUACCAUGAUCGUAGGAGUUUGUUAUGUAUCAGCUCUAUAAAUUGAGCUGCAGUUAUGAAUAAAGUAUUCAAGCUUUUCAUUCAUCAAUCUCUUCUUAAACACAAGCAUUAUCCUUUGUUAUUUUUGUUGUUCAGAAUCACUGCAACAACGACAAUUGGUAUCAGAGCAUCUUGAUUUAAAGGGAUCUGUGUUGUAACCCAUGGAGACAGAAGUAAGAUUCUCAUCAAUUGCUCCACCAGUGUUCAAUGGUGACAAUUACCAGUUUUGGGCAGUACGGAUGGAGACAUACUUAGAGGCUCUGGAUUUGUGGGAGGCAGUGAAAGAAGAUUAUGAAAUCCCUGCACUUCCAAAUAAUCCCACCAUGGCGCAGGUCAAAUCACAGAAGGAGAAGAAGACAAAAAAAUCAAAGGCAAAGGCGUGCUUGUUUGCUGCAGUAGCAUCCACCAUUUUCACUCGAAUCAUGUCUCUGAAAACAGCAAAGGAGAUAUGGGAGUUUAUCAAGACUGAGUAUGAAGGGGAUGAAAGAAUUCAAGGUAUGCAAGUGUUGAACUUGAUGCGUGAUUUCGAGUUGCAGAAGAUGAAGAAAACUGAAUCCAUCAAAGAGUACUCUGACAGGCUGCUUAAUAUUGCAAGCCGAAUCAGUUUACUUGGCUCGUCCCUGCCUGAGUCAAGAAUUGUUCAAAAAAUUCUUGUAACAAUUCCUGAAAUCUUUGAGGCUACAAUUACAUCCUUGGAAAAUACCAAGGAUAUGUCAAAAAUUACUUUGACAGAAAUGCUAAAUGCAUUACAAGCUCAGGAGCAAAGGAGGAUCAUGAGACAAGAAGAUGAGAUUGAAGGAGCUCUAUUCGUCAAGCAUAGAGAAAAAGGAAAGAAUUACAAGAAGAAUGGAAGCAGUCAAGCAUCAUCAGGUGAUUCCAGGAAUUUCAACAGGAGCAACACUGGAAACAAAAAAGGACCUUUUCCUCCAUGCCAGCAUUGUAAAAGGAGAUCACAUCCACAUUUUAAGUGUUGGAGAAGACCAGAAGCUAAGUGCAACAAAUGCAAUCAAAUGGGCCACGAGGCUGUCAUCUGCAAAAACAAAAUUCAACAGCAUGGUGAAGAAGCUCAAAUUGCUGAUCAAGAAGAAGAAGAUCAAUUGUUUGUGGCCACUUGCAUUUCCAGAAAUGACUCAAGUGAAAGCUGGCUCAUUGAUAGUGGUUGCACCAACCACAUGACACAUGACAGAAACAUAUUCAAGGAGCUGAAACAAACAACUUCAAAGGUUCGAAUUGGAAAUGGAGAAUACCUUGCUGUUGAAGGAAAGGGAACCGUGGCAAUCUUGACUUGCUCAGGUACUAAGUUCAUCUCUGAUGUAUUGUAUGUCCCUGGUAUAAAUCAAAAUUUAUUCAGUGUUGGUCAGCUUAUUGAGAAGGGUUAUAAAGUAGUGUUUGAAAACAAUUGCUGCUUGAUCAAAGAUGUGAAUGGUCAUGAUAUUUUCAAAAUAAUCAUGAAAGGGAAGAGUUUUGCUUUAAAUCCAUUAGAGGAGGAGCAUAUUGCUUUCCCAAUUAAAGAAAAUAUCACAGAUAUUUGGCACAAGAGGCUCGGGCACUAUCAUCAUAGAGGGCUGAUGCUUAUGAAAUCCAAGAUGAUGGCUAAGGAUUUCCCAGCACUUGAUGAUCACAUAUCCAGCUGCAGAACUUGUCACACUGGCAAGCUAAACAGGAAGCCCUUUCCAGAAGCCACAUGGAGAGCAACAAGGAAGCUGCAAUUGAUUCAUACUGACAUUGCAGGACCAUAAAGGACACCCUCUCUAAAUGGGAGUCUGUAUUAUGCUGUCUUCAUUGACGAUUACAGCCGAAUGUGCUGGAUUUUCUUCUUGAAGCACAAGUCAGAGGUAGCACAGGUGUUCUGGAAUUUCAAGGCCAAAGUUGAAAAUGAAAGUGGCUGCAAAAUUCAAGCCCUCAGAUCAGACAAUGGCAAGGAAUACACUUCCAAUGCCUUCAACAUUUUUUGUGAGGAGGCAGGCAUUCAUCAUCAGCUAACAACUCCGUAUACUCCUCAACAAAACGGAGUUAGUGAGAGGCGAAACAAGUUCAUAUUGGAAAUGACAAGAUGCUUGCUACAUGAGAAGAAUUUACCAAAGAAAUUCUGGGCAGAGGCUGCAAACACUGCUGUGUUCUUGCAAAACCGACUGCAUACAAGAGCCUUGAAGGAUCAAACACCCUUUGAGGCAUGGUAUGGUUACAAACCAUCUCUGAAUUUUCUUAAGGUAUUUGGAUGUUUGUGCUUCACCCUUGUUCCACAGGUCAAGAGGGAUAAACUUGACAAGAAAGCACUUCCAGGCAUUUUUGUUGGCUACAGCUUAGUUUCAAAGGCUUAUAAGAUUUUCCAACCACAAACUGGAAAAAUCAUUAUAAGCAGAGAUGUCCAAUUCCUGGAAGAUGAAGAAUGGGACUGGAACGAUGCAAUCAAAGAAGAUUCAACCUCUCCAAAAGGCAAUUAUCUUGUUUCAGACACAGAUGAUCAAAGCAUGGAAGAUUGGGACAUCAACAUGACAGAUGACACUCCUGUUACAGGCACACGGUCACUCCUUGAUGUGUAUCAAAGGCGCAACAUUGCUGUGUGUGAACCAGCAGACUUUGAAGAAGCCAAGCUAGAUCAAAAUUGGCUUGCUGCGAUGAAGGAGAAGCUUCUCAUGAUCAAGAGAAACAACACGUGGGAGUUGGUUGACAGACCUCAAAACAGAAAUGUAAUCGGUGUAAAAUGGGUGUAUCGAACAAAACUCAACGCUGAUGGCUCAAUCAAUAAGCUCAAAGCCAGGCUAGUGGUGAAGGGUUAUGCACAAAUCUUUGGCGUGGACUACUCAGACACGUUUGCACCGGUAGCAAGACUUGACACUAUCAGGCUGCUACUUGCCAUUGCAGCACAACUGAAUUGGAAGGUGUAUCAAAUGGACGUCAAGUCAGCAUUUUUAAAUGGUGUUUUGCAGGAGGAGAUCUAUACUGAGCAACCAGAAGGCUUUGCAAAUGAAGGAGAGGAGGACAAAGUCUGUCUUCUUAAGAAGGCACUAUAUGGAUUGAAGCAAGCUCCAAGAGCUUGGUACAGCCGAAUCGAUGAACAUUUGCAGCACUUGGGAUUCACUAAAAGCCUCUCUGAAUCGACUCUUUACAUCAAGCAAAAUGGUGAUAACAUCCUUAUCAUCUCACUUUACGUUGAUGAUUUGCUUGUAACAGGAAAUAACAACAAUAAUGUGGAGAUAUUCAAGCAAGAGAUGAUGAGUGUAUUUGAGAUGACAAAUUUGGGUUUGAUGUCCUUUUUUCUUGGAAUGGAAGUUAAGCAAGUUGAACAUGAAGUGUUCAUAUGUCAGAAGAAGUAUGCCAAAGAAAUCCUCAAAAAGUUCAAACUUGAAGAUUGCAAAGCAGUAAGCACUCCUAUGAAUCAAAAGGAGAAGCUAUGUAAAGAAGAUGGAGCCGAGAAGGUUGAUCAAGCACAAUUCAGAAAAAUUGUUGGAUGCUUGAUGUAUCUCACUGCAACUAGGCCUGAUAUUUUGAAUGCUGUGAGUAUCUUGUCUAGAUUCAUGCAUUGUGCUAGUGAAUUGCAUUUCAAGGCUGCUAAAAGAGUGAUAAGAUAUGUCAAAGGAACCUGCAAUUUUGGCAUAAGAUACACAAGAAGUAGAGAGUUCAAACUGGUCGGGUACUCUGACAGUGAUUGGGGAGGCUCAAUUGAUGACUUGAAGAGCACAUCAGGCUACUGUUUCUCUUUAGGUUCUGGUGUGUUUUCAUGGAAUUCAAAAAAGCAAGAAACCGUAGCCCAAUCCACUGCUGAAGCUGAGUUUGUGGCUGCAACAGCUGCUGUCAAUCAAGCUUUGUGGCUGAGGAAAAUUUUAUCUGAUCUUAACCUGGAGCAAAAGGAAAGCACAGAAAUUCUAGUUGACAAUCAAGCUGCCAUUUCCAUCUCUAAUAAUCCUGUGUUUCACGGGAAAACCAAGCACUUCAACAUCAAAUUAUUCUUUUUGAGAGAGGUGCAGAAAGAUGGGAGUAUCAUUCUUAUUUACUGCAAAACUGAAGAACAAGCAGCUGAUAUUUUCACCAAACCACUGCCAGUCAACAAAUUCGAAUUUCUGAGAACAAAGUUGGGAGUUUGCAGCUCCUAAACAAGGAGGAGUGUUAGAAAUAAUGUUCAGGACUGCUGAGCUGGAAUUUUAUUCUUUCUUAAUUUUUGAUUUAGUCAAUUUUGUUCCUAUUCUCUUGUUCUUGCUGCUACUUCGCAGCUCUGUUAUUUCCAUUAUCAAUUGAUCAUGGCUUGAAUGUAGGACCAUGAUCGUAGGAGUUUGUUAUGUAUCAGCUCUAUAAAUUGAGCUACAGUUAUGAAUAAAGUAUUCAAGCUUUUCAUUCAUCAAUCUCUUCUUAAACACAAGCAUUAUCCUUUGUUAUUUUUGUUGUUCAGAAUCACUGCAACAACGACACGGACCGUGGCGCUGACUGGCGGGUGGUUCUUCUUUCUUUCUCUGCGUUUCCCUUCUGCUUUUUUUCUAUUCUGCUCUGUUCUUCCUCUUGUUCCCUGUUUUAUUCUUUCUCUCCCUCUCUGGUCCUCUCAAACGUCCCUUGGAGCUGCUGCCUGAAGAUGAAGACGAAGUUGAGGGUGAUCAGUGCUCUGAUCGGGCGACGUUUCUUUCUUUCUUCUGCUACUGUUUUCGUUUCUGAUUCUCCUCGUUCAAUUCUUAUUUGCACUCUUCUUCUUCUUCGUCUCUGGUUUUUGAAAUGACGAAGACGAUGGCAACGCUGGUUCUAAUCUCAACGAUUUCCUCUUCUUACAUUCUUUCCUUUUGCUCGUUUCUGUCUCCCUCUCGUGCUGCUCCCCACUUUCUCUCUUGUCCUGCUCGCUCUCCCUCCCUGUCUCCUCUUCUUUUUUUUUUGUUGUCCGUCUCUCCUCUAGCUUUUUAUAGCCAGAGGAUGCAUGCUUUUCGGGAUUUAUUGCAGGAAGGUUGUAACGGCCGGCGUGCAUCAUGGUGGAGAGGGAUAUCAGCCGUGAGACGUGCUCCCCUGAUUGAAGCAGCUCCACCACUAACGUCUUCACUUCCUUUUACUGUAGAAACCGUUGUUGAUGAAGAAGGUAAUGAACAGUUGUCAAGGAAAUGGUACCGUUUUAAAAUUCAAAAUGAAUAUUUCCGAUUUGGUCAUUGGAUUUUUUGCAAUUUUGUAAUCAAGCCCCCGAAUAAAUUGUAAUUGGAUCUCUGGAUUUUAGCCCCAUUUACAAGACAAUCUUUGGUUCUGGAUUCAUGCGAUUUGACUCUCAAUUGAUCAAUAAACUUCUAAUUUCUUUAAUUUAGCCCCUGACUUGGUCAAUUGCAGCCCUUAUAUUUACACGCCUUUUCCGGUUUGAUCCUUGGUUUCGGAUUUUUUCAAUCAAGUCCCUAAUUGCCCAUAAAACUUUAAUAAUUAUGCAAUUAAGCCCCUGAUUUGACCAAAUCAACUCUUCAAAAUUAUAAUUGGACCUUAGAACUUUAAUUUCUUCGAAUAAAAGCCUAAAUAGACAUAAAACUCAAUUUUUCUUUCAAUCAAACCCUCCAUAAAUUCAAUUAAACCUUUAAUAAAAUUUAAUUGAGUCCAUAAACAUCUGAUUUUAGAUAUAUUUUUUUAAAAUUGAAUUUUCUUUGUCAACAGGGCUCUCAUUAGUCAACGAUAUACUGUCAAAUUUCAAUCUUUAUAUUUUUUAACCUCCUCAACCAAUUUUUGGCCAUUUUGAGCAGUCCGACAGCUUUCACUGUGACAUAUAUAUUUUUUUAUUUAUAUUAUUUAAUUAAUUUAUUAUUAUUUAUUUAUUUAAUUUUUUUCAACUCUUACUUUUUGUAUUUUCUUCUUUUUUGUGUGGGGUCCCAAAAAUGGAUAACAACACUUAAGUUCAAAUCUAUUAAUAAAAAUAUAGUUUUAUUGACUUUUUUAUAUACUUUUAUUAGAGAAAUCAAUGUAAACAAAUUUAUGGACAAACAUUAGUUUAUCAAGUACUUAAAUAGAAAAAUAAAAUCAAUUAGAGUACUUGAAUAAAAAAAAUAUAAAUUAUAAGCAUUUUAUAUAUCUUUAUUGUUCAUAAAUUAAAAAUAAAAUAAAAUCAAUCCAGACUAAUCUAAAAAGAGUUAACUAUGACAUCAUCAUUUUGAUAGUAAAACUAAUGAAGAUAUUUUAUUGAUUAAAUUCCGUGAAUAUAAGUAUUCAAAUUGAAAAAAAAAAACAUUGAUACAAGAUUUUAAAUAAAAAAAUUAUAAAAUACAUAUAAUUUGUACUUCUCAUUGUCUCUUUUGCAUUGCUAACACUUAACAAAUUGAAUAUAUAAUUCUCAUGUCAAUAACGUCAGAAUAAAUUUAGCUACAUGACAUAAUAAUACCUGUUUAUUUUUGUAUUUUAAAAAUAUUUUAAAAACAUUAAAUUGUUUUAAAUAGAUAACUUUUGAAUCAUCAAGUAGUGAAACACAGGAAAAGCGAAGAAAGUGAAGAAUAAUCAAAGUGGUGCGUGUCCACAUCAAUUUUUGUCCAUGUUUUUGGUAUUAAUCUCUUCAUCUAUUUACAGCUGGAGAAAAGAACAUCACCUACUACUUUUCUUGUCUCUUCUUACUUGGAAGAUCAGGUAUGUGAAUCUUUGAGUGCCACUUAUUUUAGUACAUAGACUUAGUUAUUUGACCACAACUUCACCACAAGUUAAAUUGUUUUAAUUAAAAAAAUUUAUAUAAAGAUUUCUUCAAUAAAUUUUUUAUUUAAAAAAUUUCUAAGUGAAAAUUAAAAAACUUAUACACAAAUAUAGUUAAAUAAAUCAAGAAUUAUGUGUGUUAAUAAGUGAAAAAAACCAUAAAUGAUGACUCAAAAUAAAAACUGAAAAAAUCAACUGAUAAAUGUAGAUCAAAAUAUUUAAUUUCACAAGACGUGAUAUUAAUGCAGUUGUGUUUUCUAAAAUUUUUAAUUAAAAUAAUUUUUUAAUUUGAUCAAACGAUAAUAAAAAUAGACACACAUAUUAUAAAUUGAUUGAAUAAAAUAAAAAAUAAUAAUAAUAUGCUAGGCUUUAUAUAUUGGAAAUAUUAUUUAAAAAUAAUUUUUUUUAUUUUAAAAAAUAAAAUUUAUCUAUUAAAAAAAUUUAUAUAUUAAAUUCAAAAUAAAUAAACUUUAAAAUAAUUUGCAAGGCUGCACAUAACCCCUUUAAAAGGAAAGUGAUAUAACAAACGUGGAACAAUUUUUAUUAACUAAAUAAACUUAAUAACUAUUAAUAUUAAAUUCGAAAUAUAUAUUAAAACCUAUUAUAUUAAUUUUUGAAUUUAUCAAUUCAGAUGUGAAUUAUAUUUCUAAAAUGUUAUAAGAAAUUUCUAUAUACGACAACUAGCUUAAGAAAGUGAUGUUCAUCAAAACCAUAGAGUACAGAAAAAGAAUUGAAUUGCAUAAAAUUAAGUAAUUAACGGAAACUUAUAUUCCUUCUUAAAACGUUGACCCCAAGUCAAGUUUAUUUAUUAUUAUUUUUUUUGAAAAAAACAUGAAUAAAAGUUAAUGCUAGGCACAUGGGAUAUAGAAGACUUGCAACUUUCUUUAUAGAAAUUACGUGUGUAAAAUUUAGGCCUUGAAAAAAAAUUAAAAAUAAAAUACUAUUAAUCGUGUUGAUAAAAAUUAAUAUAGAGACUUUAUUGAUAAAAAUUCAUAAGAGCAAGUAUUCAAAUUACAAAAAAUAAAAAUAUUUCUUCAAAUUUUCAAUAAAAUUUAUUUCUUGAAAUUAAUGCAUUAAACAAAAUUAAAAUAGUAGUAAAAGUAAAUUUAGUUUUUGAUUGAAGUGUAAACUAGUGGUAAAUGAACAAAAAGAAACUUUAUUGAUUUCUCCAAAAACAAUAUAUAUAUUAUUGAAUAUCUAAUGGAAAGGAUUAUGAAACUCCGCCUAAUAUAUAUAUAUAUAUAACAGAGAAAUUGUCGAUAAUAGCUAUGAUCUAAGUAACUGGACCACGACGAAGACAUAUACAAGAAACAAAAAAAAGAUACUUCACUAACAAUUGGGGUUCUUCAUAAGCUUCAAUAGAAUUGAUAGAGGGUCGAAACAAAAAAGAGAUGAAGAGAGAGGAGGGAAUGGAAAGAAGGGAAAAGAGAACUCUUGCGAUCUGUUGAAUAAGACUCAGUAUAUAUAUAUAUAUAUAAAAUAAAAAAAACUCAAGUUAGCGCAUCAAAUCUUCGACUUGGAUUAUGAGAUCGGGAUAAGAAAACUUAAUAUUUAAAAAUAAAAUUAAAGAAAAAAACUAUAAAAACAUAUAUGGUUUAACAAUAUUAAUCAAUUAUUAAAAUCUUUCAUUUUAUAUAUAUUAAAAAUAAAUAUUAAUAACUAUUAUAUCAAUUUGUGAAUGUUUCAAUUAGGAUGCGAAUAAAUGUUUUAUAUAUGACAUUUUUCUUAAGAAACCAAAGUUAUUAAGCAUGUUUAGAUUUAAUUACCAAAUGAGAGUGAGGGUUGAGGUUAUAGAUUGACCUAAUUAAUACUCAGAUCAAGAUUUAGGUCCUAGAUCGGACAAAUUAGCUUAUUGACUAGUGUUAAUAAAAAAUUGUAUCAUUUUAUGAUUUUUGUUAUAGAAAAAAUCAAAAUGGUGUUGUUAAAAAAAGUAAAACUAGGUUUUAACUGAGUUGACUAGGUUGUGGGUUGAUUUAUCUGGUCAACUAGGCUCAAUUGAGUCAACUCUCACUUGGUUUUUUCUAAACCUAAAUAGGGUUAGGUUCCAGAUUAAAAUGUAAGGCUUGAAUUAAAUUUAAUAACAUUGAUUAAAACCACAAUGUAGGAAAAAAAAUUGAAUUCAUAAAAGUAAUUAACCGAAAACUUGAAUUCCUUCUUAUAAAGUUGAACCCAUGUCGGUUUUUUUAAAGGAAAAGUAUGAAUCAAAGGUUAACGCUAGGCUGCUCACUUUGCAUCACAAUGACAGAUAUGGAAGGCUUGCUACUUUCUUUAUGGAAAUAACGUGUGGAAAAUCAUGCAUUAAUUUUGAUGUUGAUGGCAAAAUCAAACAAUAUCGUUGAUAAAAUGAAUGACAAAUGAUAUUAUUUUUAAAAUACUUCUUGUCAUUGUCAUGACAACAAGUCUUCUUUUUUUUCUUUCUAAAGUACUUGUCAGUCUAUUUUUAUGUAACCCAAUCAACAAGUAAGAUGGAUAGAAAUUUGCAGUGUAAAAUGGGUCUGUGAGACUAUGUAUCGCCAUCUGCAUUUUUCCACGAUCUAGGCCAGUGGGAUGGUACAUGAGACCAUUGCUAUCAAGCGUUUUUUCUACGAGAUGGGUCCAUGAGACCAUUGCCCUGUAAGCUUGGGAAUGGAUAAUUAAUAUGCUUUAAUGUCUAUUUAGUUUGCAAAAAAAAUAAUUAAAUGCUUAUGAAUAAAAAAUAAAUCUCAAGUGUUAAAAUGCAACCACCGAUUAAUUAAUGGACAAUGGACCUUAGAUUAAUACAUGACGCAACUUUCAAUGGAAUUAUAUUUGUGGAGGUAUUUACUCGGAUGCGAAUUAUAUUUCUAUUUUUUUAUUUAAAAAAAUUCUAUACUACAACGAGCUUAAGAAAGUCAUGUUCAGGGGCGGAGCUAUAAUUAUUUGUUAGGAAGAUCAAAAUUAAUAUAAUAAGAUAUAAAAUUUAUUUUAAUUUAUUAUACAUGAGUUCUAAAACAAAACCUGUAUAAUUUAGUUUUAUUCAAAUAACUUACUACAAACAUAUAAUAACCUUUGUGAAGUAUAUUGGGACUGCUCAACCAUAACUUUAACAUUACACAUUGGAGUUGGUUCACUAGGCUGUGAGUUAUCAAUAUUUUUUAUUUUUCUUUUUCAAAAAAAAAUCAAUUCUUCUUAUUUUGUUCAUGGUUCAACCUAAAAUCAAAACAUAUAUCGUAAGAAAAAAUUGAUAAUUUAGUGACUCUGCUAAAAAUAAAACAUAAAACAAAUCCAAGCAUAAUCAAAACAAAACCAAUAAAAUAUAUCUAAUUAAUUAGAAAAAAAAUCAUUAUAAUAAGAAUUCAAAAAAAAAUGGUAAAACUAGCAGAUCUGAGAAAAAAAAAGAGCAAAAAUGAUAGAAAUAUAAAAAAAAUCUCAUCAAAUUAUUAACAAACAUCUCAAAACAAAACAAAUAUAGAUUUUAAAUUUAAGUUACUUUGUUUUGUUUGAUGAAAGAUAAAUUAAUUGGUGGCUCUGCUUCAAUCUUUUUGUAGAAACAUUUUGCUCACAAUUUGUAUUUUUAUUUCUUUGUUUGAUCGGCUGCAGGAUUUAUAUUAGGGUAAAUUAAUGGUUUUGUUUUUUAUUUCACAAAGUAAUGCCUUAAUAUUGUUUUCUUCCAUCUAGGUCAAGAGUAAAUUAAAAGGAAAUCAAAAGUAAAGUCAAUAAUAACCCAAAGUAAUGCCUUAAUUAUUUGAUGUCACAAAGUAAUGCUUUAAUAACCCAAUAAUAAAAAAACAAAAUGUCUUGAGGGGGGCUCGGGCCCCUGCUUGCCCCCUACUUCCACCCUUGGUCAUGUUCAUCGAAAAAAAAAAUUAUAUUUACUCGGAUGUGUUUUUUCUACGAGAUGGGUCCAUGAGAACAUUUCCAUCUGCAUAUUGGUUCUUGAGACCGUUACCAUCAGGGGCGGAGACAGAGGGGCUGGCAGGGGCCCCGGCCCCGGCAAGGAAAAAGUUUUUCCAGCCCCUCCCUUAACAAUAUUUAUAUUUUUAGUUUAAAUAAUAAAACAAUUAAUAUUUUGAUCCCCUUUAAUUUUAUUUUCUGGUUCUGCCCCUGGUUGCCAUCAUGCAUUUUUCCUCGAGGAGAGGCCAUGAGACGUCCUCUUCCAACCAUCAUGCAUUUUUUCCACGAGAUGGGUUCGUGGAGAAACUUUGGUUUAAUUGGGAAUGCUGUUAUUGAUUGGAAACUUUUUAAUUAAAAUAAAUUUGAUUAUUUGAUUGGAAAAAAUCCUUAAAUGUUAUUAACACAAGAAAUGAAUUUAUUUUCUUAAGAAAAAAAUAUUGUAACCAUAUAAGUAAUUUAUUUAUUUAUUUUAAUGAAAUAUAAAAUAGUUUUAAAUCUUGUGGUAUAUUUCUUGUCUUUAAGAGCUAUGAACUUAUAUCGCAAACCUUGAAAACUAAUAUAAAGAUAUUAAGUGAUCAUUAAGUGUGUGUGUAUGUAUAUAAUCUUUUUCAAAACAAAAAGGAUUUUGAUGGAGAUCAGGACAUUGCAACAAAUUAUCCACCACGAGAUGGGUCACUGAUACCAUUGUCAUCAUGCAAUUUUUUCCCACGAGAUGGGGCCGUACGCUUGGGGCUCUAAAACGCUAUGGUUUUUAAUUUCAUUAUGUCACAUCUAGAAUGGCAGGUAUAUUUUAUUUCAAUUUAAACAAUGGAAUAAAUUAGAAGAUAUUUCAUCUCGUUUGGAAUCUUAUCUCAUUUCAUGAAUUUCACCUAAAUUCUGGCCGGAAUAUUUUGGUUCUAUUCCAGCCAUUCUAUUAUGAUCAAAUAAUGUUUUGUUUUGCUUUUAUAAAAAAAAAAAUAUAGUCUAGUUUUACGGUAUCAAUUAUAUCUCUCAAUUCAACUGUUGAAUUAUACUAAAAUUUUACAAGGAAUCUCCUAACAUAUAUUUAUAUCGCAAGUUAAAAUUUUAGAACAAUUAGAGUUUAGAAAGACUUUGUGAGAUUGCCGAUGACAUUUUCAUAAUUUUAUUUAAAUUCAUAAUUUGGUUUCGUAAGGUCAUUUUUUGUGUCUUCUUUUAGAUUGUUUUGUUUUUCCAAUUUCAUAAUUCAACAAUAAGUUUAUUAAAAAUUGAGAUUCAUAAUUUGUUUUUAUUUUGGAUUAUUAUGGUCUCAUAAUCUGGGUCACGGAUUUAAAAGAUUAACUUAGAUUAACCCGAGUCUAUCCAAUAUGUCGUUGUCUCAAUAUUUUUAACAAACAUAAUUUUAAUUGACAUUUAAAAAUAAACUAACUUAAAAUUAUACAAUUUAAAUUUCAAAUAUAAGUAAAAAUAAAGAGUUAAAUCGAUAUGACCCAUUUGAUUUGAUGAGUCCAAAGUAUAUAUAGAACAAUCCAAAAUGACACAUCAAAAUACUCAAAAACAAAAAUAUAUUGUUACAAUUAAAAAAAUAAAACACCAAUUAAAAUGGAAUUAACAUCCUUGCUUCAUAGAAGCCUAAACUCCUCGCUACCAUUUGCAAGAGAUAGUUAUACCAAUAGCAAUUUAGUAAUGUUGGUCAGAAUUUAAUAUCCUUCUCGAUAAGAAGAUCCUUAUCUUAUCGGAUAAAACCUAAUUGUUCUAACGUCAACAAAAGAAUUUAAUAUUCGGAAUACAUCUUACGUAUAAGGUCGUAACCCAAAUACUAAAAGAAAAAAAAUAAUAUUUUUGGAAUUUUUGAAAUAUUGGUCUAGUUCUCGUGACUUUAAUAAACUGGUUAUUAAAACCAAAAUGCAUGUUAAUACAUAUUUUUGAAUUUUUGUUGUAUGAAAAUAUGAUAUGAUUUUUUUUCUUUGAGAUACUUGGCCAUAUGCAUGAAAAUAAAAACAUGUUUUUUUUUUAAUUUUUCAAUGUUUCGACGAAAACUGGGUAUUUUAAUUCCAGAUUUGUAUCUUUACAGUAUAAAAAUACAAAUCAAUACUAAGAAAAAAUCAAUAGAAAAAUACGCGGUAAAAUCACAGAUUUUUUAAAAUGAUUUUUUUUUGACCGGGUAGGCGUUGUUCGGGUCAGAAAACUAAAACAAACAGUGGAGAGACUCUCUGCUGUUCACAUGCAACGUGAACAGUGGAGCGGCCUGGAGAAGACUAAGAAGAGGAGGAGGAAGAGGAAGAAGCAGACCUGCAGCCUAGCGGUGCUGCCAGUGGCGGUGGACGGUGUUGCGGUUGCGGACCGUGGUGCUGACUGGUUGGUGGUUCUUCUUUCUUUCUCUGCGUUUCCCUUCUGCUUUUUUUCUGUUCUACUCUAUUCUUCCUCUUGUUCCCUGUUUUAUUCUCUCUCCCUCUCUGGUCCUCUCAAACGUCCCCUGGAGCUGCUGCCUGAAGAUGAAGAUGAAGUUGAGGGUGAUCAGUGCUCUGAUCGAGCAACGUUUCUUUCUUUCCUUCUGCUACUGUUUUCGUUUCUGAUUCUCCUUUUUGUUCAAUUCUUAUUUGCACUCUUCUUCUUCUUCGUCGUCUCUGGUUUUUGAAAUGACGAAGACGAUGGCAACGCUGGUUCUGGUCUCAACGAUUUCCUCUCCUUACAUUCUUUCCUUCUGCUCAUUUCCGUCUCCCUCUCGUGCUACUCCCCACUUUCUCUCUUGUCCUGCUGGCUCUCCCUCCUUGUCUCCUCCUUUUUUUUUUUCCUGUCCGUCUCUCCUCUGGCUUUAUAUAGCGAGAGGAUGCAUGCUUUUCGGGAUUUAUUGCAGGAAGGUUGUAACAGCCGGAGUGUAUCAUGGUGGAGAAGGAUAUCAGCCGUGAGACAUGCUCCCCUGAUUGAAGCAGCUCCACCGCUAACAUCUUCACUACCUUUUACUGUAGAAACCGUUGUUGAUGAAGAAGGUAAUGAACAGUUGUCAAGGAAAUGGUACCGUUUUAAAAUUCAAAAUGAAUAUUUCCGAUUUGGUCAUUGGAUUUUUUGCAAUUUUGUAAUCAAGCCCCCGAAUAAAUUGUAAAUGGAUCUCUGGAUUUUAGCCCCAUUUACAAGACAAUUUUUUGUUCUGGAUUCAUGCAAUUUGACCCUCAAUUGAUCAAUAAACUUCUAAUUUCUUCAAUUUAACCCCUGAGUUGGUCAAUUGCAGCCUCUCUAUUUACGUGUCUUUUCCGAUUUGGUCCUUGGUUUCGUAUUUUUUCAAUCAAGUCCCUAAUUGCCCAUAAAACUUUAAUAAUUAUGCAAUUAAGCUCCUGAUUUGACCAAAUCAACUCUUCAAAAUUAUAAUUGUACCCUAGAACUUUAAUUUCUUCCAAUAAAAGCCUAAAUCGACAUAAAACUUAAUUUUUCUUUCAAUCAAACCCUCCAUAAAUUCAAUUAAACCCUCAAUAAAAUUUAAUUUAGUCCAUAAACAUCUGAUUUUGGAUAUAUUUUUUUUAAAAAUGAAUUUUCUUUGUCAACAGGGCUCUCAUUAGUCAACGAUAUACUAUCAAAUUUCAAUCUUUGUAUUUUUUAACCUCCUCAACCAAUUUUUAGCUAUUUUGGGCGGUCCAACAGCUUUCUCACUACGACAUAUAUUUUUAUUUAUUUAUUUAUUAUUAUUAUUUAUUUACUUUUUUUCGACUCUUACUUUUUGUAUUUUCUUCUUUUUUGUGUGAGGUCCUAAAAAUGGGUAACAAUACUUAAGUUCAAAUCUAUUAAUAAAAUAUAGUUUUAUUGAAUUUUUUUAUAUACUUUUAUUAGAGAAAUCAAUGUAAACAAAUUUACGGAAAAACAUUAGUUUAUCAAGUACUUAAAUAGAAAAAUAAAAUCAAUUAGAGUACUUGAAUAAAAAAAAUAUAAAUUAUAAGCAUUUUAUAUAUCUUUAUCGUUCAUACAUUAAGAUAUUUUAUUGAUUAAAUUUUGUGAAUAUAAGUAUUCAAAUUGAAAAAAAAAACAUUGAUGCAAGCUUUUAAAUAAAAAAAAUUAUAAAAUACAUAUAAUUUGCACUUCUCAUUGUCUCUUUCGCAUUGCUAACACUUAACAAAUUGAAUAUAUAAUUCUCGUGUGAAUAACGUCAGAAUAAAUUUAGUUAUAUGACAUUAUAAUACCUUUUUAUUUUUAUAUUUUAAAAAUAUUUUAAAAAAAUUAAAUUGUUUUAAAUAGAUAACUUUUGAAUCAUCAAGUAGUGAAACACAAGAAAAGCGAAGAAAGUGAAGAAUAAUCAAAGUGGUGCGGGUCCACAUCAAUUUUUGUCCAUGUUUUUGGUAUUAAUCUCUUCAUCUAUUUACAGCCGGAGAAAAGAACAUCACCUACUACUUUUCUUGUCUCUUCUUGCUUGGAAGAUAAGGCAUGUGAACCUUUGAGUGCCACUCAUUUUAGUACAUAGACUUGGUUAUUUGACCACAGCUUCACCACAAGUUAAAUUGUUUUAAUUAAAAAAAAUUAUAUAUAGAUUUCUUCAAUAAAUUUUUUAUUUAAAAUUUUUUUAAGUGAAAAUUGAAAAACUUAUACACAAAUAUUGUUAAAUAAAUCAAGAAUUUUGUGUAUUAAUAAGUGAAAAAAACCAUAAAUGAUGACUUAAAAUAAAAACUGGAAAAAUCAAUAAACAAAUGUAGAUCAAAAUAUUUAAUUUCACAAAACGUGAUAUUACAGUUGUGUUUUCUAAAUUUUCUAAUUAAAAUAAUUUUUUAAUUCGAUCAAACGAUAAUAAAAAUAGACACACAUAUUAUAAAUUGAUUGAAUAAAAUAAAAAAUAAUAAUAAUAUGUCAGGCUUCAUAUAUUGGAAAUAUUUUUUGAAAAUAUUUUUUUUAUUUUUAAAAAUAUAGUUUAUCUAUUAAAAAAAUUAUAUAUUAAAUUCAAAAUAAAUAAACUUUAAAAUAAUUUGCAAGGCUGCACAUAAGCCCUUUAAAAGGAAAGUGAUAUAACAAAAGUGGAACAAUUUUUAUUAACUAAAUAAACUCUAUAACUAUUAAUAUUAAAUUCAAAAUAUAUAUUAAAAAUAAAUAUUAAAACCUAUUAUAUUAAUUUGUGAAUUUAUCAAUUGAGAUGUGAAUUAUAUUUCUAAAAUGUUAUAAGAAAUUUCUAUAUACUACAACUAGCUUAAGAAAAUCAAGUUCAUCGAAACCGUAGAGUACAGAAAAAAAAUGAAUUGCAUGAUUAACCAAAACUUAUAUUUCUUCUUAAAACGUUGACCCCAAGUCAAGUUUUUUUUUUUUUUUGAAAAAAACAUGAAUACAAGGUUAAUGCUAGGCACAUGACGAUGAUGGAUAUACAAGACCUGCUCCUUUCUUUAUGGAAAUUACGUGUGGAAAAUUUAGGCCUUGAAAAAAAUUAAAAAAAAAAUACUAUUAAUCAUGUUAUUUGCAUUAUGGCAAAUAUAGAGACUUGAUUGAUAAAAAUUUAUAAGAGCAAGUAUUCAAAUUUUAAAAUAAAUAAAUAAAUCAAUUCAAGUUUUUAAUUAGAAAAAACAAGAUACAAAUACUCUGUGUAAGUGCCACUAACUCUUUGUAUUUUCUAACUAUUAAAGAAUUGAAUAUAUAAUACACGGGUGAUAAACAUCAAAAUAAAUCCAAUUGUAUAAUUUACUAAGAUUUUAAAAACUAACACUACAUAGAAAAAAAAAUCUUAAAAUAAAUAACAGAAAACUUGUAUUCCUUCGAGGGGUGUUUGAGAGUGUGGUAGCGGUUGCUUUUCAAAGUUUUUUCCCUUAAAAAUGCAUCAAAAUAAAUUUUUUUGAUUUUUUAAAAAUUAUUUUUAACAUCAUUAUAUCAAAAUGAUCUAAAAAUAUUAAAAAUAUAUUAAUUUAAAGCAAAAAAUAUAAAAAAAAUUAAAAAAUUUUAAUAAUACUUUUAAAAUACUAAAACAAACAAGAUAUUAAAAAAUAUACUACAAGUCAAAGUCUUUUUGAAAAAAAACAUUAAUAAAAGGUUAAUGGCAGGUAGCUUAUUUUCUGCCCUAAUAAAGCUCAAGGUCUGUUCAGAAAACUAAGUACGUAGGCAUACACCCAAUCCAAGCACCAUCAAAUCAUUUUUUAUACAUAGGGAUAGGAACGCUAGCUUCACAUGAUAGAUAAAAAAAAUUAAAAGAUAAUAAAAUUAAAAAAAUAAUUAUAAUCUUAUAUAUUAUUUUAAAUAAAAUAAAUAUUGAUUAAAAAAACCAAAUAUAAUAAAUUAAAAUAUUUAAUUUAAAAAAGAUAAGAGAAAAGUAAAUGAGAAUUAAAGUUGAUAUAAAAAUUAAAUUAUAAAAUAUAAAAUUCAAAAAAAAAAUAAAACCAAUUUUUUUUUUCUAAAAGAUAAUAUUCAGAUUAAAAGCAUUAUAAAAAGAAUAGCUCCUUGUUUCUUCCUUGUUUCAAUUUCAAGAUAUUAAGAUUAAAACCCAAUCGUAUAGCUGGUUGGGUUGAGAAGAAAGGUUUGCUUUUGUAUUACAAAUUAUUUAGAUUAGUUUUUUUUUAAAAUUAAUCAAAUUAGUAUCAUUUUGGUUCUCCAUCGAAGAAAAUAGAAAACAUAUUUAGUAAUAAGGUGUUGUUUAAUUCCUUAUAUUAUUAAUAUAAUCAUGGCAUCAUCACUGUAACAAUAAGUCCUCUUACUUGUAUUUUCACCGUCCCAACCUCUUUACAUGGCGUCACCGUAGCAAUUAUAUAUCUCUUGAUCAAUCAUAAUUAAAUUACUGUAAUAAUAUCUUUUUUUAUUCUUUUAUAUGAAGUCUUAAUUUAUUUUUUUAUAUAGGUAGUUAUGAAUUACAGAAAUUGAACAAUUUAGAGAUCUUUGACUUAGAAUCUAAUUGUUUCGAUAACAGUAUUAUAUUAUAGAGGGAUUUUUAUCCCUUAAAUUAUUAUAUUUAGAUUAAAAAAUAAAAACUAAUUAGGAGUCAAUUAAAUAAAUAAAUAAAAACCCUCAAAAGAUAAAAGAAGAAAACAUAAAAAGUACACUACCCAACCAAUAAUUGACCUGAAUCACAUGUUGUCCACUGCCAGAACUUAUUAGCAAUCUGCUUACAACAGCAAAUUGAUCAAUAAGAAAGACUUAAAUUCCAAAUUUAAAAACCAACUCAAUUGAGAUCCUUAUUAUUCAUUCAAUUAGUUGCUUCUUGCUAACUCUUUUAUUUCCUUUAUAAUUUUAAUUCAUUUUAAUAUAAUUUCUUGAUUGUGGCAAGCUUCCUUUAUCUCAAGAACUUGGAAUACUUGGAUUUCCCAAGAAAAAAUUAACUUAAGACUUUAGUUAAUGCUAUGAACACGAGUAAAUGAUAUGCUAAAGAAAAAACCAUGUAUUUAAGAACCAUUGCUAAGCUACAGGUUCAGGAGCCAUAAACCACUCACAUUUAGUGGGGUUGAUCUCAAAUUCAGACAAAUCUACUUGUCCAGUUCGGAGAACCUUCAAACAAAAAGAAGAAUGAAACCUUGUAAAAUUGGCUAUCAUCAAAAGGACAAGAAACAGUACAAGAAGGAUCAGCCUCGCAUUUCUUGCAUAAGUAAAAGAAUCCACUUGUUAAUGGAAAGGAGGACUCUGCAACAAGUCUAAAAUAUCCUCUGGAGUUCAGUGACCCUACAACCUUAUAUUUACCUCAGAAUGCACCCACGUAAAGCACACAGGAAAUCCCAACACAUAAGACAACAAAAGAAAACAUAUAAUUAGCAGAAAAAAAAAGGUUGUACAAUUCUUUCAUAGCUUACAGUACGUAUAGAAUAAGCAUUAUCAAAUCAGGCUAACAUACCUCAGGUAAGUGAGAUGUUAAUCCUUCUUCAAGCGGCAAUGUCUCAAUCAAUGACAUUAUCAAAUCAGGCUUCAGUAUAUCCCCUAAUCCCAAGCCUAGGACAACAAAAGAAAACAUCAUGAAAAAAAAUGAUUUUACAGUAAUGCACCCAGUGCCAGAGCAUAUAAUUAGCAGAAAUAAAGGUUGUACAAUUCUUUCACAGCUUACAAUACGUAUAGAAUAGGCAUUAAUAAUUACCUUCAUCUGGAUCGGCCAAACUACCUGCAACAUCUAUCAUCACAUCACGGCGCGGGCCACCCUAAGUACAGCAAACAAGGAUAUGGUCAAUUGCACUAUCUGAGCAUAACACAGAUAUUACUCAGGAUUCUUUGCAAGUCUUCCAAUUUCACUGGUUCUGAUGAAGAGUUUACAUCAUUCAUUACUUCUGCACCAAGGUCUGGGACAACUAAGUUUCCAGUCCUGAGAGCUAUGAGCAAAAAUCUCAUCAGAAUAAAAGAAAAUGGCAACGUAAUACUGGGCCAUUUCUUUUUUGUAAUAAAAGUGCUCCUUAACCUUUUUGAAGUUAUUUUACAAUGAAUUACAAGCAUUAAACUUGUAUAUACAUGGACAAACACCAAGUUAUGAUUCUAAAUUUCCAUAUAAAAGAUGCCCCAAGUUUUAAAAUUUACCCCGAGGGCAAGUCUGUGCAAGAGCAUAAGGGGAUGAAGGAUUUGACAUGGACUAAGGUGGGUGAGAUGUUUUUGUCAAGAAAUGAUUUUGGAAAAUUUCUUGAUAUUUCUUGAAUAAAUAAGAUAGGAGUCUUCAUCAAGGCAAGAACAUAGGCUCUCCAAGAUAAUUGACCAGAAGGAGAGAAGGGAGGCUCAUCCUGCUCCACAGACUCUUAGUCUCAAAGAACAAAAAAUUACUUGGCUCUAUAUCCUUACUCUUACUUGCUAUAUCAACUCUUAGAGUUGAAGUAUCUGAAAGGGUUUAUUUUUAGUAUUUGAAUAAGUCCAUGAGUCCCUAGUCUUCAGGAAGAUAUACAUGGUCAAGAUUAAAUUAAGGAUUUUAGUUGCUUAUUUUUCGUUAUUUCAUGUGCCACGUUACUGUGAACGUGAGCUAUUUUUCAGUCUUAUUAUUAUUCCUGUAAGGCUAUUUAUUAGCCAUUUCCAUUCAGUAAAAGCAAUUCAUUCAAUUCAAAUACUGUGCACUUUUGUUCUUAUUCUUUACAAUUGGUAUCAGAGCUAUUACAUCUGACCUGUUACGAAGAAAUAGAUACAAAAGGAAGACAUAUUUUUGAGUGACUUCAAACUUAGAGUGAGUGAGUGCUUGAGUGCUUUUAAACACAGAGUGAGUGAGUUUGAGUGUUUUUUAAACACAGAGUGAGAAAGAGAGUUCUUGAGGGUCAAUUUCAACAAUGGCAGCAGAGUCCAGCAAUUUUGUAUCACCUUGCAUCCCGAAAUUUGAUGGAGACUACGAGCAUUGGAACAUGCUAAUGGAGAAUCUCUUGCAUUCCAAAGAGUAUUGGAACGUUAUUGAGACAGGAUAUGUCGAGCCUGCAUCAGGGGAAAUUCUGAAUAAUGCACAGAAAAAGACAUUGGAGGAGACAAAGCUGAAAGAUUUAAAGGUUAAAAAUUACCUUUUUCAGUCCAUCGACAAAUCCAUUCUGAAGACUAUUACUCAAAAAGACACAGCAAAACAGUUGUGGGAUUCCAUGAAGAUCAAAUACCAAGGAAAUACAAGGGUUCGGCGUGCUCAACUUCAAAUCUUUCGCAGGAAUUUUGAAGUGCUGGAAAUGAAACAAGGAGAAACUGUCACAAGUUAUUUUGGAAGAGUUAUGCUGGUGGCAAAUGACAUGCGAAAUCUGGGAGAAAGCAUACCUGAUGAGAAGAUUGUAGAGAAGAUUUUACGCACACUUACUGAGAAGUACAAUUACAUAGUGUGCUCCAUUGAGGAGUCUAAAGAUAUUAAUCAUCUUUCAGUUGAUGAGCUGUAGAGUUCAUUACUUGUUCAUGAACAGAAAUUCAAAAGGCAUGACACAGAUGAUCAUGCCCUGAGAAUCUAUGAUGACAGAUUCUGUGGCAGAGGUCGUGGCAGAAACAAUUACAGAAGCCGAGGCCGUGGGGGCAGAACACAAACAUUCAAUAGAGACAUGGUGGAAUGUUUCAGGUGUCACAAACUUGGACACUUCCAAUACGAGUGUCCAACCAUGAACAAGGCAGCUAAUUAUGUGGAGCUAGAUGAUGAAGAUGAGAUGCUGCUAAUGUCCUAUGUUACAUUAGCUAAGACAACACGGAAUGAUGCAUGGUUCCUGGAUUCAGGAUGUUCUAAUCAUAUGUGUGGUUAUAGAGGUAUGUUCUCCUACUUGGAUGAAAAUUUUCAGCAUUCAGUCAAACUUGGAAACAAUAGCAGAAUGGCAGUAGUUAGCAAAGGCAGAGUAAAAUUACUAAUCAAUGGUAUUAAGCAUGUUGUUAAUGAUGUCUAUUAUGUACCAGAGCUUAAAAAUAAUUUACUGAGCAUAGGUCAACUACAAGAAAGGGGCUUAGCAAUUUUAAUUAAGAAUGGAGUUUGUAAGAUUUACCAUCCUGAGAAGGGUUUGAUCAUUCAAACCAAGAUGAGUGCAAAUUGGAUGUUCAUCCUACUUGCACAGACUCAAGCUCCCGUACAUGCACAGACUCAGAAUCAAGAGAAUUGUCUUCUCACCGGUUCUCAAAAUCCCUCAGUGCUAUGGCACAGACGGUUCGGUCACUUAAGCUACAAAGGCUUAAGAACCUUACAAUGGAGACAUAUGGUACAUGGACUGCCCACCUUCUCGACUCCCACCAUCACCUGCACAGAUUGCCUCAAUGGCAAGCAACACAGAGAGGUCAUGCCCAAACACAGCAAAUGGAGAGCAAAUCAGAAAUUGGAAUUAAUUCAUGCAGACAUUUGCGGUCCUAUUUCCCCCGAAUCCAAUAGUGGCAAAAGGUACAUAUUAUGUUUCAUUGAUGAUUUCAGCCGAAACUAUGGGCAUUUCUUUUAGCUACAAAAUCCGAAGCUUUCAUUUAUUUUAAGAAAUUCAAAGCUAUGGUGGAAAAAGAAACCCUAUUGCAUGUGAAGUGUCUAAGGACUGACAGGGGAGGAGAAUUUACCUCAAGUGAAUUCAACGAAUUCUGCAGCCAACAAGGUAUCAAACGGCAGCUCACCACGGCGUACACUCCACAGCAAAAUGGAGUUGCAGAGAGAAAAAAUCGAACCGUGAUGAACAUGGUCCGAUCAAUCCUCUCUGGUAAAGGGAUUCCAAAACCCUUCUGGCCAAAGGUAGUGAACUGGGCCUUCUAUGUGCUCAAUCGGUGCCCAACUUAUGCUUUGACAGACAUCACUCCUCAUGAGGCAUGGAGCGGAACUAAACCAUCAGUAGACCAUUUCAGGGUCUUUGGGUGCUUGGCCCAUGUUCACGUUCCAGAUGUGAAACGGAGUAAGCUUGAUAACAAAAGCUUUGUGUGUGUACUGUUGGGUAUGAGUGAGGAGUCAAAGGGGUACAAGUUGUUUGAUCCUUUAAACAAAAAAAUCGUGGUUAGCAAAGAUGUGAUCUUUGAGGAGGACAAACAGUGGGAUUGGGAUGUUGCUUAUGAAGAACAAAUCUUGACAGAUUUGGUUUGGGGUGACAGAGAAGGAACACGUGAAGAUGGUGAUAAUAGUGAUGACAAUCACGGGGAUGAGAGUGGUGAACGUGAGGCUGAAAUCAAUGGGGAAGAAGGGGAAGAAAACGAAGAACACAGACACAUUGUCUGUGAAGAUGAUGAAAAUGCUGAGAGAGAAGAAGAAGAAGCUGAGUUAAAUGAUCUUACGGUGUGUAUGCUGCCAGUUGGAAGAAUAGGUGAGCAGGUCAAUCCUACGGCAUGAACGCGGCCAAGUGAACAAAGGGAGAUGACAGAUGGCAAAAUAGAUGUUAAUCCAACGGUGAGAAUUCAGUCUGACAGGGAGAGUGAUUAGAUGACAUGUGGCGUACAUCCAACGGCACAAAACAUGGCAGACGGAGAGAAUGAGCUGCUGACAAGUGGAGACAAUCCAACGACUGACAUGCAAUCUGACGGGGAGAGUGGCCUGCUGACAAGUGGAAGAAGAGAAAGGGGUCCUCCGGUGUGGAUGCAAGAUUAUGUUACAGGGGAGGAUUUAUCUGAAUAUGAGUCCAAUAUGGCACUAAUUAUGUCUUCUGAUCCCAUUUAUUUUGAAGAUGCUGUGAAAGUUAACACUGGAGACUUGCUAUGGACAGUGAAAUUAAUGCAAUAGAGAAGAACAAUACCUGGACGCUCAACGAGUUGCCGGAGGGAGCAAAAAAAAUUGGAGUCAAAUGGGUCUACAAAACAAAGUACAACGAACAUGGGGAUGUUGAUAAAUACAAGGCAAGGCUAGUUGCCAAAGGGUACUCGCAACAACACGGAAUUGACUAUACAGAAGUCUUUGCACCAGUGGCAAGGAUGGAUACAGUAAGGAUGAUUAUUGCUCUCGCCGCUCAAAAAAACUGGAUUGUUUAUCAGUUGGAUGUCAAAUCGGCUUUUCUGCAUGGGGAAUUGCAUGAAGAUGUUUAUGUUGAUCAACCAAAAGGGUAUGAAAAGAAGGCUAGCGAACAUCUAGUUUACAAGCUGCAUAAAGCGUUGUACGGGUUAAAACAAGCUCCAAGAGCUUGGUUCAGUCGAAUCGAGGGUCAUUUUUUCAAUGAAGGCUUUCUACGGUGUGAAAGUGAGCAAACUUUAUUCACAAAGAGAAGCAGGGAAGGAAAGAUUAUCAUUGUAAGUGUUUACGUUGAUGAUCUAAUAUUUACUGGCGAUGAUACACAUAUGUUGUCUGAAUUCAAAAACUCCAUGAUGAGGGAGUUUGACAUGUCAGAUUUGGGGAAGAUGCGGUAUUUCUUGGGAAUCAAAGUAUUACAGCAUUCAGGUGGCACCUACAUAUGUCAGAAGAAAUAUGCACUAGAGGUGUUGAAGAGGUUUGGUAUGAUGGAAUGCAAUGCGGUGAAAAAUCCAAUAGUUCCCGGAUGCAGAGUCAACAAAGAUGAAGGCGAAGCUAAAGUAGAUGAAACAUAUUAUAAGCAGUUAGUGGGCAGCCUAAUGUAUCUCAUAGCAACAAGACCAGACAUGAUGUUUGUUACUUGUCUCAUCAGCAGAUACAUGGCCAAACCUACGGAACUUCAUCUACAAGUAGCAAAAAGGGCACUUAGAUAUCUAAGAGGGACAAUAAAUUUUGGAAUUUAUUACAAGAAAGGGGGAAGUGAUGAACUACUCUCAUUUACGGAUAGUGAUUAUGCUGGAGAUAUGGAGGAUAGAAAGAGUACAAGUGGAUAUGUUUUUUUGUUAAGCUCAGGAGCAGUCUCAUGGAGUUCGAAGAAGCAACCAAUAGUGACUCUUUCUACAACUGAAGCAGAAUUUGUAGCAGCCGCAAUGUGUGUAUGUCAAGCUCUUUGGAUAAAAAGAGUCUUGAAGGAAUUGGGACACUCAAAUAAUGAGUGCACACAAGUGAAAUGUGAUAACAGCUCAACUAUUAAAUUGUCCAAAAAUCCAGUGAUGCAUGGACGCAGUAAGCAUAUCGAUGUAAGAUAUCACUUUCUGAGAAAUCUUACUAAAGAAGGUACAAUUGCAUUAGUUCAUUACGGAAGUCAGGAUCAGGUGGCAGAUUUAAUGACCAAGCCUUUAAAGCUUGAUGCAUUUCUGAAACUAAGAACACUGUUGGGAGUCCAAGAAAUUACUGAUGUAAACUAACUGCAUACUGCAGUAAGUUUAAGGGAAGGAAUGAAAGGGUUUAUUUUUAGUAUUUGAAUAAGUCCACGAGUCCCUAGUCUUCAGGAAGAUAUACAUGGUCAAGAUUAAAUUAAGGAUUUUAGUUGCUUAUUUUUCGUUAUUUCAUGUGCCACGUUACUGUGAACGUGAGCUAUUUUUCAGUCUUAUUAUUAUUCCUGUAAGGCUAUUUAUUAGCCAUUUCCAUUCAGUAAAAGCAAUUCAUUCAAUUCAAAUACUGUGCACUUUUGUUCUUAUUCUUUACAGUAUCAUCUUUGAGUAUGCUUAUUUGUUAUAAUAAAUAUACCUUGAUGAGAUAUUAUCUUUAAGCAUGUCUUCAAAAACUUGGAAAGGAGUAGAAGCAUCAGGCUCUUCUUCAUCAAGGAACUCUGCCAGGCAAUAAGAUAAAGUAGCGACGUUGCUGAUGGAAAAACUUCACUCUUGAAUGAGUGCUGAAGUUAUAAGCCAGGUCAUUAGUUUGAAGGAGUAAAACUGGUUAGUAAAAUUUUAGGAAAACCAAUUCACACAUACGGAGUGUGUAACUAAAAUAAAUAAACAGGAAGUAGAAAACAGGAAAUCCAAUUAGUCUAAUAUGAUAUUUCUGUGAAAUAGAGGUUUUCUUUAUGAAAUUGUGGAGAUGAGAGGAGAUAAAUGCAGAUGCAAGAUAAAAAAAAACAAUAAAAAAAAACACAAAAGUAGCAUGGCUAGCAAAGGACUCAAAACACAAAAGUAUUUACCAAAUGGACGAUUAAUAUAAUAGUUGAUAGAGCUACACAAUUGUGAAUCAUCUUUAGCUUUUGGCUCCUGCAAACAUGUUACACAAUUUUCCAAAAUCAUGCAACUAACAGCCGAGUCAAUGUUACACAUAAGAGAGUGAAAAACACAGAAAAUGAACCUGACCUGCAUCCAAAUGAAAAACUUUCAAUCAUCUGUAUUGAAUUUCAAGAUGUAAACUCUUCCCAAAGCUUGAUUAACCUGAAUAACCCAAAGAAUUAUGAAUCUAUGAUAUUACAAUCAAUUAUUAGAGUCAAAUAUCUCCCAUCUAAGAAAAAACUAAGAGAGAAAAGUGUACCUUCUCAAAAACAGCCUCUUCAGAAAAAAAAAUCUGAUCCUGUCAAUCAACACGUCAAGAAAAAGCUACCAAGUUCUUACCUCAAAAGAAUAUUAACAAAACAAACAACAGAAAAAGAAAUAAAAACCAAUGUUGGAAGAGAGAAACAAAAUCCCCAGGCUAAAAAACAUAAUAAUAACUAGGACACAUCUUCCACAGCAUUCAAAUUCCUAUCAAGCCACUGGAAAUGAAGCAAACCCUCGUCACCCUGGAACAAUUCAAAAAUUUCGACUUCAAACAGGAAACAAGAUGCUAGAAACACUCUAUCUAGUACUUAAGAUAAACCAAAACAACAGAAGUAACUAAAAAUCUUUACACAGGUACGAACUCUGUAUAACACAAAAAAACCAAAAGACACCAGUUUACCCUUCCAAUGCGAACAAGUCCUUUUCGAGAAUCAGGAACAAACUUUUUUCCAUCAAAAACCAUUUUACCAGCACGAAACUCCAACAUAAUUUCCUACCAACAAAACAACCACAACAUCAUAACAUAACCCCAUCAAGAAAAACAUACUUAUACAUCCAAAAAAGCAAUUACAGGCUCUAAUUAAUAAGAUACAAGAUUUUAAGCAAAACCCACAAUUUUAAAAGUGAUUUUAUUUACCUGCAUUGCUGAAAUAUCUACAGCUGAUGAAGAACCCAUUUUUCGCAUACUUCCUCUAAAGCUUCCUUUUUUCCAACACUGCAAAAAAAAAAAAAGAAGAACAAAUCAAAUACCCAAAUCAGAAACAAUAACAGAAAAAAAAUAAAAGAAAAUCCAAUGCUGGAAGUUGUAAUCAGGAGGAGAACCAUACAAUUUCUGAUGGAAUGACAUUUUAUCAAGAAUUGAACUAGGCAUUCAGUUAAUUAAAUAGGUUGUAAACUUGUAAUCAGGUGAGAGUAGUGUCAACAUGUUUAGUUUUCCUCUCGGAAGUGUCAUUCUGCACAAAUCAGUGUUUUAAAAAUAUUAAAAAAAAAAUUUAAUUUGUUUUUAAAUUUGUUUUUUAGUGGUUUUCAUUUAUUUUCGUGUAUUAAUAUUAAAAAUAAUUUUUAAAAAAUAAAAAAUAUAUUAUUUCAAUUUAUUUUAAAAUAAAAAAAAAACUUAAAAAAAAUACUGUUAACACAGUAUUAAACAAACUCGAAUCCUAUAACCAGAUGAACAACGUUAAGAUAUUUGUUUUUUGUUUUUUGUUUUUUUUGAUAAUGAGGAUGUCCUAAACAAUCUUGCCUAAUGAUUGUUAAGAAAUGAAAGAGGCAAUGCAUGGCUAAACCAAUGGAAGCUAAAAAGCUAAUGAUGCCCCUAGCUAGUAAGCAAUUGUUGCCGCAAUGACAUAUGCCUCAUUAGAGAUAGAUUUGAAUUUACAUAUUAUUAUUAUCAUAUAUUUUGUAUUCUCGUUUAAAAAAAUAAAUAUUUUCCUUAUAUGGAGUAGAGUGUUUUUAAUUUUAUCAUGUAAAAUUUAUAUAUAUUUUAAAAAUUAAUACAAUAUACAGUUAAACAUCUAUAAAUUAAUAUCAUUGAGACCAUGAAAUUUAUUAAUUAAUCAAGAUAUUAUUUAGUAAAUAAAUUUAUACACUUAUCCAUUAAUCACAAAAAAAUUUCUUUUUCAAAAACAUUGAACUCAAUACAUGCAUUGUGUAUUCUGAUUAUAUGAAUAUUAUCUAAUUAUCAAAUUAUGAAUUAUCAUAGUUCUAUAUAUUUAUUUAAAUAAAACAAGUUUAAGAAUUAAUGUAAUCGAUCUUAUUAAUUAAUAAAAGUCAUGUAUGUAUCUAUUUUUGCAAAUUGGAUGCAUACUUAAUUAAUAUUAAGUCAAGAACAAAACCAAAAAAAGGAAUAUACAAGUGAGCCAAACAACAAUAUUAAAAACGAAUAAGAGGUUGAAUUAAUAUUCAUUAACUAAUAAUAAAAUUAAGAAGAUGAUACCAAAGGACACAAAAUCACAAAAAUUCGUGAAACUACAUAAGGCGGUUUGUUCAAUACCAAGAAAUUAAAUAUUUAAAAAAAAACUAAAUGAAUUGUUUAAAAAGUUAAAAGAAAAUAAAUGCACUUUUGUCCACGUCAACAACAACUAUAACAAAAUGCUGGGCUGUAGAAGAUUUUCCACAGCAACCUGAAAAAAUCAUAUAUGCUCAAGUAACUAUUUGGUAGAGCGUAUUUGGAGUGCUAAUAUCUUUUCUUUAUGGAAUCAGUCCUCGUACUCGAUCUCUGAAACCAGUUAAGGUUCUUAGUGACCAAAAUACUAGGUAGCGACUCUCAUUCCAUUUUUCCACUAAUAAAAGACAAGAAUUCCUUGUCUCCCCAUAGAUGCCUGAUAGAUAAUACAUUUUGAGAGUGGAUAUUUUCACCGCAACAUCGUAUACGUGCGACAUUAUGUAUACAGGUAUUUCACGAGAUGAUGCGGAGUGUUAAAUAUAAGCUUUGUGUUUAAAUCUGUUUUUUUAUGUAAUAUCUUUUGUUUUAUAUGUAAUUUGUAUUAUAUGUAGAUUUUAAUAUAUGAAUCCUAAAGAUAUUUGCUUUUGGUAUUUAUACAUUUAGAAUGUAUGAGUAAGGAACUAAUAUUAGUAAACUAUUUGAAAAGAAUACUUAAUAAUUAUAAUUAUGCAUGUUUAAAAGAUGGAUGCAUGUUAACGUAAUAAUUAGUUCAAUAUGAAUCCUUUGAGUUUAUAUUUGUAUGCAGUUAAUGUUUUAUUUUAAGAGAAUAUAAUUGCUAUGUUUUAUUUUUUUAUGAUGUAAGGUUGAGAAAGCACAACAAAGUAUUGCUAUGUGAAAUAUUGUAUGAUGAGAUGGGAUAUGAUCCAGGAUGGUUGAAUUGAAAUAGAAGAUUGAGUAUUGUGAUUGAAUGAAGUCUAGUCGAUAACUUGGUAACAUAAAAAAACAAAAGAAACUCUGCCGAAUUUUCUGUAGAAAAUUAGAUUUAUAUAAUAACUAUUACUUUGAUGAUAUAACUUUGAGAGUGAUACAUCAAAUGUGAGAUAUGUUAGACAAUAACCGCAAGACAAUAACGGUUCAAGACGUAGACAAUAACAAUUCAAAUUUCGGUAGUCCUCAUAUGAAUACCAUAUAUAUAUAUAUAUAACUUUACUCUGUUUUUCAGUUGCAUGAUAUUGUUAUUUUAUCCCGAUUGAGGGGGUGUUAUAAUUAUGGUCUUAUGAUCCGAGUCACUGAUUUAAAAGGUUAACCUAGAUUGACCCGGGUCGAUCCAAUAUGUUGUUAUCUCAAUAUUUUUUAAAAAAAUAUUAUCUUGAAUUUUUUGAAGUAAAACUAUAUGUUUAUCAGUCGUCCAGACUAUCUUUGGACUCAUUGAAUCGAUUGGGUCAUAUCGAUUCAACUCUUUUUUUUUAGUUAUAUUUGAAAUUUAAAUUGUAUAAUUUCAAAUUGGUUUGUUUUUAAAUGUCAAUUAAUAUAUAUAUAUAUAUAUAUAUAUAUAACAAUCCAAAAUGACAGGUUAAAAUACUAAAAAACCAAAACAUAUUGUUACAAUUAAAAAAAUAAAAUACCAAUUAAAACGGAAUUAAUUGACAACUUGCUUGGUAGAAGCAUGAAACUCCUCGCUGACAUUUGCAAGAGAUAGUUACUUAUACCAGUAGCAAUUUAGUAAUGAUUGAUCAGCAUUUAUAGUAAGAUGGGGCUAUUAAUUCAAAUGUUGAUGGCAUUAGUAACAAUGAUUUUCUUGGAAGGAUUGCUUCCUCUUGGUUGCUUGAAAAUAUACGGUUUUUUUUUAGUUCAAAUCUAUUAAUAUAAAUAUAGUUUUAUUGAAUAUUUUUUAUAUAAUCUUAUUAGAGAAAUCAAUGUAAACAAAUUUAUGGACAAACACUAGAUUAUCAAGUAUUUAAAUAGAAAAAUAAAACAUUGAUACAAGCUUUUAAAUAAAAAACAUUUAUAAUAAAUAUAAUUUGUACUUGUCAUUAUCUCUUUUUCAUUGCUAACACUUAACGAAUUGAAUAUAUAAUUCUCAUGUGAAUAACGUCAAAAUAAAUUUAGUUGCAUGACAUAAUAAUACCUAUUUGUUUUUUGUAUUUUAAAAAUAUUUAAAAAAAUUAAAUUUUUUUAAAUAAAUAACUUUUGAAUCAUCAAGUAGUGAAACACAGGAAAAGUGAAGAAAGUGAAGAAUAAUCAAAGUGGUGUGGGUCCACAUCAACUUUUGUCCAUGUUUUUGGUAUUAAUCUCUUCAUCCAUUUACAGCCGGAGAAAAGAGCAUCACUCAGUGCUUUCCUUGUCUCUUCUUGCUUAGAAGAUAAGGUAUGAGAACCUUCGAGUGCCACUCAUUUUAGUACAUAGACUAGAUAUUUGACCAUAACUUAACUGUUAGUUAAUUGUUUUUUCAAUUAAAAAAAUUUAUAUAUAGAUUUCUUCAACGUAUUGUUUAUUUAAAAAAUCUUAAGUGAAAAUUAAGAAAUUUAUACACAAAUAUAGUCAAAUAAAUUGAGAAUUAUAUGUGUUAAUAAGUGAAAAAAAAACCAUAAACGAUGACUCAAAAUAAAAACUGGAAAAAUUGAGAGACAGGUGCUGAUCAAGAUAUUUAAUUUCACAAGACGUGACAUUUAUGCAGUUGUGUUUUUAAAAUUUUCUAAUUAAAAUAAUUUUUUAUUCAAUCAAACGAUAAUAAAAACAGACACACAUUAUAAAUUGAUUGAAUAAAAUAAAAGGAGAAAAAAUAAUAUGCAAGCCUACACAUAUUAAAAAUAUUAUUUGAAAAUACAUUUAUUUUUAUUUUCAAAAAUAAAAUUCAUCUAUACAAAAGAUUUUUAAAAAAUAUAGAUUAAUCACAAAAACCUCCUCAAAAAUUAAAUGCAUAAUUAAAAAAUAAUUAUCAUUUCAAAUAGGCUUUCUAAAUAAUAUAAAAGAGAGAAGGGAUAUAAAUAUAAAUAUAAAUAAGAUUAAGAUUAAGAUUAAUUUAAAAAAAUACAAACAAAAAAAAAGAAAAUAUUUUUUCUUAAACAAAAAAAAGUGAACAAUGUCGUUCACAGUAAAACUUGUGGGGUGAACUCGAACUCAACCGAGUUUAAUAUUUUUCCUCUUAAAUUUAUAACAAACCUAAAAAAAGUAAACAAUGUCGUCCAUUGUAAAACAUGAGGAGGUGAAUAGUGCAACUACACAGUGUUCACCUUAUAUAUUUUUCCUCUUAAAUUUAUACCAAAACCGUAAUAAAAAAAGGUGACCAAUGUUGUCCAUAGUAAAACGUGAGGGGGUGAACAACGCAUCUUCAUAGUGUUCACCCCGCACACCUUAGCUUAUUUAGGGUGAACCUGAAUCAUGAACUCAAUCGGGUUUAAUAUUUUCCCCUCUUAAAUUUAUAGCAAACCUAAAAAAAAGGUAAACAAUAUAGUCUAUAAUAAAAUAUGAGGGGAUGAACAAUACAGAUGCACAAUGUUCACCUCACAUAUUUUUUUCCUUAAAUUUAUAGCAAAACCUAAUAAAACAAAUAGUGAAUAGUAUAUUCAUUGUAAAACGUGAGAGGGUGAACAAUGUGGCUAUAUAAUAUUCACCCCACAUGCUUUAGAUUAAACGUGAGAUGGUUAUUUUUUAAAAUAAAAAAAAAUUAAUAAGCAGGCUAUUACAAUGCGCUUUUUAAUGAUGACGAUAUUUGUAGCAAAAAUUUCAAAGGAUUUAAUACAAAUCCAAGCCAAAAUAUUUCACUAGAUUACUAUUUUACGAUCUUCUUAAAACUUGGGUUCGAGCUUGUCAUGUUGAAUCAUCUCUUCUAGAAUCCUUUUUACCGUCUAAUGACUGCCGCUUAUGUUUGUGCAAUUUCUUGUUUACUAGUAAAAUUGUACAGACGUGGGCUUGAAGCUGUUAACUUUCCCUGGACUGGUUAUGUAAUAUAUUUAUAGGUCUAACUGUAUACUAUCACUUGGUCCAAGAGGCAAUAUUGCAAGAUUCCAACGAAAUCUACUGUAAUCUACUGUCCUGGGACAAGAGUUCCAAAAACAUCUACUCCAAAUUUUGUUCUUUUUGAAUCUUUAGUUAUUUUUAUUUUUUCUCAUCAUUUUUUAAAAUAAAAAAUAUAAAUAAAUUACUACAAAAUGAAUAAAACAAAACCAGAAUAAAAAAGUAACAUUAAACAGCAGCCAUUUCAUCAGCUUUAAUUUUAGUAUAACACAAUAAUAUGAACCAACCUUGAUUCUCGAAGGCACCCAACUAAUUCAUUAGCCUUCAAAUUGCCAUCACCUAAUUUCACGAUCCAUGACCGACAUAUAAACAAGGGUCCUCUCCAAGUUCCCAUACAUAUACGAAUCCAAAUAUACAUAGAAACUUAUCUUUUAAAUAAGUCAAUUAGAGUUCAACACAAUAUUAAUAACAAAAUUAAUUAAAUAAGUCAAUCAGAGUUCAACAUAACAUUAAUAACAAAAUUAACUUCAUAAUAUAAUUUGAUUGUCUUAAUACAAAAAUUAAUACAAAGUUCGUAGUUGUGGAGCACUAUCUAGACAUAAAAAAAAUCAUAACAAAAACAACAAGGGAGGGGGUUUGAUAGUAUGUAAUACAACAACUAGAAAUAUAUAUAUAAUUAUGGCUUUAGGUUUUUAUAAAAACGUUUUUUAAAUAGAUCAUAUAAGAACAACGGAGGAGGGGGUUUAACGGUAUGUAUUUGCCUGCUAGUAAAAAUUGGUUAGCACCUAAACAAGGUCCUGUGCUAAAUCUAAAUUGGUAAGAUGUGAUAUGCUAAUAUCUAGAAAGAUAACUUAAUCUAUCCAUUGAAGUAAAGCAUUUAAAUGCGUAUACAAUGUUUUUGGAACAUUAAAUAUCUAUUUGAUCAGAAUCUGAUGGGGCAAUAGGUGAUGCAGGCAUAAACUAGAAAGACAACAAACAAACACAAAGAAAAAAGAUUUGUUAAGCAAACAGGGUUGCAAACUUAAACACUAAAUUCGCAAUUUAUUAUUCUGAAAAAAGUCUAAUGAUGUUUGCCUCUCAAAGAGGUUUCUAAAACAUUUAAAUAUGCUAAAAAACCUAUCUCUAUUGGAAAAAAAAAAUUCAGAAUCCAAAAGAAUAAACAAAAACUACAUAAAAUCUGAAAUAAAACAAUAAAUAUGAAAAAAAUCAAGGAAAAAUAGCUAAAUUGGCUCAAAACAGGAUCUUAUGAACCUAAUUUCAGGGGAUCCGAACAUCAAAUGAUCAACAAAGUAUGUUUCCAAUUGAGAUGGGCCUUAGAAAUCUCCUAUAAAAAUUGAGAUCUAAGCAAAUUAAGUGAUAUUUGUUUGAGACUUCGCUAACUACAUAUAAAGGAAUUAAAAAUAAAUUAUGAUGAUCAAUUCAAAAUCAACAAAAUAUUAAAGUGAAAUUGGAAGCAAAAACAGGGCAAAAAUCAUUAAAUCAAAAGAAGAAAAAAUUAGAAGAUAGAAUUUAUUUAUUUUUUUUAAAAAAGGGGGGAGGAUAUGAAUAGUGAAGUAGGAGGGAAAAACCUAAUUUUUUUAGUAUAAUAAAUAAUUUUUAAUUAAAUUAAAAUCUUCAUCUCAUACAAUUAGACCCAAAAAGAGUUAAAUAAAAAAGGGAAGAAAAUUUCUAAAGAUAUAAGGACCAAUUUAAAAAAAUAAAAGGAAAAAAAAAUGAAAAAACACCAAAUCAAGAAACGAAAAAAUAUAAGGACCAAUUUAAAAAAACAAUAAAAAAUAUAAAGAGUGAAGGAGGUAGAGAAACAUAAGUUUUUUAGUAUAGUAGUUUAUUUCUAGUUAAAUUAAAAACUUUAUCUCAUAUAAUUAGGCCAAAAACAAUUUUUUAAAAAAAAUAAGGACUAAUUUGUAAAAAAAGAAGAGAAAAAAACAGAAUCAAAUCAAAAGGGAAAAAAAACUAAUUUAAAAAUAAAAAUAAAAUGCUUCAUUAUUCAUGUAAAAACAAAACAUCAUUAUAGUAUCCAACUAGACAAGUGACCUACACUACGGGCUAUCCUAAUUUUUUUAAAGCAAAAUUUUUUUUUAGCAUUAUUAGAUGUGAGAAAAUAUUUUUUAAAAAACAUACAUGUGUACAAGAUAGGAGAGAUUUGGUUUGAGAAUGCAUGCUAAAAAUCUAAACAUGAACUAAAACAAAGUGGAAUUAAAAAAAAAAAAAAAACUUAAAAGAGAUCAGUGAUUCAUUAUAGACUGUGAGGUAAAACACUGUAGAUUAGCAUAAUAUAUUUAUUUUUUGACCUUCUCUACGUAAAAUAAUUGCCUUGCUAACAGGGUAAAGUUGUUAUUUUCAAUGGAUCUAAAGGUUAUUUGUAAAUUGAUUGGGAAUAAUUUAGUAGGUUAGCUAUUUUAUUUGCGUAGUAAAAUGACGUCAAUACCCUUGAGAGUUCAAAAAUAUUGACCUUGACAAAGGCAUUUUUUAGUCUUUUCCAUGUUUUGUAUACUGUAAAAUGACAAAGUUAACCUUAGAAUAAAAAAAUCUAAAGCUGGUCUGGGAUAGCAUUUUCAUCUUUGCAAUAUAGCUUUUUUGUAAUAUUUAGAUGCUCUUAUGAGCUAUUUAGCAAUUUAAAGUAUUGAAAUAUUAAUAAAUCAAUAAACAAAGGCUGACAUGUGUGUAGCACGUGUCAACACGUGAUAGUCCACCACGUCAUUUGGGAGGCGUGUGAUAGUCCAACAUGUAAUAUGGAGGUGUAGUUGAUGACGUGGCGUGUCGUCAUAUUUGUAGUGGUUUAAUGGUGAUAAAAAAAUUUUCCCGUCCCCCUCUUUUCUCUCUCUAAGGCUUUAGUAUUCACGCCGAUGCUUUAAAAUUUCACUUGUAUCCUUUGGAUUGUAUUUAUAUUAAGUUUGAUUCUUAUUAUUUUAAUUUCUAUUUAUUUUGAUUUUAGUGUUUUUUAAAGAAAAAAAUUUCAAUUUCAUUCCUCAACAUUUUAUUUCAUUUAAUUUUUAUAUUAAACUUGGUCCUCAUUCUUUUAAUUACUAUUUUCUAUCCUUUACUUAAUUUUUUUAAUUUUAUUUCUUAUUAUUUUAUUUUAUUUUAUUUUGUUUGCAAUUGCAGUUCUUUUUUUUUUUUAUCCCUAGUAAGCAAUUGUUGCCGCAAUGACAUAUGCCUAGCAAGAGGAAAAAAAAAAAAAAAAAGAGACGCUUGAAGGUUAGAGAAGGCACCUCUGAGUGGAAGGAGGCUGAGGUGCGCUAUUUUUGAAGUAUGUGAAAAUCAUAUGUUUCAAUGCUACUUCUUGCAAGAGUCUCCUUAACCAACCUAGAGUGUUAUAUUAGACUGCUAACGUAUUUUAUAAAAAUAUUGAUAAAAAUAUUUUUGGAUAAUUUUUUUUAUUUUAUUUGAAUUUAUUUCUUAAAUAAUUUAAAUUAAUAAGAUAAUUACAUAAAAGAUAAUGUUAGUCAAGUUAUCUUUUUACCAACCAUAAAAAGAUUUUUACUAAUCCAAGCCAACAAAAUAACAAUUACAUGUAUAAAUUGUCAUAUGUUGGAAAAAGGAGUUAGCUCAUAUUUUAGGGAUUAUAUUAAAGUGUUAGCAUCUUGCCUGGUUAGAAAUAGAAUUGAAUUUACAUAUUAGUAUUAUCAUAUAUUUUGUAUUGUCGUUUAAAAAAAUAAAUAUUUUCCUUAUAUGGAGUUAAGUGUUUUUAUUUUUAUCAUGUAAAAUUUAUAUAUUUUUUAAAAUUAAUUUUUCUAAUCAUCAAAUUAUUUUUAUUUUUUAAAAUUUAUAUAUUUUUUAAAAUUAUUUCUUAAAAAUAAAUUUAUUUUUCUAAAAAAUUGAACUUAAUACAUGCAUAUUAUCUAAUCAUCAAAUUAUGAACUAUCAUAAUUCUAUAUAUUUAUUUAAAUAAAACAAGUUCAAGAAUUAAUGUAGAUCAAUCUUAUUGAUUAAUAAAAUUCAUGUAUGUAUCUAUUUUUGCAAAUUGGAUGCAUACUUAAUUAAUAUUAAAUCAAGCAAAAAAUCUAUAAAAAGAAUAUACAAGUGAGCCAAACAACAAUAUUAAAAACGAACAAGAGGUCGAAUUAAUAUCCAUUAACUAAUAGUAAAAUUAAGAAGAUGAUACCAAAGGACACAAAAUCACAAAAAAGCAUUUAACAUUCAGAGAAAGAAGCCUGCAACACCCAUUAAGGAAAAGAGAGAAGGGAAAGAAAUGUAGAUUAAUUGAUACAGAGGAUCACCUUGUUCCAGACCAGCGCGAGACUGUAGAAGAAUCCAGACGAACCAAGAGCAAAAAAUGCAGGAGAGAUAAUCAUGAGAGAAACAAAUUCAUAUAUCCACGAAUACGUACAACAUUUGAAACCUAUAAUGCAAGAAUAGCUGCAGAUGUACAUUAAUAUUUUUAAUUUAAAGAAUCAAUUAAUUAUUUAAAAAACUUGAGGGAUUAAUUUGUUUGUUUCACAUAAAACAGACACUAAUUAUAUAAAGUUUUACUCAAAAAACAGACACUAAUAAUCAUAUGCGUGAGUGUUUACUUGUAAAUAUUUUGGAAGGAACUGGUUUAUGUUUUGCGCAUCAUGAAAAAAUCAUAUAUGCUUAAGUAACUAUUUGGCAUCAAUCUAGUAAAUUAAUCUUAAAUUCCUUUUAUCCAACUCUUGCCGUUUUAAAAUUAAUCAAUGUAAAAGUUAACCAAACAUGAUAAAAUCAAUAUAAUGGGUUUACGAAUACAUAUUAAAUUAAUCUUGGUUUUAUAGCUUAAUUUUCUAAACUCACUACUCAAAUAAUGAACUACAUCUAGUUUUAAUUUUUUUUAUUUAAUAUUAUAAUAACAAUACCAUUUCAAAAUUAACCAAAUAUAUAUAUAUAUAUAUAUAUAUAUAUAUAUAUAUAUAUAUAUAUAAUAGAGUUUAAAAACAAAUGAACAAUAUGAUAUUGUUCCAUUUUACUAUAAUGAUGAAGUUUUCACAAAAUAUAAAACUUAAAUUAAAUUAAGGCAACAAUCAAUUCUUUAGCUUUAAAACGAUUUAUUAUUUGCUUUCUAGUGGUAGUAGUAGGAUGAUUGGAAUAAUUUUUUUUCCAUUAACAAUAGAAUUGAGAAGGCCCGCCACAGACCAAGAGGACAGCUUCAAUGAAGCCAUCCCAGCCGAUGCAGGUGAUUACCCGUCGGCUGACAUCUCCUCGCGCGCAUAGCACCAGCCAAACCACCUCAAUCUGAAAAUGCACCAGACAAAGUCAAUGGAAAGACGCCAGGGAGCCUCAGCAGCCGAGAAGAAAGCGAGGGAACACCCACCGCGCGAGAAACACGAAAAACAUAGAGGGAGCGCGGUAAAGACUGUGAAGCCACAGAAUUCACACAUUGUGCACCGUGUUUUAAUGAGCACUCUUAGUUUAUUUUAUAUAUAAUUCUUUUAGUUUUAGUUUUAGUUUGUUGUGUUAUGAACAGUAAAGCAGCACAAGAAUACGUCUGCGUCAAGCUCUGUUCACUUUGGUCCGACAUUCCUCACCUCUCCCCACCUUAGCUCUCUCUCUUUCCCUCCUCUGCUUUUAGAAACCGCCGCUGCCACCUCAACCAAUAAGGCUUCAAAUCUCACCCAGGUGCUUCCUUUUCUAUUAUGUUUUUGUUUUUUAAAAAAGAUUUACGUCCGCGUUUUCAUUUAUUUAAUUGAAGUUACUAUCCAAAGAGAGAAAUUCGAUUUUAAUAAGUAAAUUAAAAAGAUAUAUAAUCGGAUCCAAUGAAAUCGCUGCUCGUGAACGCAACUCGAAGAAAGGCGCAAUCAGUCGAUUCUACUGUGGGUGGAGCAUUUAGUAUGGUCAGGGUUAUUGUGUUGUCUAUUCAAAGAAAGAUGUGCCUGUAAAUUUAUUAAGUUGAUUCUUAUCAGUCUGCUCUUUAGAGUUGAUGAUAACAUGAAAUAUUCAUUGUUGAUGCUUGUCGUUUUCUUCUUCAUUUUCCUAGCUUAAAACAUCCUAGACAAUCUCUUUGGGAUGGUUUAGUGUUUCUGGCCUCUUCAUCUUCUAUUUGUGCUGUGGUAUUUAGUUUGCUGAUAUUCAUUGGGGAUUGAAAGGCCUCGUUUUAUGACUUUGUUUUCUUCUUAUUUCUUUAUUCUUUUGGGGAUGUGAUAUUUUCCUCUUUCUAUUUACACUAUUGGCUCCCUACAAUAUUUUUUCCUUCAGAGAAGUAAAUAUAUACAUAAAUAACAAGAACAGGAGGGGAAGGGGAGGGGGGUUUGACAAUAAGUAUUUGCUUAGAAGGGAAUGCUUCUUUGGUUUAGAAGCACCAUGAAGAUUCAGGCCCAUAUUUGGCUGGUUUCUUUAAUAAAGUACAUGAUAUUCCAUUUUUCAUGUCCUUGAUGUGCUUUUACUCUUCUUGCCGUUCCUGACUUUCUUUUUAGGGUAUAUUCUAACAUGCAAUAUGUUUUUUUUUUGUUGGCCCACUGUCCCAGGCGGAGAACCUGUCAUGGACAUGGGUGAUUGCAGAAUUCAAUUGCAGCCUGACUCACGGAAAAGAAUAGUCAAAAAUUUUUUUUAUUUAUAUGAAAGAAAAGGAGAAGGGCAGAAGGUUAAUUAAAAUCAGCAGGAUUGCCAUGAGGCAACCUCAAGUAUCACGCACCUCUUUUUUUUUUCAUCUUUUCAUGUGUUUCUCACAAGAAGCAAACUUGAGGGAACAUAAAGUGCUGGGAAGUAAUUUUUGUUGGAAUUUCUUGUCUAAUCUCUUCUUUUGAUGAUGACCUCUUGGAUGGCUGCAUGAAGCUUGUUCCGCUUUAAAUUUCAAGGUUAAUCUAUUGCUAUGAGCAUACGUGUUUCAAUUUAAAACUCGAGUUGCAACUGAACUUAAAUAAAUGGUGUUGGAUUUGUGCUUUCUAUUUGUUUUAACUUCUACAGGGUUGAAAUGAUAGUGAUCUUAAACUAGAAAAGCAGCAGACAAAAAUCAAUUAGCCACAAUGGUGUAUGGUUUCUCAGCAUAAAGUUGAAAUGAUAGUGAUCUUAAACUAGAAAAGCAGCAGACAAAAAUCAAUUAGCCACAAUGGUGUAUGGUUUCUCAGCAUAAAGUUGAAUGUUUUGUUGACCUCUUUACAUCCAAAAUCAUAUAGACAGCUACUGCUAGCACUUGCAGUGGUCAAUGAAUACUGUAGAGUAUAUAUUGCAGUGUGAGAUAAGGUUAACUCAUUGCAUUUUCAGAUAUUGAAAGGAUUUCUCUUCUUUUCUUUGUCAAUUACAGGACAUGCAUCGAAGUGUUCUUACUGAGAGUAAAUGCUAUUGUAAUGUUUUCACAGAGACUCCCCUGCUUUGCAACUAAGUCACUAAUAUAUCUUGGAACAUAGCCAUAAAUGAAAGGUUCUUCCAGAUCAAGAAAAUUAACCAUGAAGCUCGUAGCUAGAAUUUUUAGACAGAAAGGUGGCCAAGUACGCUGUACCUCUGGAAUAAUACAGGGAAAGGAUGUCUAUGUAUUUUGAUGUCUUAUAUUACUUGACCAACUCUUGCUUAUCUCAUUAUUUGUUUUUACUUUUUGCUAAUGAUUCCACACAUUUCUGAUAUUGGUGUGGUUUAUGAGUUUAGGGUUCUCGUUGCUGCUAACUUCUCUAUACUUUGCCUGGUCAUUAAAAAUCAAACGUAAUGAUUUGCAUAUGCAGAAUGGAGACAUUAAAAAGACAUCUUCUAUUUUCUGGUGAGGAGGGAUUUCAGGAACUCAAGAAAUUUUCCAUACGUUUUGAGGAAAAGAUUUAUACUACCGCUAACAAUCAGGUAUUUGCCUAAUGCGAGGUUCAAUAAUUAUGAUAUUAUCUAGACAUGAAUAUACACACGCAUUUAUGCUUGUACAAAUGUGUGUGUAGUGUGCCUACACUUCCUCACCGUUCAUUCUGUAUGCAAGGUUGAUUGGGAGUUCACAUCAUUUUGUUAAUUCUCUUGACAAGUGUUUUAUUUAGAGUGACCAAGUUCAAGUACAAGGGAAGAAUGCAAAAAGCAAAUAACGAAUCAAUACAUAAAUAAUUAAAUAAAAAGAGAGGUAACAGAAGUAUAUCCUCAUAGAAGAUGAAAUGAUAGAGUAUAUAUCUAUUUUCCUCCUCUGGUAACAUGGAUUGCUCUGAGAUCUACUGUUUUGUUAUUAAUAUCUGAUUUCAAUCUGAUUAUUUGCAUAAAAUAUCUCUGGAGAUGCUUUCGAUGGAGACCAGGUCUCAAAAUGCCAUGCUCACUACACCUAUGGAUCCAGCAGGUAAUAAUGCAGCCGAGCAUUGAAUUUCUAAAUAUCUUACCUUUUGUUUUUCUUCUCGCAUUGCUAUCAAACUCUUUUACAUUUUAUUGCUGCAUAUUGCUAUGUAUAUCGCCUUGCUGGAAAAAUCUCAUGAUCACCUCCACGAUGAUAAUUUUGUAAUGCAUGUGAAGUGUUUCAUCCUUAACUUGUUAAGGAACAAGGACUGUGAUGCAUGGUAUUUUAUAUUUUAUGAUUGAGAUGGUAGAUUUUAAAGAUUUUCAUGUUAAGGAGAUAAGACGUCACUUUCUUGCUUUUCUUCCGAGAGAGUAUUUGAUCCUUUUUUCAUAUAAAAUAAUGCUGGCAUGCAUUGAAUUUCCAAACAUCUUACCUUUUGUUUUGUUUGUCGCAUUGUUAUCAAACUCUUUUACAUUUUGUUGCGGCAUAUUGCUAUGUGUAUGGCAUGCUUUAAUCAAAAAGUUGAGUAAUUGAUGAAUGUUAGGCAAGAAAAUUACAGAUUAUUUUUAUUUUCUACCUCCUCCUUCUCUUUCCCCCACCCCGAAAAUGGUCAUAUUAUUUUUUUUUUCAGCCACCUCUUCUUCCCCCAACCUUGAAAAUUGUUUAUAUUUGCUUUGGAAGCAUGGCAAACUUCACUGCCUCUCAGCUUAAGGAGAUUGCAGCAGGUCUCGAAGCUUCUGGGCAUCAGUUUAUUUGGGUAGUUAGAAGAAACAAAAAGAGUCAAGAAGACAAGGAAGAUUGUUUACCUCAAGGAUUUGAGGAAAGAAUGGAAGGCAAAAGGCUAUUAUCAGAGGAUGGGCACUCCAAGUUUUGAUUCUUGAUCAUGAAGCAAAAGGUGCAUUUGUGACUCAUUGAGGAUGGAACUCAACUCUUAAAGGCGUAAGGCAAAUAUUUGAUGAGCAAUUCUAUAAUGAAAAGUUGGUGACUGAUGUUUUAAAAACUGGAGUUAAGGAAUGGCUUAGAGUGCAUGGAGAUCAUGUUAAAAGUGAAGCUGUAGAGAACGCAAUCACUCAAAUUAUGAUGGGUGAAGAAGCAGAGGAAAUGAGGAGCAGAGCAAAGAAGCUUUCAGUGCUUUGAUUUAAUAACUGCAAAAAAUGAAAGGUUGUUGAAGAUGGUGGAUCUUCUUGCUCCGAUUUCAAUGCUUUGAUUGAAUAACUGAGGUGGGGUAGCCUUUGAAACAGAGGCAUAGAAUAUAUAUAUAUAUAUAUUUUAGCUUUUUUAGUUUAACGUGGGUGUUCGGGCCAGCUUGCGCGCACCUCGACUAAUCCCACGGGCCCUGAAGUUAACGACCAUGUAAGUCUCCAGUGGCCAUCAUAUGAGCAACCACAGGGCUCGAACCUGAGACCACAGAGGGAGCAAACCUUUUAGUCCCAAGCUCUUACCACUGGGCCACCACCUAGAUGGUUAAGGCAUAGAAUAUUUUGUUUCUACUUAGUAGUGGUUUUGGUAAUUUAUUUUCAGACAAGUCUUGAGAGUUGAAAGAGUAAUCACAGCCGAGUCAAUGACCAAUCCAAAUAAGUUCCCUUCCUAAUGGUUCAGGAAUGACAAGUCCAGCAUAUAUAUUUAGCCCAAAUAACUUUUCAAAUAAAAUGGCUGAGCUUAGAGACAGUACACUACAAAUUAAGCACCCAUUAGCUAGACAUACAGGACAAACAAUCAUCACAAACUAGAAACGACUGUCUUCCCAGUAACAAACUCACCUUCUCAAGUUGGAGAACUUGCGAAAACUAGCUACUACAAUAUAGUAGCAAGUAUCUAUGCAGUCUUCGAUGAAGUACGACCACCUGCGUCGCCAAUAUGGAUUGAUGUAAAGAACUGCUACAAUCAUAAUCACCACGACUGUGUAACUUACACCGAAAUUGAUGUAGAAAAACUCCAUGUCUAUGAAACCAUCAUCUCCUUGUUCAUCAUUAGGCACUGGUUGUGAUGGCAUUGGCUGUGAUGGCACUGGCUGUGAUGGCACUGCUUCUUCACUACAAUUGUUUUGCAAUGGAGGUCCACACAAGAAAGGAUUUCCUUCGUAACAGCUUUCAUCGAAGGUCCCAAACUGAUAUUUUCUCUCGGGUGUCUUACAUGACAAGUUAUUGUACGCCACACUAAAAACUUCCAGUGUGGUAAUUUCAGUAAGUUGUGGAGGGAUGACACCAUUCAAGUUGUUGUAAGAAAGAUCCAAACUCUCAAUCUGUUUUAGGUUUGAGAAUGUUGCUGGGAUAGAUCCAGUGAGAUUGUUGUGUGAUAAGUUUAAUGACAAUAUCUUACUUAAGUUUCCAAAUUCCGGUGGGAUUGCUCCUACGAAGUUGUUAUUGGAGAGAUCAAUACCAGACAUGUAGUUGAGAGUCUUCCCCUUGUAACCAUAAUACAUAUUUUUAGUUGUAAAUUCUAUCACUUCUUCUGUAAAGUUAAGCAGAAAACCCUUUCUCAAGUUGUACAUACUCUCCACUAGUGGUGGACCCAUUGUUUCAUAAUAAGCUUUUUCUAUGGACCUUGAUAGAACACCAGCUCCGAGAUCCGUGAAUGCUUUCUGGGAACUUUCCUUGAAAGUAAGAUUGCCCAAACAGGAGGGUAGUGGACUAGAGAGCUGGUUUUGUGAAACAUCCAAAAUGCUUAAAUGUUCUAACAAGCAUAAUUGAACAGGGAGCUCACCAUCAAAGUGAUUAGCCCUCAGAAGAAGAACACUCAAUGAUGAAAGAUUGCCAAUCCAAUUUGGAAUGGAGCCGGUGAAGCUGUUAUCUUGAAGAUCCAUCGUAACUAAGAAAGAGCUGUUAUAAAAUCUAUAUGUUAAUGGACCGCUCAAUCUAUUUUCGGAUAGAUGCAUAUGGAUUAGAGUUGAUGGACUGAAACAAGAUGGUAUAUAUCCAGACAAGUUGUUCUCUGAAAGGUUCAAAUAUUCAAGUUGAUCAAGCUUACAAAAGUCUCUUGGGAUCGGACCCUUAAAAUGGUUUUUGGACAAAUCAAUUGCUGCAAGAAUCGUAGAAUUAAGAAAGCUCCUUGGAAGCAUGCCUGAAAAUUGAUUGUUACUCAAAUCCAAUACAAUCCACAUUUUCCACCUAUAUAAUGAAAAAUCUGAUAUCUGACCCCAAAAGUUGUUACCACCUAGAUAGAGAUAUUCUAAGGUAGAAGAAUUGAACAACGAGGUCGGUAAUUGCCCACCCAAAUUGUUGUUUGACAGCUUGAGAAACCAUAUUGUUGUUAGUUGUUCUAGUUUUACUGUGGACAAUUGAUUGUUGGAUAAAUCUAAAAUUCCCAAAGAGCUAAUAUUUCCUAAACAAGAAGGAAUACAACCUGUGAAUCCAUUCUUAGCCAUCCUUAAGCUCUUCAGAUUUUGAAAGAUCAAACAAAUAUCCUUUGGAAUUUGACCGCUCAUGUUGUUGUUGGAUAUAUCUAAUUCGGUCAUAUUUAGAUAUGGGUGAUUUGGCAACUGCAAAGUACCAACAAAGGAGUUCUCACUCAAAUAUAGUUGCUCCAAUCGUGUAUUGUUCUUAAGCAACCACGAUGGAAACAUUCCGGUGAUGUUGUUGUGGGAGAGAUCAAGGACUCUUAAGUCGUAUUGGUAAUAGAGGAAGUUGGGAAUCUCUACAUUGACUGCUUCUAUUGUUUUUGACAAACUAAAAAAGACUAGUUGGAACUUUGGAAUCAAAUGAUCAAAGGCAGCAGGUUCUGUUACUAGUCUAUUGUUCUCAUUGCAGAAGAACUUGAGGCUUGAGUGGUUCAUAAAAGGCUUCAUUGAAAUGGGAACUUCAAAGAGGUUAUUUGAUAGUGAGAGGAAUUCAAGAGAUGUGAGGUUGGUAAGAGGACCAGAGGCAAUAUUUCCAGUAAACUGGUUUUUAGAAACAUCUAAUAGUUGUAGAGAUGACAAGUUUCCUAAACAAUCUGGGAGUGAACCUUCUAAAUUAUUUCCAAAGAGAUCUAACUGCUUCAGAUUCUUCAAUUCACACCAACCUGUAUAAUUUAUCUCGAAACAGUCAAAAUAGCUAAAUAAUUAAAAGAUUACCAUAGAAGAGGAUGGAGUGUUGUUAAUUUACCUUGAGCGGGUAGGGUGCCAUGGAGGUCACAUCCACCAACAGACAAAACCUUAAGAGCAGGCAAUGCUCCAAUGUUCUGGAGAAAGUUUACUGGGAGAGAAGUACGAUCUAGAUUCAAUUCUUCAAGAGUGCUAGAAUUGAAGAAAGUCCCUGUGAAAAAGAAAGAAGAAGAGAUAUGAAGAAAAUAAUGGUGGUACAGAAUAGCCAUUCCAUUCAAUAUUAUUAAUUAAUAUUUUAAGAAACUAAACUAUGAUUAACCUUGACUUAAAUUAGUAUCCUUGAGAGAAAGGGUCUUCAGGGAUGGCAAUGACUGCAGGAAGUCCAGCUUCCUUAAACCUAUGAUGUGUAGAAUUGAAAACAGGCAAUCAAGUAAGUAGUGAAAUUAAGCGUUAUCUUGAUCGAGUUUUUAAACCUAUGAUAAAAAACUGAUAUUGAAUAUACUUUUAUAAUGAUAUGAUUUUUGGAUAGAAACAACAAAUUGCCUGAAAAAUCCAGAGAUUUCAAAAGGUAUUGUUAAAAAAUGAAGUAAAUAAUAUUCACAACUUUACCAUUGACAGUCGUCGAUCCUAGCAACAUAUUGCCUGAUAAAUUUAAAGACUUGAGAUAAGAAAAUCCACGCAGAUGUGAUAAAAUGCUGUCGUUGAAUAUAUUAUAGCUCAAGUCCAGGUUCUCGAGUUUCCCUAAAUGUGAUGAUAUGAUCUCAAAACCUGCAAGAGUAAGUCAUCAUGAGCUCACGAUAUGCAUAAUAUAUAGAAACUAAAGAUAAUUAGAAUUGAUGAGAUGCUGUUGUUCAAUUGAUAUAUGAUUCUCAAAUUAUACAUAAAAAUAAUGAUACAUGAACGCAUAUGUCAUUAUAUAACAGGUUGUGCACACUUCAAAGAUUAAGAAACAAUUUUUAAUCAUUCUAAUUUUGAUCUUAUUGGAAAAAAAAAAAAAAUUUAUGGAUAUAAAGUCGUUAAAGAUGGAAACUAAGUCAAACAUGAUAAAUGCUAUCAUUAAAUUGAUCAUUACAUAGAUAUAAAGUACUUAUUUUUUAUGAUAAUGCAUGUAACGAGUAUUAUUGAUUAUUGUUCUUGUUUUAAUUACCGAUGAGAAAUUUUGAACAAUCAUUUGAUUUUAUUAGUUUUGAAUAAUAUAAUAUUUUUGAAGAUUAUAAAAUGUUAUGUAUUUUUAAAUAACUUGUUUUUUUGAUAUGUUUGUUAUGAGGCUUAGCGUAGGUGGGGUGUCCUUUCGAUACAGCUCCUGCGUUGCCAGUAAUAAACUUGAGACUCGAGUGGUGACAAAAUUGAUCUUUACAUGGAUAUAAAGUUCUCAUUUUUGUUGAUAAAGAAACAAUAUAAUUAAGAGAAUGUCAUGUGAAGCAUUUAGGUAGAAACUGUGUAUUAUACCUGAUCCUGUCAGCUGAUUGCCUGAUAGAUCCAAAGACUUGAGGGAUGAAAAUCCAGUUAGAGAUGGAAAAAUGCUGCUGUUCAACUUAUUAAACGAUAGAUCCAAAGACUUGAUCAGGGAUGAAAGCCCACUCAGAAUUGAUAAGAUGCUGCUGUUCAAUUGAUUGAAACUCAGGUCAAGGUUCUCUAACUUUCCCAGCCUCAUCGGUUGGAGUUGAAAACCUACAAGAUAUACAUAAAAAAAAAUAUACAGUGCAUAGAUUAAGGAAGAAGAUAGAUUGCAAGUAUCCAUUCUAUACAUGUAAUUUUUAAUCAUCCUAGUUUUGAUCAAGUUGUGUCUUAUUAGAAAAACAAUUUAUGGAUAAGAUCAAAGCCCCAUAGAUAUAAAUCUUCAUUGAUGAAAGCUAGCGCAAUCAAACAUGAUGAAAUGCUAUCGUUGAUUAAUUAUUAAAUAAAUAUAAAGUCCUCAAUUUUCUUGAUAAAGAAACCGUAUAAAAGAAUGUCACGUAAAGCAGUUAGGUAGAAAUUAUAUAUAACUUACUAUUGAUACCAGCAGAUCCUGUCAACUCAUUAUAUGAUAGAUCCAAAGACUUGAGAGAUGAAAAUCCAGUUAGAGAUAGAAAAAUGCUAUCGUUGUAUUGAUUCCCACUCAGAUAUAGUUUCUCCAGCUUUUUCAACCUUGAUGACAAGACUUUGAAACCUGCAUGAUUUUUCUCAAAAAACAUAGAAAUGAUAUGAGAAGGAGAAAAGAAAAGGUUUUGAAGCUAAAUAAUUAUAAGGUUACCAUAGAAGCUACCUCCUGAUCCAGCUGUCAACCCAUUGUCUGAUAGAUCUAAAGACUUGAGAGCGGAAAGCCCAUUGAAACAUGACAAAAUGCUUUUAUCAUUAUUAAAUCGGUUUUCACUUAGGUCAAGUUUCCUCAGUUUUGAUGAUAGGACUCCGAAGCCUGGAAGAGAAACAUCAAAGCAAGAUAAUUGACAUUAAACACCAACCAACCAACCUUCAUUUAUUUUAUUAUUAUAAUUAAGUGCACAAACAUUGAACUAACCUUCAUUCUCCAAGCAACCAACCAAUCCAUUAUAUCCCAAAUCAAGACUUUGCAAUUCUUUGAAAGGCUGAAACAAAGAUGCGUUGAGAACCCAAUCGCCCAAGCUCUCAUCCCUUUCUCCACUAAGAGAGAGUUGGAUCACUCGCCUUGUAGUGUGAUCACACUCGAUCUCAGGCCACUCACAACAAUUACUACUGUCCACCCAAUGUCUCAAGGAAAUGCCAUCUGGGUCGAUCAAAGAUUGGAUCUCCAAGAGACCAAUUCUCUCUUCCUCCAAACACCCAUAACAACGACCAGACCAUUCGCCAACCAAAGUGAAUAAUGCUAGCAACAUCCAAGCCCCCAUUCUUUUCAACAUCAUCGUAGAUAAUUCUAUGAACUACUACGUAGAAUAUUAUUGUUUGUUAUGUGCCUUUGGGCAACCAUAGAGGUCCUAUUUAUACUACACUGGCCAUUUCCAUGACUUUGAGAUGUUUUCUUUAUUUAAUUUCCACGACUUUAUCUGCAUAUCUUGUGCAGGUUCCGUGUUUUGAGAUUUGAAUAUUAUUUUAUUUCUUUUUGGAAUGUUCUUGGAUUUAAAUAUUAUUUUAUUUUAUUAUUUAGCACUUAUUCUAUUUGCAUUUAAUUAUAUUUUGGUUACUAAUUAUUCAAUUUAUAAAAAAAAUAAAAUAAAAAAAUUGUUGCAGUACUUCAACAUCGACAUUCGUGUGUGAUUCCACAUAAGAUCUUUUCAACUUUAUAAUUGUACUUCUCUCGUUAAAUACAUAAAUUAUCAAUAAUAAUAAACUCGAAAUAAUUAUAAAUCUUAUCCCUGUGGAUUGUGUGGGUACAGUAUUAUAUACAAAAACUUCAAAUACAUAAUAUAUAUAAGUCAGAAAUAUUUUUGUUUUUAUGGACUUGUUUUUAUUACAUUUCAAUAUUAAAUAUAUUUUUUUCAAUCGAGUCAAAGAUAUACCAUUUAUAUUAGAAUGAGAAGACUAAUCAAUUUCUCUAAUUUCUCUAGUUUUCUCCCUAAUUAUAAAAUACAUCUGGUUUUUCAAGUCCAGAUUUUAAGAUAAAAGGAAUUUAUUUCUUGAAAGUAAUGCAUUAAACAAUAUAAAAAAAAUUUAAAAAAUUUAAAAUAGUAGUAAAAGUAGUUUUUGAUUGAAGUGUAAACUAGUGGUAAAUGAACAAAAAGAAACUUUAUUGAUUAUCUAAUGAGUUACUUCUCCAGAAAGAAUAUAUACAAUAUUAUUGAUUAUCUAAUGGAAACUCCGCCUAACACACACACACACACACACACACACACACACACAUAUAUAUAUAUAUAUAUAUAUAUAUAUAUAUAUAUAUAAGUUAGAGACACUUUUUGUUUUUAUGUUCGGAAAAGUGUUCUUUACUUGUUUUUAUUACAUUUCAAUAUUAAAUAUAUUUUUUUCAAUCGAGUCAAAGAUAUACCAUUUAUAUUAGAUUGAGAAGACUAAUCAAUUUCUCUAGUUUUCUCCCUAAUGUAUAAAUUUCUCUAGUUUUCUCCCUAAUUAUAAAAUACAUCUGGUUUUUCAAGUCCAGAUUUUAGGAUAAAAAGAAUUUAUUUCUUGAAAUUAAUGCAUAAAACAAUAUAAAAAUAUUUUUAAUAAAUUAAAAUAGUAGUAAAAGUAAAUUUAGUUUUUGAUUGAAGUGUAAACUAGUGGUAAAUGAACAAAAAGAAACUUUAUUGAUUAUCUAAUGAGUUACUUCUCCAAAAAGAAUAUAUAUAUUAUUGAAUAUCUAAUGGAAAGGAUUCAUGAAACUCCGCCAUAUAUAUAUAUAAAAGAGAAAUUGUCGAUAAUAGCAAUCAUUUUCUUAUCUCUUGUAUCAUUCAUAUCUUCCACAAAUCUUAAGUAAUUGAUGAGACAGUGGAUAUUGCCAAGAAAGGUCGUGAACGCGGAUGCUUGACGAUUAUGAUUUUUAAACACAACCAUAUAGUGAUUUCCUUAUGCAUACUGGUGAUCCUCCAGAAUCUUGUAGGAACACCACAAGCCAAUCUAAAAGAAUGCUAAAAGUCAAAACACACAAGCCAUAUAAAAAUCACACGACAGCCAAUUACCUUAUCUUUUGAAAGAAAGAUAAUAAUAAUAAUAAUAAUAAUAAUAAUAAUAAUAAAAGCAUUCUCCUGGGUGUGCAAUGACCGCCAAUCUUUCUCAUUAUGACAUUCAAUGCUCAGUUAGAAGUUGCACGAUGCUCUUCUCAUGGGGAGCAAAAAUCAGUAGCCUCCCAUGGAAUCCUCAUAAACCUUUCUCUAUGCUCUUCUAAGAUAUUAAAAAUGUCAAACAUACAUCAAUAAUAAAAAGACAUUAAAAAUGUCAAACAUACAUCUAAGAUAUUACGCAAAACGAGGUUUUUUUCUGCAAAAAAAUAAAAAUAGAAUGUUAUACAAAUGGAGCUUCCAACAAAAAAGAUAUGGGAAGUUCGAGGAAAAAAAUGAUUAGUUAAUUCAAAACACCAGCAGUAAGUAAUAAUUACAAAACACGAUACCGAAACCAAAUUGAAAAGUGAGCAAGAAUACAAAAAUGGUUACAUGUAUCAAAAGGAACUGGUACCAAUUUCUCCACCACUGUAUGUCCCUUUUGUUCAGUCUAUGUUUGGUGCAAUCACCUAAAGCUAGAAACAAAAACAGCGCCUUACUCUACAAGUAGCUCAUCAAAGUAUAUGUUGUAAAUUGCAAACACGUGCUAACAAUAAAUUGUGGCCAGAGGAUUUGCUUCGAUCCCAGAGGCCAUUGAGGAUAUUCGUCAAGGAAAGGCUCAUGCACCCUCUUGAUUUGAUGAUUCUUUGCAUUUAGUUAUUGUUGUUGAUGAUGAACAAAUUAAGAGAAAAUGAGGGGGGCCUUAUAAUGGCAGCGUCAAAGGCAACACCAGAAGCUAUGGCAUUUAUUGUCAAGCAUGGGACUGGUAUAGUGUGUGUGAGCUUCCAUUAAUGGUAACUCAUAAGGAGAAUGAGGAAAACUGUGCACUGCAUUUACUGUAUCAGUGGUACGUCAUUAACUUCUCCAUUUAUAUUAUCUAAUGGAUAUGAUCUUUUCAAGAAACCUUUAUCUUGGUUUGAUUUUAAAGUGCUAAUUUAAUUGCGGAUUCUGUCCCAGAUGAGGUCCGGUUUCCUGAAAUCAAAGAUGUCUACACUGUCCCGUGGACUUAUAGUUCAGUUGCUCAAUCAGAACUGAUGACAUCUGCACAUUCGGCGACUCCAGCAUUAAUUGUGGCCUUGACAGAUUGUGAGAGGCCAGAUGGGAUGGAUUAGAUGCGUCUGAGUUUGUUGGAGAGGAAGACUUGCAGAAUAAUUUUGAGGGAGUGGGUGGCAGUUCGAUGGAGCGGUUCCUGUUGGUGCAACGCCGAACACAUGCCACGCAGGAUAUAUAGAAAUGCUAGUCAGCUUAUGAAAUCCGAGGUUGAUACGAUACUUAUCUUCAUAGAUUGUGAAUGUUGUUCUUUUUUCUACAAACGAUCCGUUAUGCAAAGCAAAUUCCAAGACCAGAAAAAUAAUGUUUAGAGUUAAAAGACAAUGUCUUAGCAGCAAGGACCUAUUCCAUCAGGAGAUAUGUGAAUUCUCAAGCCUUUGCAAUGCUUUUAAAUUAAUGAAGGAUCAAAAUGAAAAUGUUAUAUUCAUAACUAUACUGCAAUUUUGCCCAUAAUUCUUCUUUAAUUCUGUCCAGAAUCUUGGAUUAUGCUCCAGGGACCAAUCUGGAAUUUUAGUAGAUUUUUAAGGGUCAAAUUGUAAUUUUAUCAAAUUGAAGGACCAAAAUAAAAAUGUCAUAGAUUCAUAACUAUACUGGAAUUUUGCUUGUAAUUCAUCUUUAGUUCUGUCCAGAAUCUAGGAUUAUGCUUCAGGGAUCAAUCUGUAAUUUUUUCAAAGUUUGGGGAUUAACUUAAAUUUUCACAAAUUGAGGGACCAAAUUGAAAUUUUAUUAUCUUCAACCUCAAACCCAGAUUUUUCAUAGAUCACCUACUGAUAUAUCAAGAUUUCGAACUCAAAUUCAUCAUUUAAACAAACUAUAACUCAAAAUCAUCAUUUUUACCUAAAAUUUUCAAAAAUCAACUAAAUAACUCAUUACCCAUAACAGUCAUUCCGCUAAAUUAUUUCUACUUCUGCUUCUUCUUCUUCUUUUUUAUAAUACUCGAGUAUUAUUAUAGAAAGAUGCUUGAGCCAAAAUUAGAGGCUAUCUAGCAUAAAAGAAAAACAGAGGUAUAUACAGGACAGAGAGGAAGUAAUAACAUUAUAUAUAUAUAUAUAUAUAUAUAUAAAACUUGAGUUAACCCGUCAAGUCUAUGACCUGGAUUAUGAGAUCGGGAUAAGCAAACUCAAUAUUAAAAAAUAAAAUUGAAAAAAAAACAAUAAAAACAUAUAUGGUUUAACAAUAUUAAUCAAUUAUUAAAAUAUUUCAUUUUAUAUAUAUUAAAAAUAUAUAUUAAUAACUAUUAUAUCAGUUUGUGAAUGUUUCAAUUUGGAUGCAAAUAGAUGUUUAAUUAUCUAUGACAUUUUUUUUAAGAAACCAAAGUUAUUAAAUAUGGUUAGAUUUAAUACCUAGAUAAGGGUUUAGGUCAUAGAUUGGCUUAAUACUCGGAUCAAGAUUUGAAUUAUAGAUCGAACAAGUUAGCUUAUUGAUUGAUGUUAAUAAAAAAUUGUAUCAUUUUAAGAUUAUUUUUUAGUAAAAACCAAAAUCAAGUAGUUAAAAAAAGUGAAAGUAGUUUUUGAUAGGGUUGACUAGGUUGUAAGUUGAUUUAUCUAGUCGAUUAGGCUUGAUUGAGUCAACUCUCACUUGGUUUUUUUUAAAUCUAAAUCGGGUCAGGUUCCAGAUUAAAAUGUUAGGCUUGAAUUAAAUUUAAUAACGCUGAUUAAAAUCACAUUGUAGAAAAAAAAUGAAUUGCAUAAAAGUAAUUAACCAAAAACUUGUAUUCCUUCUUAUAAAGUUGAACCCAUGUCAGUUUCUUUUUUGGAAAAAUAUAAAUCAAAGGUUAACGCUACUUUCAUGACGAUGACGGAUAAAGAAGACUUGCUCCUUUCUUUAUGGAAAUAACGUGUGGAAAAUCAUGCCUUAAUUUUGAUGGUGAUGGCCAAAUCAAACAGUAUCGUUGAUAAAAUGAACCACAAAUGAUAUUAUUUCUACAAGACUUCUUGUCAUUGUCAUGACAAUAAGUCUUCUCCUUUUUCUUUCUAAAGAGUCUAUUUUUUGUAACACAAUCAACAAGUAAGAUGGAUAGAAAUUUGCAGUGUGAGAUGGGUCUGUGAGACUAUAUAUUGCCAUUUGUAUUUUUUUCAUGAUAAAGGCUAAUUGGAUGGUCCUAUCAAGCGUUUUUUUUACGAGAUGGGUCCAUAAAAACAUUUCCAUCUACACAUUGAUCCCUGAAACCUUUGCCAUAAUGCAUUUUUUCCACGAGAUGGGUUCGUGGAAAUACUUUGGUUUAAUAGGGAAUGCUGUUAUUGAUUGGAAACUUUUUAAUUAAAAUAAAUUUGAUUAUUUGAUUGGAAGAAAUCCUUAAAUGUUAUUAACACAAAGAAAUCAAUUUAUUUUCUUAAGAAAAAAAUAUUGUAACCAUAUAAGUAAUUUAUUUAUUUAUUUUAAUGAAAUAUAAAAUAGUUUUAAAUCUUGUGGUAUAUUUCUUGUCUUUAAGAGCUAUGAACUUAUAUCUCAAAACUUGAAAACUAAUAUAAAGAUAUUAAGUGAUCAUUGAGUGUAUGUGUGUGUGUAUAAUCUUUUUCAAAACAAAAAGGAUUUUGAUGGAGAGGACAUUGCAGCAAAUUAUCCACGAGAUGGGUCGGUGAUACCAUUGUCAUCAUGUAAUUUUUCCCACGAGAUGGGGCCGUACGCUUGGGGCUCUAAAAGCUAUGGUUUUUAAUUUCAUUAUGUUACAUAUCUAGAAUGGGAGGUAUAUUUUAUUUCAAUUCUAAAAAUGAAAUAAAUUAGAAGAUAUUUCAUCUUGUUUAGAAUAUUAUCUCCUUACAUGCAUGAAUUUCACAUAAAUUUUGACCAGAAUAUUUCGGUUCUAUUCCGGCCAUUCUAUUAUGUCCAAAUAAUGUUUUGUUUUGCUUUUAUAUAUAUAAAAAAUAUAAUUUAUUUUUAUGAUAUCAAUUAUACAUUUCAAUUCGACUAUUGGAUUAAACUGAAAUUUUAUAAUCUCCUAAUAUGUAUUAUAUCACAAGUUAAAAUUUUAGAUCAAUCAGAGUUUAGAAAGACUUUGUGAAAUUACUGUUGAUAUAUUUUCAUAAUUUUAUUUAAAUUCAUAAUUUUAUUUUGAAAUGUUUUAUUUUUUGUGGUUUUUUAGAUUGAUUUUUUUUCAUUUUAUAAUUUAACAAUAAAUUUAUUAAAAAUUAAAAUUCAUAAUUUAUUUUUAUUUAUUUUAUUUAAAAUUAUUAUAUUAUCAUUACUCAGAUCACGAAAAAAAAACCUUUGCUUUAAUUGGGAAUGCUGUUACAAGUAAUUGGACUCCGUGGGAUGGGAGACCGUUGCCAUCAUGCAUGUUUUUUCCACGGCAUGGGUCCGUAAAGUCCUCUAUAAAAGCUUAAACCUCCUUACUAUCCUCUAUAUCAAUUGAUCAGCAUUUAUAAGAUGGGGCUGUCUGUUCCUUCUGAUGUUGAUGGUUUUAGUAAUGAUGGUUUCUUGCAAGGAUGGCUGCCUCUUGGAGUAUAUUGACUUGAGAAUUAAUUGUUUUGAUAACAGUAUUUUAUUAUUUGUGGAGUUAUUUCUAUUUUUUAAAUUAUUAUAUUUAGAUUAUAAUAGAGUGAAAGAGUUAAUAGGUUUAAGAGAUUAGGAAAAAGCUACUAUUAAUUAUAGUUAGGGACCAAACUGGAAUUUUUGCACAUUUUUAAGGGUCAAAUUGUAAUUUUAUUAAAUUGAUGAAGGACCAAAAUGAAAAUAUCAUAUUUAUAACUAUACUGUAAUUUUGCCCAUAUUUCUUCUGUAAUUUUGCCUAGAAUCUCGGAUUAUGCUCUAGGGACCAAUCUGUAAUUUUUUUCAAAGUUUGGGGAUUAAACUGAAAUUUUCAUAAAUUGAGGUACCAAACUGAAAUUUUUUCAUCUUCAACAUCAAACCCAGAUUUUUCACAAAUCACCUAUUGAUAUAUCAAGAUUUUUAACUAGAUGAGGGUUUAGGUCAUAGAUUGGCCUAAUACUCGGAUCAAGAUUUGAGUCAAGUUAGCUUAUUGACUAGUGUUAAUAAAAAAUUAUAUUAUUUUAAGAUUUAAUUUAAUUAAAUAGAUCCAACUACCAUGCAAUUCCACAAUUAAUUUAUUUUAUUAUGAUUUAGUGUUAUGUUAACCAGGCAACAUUUAAUUACCAUGAUAUAAAAUACAAAAAUAGUGGGAACAUAAAAAAACAUGCUUUUAUAUAUUUUUUAUUUUAAAAGUAUAAAUUUUACUUUAAGACUAUUGUAAAAAGAUAUUUAUUUUAAAUUUAUUUAUAUUUUUAUAAUUCAAAAAUUAAAAAUAAAACAGAAUUAAUCCAUACUCAUCUAAAAACAAUUAACUCUAACAUCAUUAUUUUAUAACAAAACUAGCAAAGAUAAUUUAUUAAUCACUAAGUUUUCUGGUUAUAAAUACAUUAGUAAGUGUCUUUGUCUCUUUUGUAUUUCUAACUAUUAACGAAUUGAAAGAAUAAAUUUAGAAUCACCAAUUAAGCAGUGAAUCACACGGGAAGAUUGAAAGAAUAAUUAAAGUGAUUAUACUAACCGACAAGUCGACCCCAAGUCAAAGUCUUCUGUGGAAAAACAUGAAUAAAAGGUGGACGCUGGGCAGCUCACUUUCCAUGAAGAUGAUGGAUACAGAGCCCUCCCUUCUAUCUUUAUGGAAAUCACGUCUAGAAAAUCAUGCUUUAAUUUUAAGCUUGAGAGGGGAUGAUAUAUAUAUAUAUAUAUAUAUAUAUAUAUAUAUAUAUAUAUAUAUAUAUAUAUAUAUGCUUUAAUUUCAACUUGUAUAAAAAAUAAAUCUUAAUGACUGGUGAUUUAAACUUGGGUGUUUUUUCGGUAUUAAUAUAUAUAUUCCUCAAUUAUCAUAAAGAAUUAAGAAAAAACUAAUAAUAAGAUUAAAAUAAAUGUUUUAUAUAUCGAAAUAAUUAAAAGUAAGGUUUACUUAAGGUAUAUAUGGGAUUAAUUUAAAAUAACAAUAAAAUCAAUUUAUUAAAAAAAAUCAUAAAUUUAGUUUUCCUAAAUUUUAAAUGUAGUGUGAAUGCAUUCCGCAAGAAAAAAACAGUGCAAAAUUAGCCUUUCAAGAAAUAGAGAAUCUUCCUCUUUGAAGGAAUUAAUUAGUGGGUUGGAAAAAUGUCGUCUUCUGCUCUAAUAUUUUCUUCACUUUCUCUAUAGUUUUACCUUACACCAAUAUUGUCAGAAAAUGAUACAAUAUACUUCUUGUGUUAUCCUUCAAGAUUUCAAUUGAAAAUUAAGGAGGGUCGUAAAAAAUUUAAUUUUUAUAAACAUAUCCUUAACUCUGUAUCUUCUCUAGAUAUGUCUGUGACUGAGCUCCAUAAAGAAUUCCUAUUUAACAUUAAUCUGUCCAUCAAGUUUUUGAUCCCCGAUUAAGGCCAUCUUGAUAAAUGAGAUUUUACUCUGUAAUUUUAAUGUAUAGCUGUCAAUGACCUGAAACAUGCAAAUUAAAAUUCAAAGUGUGAGCAUUGAAUUUCUUGUCAGUUUACACCCUUCUGUGGUGUUUCCUCUUUCCAUUGAUUGAAGAGCGUCCAAGAGGAAAAACUGAAAAGGCAAAAGUUCUAUUGUACAGUGAAAAAGAGCAUGAGAAAUACACAGAAGCAGAGAUGCAUGAAUCCUUCUCCACUAGCAGCUCUCGUCCAUAGGAUCAUUGUGGUUUCAAGAUUGAUGCCCAAUCAUUUCCCUCUUUGUUCGAUUCCUCAGACCUUUUGGAAACUGUACAUUCCGGGGGAAAGUCUGUGCAAGGGCAAAAGGCGACGGUGGACUUGACAAAGGGCUGAGGGGUGGGUGAGAUGUUAUGUCAAGAAAUGAUUUUGGAAAAUUUCUUCAUAUGUGUUGAAUAACUAAGAUAAGAUAGGAGUCUUGAACAAGGCAAAAGCAUAGGCUCUCCAAGACGAUUGACCAGAAGGAGAGAAGGAAGGCUCUAUAUCCUUAGCACGUCAAACACUCCUUUGCACAUUAGAGAAAUUGUCGAGUUAUUCCUGCUUCUUCUUCUUCUUCCUUUUUUUUUUUUUUAUUUAUAAUAGUCCAGUAUUAUUAUAGAAAGGUGCUCGAGCCAAAAUUAGAGACUAGCUAGCAUAAAAGAAAAACAUAGGACAAUAUAUACAAGACAGGGGAGGAAGUAAUAACAUAACAUAAUAUAUAUAUAUAUAUAUAUAUAUAUAUAUAUAUAUAUAUAUAUAUAUAUAUAUAUUAAAAAAAACUUGAGUUAACGCAUCAACUCAACGACCCGAAUCAUGAGAUCAGGAUAAGCAAACUCAAUAUUAAAAGAUGAAAUUUAAAAAAAAAACCUUAAAAACAUAUAUGGUUUAACAAUAUUAAUUAAUUAUUAAAAUCUUUCAUUUUAUAUAUAUUAAAAAUAAAUAUUAAUAACUAUUAUAUCAAUUUGUGAAUGUUUCAAUUUGAAUGCGAACAAAUGUUUUAUAUAUGACAUUUUUCUUAAGAAUGUCUCUUUCAUUAAAACCAAAAUUAUUUAACAUGAUUAGAUUUAAUACCCUGAGAGUUUAGGUCAUAGAUUGGCCUAAUACUCGGAUAAGAUUGAGAUCAUAUAUCAGACAAGUUAGCUUAUGUUGAAUGGUGUUAAUCUAAAAUUGUAUUAUUUUAAGAUUUUUUUUAGAAAAAAUCAAAAUUGCGUAGUUAAAAAAAAUAAAACUAGUUUUUGACUGAAUUAACUAGGUUGUGGGUUGAUUUAUUUAGUCGAUUAGGCUUGGUUGGGUCAGCUCUCACUUAGUUUUUUCUAAACCUGAAUUGGGUUAGGUUCCAGAUUAAAAUGUUAGGCUUGAAUUAAAUUUAAUAAUGCUGAUUAAAACCACAUUGUAGAAAAAAAAUUAAAUUGCAUAAAAGUAAUUAACCGAAAACUUGUAUUCCUUCUUGUAAAGCUGAACCCGUGUCAGUUUUAUUGAAGGAAAACUAUGAACCAAAGGUUAAUGCUACUUUCAUGACGAGAAGACUUGCUACUUUCUUUAUGGAAAUAACGUGUGGAAAAUCAUGCCUUAAUUUUGAUGGCGAUGGUAAAAUCAAAGAGUAUCGUUGAUAAUUAAAUGCUUAUGCAUAAAAAAUAAAUCUCAAGUGUUAGAAUGCAACCACUGAUUAAUUAAUGGACAACGGACCUUGGAUUAAUACAUGACGCAACUUUCAAUGGAAUUAUAUUUGUGGAGGUAUUUACUCGGAUGUGAAUUAUAUUUUUAUUUUUUUAUUUUAAAAAAAAUUCUAUAUACUACAACUAGCUUAAGAAAGUCAAAAAAAUUUAAGUGAAAAAAAAUAUAUAUAUAUUUAUAUACACUCACGCACACACAAAAAUAUAGUCAAAUAAAUCAAGAACUAUGUGUGUUAAUAAGUGGAAAAAAAAACCUUAAACGAUAACUCAAAAUAAAAACUAGAAAAAUCAAGAGACAAGUGUAUAUCAAGAUAUUUAAUUUCACAUGACGUGACAUUUUUUUUUUUGGAUUCGACGAAACCUCACCCCUCCGAAAAGCACACUUUGUGGGCCCAGGUGAGGGAGUAAAACCCCGGCUGUCCCAGGCUCUUACAAAAGGUGCACGCCCUGACUCGAACUCGAGACCUGCUGUGCAGAUCUCAAACCCUUUGCCAUCACGCUACGCCCCUUGGGGACAACGUGACAUUUACGCAGUAUUGUUUUCUAAAUUUUCUAAUUAAAAUAAUUUUUUAUUUGAUCAAACGAUAAUAUAAACAGACACACACAUUCUAAAUUGAUUGAAUAAAAAAAAAAUAUAUGCAAAGCUGUAUAUAUUAAAAAUAUUAUUUGAAAAUAAUUUGUUUUUCAAAAAUAAAGUUCAUCUAUGUAAAAGAUUUUAAAAAAAUAUAGAUUAAUCAAAAAAACCUCUUUAAAAAUUAAAUUCAUGAUUAAAAAAUAAUCAUCAUUUCAAAUAGGCUUUUUAAAUAACUAAAAAGAGAGAAGGGAUAUUAAUAUAAAUAUAAAUAUAACUAAAAUUAAGAUUAUUUUAAAAAAAUAGAUAAAAAAAAUUUUAAGCGAAAAAAAGUGAACAGACACGGUGAACUUAACUCAUAAACUCAACUGAAUUUAAUAUUUUUUUCGUUAAAUUUAUUAUAAAUAUAAAAAAAAACAAAAUUAAUAUCAUUCACGGUAAAACAUAAAUAAAAAACAGUACAACCGCAUAGUAUUCACCUCAGGCAUUUUCUUUUAAAUUUAUAGCCAAACCUUAAAAAUAAACUUUUGUGCUCAGUAUCUUUUUAAGGUGAAUUAACAAGUUUCAACUCAUCUCUGUAUCUUCUCUAGAUACAGAGAAUUCCUAUUUAACAUUAAUCUGUCCAUCAAGUUUUUGAUUCCCAAUUAAGACCAUCUUGAUAAAUGAGAAUUUACUCCGUAAUUUUAUUGUAUAGCUGUCAAUGACCUGAAACAUGCAAAUUAAAAUUCAAAGUGUGAGCAUUCAAUUUCUUGUCAGUUUACACCUUUCUGUGGUGUUCCCUCUUUCCAUUGAUUGAAGAGCGUCUAAGAGGAAAAACUGAAAAGGCAAAAGUUAUGUUGUACAGUGAAAAAGAGCAUGAUCAGAAAUACACAAAAACAGAGAUGAAUGAAUCCUUCUCCACUAGCGCUCUCGUCCAUCGGAUCAUUGUGGUUUCAAGACCGAUGCCCAAUCAUUGCCCUCUUUGUUCGAUUCCUCAGACCUUUUGGAAACUGUACAUUCCGGGGGAAAGUCUGUGCAAGGGCAAAAGGGGACGGUGGACUUGACAAAGGGCUGAGGGGUGGGUGAGAUGUUAUGUCAAGAAAUGAUUUUGGAAAAUUUCUUCAUAUGUGUUGAAUAACUAAGAUAAGAUAGGAGUCUUGAACAAGGCAAGAACAUAGGCUCUCCAAGACAAUUGACCAGAAGGAGAGAAGGAAGGCUCUAUAUCCUUAGCACGUCAAACACUCCUUUGCACAUUAGGGAAAUUGUCGAGUUAUUUCUGCUUCUGCUUCUGCUUCUUCUUCUUUUUAUAAUAGUCGAGUAUUAUUAUAGAAAGGUGCUAGAGCCAAAAUUAGAGGCUAGCUAGCAUAAAAGAAAAACAAUGAUUAAUUGCAAGAGAUGGUUACUUAUACCAGUAGCAAUUUAGUAAUGAUUAAUUAGCAUUUAUAUUAAGAUGUGGCUAUUAAUUCAAAUGUUAACAAUGAUUUUCUUGGAAGGAUGAUUGCCUCUUGGUUACUUUAAAAUAUACGGUUUUUUUAGUUCAAAUCUAUUAAUAAAAAUAUAGUUUUAUUGAAUUUUUUUAUAUACUUUUAUUAGAGAAAUUAAUUUAAACACAUUUAUAUACAGACACUAGUUUAUCAAGUACUUCAAUAGAAAAAUAAAAUCAAUUAGAGUACUUAAAUAAAAAAAAAUAUAAAUUAUAAGCAUUUUACAUAUCUUUAUUGUUUAUAAAUUAAAAAUAAAAUAAUAUCAAUCCAGACUAAUCUAAAAAAAAAUUAACUAUGACAUCAUCAUUCUAAUAAUAAAACUAAUAAAGAUGUUUUAUUGAUUAAAUUUCGUGAUACAGGGUUGAAACAAAAAAGAGAUGAAGAGAGAGGAGGGAAUGGAAAGAAGGGAAAAAAGAACUCAUGCGAUCUGUUGUUUGUAAGUUUUUUACAUAAUAUAUAGGAAGGUAUUUUAAUUAUUUUGUUCAAAUUAAAAAUUUUCAUUGACUAAAAAGCGUAAUUAUCUAAAACAUAAAAGCAAAGUAAAAAACUCAAAUGCUUCAUUAAAAAACUCAAUUGAUUCGGUGCUUUAUUAGUUUCUAUAGUAUGGUGUCUUAUGCAUUUUGUUCUAAUCAUAUAUGGGAAAGUGUUUGGUUGAUUAACGUAUAUCAUGACUUUGUAUGGGUCCUACCACAAACUCUCUCUUUUGAAAUAUUAAUUAAGAAAAAGCUAUAAUUUAUAGUUUUUUUAAAUUUAUUUUUUCAAAUUACAAUCAUAUAAACUACUAUAAUAUCAAAUACAUAUUUGAAUAAGACUCAGUAAAAAUUUUCUUCUUCUAAAUACAAAGUGGAAAUGAGUUACUUUCUCCAAAAAGAAUAUAUACAAUAUUAUCGAUUAUCUAAUGCAAACUCCGUCUAACAUACACAGAGAAAGAGAGAGAACCUUAACUAUGUUUAUUUUAUGCACUUUAAUUAAAAAUAAAUUUUGGAUUGUACGAGAGACUUUAAUUAAAUUUCAAUAUUAAAUUUAUGCACUUUAAUUAACAUACACAGAUCAACUAUUAAUAUAUCAAGACUUUUAACUCAAAUUCAUUAUUUAAACAAACCAUAACUUAAAAUUAUUAUCUUUAUCUAAAAUCUUUAAAAAUCAAUGAAAUAACUCAUUAUUCAUAAUAAUUAACCUGCUAAGUUAUUUCUGCUUCUUCCUUUUUAUAAUAGUCGAGAAUUAUAUAUUAUAGAAAGGUGCUAGAGUUAAAAUUAGAGGCUAGCUAGCAUAAAAGAAAAACAGAGGUAUAUACAAGACAGGGGAGGAAGUGUGCGUGCGUGCGUGUGUGUGUGUGUGUGUGUGAUCCCUUCUCAAGCUUAAAAGUAAAGCAUGAUUUUCUAGACGUGAUUUCCAUAAAGAUAGAAGGGAGGGCUCUGUAUCCAUCAUCUUCAAGGAAAGUGAGCUGGCCAUCGUCAACCAUUUAUUUAUGUUUUCAACCAUUUAUUUAUGUUUUUCCACAAAAGACUUUGACUUGGGGUCAACUUGUCGGUUAAUUACUUUUAUGCAAUUCAAUUUUUUAAAAAUAUAUAUAUAUAUGCUUUAAUUUCAACUUAAGUUAUAUACGGGACGAUAAAAAAAUAACAAUAAAAUCAAUUUAUAAAAAAAAUCAUAGAUUUAGUUUUCCUAAAUUUUAAAUGUAGUGUGAAAGCAUUCCGCAAGAAAAAAACAGUGCAAAAUUAGCCAUGACAAUAAGUCUUUUUCUUUCUAAAGAGUUUAUUUUUUGUAACACAAUCAAUAAGUAAGAUGGAUGGGAAUUUGCAGUGUGAGAUGGGUUUGUGAGACUAUAUAUUGCCAUCAGCAUUUUUUCCAUGAUAUAGGCUUGUAGGAUGGUCCAUGAGACCAUUGCUAUAUAUCAAGCGUUUUUUCUACGAGAUGGGUCCAUGAGACCAUUACCUCGUAAGCUUGGGAAUGGAUAACAUGAUUUAAUGUUUAUUUAGUUUAAAAAAAAAUUAAAUGCUUAUGCAUAAAAAAUAAAUCUCAAGUGUUAGAAUGCAACCACUGAUUAAUUAAUGGAUAAUGAACCUUGGAUUAAUACAUGACGCAACUUUCAAUGGAAUUAUAUUUGUGGAGGUAUUUACUCGGAUGUGAAUUAUAUAUAUAUAUAUAUAUAUAUAUAUAUAUAUAUAUAUAUAUAUAUAUAUAUAUAGGGGCACACACAAAUAUAGUCAAAUAAAUCAAGAAUUAUAUGUGUUAAUAAGUGAAAAAAAAAAUAUUAAACUAUAACUCAAAAUAAAAACUAGAAAAACCAAGAGACAAAUGUAUAUAAAGAUAUUUAAUUUCACAAGACGUGAUAUUUACGCAGUAUUGUUUUCUAAAUUUUCUAAUUAAAAUAAUUUUUUAUUCGAUCAAACGAUAAUAAAAAUAGACACAUACAUUAUAAAUUGAUUGAAUAAAAUAAAAGGAGAAAAAAUAAUAUGCAAGGCUGUACAUAUUAGAAAUAUUAUUUGAAAAUAAAUUUCUUUUUAUUUUCAAAAAUAAAGUUCAUCCAUGUAAAAUAUUUUUAAAAAAUAUAGAUUAAUCAAAAAAAUCUCUUUAAAAAUUAAAUGCAUGAUUAAAAAAUAAUCAUCAUUUUAAAUAGGCUUUUUAAAUAACUAAAAAGAGAGAAGGGAUAUUAAUAUAAACAUAAAUAUAACUAAAAUUAAGAUUAUUUAAAAAAAAUAGAUAAAAAAAUUUUAAGCAAAAAAAAGUGAACAGACAACUUAUAAACUCAACUGGAUUUAAUAUUUUUCCUGUUAAAUUUAUUAUAAAUAUAAAAAAACAAAAUUAAUAUCAUUCAUGGUAAAACAUAAAUAAAUAAAUAAAUAAAACAGUACAACCGCAUGUUAUUCACCUCAGGCAUUUUCUUUUAAAUUUAUAGCCGAACCUUAAAAACAAACUUUUGUGCUCUGUAUGUUUUUAAGGUGAAUUAACAAUUUUCAACUCAACUCGGUACCUUCUCUAGAUAGAUCUGUGACUAUGCCUUGGAUUUUCUCAAAACUACUAAGUGUGUGCUUGAGAGGGUGAUUAUAGUUGUUUUUUAAAGUGUUUUUCACUCAGAAAAACAUGUCAAUAAUAUUUUUUUAUAUUUUAAAAUUUAUUUUCGAAAUCAGCACAUCAAAAUGAUUUAAAAACAUCAAAAAUAUAUUAAUUUAAAGUAAAAAAAAAAUUCAAAUUUUUGCGGAAGUGCUUUUGAAAAGCACUCCCAAACACUCCCAUGGUUGGAUACCAAGUAAAUAGAGAUAAAUUUAUUUCCUGUUAUUCUCCGAUAGUAUCUUCGUCCCUUGAUAGAACUUUCUUGGAGAUGAUGAGCUACCACUCCCUUUUGACUUUGCUGGCCUCCCAAAUAUAAAUAAAGAAUUCCUCUUGAUAGAAUUUUCUUCGAAAUGAUGAGAAUAUUUUAGAAUAUUCUGGUUGACGCCAGCUGUCAACAACUAUCUUACAUUCCCAACGCAUGCCUUUGCAAGAUGUUAAAGGCUCAUCUAAAAACAAUUAACUCUGAUAUCGUUAUUUUAUAACAAAUUAGCAAAGAUAAUUUAUUAAUCACUAAGUUUUCUGGUUAUAAAUACAUUUGUAAUUGUCUUUAUCUCUUUUGUAUUUCUAACAAUUAACGAAUUGAAUAUAUAAUAAAUACCGACUGAAAGAAUAAAUUUAGUUUAAAUGUGCUAAAGUUUAAAUAGGCGACUUUAGAAUCACCAAGAAGGCAGUGAAUCACACGGGAAGAUUGAAAGAAUAAUUAAAGUGAUUUUACUAACAUUGUAAAAGUAAUUAACCGAAAAGUUGACCCCAAGUCAAAGUCUUCUGUGGAAAAACAUGAAUAAAAGGUUGACGCUGGGCAGCUCACUUUCCAUGAAGAUGAUGGAUACAGAGCCCCCCCUUCUAUCUUCAUGGAAAUCACGUCUAGAAAAUCAAACAUUAUUAUUGCCAUCUGCGUUUUUUCUUAGAGAUGGGUCCGUUCCACCAUUUCCCCUCAAGCUUGAGAUAUAUAUACGUGACACGAUUUAAUUUCAAAUCUUAAUGUAGUGUGUUAGAAUGCAACCACCGAUUGAUUAAAUUUAAUGGCUGGUCAUUUAAACUUGGGUGUUUUUUCGGUAUUAAUAUAUAUAUAUAUAUAUAUAUAUUCCUCAAUUAUCAUAAAAAAUUAAGAAAAAACUAAUAAUAAGAUUAAAAAUAAAUGUUUUAUUUAUCGAAAUAAUUAAAAGUAAGGUUUACUUAAGGUAUAUAUGGGAUGGUAAAAAAAUAACAAUAAAAUCAAUUUAUAAAAAAAAAUCAUAGAUUUAGUUUUCCUAAAUUUUAAAUGUAGUGUUUAUAAUUAAUUAAUUAAUUGAGAAUUUGAGCUCUUCUAAAAGUUGUUUAUGGACUUUUGUUUUCCGGAGAAAACUCCCUUAAAACCUUUGAGCACUUCCUUCUCUAAAAUAUAUGUUUUUGCCAUAACUCAGGGGCUCUGUAUCUUUUAAGGUGAAUUAGGCUUUAUAUCUUUUUAAGGUGAAUUAACAAGUUUCAACUCAUCUCUGUAGAUACAUAGAAUUCCUAUUUAACAUUAAUCUGUCCAUCAAGUUUUUGAUCCCCAAUUAAGACCAUCUUGAUAAAUGAGAUUUUACUCUGUAAUUUUAAUGUAUAGCUGUCAAUGACCUGAAACAUGCAAAUCAAAAUUCAAAGUGUGAGCAUUGAAUUUCUUGUCCGUUUACACCUUUCUGUGGCGUUUCCUCUUUCCAUUGAUUGAAGAGCGUCUAAGAGGAAAAACUGAAAAGGCAAUCACUAGCGGCCCUCGUCCAUCGGAUCAUUGUGGUUUCAAGAUUGAUGCCCAAUCAUUGCCCUCUUUGUUCGAUUCCUCAGACCUUUAGGAAACUGUAUAUGAGAUGUUACAGAGUGACGGAGGACUUGACAAAGGGCUGAGGGGUGGGUGAGAUGUUAUGUCAAGAAAUGAUUUUGGAAAAUUUCUUCAUAUUUGUUGAAUAACUAAGAUAGGAGUCUUGAACAAGGCAAGAACAUAGGCUCUCCAAGACGAUUGACAGAAGGAGAGAAGGAAAGCUCUAUAUCCUUAGCACGUCAAACACUCCUUUGCACAUUAGAGAAAUUGUCGAGUUAUUUCUGCUUCUGCUUCUGCUUCUGCUUCUUCUUCUUUUUAUAAUAGUAGAGUAUUAUUAUAGAAAGGUGCUAGAGCCAAAAUUAGAGGCUAGCUAGCAUAAAAGAAAAAGAAAAACAGAGGACAGUAUAUACAACUAUACAAGACAGGGGGAGGAAGUAAUAACAUAAUAUUAAUAACUAUAUAUAUAUUAAAAAAACUCGAGUUAACCCAUCAAGUUUACGACCCGGAUUAUGAGAUCGGGAUAAGCAAACUCAAUGUUAAGAAAUGAAAUUAAAGAAAAAAACCAUAAAAACAUAUAUGGCGUAGUGUCUUAUCGAUUAAGUUUGAUUGGGUCAACUCUCACUUGGUUUUUUCUAAACCUAAAUUGGGUUAGAUUCUAGAUUAAAAUAUUAGGCUUGAAUUAAAUUUAAUAACACUGAUUAAAACCACAUUGUAGAAAAAAAAAAUGAAUCGCGUAAAAGUAAUUAACCGAAAACUUGUAUUUCUUCUUAUAAAGUUGAACUCAUGUCAGUUGUUUUUUAAGGAAAAAUAUGAAUCAAAGGUUAAAGCUAGGCAGCUCACUUUGCACGACAAUGACGGAUAUAGAAGACAUAACGUGUGGAAAAAUCAUGCCUUAAUUUUGAUGGUGAUGGCAAAAUCAAACAGUAUCGUUGAUAAAAUGAACCACAAAUAAUAUUAUUUCUAAAACACUUCUUGUCAUUGUGAUGACAAUAAGUCUUCUUCUUUGCAGUGUGAGAUGGGUUUGCAUUUUUAUUUUCCACGAUAAUUAAUUAAUUAAUUGAGAAGUUGAGCUCCUUAAGAAAAGUUGUUUAUGGACCUUUGUUUUCCGGAGAAAACUCCCUUAAAACCCUUGAGCACCACCUUCUCUAAAACAUCUAUCUUUGCCAUAACUGAGAGGCUCUGUAUCUUUUUAAGGUGAAUUAACAAGUUACAACUCAACUCUGUAUCUUUUUUAGAUAUGUAUGUGACUGUACCUUGAUGUUCUCACAACCAUUAAGAUGGAGACAAAUUUUCUUUUCUGUUAUUCUCCGAAAAUAUCUUCGUUCCUUGAUAGAAUUUUCUUGGAAAUGAUGAGCUUCCACUCCCUUUUGACUUUGCUGGCCUCCGAAAUAAUUAAAGAAUUCCUCUUGAUAGAAUUUCCUUGGAAAUGAUGAGAAUAUCUCACAUUCCCUUGGCAUCGUGUUCCAUGCCUUUGCAAAUUAUUAAAGGCUCCAAUGCAUGUGUCCUUUUAUUCAUGUUUUUCCACAAAAGACUUUUGACUUGGGGUCAACUUGUCGGUUAGUAAAAUCACUUUAAUUAUUCUUUCAAUCUUCCCGUGUGAUUCACUGCUUAAUUGGUGAUUCUAAAUUUAUUCUUUCAAUUCGUUAAUAGUUAGAAAUACAAAAGAGACAAAGACAAUUACUAAUGUAUUUAUAACCAGAAAACUUAGUGAUUAAUAAAUUAUCUUUGCUAGUUUUGUUAUAAAAUAAUGAUGUUAGAGUUAAUUGUUUUUAGAUGAGUUUGGAUUAAUUCUGUUAAUUUUAUUUUUAAUUUUUGAACUAUAAAAAUAUAGAUAAAUUUAAAAUAAAUAUCUUUUUACAAUAGUUUUUUAGUAAAAUUAGAGUAAAAUUUGUACUUUUAAAAUAAAAAUAUAUAAAAACAUGUAUUUUAUGUUCCCAUUAUUUUUGUAUUUUAUAUCAUGGUAAUUAAAUGUUGCCCGGUUAACAUAACACUAAAUCAUAAUAAAAAAAUAAUAAUUAUGGAAUGGCAUGGUAGUUGGAUCUAAUUUUUUUAUGGAAUGGCAUGGUAGUUGGAUCAUAAUAAGAGUAUUCAAAUUAAGAAUAUUUAAAUGAGUGUUAAUUGGGUUUAAAAGACUUACAAGCAAAAUAUAAGUUGUUUGUUAGAAUUCUUAUGGAUCCGAUAGAAAAUUAAUACUUCAUUCAUAUACAUUACAUGAGCAUAUAUAUAUUUCUUUUAUCAACAUAAUGAUAUGUUUAUUUAUGUAACAGGUCCAUCAAAUAUCCAUGGAGAUCAUUAGUUUAGGGCUCUACUUUGUCAAGCUUAUGUAAAUAUUUAACUUAAGCAAAAGGGAAUUAACGCAUUUAUGUAGUAUGCUUUUGUAUAAACCUUGAUGUAUUUAUAAAAGUUCAGCUUAGCAUGUAGUACUUUAGUUAUCUUGUAAUUAACCCUUCUGAAAUAUUUAAAAACACUUAUUAUGUUGUAAAUGCUUUAUUUACAUGUUAGUAUUCCUUUUUCUUUUAAUUUUAUGAUAUGAUAUAUGGGCUAUGUUCAUAUUGAACUUGCUCAUAGGAUAUAUAUAAAUAUAUAUUGUGUGGAUUAUAUGAGGUGUUGAAUUAUGAUGAUUAAUAUAAGGUUCGGAAUUAUGGGACCUUGUGAUGAUGGAUUGAUUGUGUAAAUUAAUAGUAGUCGAUAACUUGGGAUGUUCUAAAUACAAACAAAACUCUGCUGAAUUUUUGGUAGAUUUAAAAAAAAAAAUUACCCUCAAAUUAAAAGCAUAUGUUGAGAUCUUUUAACAUUGAUCAAGUCGUAUAGUUGGUUCUGUUACAUGUUAGGUAUACAAUGUCUCUGUGAUAUGGACAUAAUGAUUUUUGAUGUGUCAAAUUCUUACUAUUUCACUCUUAAGAGUAGAAAGAUCUACUUCGUUGGACAACCACCAAGGCUUAACAACAAUAAUGAGAAAAUAAGCAUGUGAAAGGAAAAAGACUUAAUCUUAUAAGCCCAAAUGAUUUUGAGAAUCAGGUUCAUGAAGAGUUUGUUGCAUUUGCUUUAGUGGCUAAGAAAGUUUUAGAGAAAGCACUCGAAGAAAUAAGUGUAGUUUUGAAAGAAUUUCAAGAUGUUUUUCCUCUCAAAGUUCAUAAUUCCUUACCCCAUUAUACGUGACAUUCAACACGUAAUAUUUUAUCCCUAGUUACCUCUUGGUUUCAAGCAAGAAACACACUUCAAUAUCAUUAUGCGUUACUGUAUUCCUAAUAGAUGCCCUCUUAGCAGACAUACCCAACCCACAACUAUUCCAGAAUAAAAUCUUCAUUGAUAAAUGAUUUUAAACCUUACCAAGUUAUACUGCAAAAUGGAAUUAUUCCCAAAACCCAAAGCAAAUAACAUCCUCUGCGCCUCAUCUUCAACAAUACAUUCUGCUGUUGCAGCAGAACUGUAAGUUAUCAUAUAACGAAGAUUCCCUUUUCUGAUUCUAGAAUCCAGUGAACCUGGUGAUUCCACCUCACGUUCAUCCUCCACCCGCUGAAGACUACCAUUGAAAGAGAAAAGCUCCACCUUUGGGUGUAAACUGGAUUGAUUGCAUCCCAUCUGAAUCACGUGGGCUUAAUGGAAGGAACGAACAAUUGUCGGUUUUAAAAGUUUGGUUUGUAACAAUCAUUGUAAUUCCAAAUUUCCAUACUCCUUCCAUUUAAGCAAUUAAUAAUAACAGAGAAUAUGUAUAAAUCUCAAUGUUGUUUUAAAUUUUAUGUAAGAUAGUACAGUUUCAUUCAAAAAAUGAGAAAGAACAAUAAAAAUCCUCAAAUUCUACCACCUUCAAUUCUCAUUCAUCAACAACAGCAUACAUUCAAACAAGUGAUCAAUAGUGUUGAUGAAAAAUAAAUCAUUAGCGAUCAAGUGACGAGGACUAUAGUAAGAUUGGCGCCAUUGUAAGCUUGACAAGCUUUGCCUACUCUAAUUAACAGCAACGAAAGAUUCAGUGCCUAAUCUCUGGACGGAGAAGGGGACGCCUUUGUUAUGUACAUGGUUGCCCUAAAUGGUUCGAUGAUGCUCAUUUUAAACAUUUUUUGUCAAGGUUGUCAAUUUUGCUCCGUUUAGUGUUUCAUUUUUUUAAUUGAAACGGUAUGUUUUGGUUUCGGAGCAUUUCAGUGUGUUGUUUCAGGAUUAUAUAUAUAUUAACUCAAUUAAACAUAAUUUAAAUUUAAAUUUAAAGAUAAAUUAACUUGAAAUUAUGCAAUUUAAAUUUCAAACACAAGUAAAAAAGUGAGAGACUGAUAUGACUUGAUCGACUAGAUGGGUCCAAAGACAACCUUUACGACUGGUAAGAAUAUAGUUUGACUCAAAAAAAUUUAAGAUGAUAUUUUUUAAAAAAUAUAUUGAGAUGACAACAUAUUAAAUCAACCUGGGUCAACUCGAUCGGAUUAACUUUCUAAAUUCGUAAUCCAGGUUAUGAGACCAUAAUAACCUAAAAUAAAGCAAAUCAAAACAAAUUAUAAAGCUGAAUUCUCAAUAAACAUGUUAUUGAAUGGUUAAAUUGGAAAAAUUUUAAUAUAAAAAAAGACACAAAAAAAUGACCUUCAGAGACUAUUGUCGUCACCAGAAUGUUUUGCCCGCCACACAAGCUUCACAUAUCUUUUGCAACUCAGAUUUGGAAACUUUAGAGUACCUUUUUAUAUACUGUAACUUUUCUAGGAGUGUUUGGAUGAAAGUUUUGGAUUAGUGGGGUAUCUAAUGUUGUUGUCGAGCACUUUAGACUCGCUACUUCUACAACAACAUGGAAUGGUGCAGGGUAAAUUCCAAAGAUUAGCUUGGAGACUAAUCUCUAGUAGUAUUACUCGGGGUAUUUGGUUGUUGAGGAACAAAAUUGUUUGUGAGGAGAGAACUAUAAGUUUGUUUGAUUGUUUCUCUAUCAUCCUUUAUCAGGUUGCUAUUUAGUUGUAUACUCUGUAUUCAAACUUUACUUAUACAGGAAAUGAUCUCUUAAGAUCUUUUGAUGAUAUCAAAUUGUGGUGUAAUAAGAAAUCUUAGGUAGUUUCUUUGUUUUUUUGUUGUAGCAAAUCAGUUUUGUUUUCUUUUUUUCCCCCUUUUUUCUUUUUUUUUUUGUCCUAUGAGACUAUUGUCAUCUGCAUUUUUUCCAUGAUAUAGGCCAGUGGGAUGGUCCAUGAGACCAUUGCUAUCAAGCGUUUUUUGUACGAGAUGGGUCCACGAGACCAUUGCCCUGUAAGCUUGGGAAUGGAUAAUAUGCUUUAAUUUCAAUUUAGUUUACAAAAAAAUUAAAUUAAAUGCUUAAGCAUAAAAAAUAAAUCUCAAGUGUUAGAAUGCAAUUACCGAUUAAUUAAUGGACAACGGACCUUAGAUUAAUUAAUAUAUGAUGCAUCUUUCAAUGGAAAUGUAAAUGCUUUACUAGAAUAUUAUUUUUUUUUGUAUUUGUUUUCUGGUUAUAUUUAAUUUUCAUCAAUAUUCCUAACAUAAAUUGCUACGUAUUUUGAAUCUUGAAGGAUUGAAAGAUAGAAAACAGAAAAGAAAAGGAGACAAGGCAGUUCAAAAGAAGAAGAAAAAAGUACGAUAGUGAAAGAAAGAGAAGAGAAUAAAAGUGGAGCAGUUUUUAUUAACUAUAUAAAUUUUAUAAUUACUAAUAUUAAAUUCAAAAUAUGUACAUAUUACAAAUAUGUAAACAUAUCAUAUGGUUUAAAAGAAAUGGCUUUUAUAAACAUAUAUGGCUUAACAAUAUUAAUCAACUCCUAAUAUUUUCAUUUUAUAUAUAUUAAUUAAAGUAAAUAUUAAAACCUAUUAUAUUAAUCUGUGAAGGUAUUUACUCGGAUGCAAAUUAUAUUUCUAAUUUAUUAUUAAAAAAAAUUCUAUAUACUACAACUAGCUUAAGAAAGUCAUGUUUAUCAGGAUCAUAGAGUAAAAAAAAGAAAAAAUUGAAUUGCAUAAAAGUAUCACUAGCUUAAGAAAGUUAUGUCAUCUGCAUCUUUCCUCGAGGAGAGGCAGUGAGACGUCCUCUUCCAACCAUCAUGCAUUUUUUCCAUGAGAUGGGUUCGUGGAAAAACUUUGGUUUAAUUGGGAAUGCUGUUAUUGAUUGGAAAAUUUUUAAUUAAAAUAAAUUUGAUUUUUUGAUUGGAAAAAAAUCCUUAAAUGACAUUAACACAUGACUCCACUUUAUUUUCUUAAGAAAAAAAAUAUUGUAACCAUAUAAGUUUCAAGUUUAAAGGGUUUUCAUUUGAAGGGGUGUGUUAGAGAAUAAUAUAAAUCAUAUCUUAGAAUCUAACCUAAUAGCUUAAGCUUUUGGGUUGAAUCGGUUCUUUGACAUGGUAGCGGAGCCUUGAUGACCAAGCGAUCACGAGUUCGAAUCUCAUCAUCCCCAUUUAUUAGAUAAAAAUUAAACACAAGGUAAUGUGGAUCUGUACAAGUUUCAAGCCCUUCUAUUGGGUUAAGAUGGUAUCUUGAGGUCUCACCUAACAACUUAAACUAUUGGGUUGAGAUGGUUCUUCGACAGGCUACCAGAUGGUGCGGCGCUACACCUCUGUUCUUGCUUUUCUCUGCUUGUUUUCUCUUCUUUUUUUAUUUCUCUUGUUCCCUUUGUCUCUCUCUGUAUUAUCUAUGUUUGUUCAUUUUUCGUCUAUGUCUUUUUGUAUUAUCUGUCUGUGGUUCUCCCCUUCUAUGUGGCUUUUCUUUGUUUGUCUUGAUUUCUCUGGGUUUGUAUUUGGUUGGUUCAACAACCUACGGUGAGGGGAAGUUGAAUAUUAAAGGCUCCCAUGCCUCUCUAGCAAUAAUAUUAUUUUUUAUUUAUCCCCAAAUACAUGUGUCAUUUAUCAAAAUAAUUAAUUUAAUCACCAAAAAAAAACAAAUAGAUCCAACAACCAUGCCAUUCCACAGUUAAUUUUUUUUAUAUUAUGAUUUAGUGCUAUGUUAACCGGGCAACCUUUAAUUACCAUGAUAUAAAAUAAAAAAAUAAUGGGAACAUAAAAUAAAUGUUUUUAUAUAUUUUUUAUUUUAAAAGGAAAAAUUUUACUCUAAUUUUACUCAAAAACUAUUGCAAAAGGAUAUUUAUUUUAAAUUUAUCUAUAUUUUUAUAGUUCAAAUAUUAAAAAUAAAAUAGAAUUAAUCACUAAGUUUUCUGGUUACAAAUACAUUUGUAAUUGUCUUUAUCUCCCUUGUAUUUCUAACCAUUAACGAAUUGAAUAUAUAAUAAAUACUAAUUAACAAAAGAAUAAAUUUAGCUGUAUAAUGUACUAAAGUUUAAAUAGGUGACUUUAGAAUCACCAAGAAGGCAGUGAAUCACACGGGAAGAUUGAAAGAAUAAUUAAAGUGAUUUUACUAACCGACAAGUUGACCCCAAGUCAAAAGUCUUUUGUGGAAAAACAUGAAUAAAAGGUUGACGUAAGACCAUUGCUAUCAAGCGUUUUUUCUAAGAGAUGGGUCCGUUCCACCAUAUAUAUGCUUUAAUUUCAACCACCAUAAAAAAUAAAUCUUAAUGUAGUGUGUUAGAAUGCAACCACCGAUUGAUUAAUUUUAAUGGCCGGUCAUUUAAACUUGGGUGUUUUUUCAGUAUAUAUAUAUAUAUAUAUUCCUCAAUUAUCAUAAAAAAAUAAGAAAAAACUAAUAAUAAGAUUAAAAAUAAAUGUUUUAUUUAUCGAAAUAAUUAAAAGUAAGGUUUACUGAAGGUAUAUACGGGAUUAAUAAAAAAUAACAAUAAAAUCAAUUUAUAAAAAAAUAAAUCAUAGAUUUAGUUUUCCUAAAUUUUAAAUGUAGUGUGAAUGCAUUCCGCAAGAAAAAAAACAGUGCAAGAUUAGCCUUUCAAGAAAUAGAGAAUCUUCCUCUUUGAAGGAAUUAAUUAGUGGGUUGGAAAAAUGUCGUCUUUUGCUCUAAUAUUUUCUUCACUUGGUCUAUAGUUUUACCUUACACUAAUAUUUUCAAGAUUUCAAUUGAAAAGGAGGGUCGUAAAAAAUUUAAUUUUUAUAAACAUACCCUUAAUUAACUUAAUUUGGAUGUGGAUAAUUGUUUGCAAUAUAUUUACAUCCAAUAUAAACAAUUCAUCAAUGAUCAAGUCGGCCUUGGUUAGCUAAAAUAUUGAAAAUACUUGCUCUCUCCUUUUUUCUUUUUUGGCCAUGCAGUUCCUAUAUAUAUAUAUUAGUUGAAAUUUUAUGAUGUCUAUUAAUCCUUUUAAAUUAAAGUCAAGUUAUUAAUUAUAUCCUAUAGAUUUCUAGAAAAACUAAUUCUCUCAAAUUUCGUACAUUUUACUUACAAACUAUAAAAGGUGAUUGCUACAAACUAAAAUUUCAAACAAGGAAGCUUAAAUCUCUUUUAUCUACAUUUGAAAUUUACAAAAAAUAAAAUUAUAUUGGAUUAAGCCUAAACACUAUAUAAAAUUCUUGAACAACACAUUAAAAACAAAUCAAAGAUACUUUUCAAAAUAUCAAAUCAUUAAAUCUUACAUAUCAAAUAAAUCAAGUUAUCAUAUAUCAAAUUAAAAGGAAGAAUUAAAUGAUUGUUUUAUUUUUUAUAAAAAUAUUUUAAAUAGAAAUUAUAAUGUGGAUCAUAUGGCUCAAUGCAAAUUAAGGUCUCACAUAUAGCCAGCUAUAGCAUGGGAUAGCCAGCGGUCAUUCCAUCAGGAGAUUUGUGAAUUCUGAAGCCUUUGCAAUGUGCAUGGCAUGUGUCCAAGAACCCACCAGGAACUCCAUUUUGACUGGGAAACCUUUGACGAACUGUAUUAUAUGUGAUUUGCUCCUGGUAUUAUAAAUUAGAAAGUGUAAAUUGUAAAUCCCAACCAAUAAGAUAUCUACAUAAGAGUCUGUAAAUGUUACAGAUGAUUUAAGUUUGUUUAGCAAAUUUUUCAAGAACAUGUUUGUCUUUGAUAGCUUAUUGUCAUAGCUGUGAACUCUGAAGAAAAUUGAUGUAAGAAACCAAAGUCCAUUUUGUUCUAGAUUGUAGAUGGAUAUAAGCUUGGUGAUUCCCGAUUCUUUUAUUAAUUUCAUUUUAUACAUUCCCUGUGAUGUGUUCUUAAUUUAUAUACCACACCGAUGUCUGUUAGGUUCUGAUUCAAUCGAAUUGGAGCCGAUCAAAAUUGUAAUGACUCAGUUUCUUUUAUGACCUGGAUUGGGCUUCACAUGCCCUUGAUUAUGCCCAAGAAGAAAACUAAAUAAAUAGUAGAUGAGUAGUGUACUGAAAAUAAAUAUUUUCAGCAUAUUACAUAGAUCUAAAACAAUAGCACACAGGAAUUAAAAAAGAGGAGGGAUCGCUAGGGAUACAAGAUUUGCAGCCAAAACUAUGACCUGACAUGUUCAGGAAACAGAAGGGAACUAUGACCUGACAUGUUCAGGAAACAGAAGGGAGGUGUUUCUUUUAAACACAAGGCAGAUUUUUAUGAUCUUAUUCCUUUUGGUCAUUAAAUUUUCUUAAAAGGAGCUUUGGUUUGAUUCCUACAAGCUGGGGGCAAAUCUUCAGCGUUUCGACAGUCAGCCUCAUGAGCAAAAGAAAGACAAUGUGCGACCACUCCAAGCUUCUCGUUGCUCCCCUGUUCCGAUUAGAAAUGGAGAUUCAAGAAGCUAUGCUACUGUCCUGAGACAAGAGUUCCAACGAAAUCUACUGUAAGUUCCCAAGACACUCUUUUAUAACACUUUGGUCAUUUCCAUGACUUUAUCUGCAUAUCUUGUGCAGGCCAGUUCCAUGUUUUGAGAUUUGAAUAUUAUUUUAUUUUAUUGUUUAGCACUUAGUCUAUUCGCCAGGUUGGGAAAAAUAUUCAAAUUAGUUUUGUUGGCAUGUAACCUCACCAAACAAUUUAAGACUUCACUAAACAAUUUGCGUAGACCGUAUUGACUGGGAGUCAACUAUUGUCGUAGUGCUUUUUUGCACUAUCUGUGUGCGUGAAUGGAAAGAAAAGCAGGGUGGCAACUGGGGUGAGAAAAUGAAUAGAAAACUCCAACAAGGGUGUGAAAAUGAGUUACUUCUCCAAAAAGAAUAUAUAAAUUAUUGAAUAUCUAAUGGAAACUGUCGUGAACGCGGAUGCUUGACUUGCUGUGUACCAUUUUGAUUUUUAAACACAACCAUGCCGUAAUUUCCUGGUGAUUUCCUUAUGCAUACUGGUGGUCUUCCAGAAUCUUUUUCCAAACAAUCCUCGUUAGACCCUGCUCGGGGAUUAACCUGGAGUAAGAUUUGUAUCAUGGUUUUUUAUCAUGUUCCAGGUCAACUUGGAUCAACUAAAUUUUAUGAGUAUGUCAAAACGACAUUGUUUUUUAUAUAUAAACAUAAAUAUGAAUCUUGAGCUCUUUUAUAAUCUUAAGACGAAGUAUAUUAAUAGUUGAACCAUUAUCCACCAAGAUACAAUUCAUCAUCUUUUCAUCGAUAUAUCUUUUAAUAAAAAAAUAUCGUUUAUGGAGUUUUGAUUCAAGCAACAGGUCUUCAUCGUUAAAGAAUAUCUAUGUAGUGUAUACACCUUGAGACAAGUCGAAAGAGUUAGUCAUGACAGGUUUAGUAGGAGUUUUCUUUAUAGUUUUCUCAUUUUUUAUGUUAAAUUAGGAAGAGAUCAAUAAGAAACUGAACUUGAAGAUGGACUAUAUCAUUGUUAACUUCUUGAUCCGAAUACUCCAACAUGAUGGUUAGUGCAAAUUUUUUUUUUUUUAAAAAUAGCAAAAACAAAGUAAUUAAACAAGACAGACUUAGGAUUCCACAGAUAAAUAUAUGGCCAUAUUUGUUUCCCGGAAUUCACUUUCCGGGAAGCCACUUUCCAAACUUUCCUGUGUUUGUCUGCCAUUAGAAAAGUUGGUCAACGGAAAACACUUUCCAGUCAAAGGAAAAUUUAGCUUGGUUUCCAGGAAAGUGUUUUCCUUGAAAAUUUAUGCGGAAAACACUUUCUGAAAGUUGUGAAAAAUUUAAAAAUGUCAUAUUAUUUGCUGAUUAUAUCAAAUUUGGUCCUCAAACUUUUGAUUGCUAUAUAUAUAUAUAUUUUUGUUUUGAAUAUUUAUUUUUCAAUUUCAUCUCUUAAAAUUUAAUUUUUAUAUUAACUUUGGUCCUCAUUUUUAUAAUUGUUAUUUGCUUUUCCCUUAUCAUUUUCUUAUUGAAAUUUUUUAUCUAUCAAAUUUGGUUCUCAUUCUUUUGAUUGUUACUUAUUUUAUUUGAAAUAAUUUAUGAAAUGUUAAUUAUUAUUAUUAUUUUAAUUUCUUCAUCUUUCAUUUUUAUUUUAUUUUUUAGAUUUGAUUUUUAUUAUUUUGAUUAUUAUUAUUUAUUUGAGAUAAUUUAUGAAAUUAUAUUUUUUUUCAAUUUCAUUCUCAUUCAACUUUUUAAUUUGUAAGAUUUGUUCAUCAUUAUUUUAAUAAACUUGAGAAAAUAAAAUAUUAAUAAGUUAUUUUCCAGUUCAUUUUCCAUGACAUAACCAAACACUGAAAAAUAUUUUCCAACUUAUUUUUCAUUACACUACCAAACAUCGAAAAAUAAUUCACUUUCCUGGAAUUCACUUUAAAAAAAAAACUACUUUCCAGCAAGCAAACGGGCCAGUUUCAACACUUCUCUAUUGAAACGUUCAACAAUAAGGCUAAGCUAUGAGGUCAACCCACUAAAAAGCACCCAUUAGCUGGACACAUUCAAGAAAAUUGCCGACAAGUUUCGAACUAACACAAUUUUGGGCCGAGAAUGCAAGAAGCAAACCACUGAUUCCCCCACCAGCAACCACAACAAAUUCAGUGCUCCCAUGCUAAGAUCCUCUGAUGUUGGAGAACUAGCGAAAUUUAAUACAAGGCUUCAACACUCCGAAGCCUGCUAGAGAAAUAUUAAAGCAAAAUAAGUAGUAGCAUUAAACAACAGCCAUUUCAUCAGUUUUAAUUUUAGUAUAACACAAUAAUAUGAACCAACCUUGAUUCUCAAAGGCACCCAACUAAUUCAUAGCCUUCAAAUCAAGACUUUGCAAUUCUUUAAAAGGCAGAAACAAAGAUGCGUUGAGAACCCACUCCCCUAACCCCCAAUCCCCAGCACCCCCAAGAGAGAGUUGGAUCACUCGCCUUUCGGUGGUAUCGCACACGAUCCUAGACCACUCACAACAAUUAUUGCCCAGGUAUUUCAACAGUUAUGGCUUGUGUGGGUUUUGGUUCACGAUGGAGAUGAUGGAUACAAUAAUGUAUUUCGACAACAAAACUUUCAAUGCUUGUGAAUGGCUCUCCAACUAAAGAGUUCUUUAUCGAAAAGGGAUUGCGACAAGGGGACUCUUUAUCAACAUCUCUUUUCAAUAUAGCAACUGAGGGUCUUAGUAGAAUGCUAAGAAGAGAUGUGGUUUGGGACUUAUAAAAGGUAUUUGUUUUGGUCACUUUCAAGUUUGUAGAUGAUACACUCAUCUUCAGUUCAUAUGAUUUUCCAUCUCUUCAAAACAUCAAAAUAACCAUGUGAUGUUUUGAGUUGAUUUCUAGGCUGAAGGUUAAUUUCCACAAGAGCUCAAUCACGAGAACUAUUGUUAUUUCUUCAACUGCUAGCAAUCUAAUAUGUAGUAUGGAGGGGAUGCCAUUUAAGUAUUUGGGCCUGCCUAUUUGUGCAUCUUCAUCUCAUGUGGAAAACUAUUGUUAAUAGAAUCAAUAGCAAGUUGGCACUUACCUAUUGGUGAGAGAGUGUGCUUGCUUAAAUCAAUUAUAAAUAAUCUUCCUAUCUACAACCUUUCUUUAUUUCCUAUCACAUCCAUUGUUGCUACCAAAAUUGAGAAACAUAUCAUAUCUUUCUUUGGUUCUUAGGAGGAAGGAGGGAAAAAACUAUGCAAUGUUAAAUGGGCAUCGGUGGUUCCUCCAAAAAAAAACAAAAAGGGCUGGGUAUAGACUACAUUAUUGAUAAAAAUCAUGGGUUACUAACACUUCCAUAGCAAAGAGAUAUGUAUUUUCCCUAUUAAUUUCUCAAGUUACCAUAAUGAGAGUGUGAUGUGACUCCAAUAAAUGUAGGAUAUGUUAAUUAGGUAUACAAUGUCUAUGUGAUAUGGACAUAAUCAUUUUUGGUAUGUCAAAUUCUUACUAUUUCACUCUUAAGAGUAGAAAGAUCUAGUUAGUUGGACUGCAUUCCGAUCUGCAAUCUUCCUAUAUAUCCCAAUUGUUGUAUUUGCUUUAGUGGCUAAGCAAGUUUUAGAGAAACCACUUGAAGAAGUAAGUGCGGUUUUGAAAGAGUUUCAAGAUGUUUGUAAUAGAUUUGAUCCCUAGUGUUAUAUUGACCUCUUGGUUUCAAGCAAGAAACACACUUCAAUAUCAUUAUGCGUAAUUGUAUUCCUAAUAGAGUUAUGAUGUAAGUUAUGAUGUAACGAAGACUCCCUUUUCUCAUUCUAGAAUCCGGUGAUUCCACCUCACGUUCAUCCUCCACCCGCUGAAGACUUAUACCAUUGAAAGAGAAAAGCUCCAGCUUUGGGUGUAAACUGGAUUGAUUGCAUCCCAUCUGAAUCACGUGGGCUUAAUUAAUGGAAGGAACGAACAAUUGUCGGUUUUAAAAGUUUGGUUUGUAACAAUCAUUGUAAUUUCAAAUCUCCAUACUCCUUCCAUUUAAGCAAGUAAUAAUAACAGAGAAUAUGUAUAAAUCUCAGUGUUGUUUUACAUUUUAUAUAAGAUAUUACAGUUUCAUUCAAAAAAUGAGAAAUAACAUUAAAAAUCCUCAAAUUCUACCACCUUCAAUUCUCAUUCAUCAACAACAGCAUACAUUCAAACAAGUGAUCAAUAGUGAUCAAGUGAUGAGGACUAGAGUAAGAUUCGCACCAUUGUAAGCUUGACAAGCUUCGCCUACUCUAACUGUAACGAAAGAUUCAGUGCCUAAUCUCUGGACGGAGAAGGGGACGCCCUUGUUAUGUACACGGUUGCUCUAAAUGGUUCGAUGAUGCUCAUUUUAAACAUAUCAUGUCAGGUUGUCAAUUUCGUUCUGGUUAGUGUAACGGACCCGACUGUACGACUUGAUCAAUGUUAAAAGAUCCCAAUAUAUUCUCUUAGCCUGAGGAUAAUUUUUUUUUUAAUCUAUCAAAAAUUCAGCAGAGUUUUGUUUGUAUUUAGGACAUCCCAAGUUAUCGACCACUAUCAAUUUACUCAAUCAACCCAUCAUCACAAGGUCCCAUAAAUCCGGACCUUAGAUUAAUCAUCAUAAUUCAACACCUUACCCAAUCCACACAAUAUAUAUCCUACGAGUAAGUUCAAUAUCAACAUAACCCACAUAUCAUAUUAUAAAAUUUAAAAGAAAAGGAAAUACUAACAUGCAAAGAAAGCAUUACAACAUAAUAAGUGUUCUUAACCAUAUCAAAAGGGUUAAUUACAAGAUAACUAAAAUACUACAUGCUAAGCUGAACUUUUAUAAAUACAUCAAGGUUUACACAAAAGUAUACUACAUAAACACGUUAUUUCUCUUUUGUUUAAGUUAAAUAUUUACAUAAGCUUGACAAAGUAGAGUCCUAAAUUAGUGAUCUCUCUGGAUAUUUGAUGGACCUGUUAUAUAAAUAAACAUGUCAUUAUGUUGAUAAAAGAAAUAUAUAUAAGCUCAUGUAAUGUAUCCGAAUGAAGUAUUAAUUUCUAUUGGAUCCAUAAGGAUUCUAACAGACAUCUUAUAUUUUGCUUGUAAAUCUUUUAAACCCAAUUUACACUCAUUUGCAUAUUCUUAAUUUGAAUACUCUUAUUUAUUUGCAUGAACCGGGUGACCUUGCAAAGUCUAUUCUUGUAAUCCAUUUCCCAGCAAUCAUAUCACGAAUACCAUUAGCCGAAGCAAAUCUUGUAAUUCAUCUCCCGGCAAUCAUAUCACGGAUGACAUUAGCCGAAGCUAAUCUUGAGAUUCAUCUCCCUGCACUCCUAUCACGGAUGCCAUUAGCCGAAGCUAAUCUUGCAAUCACGGAUGUCAUUAGCCGAAGCUAAUCUUGUAAUUCAUUUCUCAGCACUCCAAUCACGGAUGCCAUUAGCCGAAGUUAAUCUUGUAAUUCAUUUCCCGGCACUCCUAUCACGGAUGCCAUUAGUUGAAGCUAAUCUUAUAAAUACACUAGACUUUAUUUACAUUGAACACGAUAUUUAUUAUAAUUGCAUUCACUAGAGGAAUUUUAAAUUGUAUAAGUACAAAUAGGAGGGAAAAAUCACGCACCUGCUUCGCCUGUUUCGUGACCUCCUCUAACAGAAGAUCCAAUCCUGGUUGCUCCUCCUGAAUCACAAGGAAGUUUUUGGUUAUGAUUCCUUCAAGCUGAUAUUAUAGAGGCUCCAUAUUCAUUCAUUACUCAUAUGUUACUUUCUAUGCAUGUUCAUUUCCUUAUAAUAACAAACAUACAUAAAUCAAGUAUAUUUUCAAAGUUAGUAUCUCAAUGUGCAAGUGUUCGUAUGACUCAAUUCUUUUAUAUUCUUACAUAUAAUAUUCACGUGAAAGUCUACUAUUACUAUCUAACUUUGAACUGUUACUGUCCAACGGUUGCUGUCCAACAGUUGCUGUUUGAACAGUUGCUGUUUGAACUCUUAUCAGAUUUUUAACUAUAUCUAGAGUUCUAGAACUCCAUUUUAAGUGAGAUUGAUCUUGUUGGAAAGCUAAGACACGAGGCUACAAGUUCUCUAAAGGAAGGAGAACCCAGUUCUGCCUCCAGGAUAGUCAAAAUUGCUCAUCAACCCAUCAAUCCUACUGCUCUACAAAAUCAGUCACGACUCAGUCUUGGUUGGUAACCCAUAACUGGAGUUAUACAUCUCCAAAUUGAGCAAGAUUAAUUUCCUUGGUUAGCUAACAUCCAAAUCUACAAUUUCUAUAAAGGAAUCUGAUCCUAAUUCCCUCAUCCUCCUACCCGAAAUCUCACCAAAAGUUAGGAGACAAGUUUGUCCAGAUUCGUUUGCCCCUCCCCUUCACACAAUACUUUCAUAAACUACACACCACACACAUGAAUUAACUUAAUCUUAAUAAUAAGUACUUUUUCUCCAAUUCAUGUCUAAGAACCCUAACCUAUGAUUCAAUAUCAAGGCAUCAAUUCAUUAUCGAUUUGAAAUGAAUUUUUUUAAUAUCAUGUUUAGAACACCUUACCCAGUACAAAUUAAGAUUUUGAUCUCCAACCAGUUGAAGAUUUUCAACUCCCUCCUUUCUUUUCUUCUUGUUUAAUUUCUUGGUAAUCCCUUGCUCUCAAGUGUUUAUCCCAUCUAUAAACCCUUAAUCUUGGAUGGGUUCUCGAAAUUUUAGUGUUUCUCUCUUGAUUUCGCAAGAAUGGGUAUAAAACUCCUUAUUUUCUCUCAUUAUCGUUCCUGCAGAUUUUUGGUGAGGAGAGAGUAUUUAUACUCUAUAGUUUCCCUUAUUUGUAUUUAGGCCCCAUUUCCUUUAAAUUUCUGAAUUCUUGUCUUUUAUUUAACCAUACGCAUGAAUUUCUUGACUUUUAUUUCUCAUAUAGUUAGUUUUCAAUUUAAGCAACCUUUAUUUUUUUAUUUUUUUUCUGAGGUUUACAGUUAGUGUUUCAUUAUUUAAUUGAAAUGGUAUGUUUUGGUUUCGGAGCAUUUCGGCGUGCUAUUUCAGGAUUAUACUGUUCAUACUAUUCAUAUAUAUAUAUAUAUAUAUACAUACUCAAUAAACAUAAUUUUGAUUCAAAUUUAAAGAUAAACUAACUUGAAAUUAUGCAAUUAAAAUUUCAAACACAAGUAAAAAAAGUGAGAGUUGAACCAAUAUGACCCGAUCGACUAGAUAGGCCCAAAGACUACCUGAAUGACUGGUAAGAAUAGAGUUUGACUCAAAAAAAUUUAAGAUGACAUAGUUUUUUAAAAAAUAUUGAGAUGACAACAUAUUAGAUCGACCGGGUUCAACUCAGGUUAACCUUUUAAAUCCGUAAUCCAGGUCAUGAGACUAUAAUAACUCUAAAUAAAACAAAUCAAAACAAAUUAUAAAGCUCAAUUCUUAAUAAACCUAUUAUUUAAUAGUUAAAUUGAAAAAAAAUAAUCUAAAAAAAGGACACAAAAAAAAUGACAUUUCAAAACAAAAUUAUGAAAAUGUCACUAGCAGUCUCGCAAGGCCUUUCUAAACUCCAAUUGCUCUAUAAUUUUAACCUGAGAUAUAACAAUAUGUUAGGAAAAUCUUCAUAAGAUUUCAGUCUGAUCCACCAAUCGAAUUGAAAGAUAUGAUUGAUAUCGUAAAACUAGCUAAUAUUGUUUUAGAAAAAAAAAACAUUAUUUGGCCGGAAUGGAACCGGAACAUUCGAGCCAGAAUUUUGGCGGAAUUUAUGGAACGGGCUAAGACUCUGAGCAAGAUGAAAUUUGUUUCAGUUUGUUUUAUUUUUUAAAUUGGAAAGAGAUAUACCAGUCAUUUUGAAUGGAACAUAACAAAAUUGACAACCUUGUAUCAUGGUUGAUUAGAGUUUUUUUUUUUUUGUCUUUUUUUUCAAAAAUUUUUCCAACAUUGAGUUGAUUGGUAAUCGAGCUUCAUAAUUUAUAUGUUAACAUGCCAAAUUCAUGACCUGAGUCAUGAGACUAUAAUAACCUCAUAAAAGUAUAUUGAACAAAUUACAAAGCAUAAUUCUCAACCACCAGUGUUUAAAAAUGAAAUUGAAAAAAUAACAUAAAAAAUGACUCAAGUCAACUCAAGAACCUGCCAAAUCCGUGAUCCAGGUCACAAGACCUAGAUAACCUCAUAGAAAGCAAACUGAAAAAAUAAUUCGGGUCAACCUAGGUUACCCUGCCAAACACGCAACUCAGGUCAUAAAACUAGGAUAAUGCUAUAUAAAGCAAAUAGCAACAAAUUUUAAAGCAUAAAUCUCAAUCAACUUAUUUUAAAGCAUAAAUCCCAAUCAACUUAUUACAAUUCACUCGCAUUGUUCACUUUAGUGAACAGUGCUACAGUGGAGCCAUGCUCCACUGUUGAGGUUUCUCCCAGACGAGAAGCAAUAAAACGUUUAAGGAAAUAAAUGUUGCUUCUCCAAAACCUGCGGUGCCAUAUGGGUCCUACGUGCUGAAAGCACUUUUAUUUUCUUAACCAAACGUUUAUUAGCGUGGCUGCGGGUGAACCUCACCCGCAACCACGUUACCAAACGAGCACUUAGUCUCAAAGAAGAAACAAUUACUUGGUUCUAUAUCCUUAGCACGUCAAACAUGAGGGUAUGAACAGUAACCAUUGUGUCCACUAUAAAAUAUAAGGGGGUGAACAGUGCGGCUACAAAGUAUUCACCCCACACACUUUAUAUUAUAAGUAACUAGUUUUUGUAUUGGCACUCCGCGGCGGGGUGGUUAUUUUUUUAAGUAAAAAAAUAAUAAUAAGCAGGCUCUUACAAUGCACUUUUUAAUAUAAUUUUUUUUCAAUCACAAAUCAAAAUGCCUAUACAUAUAUUUAGUAAUUAGAUCGAUAUUUGAUAAAUAGGUAACUAAGAUUAAGAUAUUUGAUAUCACGACAUGAAUCAUGUGCUUAGUUGUGUUUAACAAUUAUGUUUCCUAGAGUUUUUUUUUAUGAACCAACCAUAUAUUCCGAUAAAAGGUAACAAAAAAUUCAUACCAAUAUUGAAUGAAGAAACUAAAAAAAAAAACCAAUAAAAAAAAGACUGUAUAAAUACACUAAUUUAUUGACCAUAUUGACAAAACAAGUCAAAACUGUAUAAAUACACUAAUUUAUUGACCAUAAGUAAAUGAUUGAGAUAAUAAUACGAAAAGAAAAACUUUUUACCGGACAAUGAUCAAUCCUGGUGAUGUCCAAAGUGUAAAUCAAACAUUUUAUAUCUUGCCAUGAGAAACAAAUAUAUCACAACUUGUUUUUAUUGUAUUCUAUUAUGACUUGUUUUGUGCCUUACAUUAUUUAAUAUAUUAAAAUAAAUUUAAUAAAUUAUACUGAAGCAAGAUCUAAUAUUAGAAAGUUAACGGAAAUAAUAAAUAUAUUUUUAAAUAUAUUUACAGUUCGGUCCCUUAAUUAACUUUUUGUUUGUAAAAUGUGGAGCUGUCAGCAAUAUUUCCUUAGUUUGUGUCGCUAACUGUGAUUAAAGGAUCAAUUAAUUAUUUAUUUAAAUCAACCAGAGGGAUUAAUCUGUUUGUUUAACAAAAAUACAGACACUAAUUAAAUAGAAUUUAACUCAAAUUUUAAUAAUCAAUAUUUUUAGAUGGAAUCUUGGUAGAAAAUUUAAUCAUCAUAUCCUGGGUAUUUUGGAAACAAAAUUGGAAACUUUGAAUGAUUUCACUAUUACUGCUAUAUGGGGUCGUCAUCCUAGGGCUUGGUAUGCAGUUCCCUCAUUAGGCCUUUCGGGGGGAUAUUAUGUAUAUGGAAUCCGAAUCUUUUUUGUGUCUCUAGCUGUUCUGUUGCUAUGAAUGGCUGUAUUUUGCAUAUUGAAGGCACCUUCACUCGGUCCAAUCUAGAUUGCCUAGUCUCUUUUGUAUAUGCUCCGAAUGUUGGGAACCUGAAGAAUGAGCUGUGGACUUAUCUUGUUACAUUCAGGGAUAGUGUUAGCAUGUCGUGGUGUCUUGCAGGUGAUUUUAAUGAAACCUUAUUCCCAUCAGAUAGGAAAGGCGGCUCACAAAUAACAUCUUCCAUGACAAGAUUUCAAAAUUGCAUUGAUGGUUGUAAUCUUAUGGAGCUCCCCUUAAAUGGGAGAAAAUUUACAUGGUCUCGAGGUAAUGCGGCGAGCCGUAUUGAUAGAAUAUUUUUAUUGGGGGAUUGGUUGCAGGCUUUCCCGUCCUCUACUUUAUUCGGUCUCUCAAAAUAUUCAUCUGAUCAUAGGCCUCUGCAUCUGUUGCUAGACUCUACAAAUUGGGGCCCGAAACCUUUUCGCUUCAUGAAUUGCUGGUGGCUUGCGUCUGAUUUCAGGAUUAUGAUUCAGAGCUUUUGGAGAUCACUCACGGUUUCAAAAUCUGGCAUAAGGAAAAUGGUCCCAGCUCUAAAGAUGUUGAAAGAGAGAUGUCGGCAGUGGAGUAAAGCUACUGUGGGAAACAUGAAUAACAGAAUUGAAGAACUGGAACUUGAAGCUGACUCAAUGGAUCAUCAAAAUGAGUGCAGGGUUUUGACUGCUGAUGAACUGAUUAGAAGUAAUUCCAUUGCCUCCCGGCUCAAAAUCCUGUAUAGAGCUCAAGAGUCUGCCUAGCAUUAGAAGUCAAGAAUUCAGUGGUGUAAGCUUGGAGAUAAAAAUACCCGAUUCUUUCAUUUAGCUGCAACAACAAGACAGAAAAAGAAUCAGCUUGCAUGCCUAGAGGUUGAUGGACAGAUCCUAUCUAAACCAAGCGAUGUGAAUCUAGCUGUCUUUCACUUUUUCCGCAACCUAUACUCCCAUCAGAACAGACCUAGAGCUUCAUGUUCAAACCUGGAAUUCUCAAGGCUGAAGCAUUCAUCCUCGGCUGCUCUUGAAUUGCCAUUUUCUGCAGAAGAGAUUACAGCAGCUGUGUGGGAUUGUGAUGGAAAUAAAGCUCCAGGUCCUGAUGGUAUUAACUUCCUUUUCAUCAAGAAAGCAUGGAACAUUAUAGGUGAGGACAUUAUCCAGAUGGUUGAUGAAUUCUAUCGGACUAAUCUCCUUCCUGCAGGUAUCAAUAGCACCUUUGUUACUCUUAUUCCGAAGAUUAAAGGUGCUAACAAGCUAUCAGAUUUCAGACCUAUUAGUUUGGUGGGCAGCCUAUACAAGAUCUUCUCAAAGAUUCUAGCAACUAGGUUGAAACAUGUUAUGCCAGAGGUCAUCUCUCAUCAUCAAAAUGCUUUCAUCAAAGGGAGGCAAAUUUUAGACAGCGUCUUGAUUGCAAAUGAGGUUCUUUCUUUCAUCAAGAAGAAAAAGGGUAAAGCUUAUCUUUUCAAAUUAGAUUUUCAUAAAGCCUUUGAUUCGGUGUUAUGGGAAUAUAUUAAUGAAAUCAUGGCUAGUAUGGGCUUUGACCUGGUUUAUGCAAUGCAUAUCAACGGCAAAAAUGUCUGUGCUUGUUAAUGGGUCUCCCACGGAGGAAUUCUGCUUAGCAAAAGGCCUACGCCAAGGAGACCCUCUCUCUCCGUUUCUCUUCAACAUUGCAGUCCAGGGCUUGAGUUGUAUGUUGCAGCGUGGCUGUGAUUUGGGUUUGACUUCGGGUAUAAACAUCGGCAAUACAGGGCUUGUCAUAUCUCACUUACAGUUUGCGGACGACACCCUUAUGUUCAGUUCAGACUCUUUACAUAGCAUGCAGAACAUUAAACGUAUCCUAUUAUGCUUUGAACUUGUCUCGGGGCUGAAGGUCAAUUUUUAUAAAAGCAGCAUUGUGGGUGUGGGUGUAGCAGCUCAUACAUGUAACUUCACGGCUCAGCUUCUCAGAUGCAAGCAGGAUCAGCUGCCUCUCAUGUAUCUUGGGCUCCCCAUUGGUGGAAACUUGGGCAGAGCUACAAUGUGGAAUCCUAUUUUGCGCAAUAUCAGUUGCCGAUUGGCUUCGUGGAAAGGCAGGUUCUUAUAUAUUGGGGGCUGUUUGUGCUUGAUUAAAUCUGUGCUCAGUAAUCUCCCCAUCUACUACCUAUCUAUGUUCCCCAUGCCUGUUACGGUAGCCUCCAAAAUUGAUCAGAAACUUCGAUCCUUCCUCUGGUCAGGAAAUGAGGAAAGGCACAAAAUAUGCAAUGUCAGCUGGGCCACUGUUACUCUUCCAAAACAUGCGGGGGGUCUUGGGAUUGGUUCCUUAAGGGACAAAAACACAGCUCUGCUAUUUAAAUGGUUAUGGAGGUUUGGGUUAGAGGAAUCAAGUAUGUGGAAGGAUGUGAUCAAAAGCAUCCACAACACCAAUUGCUCUAAACUGCUGCUGCAAGCUCCUAUUCCAGGAGCUGCAACUACAUGGUCCCGGAUUGUUAAUCAUUGUGUGAGAAAUAAUAAGCUGCAGGAUAUUGUGAAUGAGCAAUCUCUGGUUCUUAUCGGAAAUGGCAAGAAGACUAUGUUUUGGCUUGAUUGCUGGCUUAAUAACCACUGUUUAGCAGAGCACUUCCCUACUCUUUUCCAAUUAUCCAAUGACAAAGCUGCCAGCAUUGCUAAGAUGGGAAUAUGGGAAGGGUAUAAGUGGAUUUGGGUUUUUUCCUGGAUACGUCCACUACGGGGGCGAAACAUUGGCUUGCUCGAUCAACUAUAUGCAAUCCUAUCGACAGUAUUGGUAAGCCAUGGCCAUCUUCUUGGUAUGUUCUCUGUUCCAGUUGGUAUUUUAGACUCUAAUAUUGCUGAGUUAAGGGCUAUUGUCAAAGCCAUUGAACUAUCAGCAUCUAAUUGUCUCCUCCACCAUCAACACCUCAUCAUAGAAUCUGACUCUGUCAAUGUUAUUAGCUAGAUGAAUAAGCCUCACAGCCGUCCCUGGAAGCAUCAUAAUUUGUUCUCCUUUGUUAAUAGACUGAAACCAUAUUUUGGUUCAAUCACCUUCUCCCAUAUCUUUCAUGAAAGUAAUUGCAUGACAGAUUGCAUGGCUAAACAAGGAGUGCGGAGAUCAAGUGAAUUUGUUGCCUGGCUUUGACUCCACCAUUUUUCUGUGGCCUUGCUCUUGUGUCUUCUGCCAUUAUGUCUUUGAGUUAUUUCUGUUAUGUUUUGUAGAGGAAUGUUUAGCUUUGAGCUCAUUCGGAUGGAUAUUCUAUGGUUUUCUUUGCUUUUGUUUAUCUUAGUCUGCGCUUUAUCCUAUAUAUGGCUUUUUGCCAUAGUAAGAUAAUGUGUAGCUUCUGUACUACUCCCGCCAGACUUUGGCGUUUAAUAAUAUACGCAUCUUUCAAAAAAAAUCCAUGUGAAUCGCACGACUUGUCCAUAUCUUUCUUAUUGAUUACAAAUAGCAUUGAGAAUUAAAGAAUAUUAUCUUAAUAAGUUCCAAUUUAUUCUACAAAAACUAUAUAUAAAGAUGUAUACAAAUUAGUUAUUUAUUGUUUGUAAGUAUUAUUGUAUUGCAAAGACAAAAAUAAGAUGCAACUUAUGGCGUGGUCGUCCAACCUGGUUCAGGUUUUGAUCCUGUUAAAAAUCUAUUUUGUUGAAUUGUUAUCUACUUGUGAGUUAUUGGGUUAACUAGAUCAAUUUUUUAAACAAAACAAUAUCAUUUAAAAAAAAAAAAUUGGUUCUGACUUAGAAAUAUAAUAUUAGAAACUUAAAUCUUAUUAUUAUAAAAGACUCAAUGGUAAAUUUAGUUUUGAAAUAGAUUUUUGUAAAAUCAAAUAUCAACUAAGCACCUGGAAAUUUAUUUGAAAUUACAAUAACCUUGUAGAAAACAAACAUAAAUAGAAUUAUUAAAUUCAAUGGAGUCCAUGACCUGAAUUACGGGUUCAACGGGUUAAGCCACGAAGCUCUGAUCGAUUUAAAAUAUUGUCGUCUUAAUAUAAAAAAAAAAUACAUCUUAAAAAAAAUAAAUUAAGCUAGACUACGUUUUUACCUAUUAUCUGGGUUGUUUUUAGGUUCAUCAUUUCGACUGAGUUAUAUUAGGACAACUACUACAUAAUUUAAUUUAAAAUUAAAGCUAAACAAGAAAUUAGGUAAAGAGAUUUUAAGAUUGAUUUGUUGGAUUGGAUUUAAUAACAAUACAAAAAAUCUAAAUAUUUCUUUUUUAUUAAAAAAAAAUUCAAUCCAACUCUCAUCGUAACGCAGUAUAGUAAGAUAAAUAGAUAUAAAUAUUUUGAUGGAUACUCGGGAUAAAAGAUUGUUUGAGGACAUUUUGCUAAUUUCUUUUGUUAUCUAAUCAAUCAAGCUCAUAGUGAAUAAGUAUAUUAAUAUAUACAAUUAAAUUAAAUAACAUAUAAGAGAAAAAUGGUCGCAAGCUAAAGCUAAAGUGAUGCGACGUUGAGCCACUAGUCGAUAGUUGUAACGUCAGUUUGUUGGUUCGUCGUUCGUUUCUCGGGCGAGUUUGGUUGUGCUAAACACAAUGAACCAAUAGAGUGCUUUGCUUUCUUACUUGGAGAUUCUGGAGCCUUGGAUUUUUUGAUAUUUAGGUUAUCUGUUUCUAGAAAAGAAAGAAAGAAAUAUUUAUAUUAUCAAUGCAAUGCAAUGAAACGACUAAAUAACAUUUAAUUAUUAUCAUAGCUUUGUCCUCGUACCUAAGGAAGUAUACUACGUCUUUUUCUCCAUUGUUUGAGUUUGAAAUUAUAUCUGUGAACCCAUUAAUUUAUCUAGAAAAAACAUUUAUUGGGUAAUUGGAUCAAUCAUUGAGGUCGUCAUAUCAUAUAUAAACCAAUUAUUUUAAUUAAAACAAUAUCAUUUUAUUUAAAAUUAAAUUUAUAAUACUAACUGAAUCCCUAAAAACACAAUUAGACCAAUCAAGUUUUAGCAAGUUAAUUUUUUUUUUUAAUUUUUUCAUAUUUAACUUGAAAUUCAAUCCAAAUUAAAUUAUAAAUUAUGGGUUUCUUAAAUUAACACAUGUUGGGUCAGGUCUACCAAUUAUGAUUGGAAUCCAGGGUUAAUAUCUAGAAGAAUUUAUUAAAUUUCUGUAUAAUUAGUCAAUCGAUGAGGGAAUUUAGUUUUGAUUGAUGGAGAAAUUAAUUUAAAGAUACCAUGCAAGAUAUAUAUAUAUAUAUAAACAUUUAAAGGGAAACGGACCCACCAUCAAUUAUUGUUAUUCGUUUAAUUAUAAAUAGAAUGAAGAGAAUGAUGCUCGCUGCACUUUUAUCAGCGACUGAUAAACCCCAGAAGGAGAACACUCUACAGAAUUAUUCCAUACUUUUUCGUAAAUUAUAAAUUAAAAAGAAAUUGGUUAUAACAUGGUUAACGAACACAGCACAAAAAUAAACAGGUGUAUUUCUUACAUAAAUUCUUAUUGUUUUGUUUUUCCAUUGGUUUCAUGAAAUUCUCUCAACAAUUGAACAAAAAACACUACAUCAUAGCUCACAAACAUACAUUUUAUAAGUCAAUUAAACCUCUUGUUUUUCUUAUGUGUCUUUUUAUUGUAAUCUCUGCAAGGUGACACCUGACAGAGCAAUCUGUUGAUAGGUCCAAUUCUGCUUUAUGUUGUGUUUCUUGCUGAGCAAAUAAAGGUCAUGGGUUUUCUUUCUUUCUUUUUCCCUUAUAAAAAUGGUCAUGCGGCCACAGACAGUUGCGAAAAAAAAGAAGCACUUAAUUAUCACUUAUUUGGUAAGUAGCGUACUUAUCAGAUGACCCUCAACCAUCAGUACCCAUUAUAAAUUAAUGUCGACAAGAGUAAAAUUAGGAGUUACCGUGACUUUCCAACAUCUAUCAUUAUAAAUUAAGUAUCAACAACGAUUAAGACUAAUUGUUUUACCAAGAUUCUCAACCAUUGUAAAAAUAGAUUUGAAAAAAAAAUCAUAGCAAAAAUUCAAAAAAAUAAAAAUUGCAUUGCUUUCCAUAUAUAUUUUAGUUUUUCUUAUAAUAAUAAUAAUAAUUAUAGUCUCUCGUGUCUCACAACUGUAUGUGUUUUUUCUUGAAUAAGCGCUAAUGUUCUUUGAGGGGUCCAAGCACCAUAUACUGAAAGAAAGAACUAGUUCAAAUUGAAGCACCAUGAGUUUCUCUACGGCUUGGUUCACCACCUGCUGGUGCGGCAAGUUAUGAACUAGCUGGCUAGUUUUUUGCUUCCUUGGUUUUAGAAGCACCAUGUGUUCAAAGAAUAGUCAACAAAGAAAAAGAAAAAGAAAAAGAGAAGGGCAAAAGGUUAAUUAAAAUCAGCAGGACUGCCAUGAGGCAACCUCAAGUAGUGAACUUGAAGGAAUAAAAAGUGCUGGGAAGUAAUUUUUGCUGAAACUUCUUGUGUAACAUCUUCUUUUGAUGAUGACCUCUUGGAUGGCUGCAUGAAGCUUGUUCCGUUUUAAAUUUCAAGGUUAAUCUAUUUCUAUGAGCAUUGGUGUUUCAAUUUCAACCUUAAGUUGCAACUGAACUUAAAUGAAUAGUGUUGGAUUUGGGCCUUCUAUUUGCUUUAACUUCUACAGGAUUGAAAUGAUAGUGAUCUUAAAGUACAAAAGCAGCAGACAAAAAUCAAUUAGCCACAAUAUAUAGUGUAUGGUUUCCUAGUUUCUCAGUAUAAAGUUGAAUGUUUUGGUGAUAUCUCUACAUCCAAAAUCAUAUAGACAGCUACUGCUGGCACUUGCAGUGGUCAAUGAAUACUAUAGAGUACAUAUUGCAGUUUGAGAUAAGGUUAACUCGUUGCAUUUUCAUAUAUUGAAAGGAUUUCUCUUCUUUUCUUUGUCAGUUACAGAACAUGCAUAGAAGUGUUCUUAUUCAGAGUAAAUGCUAUUGUAAUGUUUUCACGGACUCCCUUGCUUUGCAACUAAGUCACUAAUUAUCUUGGAACAUAGCCAUAAAUAAAAGGUUCUUCCAGUUCAAGAAAAUUAACCAUGAAGCUAGUAGCUAGAAUUUUUAGACAGAAUGGUGGCCAAGUAAACUCCUAUACUCUGUACCUCUGGAAUAAUGCAGGGAAAGGAUGUCUAUGUAUUUUGAUGUCUUAUAUUACUUGACCAACUCUUGCUUAUCUCAUUAUUUGUUUUUACUUUUUGCUAAUGAUUCCACACAUUUUUGAUAUUGGUGUGGUUUAUGACUUCAGGGUUCUUACUCGCUACUGCAACUUCUCUAUACUUGCUUGGUCAUUAAAUAUGAAACGUGAUGAUUUGCAUAUGCAGAAUGGAGACAUUAAAGAGGCAUCUUCUGUUUUCUAGUUAGGAGGGAUUACCAGAACUCAAGAAAUUUGUCGUACAUUUUGAGGAAAAGAUUUAUACCACCGCUACCAAUCAGGUAUUUGCCUAAUGCGAGGUUCAAUAAUUACGAUAUUAUCUAGACAUGAAUAUACACACGCAUUUAUGCUUGUACAAAUGUGUGUGUAGUGUGCCUACAUUUCCACACCUUUCAUUCUGUAUGCAAGGCUGAUUAAGAGUUCGCAUCUUUUUGUUAAUUCUCUUGACAAGUGUUUUAUUUAGAGUGACCAAGUUCAAGUACAUGGGAAGUGUGCAAAAAGCAAAUAGCGAAUCAAUACAUAAAUAAGUAAAUAAAAAGAGAGGAAACAGAAGUCUAUCCUCACAAAAGAUGAAAUGAUAGAGCAUAUAUCCAUUUUCCUCCUCUUGUAACAUGGAUUGCUCUGAGAUCUAAUGUUUUGUUAUUAAUAUCUUAUUUUAGUCUGAUUAUCUGCAUAAAAUAUCUCUGGUGAUGCUUUUGAUGAAGAUCAGGUCUCAAAAUGCCAUGCCCACUGCCCCCAUGGAUCCAGCAGGUAAUAAUGCAUUCGAGCAUCGAAUUUCUAAACAUCUUACCUUUUGUUUUUCUUCUCGCAUUGUUAUCAAACUUUUUUACAUUUUAUUGUUCCAUAUUGCUAUGUAUAUCGCCUUGCUGGCAAAAUGUCAUGAUCACCUCCACAAUACUAAUUCUGUAAUGCGUGUGAAGUGUUUCAUCCUUAACUUGUUAAUGAACGAGGACUAUGAUGCAUGGCUAUUUUAUAUUUUAUGAUUGAGAUGGUAGAUUUUAAAGAUUUUCCUUUUUAGGAGAUAAGACGUCACUUUCUUGCUUUUCUUCCGAGAGUAUUCGAUCCUUUUUUCGUACAAAAUAAUGAUGCCAUGCAUUGAAUUCCCAAACAUAUUACCUUAUGUUUUGUUUGGUCGCAUUGUUAUCAAACUCUUUUACAUUUUAUUGCGGCAUAUUGCUAUGUGUAUGGCAUGCUUUAAUCAAAAAUUUGAUUAAUUGAUGAAUGUUAGGCAAGAAAAUUACAGAAUAUUUUUGUUUUUUGCCUCCUCCUUUUCUUUCCCCCACUCCGAAAAUUGUCAUAUUAUUUUUGUUUUCAACCGCCUCUUCUUCCCCCAACCCUGAAAAUUGUUUAUAUUUGCUUUGGAAGCAUGGCAAACUUCACUGCCUCUCAGCUUAAGGAGAUUGCAGCAGGUCUCGAAGCUUCUGGGCAUCAAUUUAUCCGGGUAGUUAGAAGAAACAAAAAGAGUCAAGAAGACAAGGAAGAUUGUUUACCCGAAGGAUUUGAGGAAAGAAUGGAAGGCAAAAGGAUGGAUACUCCAAGUUUUGAUUCUUGAUUAUAAAGCAAUAGGUGCAUUUGUGACUCAUUGAGGAUGGAACUCAACUCUUGAAGGCAUAAGGCCAAUAUUUGCUGAGCAAUUCUAUAAUGAAAAGUUGGUGACUGAUGUUUUAAAAGUUGGUGCUGUCGUUGAAUAUAUUAUAGCUGUCAAGGUUCUUGAGUUUUCCCAAAUGUGAUGAUAUGAUCUCAAAACCUGCAAGAGAGUUGUUUGUAAGAGUAAGUCAUGAUGAGCUCACGAUAUGCAAAACAGAUAGAAACAAAAGAUAAUUAGAAUUGAUGAGAUGCUGUUGUUCAAUUGAUGUAUGAUUCUCAAAUUAUACAUACAUAUAUAUAUAUAUAUAUAUAUAUAUAUAUAUAUAUAUAUAUAUAUAUAUAUAUAUAUAUAAUUGAUAUUUAUAAAAGCAUUAACUGUAGCUGAUAUAGUUUUAGAGGAAUAUUUGGUACUUUGUUUCCCAAAAAAAAAAAUAGAUUUUUCUGCGAAGUAGGAAAAAAAAAAAAAAAAACUGUUCAAAACUUAUUCAAGAAAUUAUACAGUUAGCGAGUCACAGAUGAUGAAUCUUAAAAAAAAUUGGCAAUAAUAACAGUACUCUAUUACUAUUAAUUAACUUAAAUAUUCAAAACUUAAAAAUAUUUUUUAAAUUUAUCCAUGCCAAUUUAUCUUAAGAGAGUCGCAAUCUGUGACUAGUUAAAUUAUAUUAUUUCUUUAAAUAAAUUUUGCAUUGUGUUAUUUUUUGUUCUAGGUGCUAUUUUGCAAAAAAAGAAAAGAAAAGAAAGAUUAACGUUUCAGUUAUUCAUUGUUCUUGGAUUUGUAGGUAUAACAACUGAAGAUAGCAAUCAAAAGCGAUGGUGACAUGGUAGAGCUUUGAGUUAUUGCUGUGUUCUAAUGAUGAAGAUGUAGGAAAACGAUCUCCCUUCUGCUGUCUGGAGCUGGGCUUCCUCUCCCUGUAAGAACAAGCAACAUCUUAUCUGCGUUGUUGUUAGUGGCCACUUCAUCGACCCAUUAGUGGGUGGAUUUUAAGCUUAAAAAGGAUUUUUUUUAAAAAAAAAAUAAAGGAAGAAAGAAAGGAGAGGGGGGGCAUCAUCACGUGAAAAGCAAGGAGGUUGCCACCCAUUAUAGAGUGUGGGGCACUCUUGCAUCUAAGAAUAUAUGAUCCUGAGGUUGUUCUGGUGAUGGGUAUUGGCCAUUACAUAAAGCUUCGACAAGCCCUUUUAGCUGCCUGUUAUUAGAAUUUGUAUAAUGAGCAUUCAAACUUAAACUUCUUUAAAUGGGAUGAAAACGAGUGAAAAUCAAGAAGUUGGAGGUGUUCAUCUCUAAUGCAUAGCUGAAGAUCCUUUGUAAGAAAAUACAGCUAAAGACAAAGUGUGUGUGUGUAACAGAGAAAUUGUCGAUAAUAGCAAUCAUGUUCUUUGUCUCUUGUGUCAUAUCUUCCAAAAAUCUUAAAGUAAUUGAUGAAAAAGUGGAUAUACCACUUUGUCUUCUUUAUAGCACUACUGGCCAAUAUGAGUUAAAAGCAUUAAAAGGUCGUGAACGCGGAUGCUUGACGAGCGAGUGUUUACUUGUUAAUUUUUUUAGAAGGAAUCUGGAAAAGAAUAAAGUCAUCUAUUUCACUUUGGGACAACAUUCCUCACCUCUCCCCGCCCGAGCUCUCUCCCUCCCUCCCUCCCUCCCUCGCUCGCUCCCUCUUCCGCCUCUCGGAAACCGCCGCAUCCAUUAAGGCUUCAGAUUUCUGCCAGGUGCUUCCUUUUCUAUCAUGCUUUUGUUUUUAAAAUUUAUGGGUGUUUUCAUUUAUUUUAUUGUAAUUAUUAUUCAGAGACAGAAAUCCAUUUUAAUAAGUAAAUUAAAAAAAAACAAAUAAUCGAUCCGAUGAAAUCUCUGCUAGUGAACGCAAUUCGAUUUUAAUAAGUAAAUUAAAAAAGUAUAUAAUCGGAUCCGAUGAAAUCGCUGCUCGUGAACGCAAUUCAAAGAAACGCACAAUCAGCCGAUUCUAAUAUUUUCUUUUGCAACCCCACCCUAAUUUACAUGAUAUUAUUCGAUUUUUCUCACAGUUAUUGUUGUAAUAAUCAAGCCCUGAAUUCUUGAACCCAAAUUUAUCUUAUUUUAUUUUAUUUUUUAGUUUUAUUUUUAAGUGGAGAAUAGAAAUCAAUUCAAAUCUUUUAGGCUCGAUCGAUAAUUUGUUAAUUAGUUUAUGCAGCAGCUGGAGUGGAAGGGAUAUUACUGCCGGAAUGGCCGAAAAAUGAGCUGUUUGGUUGAUUCUUCUUUUUUGGAAUUUACUGAAUUCUUCAAAAUUAUUGUGUUUUUAACAACAAUACGAUAUCCUUGGGUUUCAUGCUCGCUCACAAAUGGAAAAAAGAAAGAAAGAAAAGAACUUUAAAUUUUAUAAUUUGGUCAUGUUAAUGCUCGUCGUUUUCUUCUUCAUUUUCCUAGCUUAAAACAUCCUAGACAAUCUCUUUGGGAUGGGUUAUUGUUUUUGGCCUCUUCAUCUUCUAUUUGUGCUGUGGUAUUUAGUCUGCUGAUAUUCUUUGGGGAUUAAAAUGCCUCGUUUUAUGACUUUGUUUUGUUUUCUUCUUCUUUCUUUAUUCUUUUGGGGAUGUGGUAUUCUCCUCUUUCUAUUUACACUCUUUGCUCCCUACAACAUUUAUUCUUUCAGAAAAGUAAAUACAUACAUAAAUAACAACAGGAGAGGAGGGGGAGGGGGAGGGGGUUUGACGGUAUGUAUUUGGAUGCAUGAUAUCUAAAUUGGUAAGCACCUGAAAAAGGUCCUGAAUCUAAAUUGGUAAGAUGUGAUAUACUGAUAUCUAGAGAGAUAACUUAAUCUAUCUAUUGAAGUAAAGCAUUUAAAUGCGUAUACAAUGUUUUUGGAUCAUUAAAUAUCUAUUUGAUCAGAAUCUGUGAACCUAAAGCCACAAUGAAUACAAAUGCAAGUUUGUCAUUGUAAACAUUGCAUCGAUGAUGCAUCACAGGUGUUGCUAGAAAACAUCAAGUUAAAAUUGAAGCACCAUGAGUUUCUCUAUGGCUUGGUUUACCAACACUCACCAUCAGUUGGUGCGGCAAGUUAUGAACUAGCUGGCUAGUUUUUCGCUUCCUUGGUUUUAGAAGCACCAUGAAGAUUCAGGCCCAAAUCUUGCUUACAAUACUCAAAUACCCAAGAUCCUAGCACCUUGCCCUGAAUGGUCGUGUAUAUUUGUUAUGGCUGUUCAGAUUUUAUGCAUCCAUGUUUGGUAGAAUUCUUUAAUAAAGUACAUGCUAUUAGAUGGAAGUUCUCUUUAAAUCUAUUCAAGUCUGAAUAAACUGAUAUUCCAAUUUUCAUGACUUUGAUUAGGCGGAGAACUUGUGAUGGACACAGGUGAUUGGAGAACUCAAUUGCAGCCUGGCUCACGGCAAAGAAUAGUCAACAGAAUGUAAGUAUCUGUUUGCUAAUAUGUACAAGUGCUGCAAAAUAGUAAAUCUUGUAUUUAAAUGAAAGAAAAAGAGAAGGGCAAAAGGUUAAUUAAAAUCAGCAGGACUGCCAUGAGGCAACCUCAAGUAUCAUACACUGCUGUUUUUGUCUUUUUCAUUUUUCACGUGUUUCUCACAAGAAGUGAACUUGAGGGAAUAAAAAGUGCUGGGAAGGAAUUUUGGUGGAACUUCUUGUGUAACAUCUUCUUUCAAUGAUGACCUCUUGGAUGGCUGCAUGAAGCUUGUUCCGCUUUAAAUUUCAAGGUUAAUCUAUUGCUAUGAACAUUGGUGUUUCAAUUUCAACCUUGAGUUGCAACUGAACUUAAAUGAAUAGUGUUGGAUUUGGGCCUUCCAUUUGUUUUAACUUCUACAUGGUUGAAAUGAUAGUGAUCUUAAAAUAGAAAAGCAGUUGAAUGUUGAAUGGUGUAUGGUUUCCUAGUUUCUCAGCAUAAAGUUGAAUGUUUUGGUGAUAUCUCUACAUCCAAAAUCAUAUAGACAGCUACUGUUGGCACUUGCAGUAGCCAAUGAGCACUGUAGAGUAUAUAUUCCAGUGUGAGAUAAGGUUAACUCAUUGCAUUUUCAUAAAUUAAAGGGAUUUCUCUUCUUUUCUUUGUCAAUUACGGUGCAUGUAUAAAAGUUUUCUUACUUAGAGUAAAUGCUAUUGUAAUGUUUUCACAGAAUUCCCCUGGUUUGCAACUAAUUCACUUAUAUAUCUUGGAGCAUAGCCAUAGCCAUAGCCGUAAAUGGAAGGUUCUUCUGGUUCAAGAAAAUUAACCAUGAAGCUCGUAAUUAAAAUUUUAGACAGAAGGGUGGCCAAAUGAACUCCUAUACCCUGUACCUCUGGAAUAAUACGGGGAAAGGAAGUAAAAAUAGAUGUCUGUAUUCUGAUGCCAUAUAUUACUUGACCGACACUCGGCUAUAUCAUUAGUUGUUUUUAUUUUUUGCUAAUGAUUCCAUUGAAUACAUUUCUGAUAUUGGUGUGGUGUGUGAGUUCAUGGUUAUUUCUCACUGCUGCUAACUUCUCUAUACCUACCUUGUCAUUAAAAAUUAAACGUAAUGUUUUACAUGUGCAGAAUGGAGAUAUUAAAGAGGCAUCUUCCGUUUUCUGGUCAAGAGGGAUUACAAGAACUCAAGAAAAUUGCUGUACGGUUUGAGGAAAAGGUUUAUACUGCCGCCACCAGUCAGGUAUUCGGCUAAUGCUAGGUUCAAUAAUUUCGAUAUUCUCUAGACAUGAAUAUAAACAUGCAUAAGUUUGUGGAUUUAUGCAUGUACACGUGUGUGUAGUGUGUCCACACUCUCACUGGUCAUUCCGUAGAAGUUCUCAUCUGUUCAUUAAUUCUCUUGACAAGUGUUUUAUUUAGAGUGACCAAGGUUCUUUUCAAGUACAAGGGAAGUGUGCAAAAUGCAAAUAACGAAUCAAUACAUAAAUAAUUAAAUAAAAAGAUAGGAUACAGAAGUAUAUCCUAUAUCCUCACAGAAGACGCAAAUAUAGAAAGCCUAGCAUAUUAGAAAGAGCAUUUAUCCCUUUCCCCCCUUCUCUUGUAACAUGGACUGCUCAGAGAUCUAAUGUUUCCUUAUUGAUAUCUGAUUUCAGUCUGAUUAUCUGCGUAAAAUAUCUCUGAAGAUGCCUCAGAAUACCAUACCCACUGGCAAUGGUAACAAACCCCUGUAUCCAGGGGGGAAGUGUGCAAAAUCCAAGCUUUGAAUUUCUAAACAUCCUUACCUUUUGUUUUAUAUUUCGCAUUGUUAUCAGACCCUUUUACAUUUUAUUGCUGCAUUUUGCUAUGUAUAUACUAAUCCCUGUACUUUUACAUUAUGUUAAUAAACUGGUCCCUUCAUUAGUUUUUUGUUAGUCAAAUGUAGAGUUGUUAGCAAUAUUUCCUCAAUUUGUUCCACUAACUUGACGUUAAAAUGUGACCAAAGAAUCAAUUAAUUAUUUAAAAAACUUGAGGGAUUAAUUUGUUUGUUUCACAAAAAAAUACAGUGGUUAAAUAAAAUUUUACUCAAAUUUUUAUCAUCAUAUUCGUGAGUGUUUACUUGUAAAUAUUUUGGAAUGAACACAGUGGUUAAGUUUAUGUUUUGCGCAGCAUAAAAAAAAUCAUCUAGGCUUAAAUAAUUAUUUGGCAUCAUAAUUAAAACUCUAAUCCAAAUUUCUCUCAUCUGGCUUCUUAUCUAUAUCAAGUUUAAAAUUAACCAAUGUGAAAGUUGCUCUAACAUGAUAUAAUUAAUGUGAUGGGUUCCAAGUCAAUUCAUAUGACCAGUAAAAAAACAUAAUUUAGCUUUAAAAAAAAAAUUCAAGAUGAUACUUGUUUUGAACAUUGAUACGACAUCUUGGAUCGACUCUAGUUUUGUGACGUAACUCUUUAAACCCAUGACUUGAAUAAUGGAUUCUAUCUGGUUUAAUUUUUUAUAAAAAAAAUUAUUUUUUACUUAAUAAUAUGAUAAUAAAAAUAAAAACUCGUAAAAUUGAGCACUAAUCAAAUAUUAAGAUAUUUAUUUGAGACUGCAAUAACAUCAUUGAAAGCAAAUUGAAACAAAAUCAAUUCAAAAUCAAAUAAAUGUUAAACAAAUAUUAAAAGAUGAAACCAGACAAAAGCCAAAAAGGAUUUAAUUGAAAGAAAGAAAAUAUUGGAAUGUAGAGUUUAAAAACUAAGGAAUAAUAUUUAUUAAACUUGAUCCUAAUCUAUCGACUUGACUUCUUACCUAACAUAUAUUUAAAAUUAAUUUGUAAGGGAGUUGUCUGUACAUUACCUAGUUGACUUGACAUGUGCAAAUUAAAGCAACCUGAAUGACCAAUAAAAACAUGGUUUGGAUUUUAAGAAAAAAAAUCAAGAUAUCUUUUUUUUUUAAUAUUGAGACGAAAAUAUAUUAGAUCAACUCAAGCUCCGUGGCUAAACUCGUCAAAUACGCAACCCAGAUCAUGAACUCCACUAGAUUUAAAAACUAUUUUUUUAUAUAAUGAUACAAUAACUAAUAUAAACACUUAUAAAAUUGAGAACUAAACAAAUUUAGUGACGUUUAUUUGAUAUUGUGAUAACUACAUAUAAAGAAAAAAACAAAUUAUGACCAAUUCAAAAUUAACAAAAUAUUAAAGUGAAAUUGAAAGGAAAAAAAGGGCAAAAAUCAUUCAAUCAAAAGAAGAAAAAAUUAGAAGAUAGAAUUUUUUUUUUAAGGGAGGAUAUGAAUAGCAAAAUAGGAGGGAAAACCCUAACUUUUUUUAGUAUAAUAAAUGAUGUUUAAUUUAAUUAAAAUCUUUAUCUCAUACAAUUAGACCUAAAAAGAGAAGAAAAUUUCUAAAGAUUGAUUUGUAAAAAAACAGAAAAAAAAAUCAAAUCAAGAAGCGAAAAAAUACAAGGACCAAUAUACACACACAUAGUGAAAGAGUUAGAAAAGCAUAACUUUUUUAGUAUAGUAGUUUAUUUCUAAUUAAAUUGAAAACUUUAUCUCAUAUAAUUAGGCCAAAAAAGAAUUAAAUAAAAAAAAAAGGAUUAAUUUAUAAAAAGAAAAAGAAAAAUAAAGAAUACAGAACCAAAUCAACAAAGAAAAAAACUAAUUUUUAAAAAAUAAAGUGCUCCACUAUUCAUAUAAAAUAGAACAUCAUUAUAGUAUCCAAUUAGACAGUGACCCAUAUUACUGGCUAUUUUAAUUUUUUUAAAGAAAAAAAAGUUUCAGUAUUUUCAAAUGUGAUAAGUUUUUUUUUUAUAAAAAAAAACAUAUAUGUGUGCAAGGGAAUAGAGAUUUGGUUUGAGAAUACAUGCUAAAAAUCUAAACAUGAACUAAAACAAAGUGGAAUUAAAAAGAGUAAAAAAAAAAAACCUAAAAGAGAUCCAUGAUUCAUUAUAUAUAUAGACUAUGAGGUUACGAGGUAAAAUAUUAUGGAUUAGCAUAAUAUAAUUACUUUUUACCCUUCUCUACACAACAAUUACCUUGCUAAUAGGGGUAAAGUUGUCUUUUUCAAUGAUUUUAAAGGUUAUUUAUAAAUUCACUGGAGAUAAUUUAGUAGGUUUACUCCUUUUUUGCAUAUUAAAACUACAUCAUUGCCUUUGCAAGCCAAAAAAAGAAAAAACAAUUAACCUUUUGUUUAAGAUCUAUUUUGUAUUUUGUAUUUGAUUUAUACAGUAAAAUGACAUUAAUGCCUUAGAGAGUUAAAAAAUCAUCGACUUUAAGUUACUGGGCCUUAAACUUUGUUAUUUAUUUUGGUUUUUUUUUAUAGGGUUAUUUCUAUCUCAUAUCUCAAGUUGCAGAUAAGUUAGGUUGGAUGCAUACUUAAUUAAUUAAUAAAAGUCAUGUAUAUAUUUUUGCAAAUUGGAUGCACACUUAAUUAACAUACUUAUUGAAUAUUAAGUCAGGCAAAAAAUCUAUAAAAAGAAUAUACAAGUGAGCCAAACAACAAUAUUAAGAACGAAUAAGAGGUAGUAAAAGAAGAUGAUACCAAAGGACGCAAAAUCACAAAAAUUCAUGAAACUACAUUAGGCUCUCUACAAGUGAAUUGUUUAAAAAGUUAAAAGAAAAUAAAUGCACUUUUGUCCACAGCAACAACUAAAUGCACUUUUGUUCAAUACCAAGAAAUUAAACAUUUUUUAAAAAAAAAACUAAAUGAAUUGUUUAAAAAGUUAAAAGAAAAUAAAUGCACUUUUGUACACAGCAACAACAACUAUAGCAAAAUGCUGGGCUGUAGAAUCUAGAUGAUUGUCCACAGCAACAUGAAAAAAUCAUAUAUGCUUAAGUAACUAUUUGGCAUCUCAAUCUAGUAAAUUAAUCUUAAAUUUCUUAUAUCCGACUCUUUACCUAUAUUAAAUUUAAAAUUAACCAACAUAAAAAUUGUUUUAAUAUGACUUAAUCGAUAUAGUUGGUUCAAAGUCAAUCCAUAUGACCGAUAAAAAAUGUAAUUUGGCUUAAAAAAUUUCAAAAUAACAUCUUUUUUAUAACAUUGAUACGACAAUAUAUUAGAUUGACCCUGAUUUCAUGACUUAACUCUCUAAACCCACUACCUUAAUAACGGACUCCUUCUAGUUUAAAAACUUUUUUUUAAUUAUUUUUUACUUCAUGAUAUUAUAACAAAAAUAGAUGCUCAUAAAAUUAAGCACCAACCAAAUAUCAAGAUAUUUGUUUGAGAUUACAAUAAUAAAUAUCAUAAAAAGCGAAACCGAAACAAGACCAAAUCAAAAUAAAUCAAAUGUUAAAGGAUUAAACCAGGAAAAAGCCAAAGAGGAUUCAAUUAAAAGAAAGAAAAAAAAAAUAGAAGGUUGAGUUUAAAAACAAAGUAACAAUAUGACAUUGUUAUUAAACUUAAAGGAAAAAAAAACUAAUUUAAAAAAUUAAAGUGUUUCACUAUUCAUGUAAAAAUGAAAUACCAUUAUAGUAUCCAACUAUAUAGGUGACCUGCACUAUGGGUUAUUCUAUUUUUUUAAAAGCAAAAAAAUAAAGUUUCGACAUUGUUAGAUUGUGAGAAAAAAAAAGUUUUAAAAAAUAUCCGUGUACAAAAGAGGAGAGAGAUUUGGUUUGAGAAUGCAUGGUAAAAAUCUAAACAUGAACUAAAAAACAAAGUGGAAUUAUAAAAAUUAAAAAAAAAACUAAAAGAGGUAAAUGAUUCAAGUGAUUCAUUAUAGACUAUAAGGUAAAACACUAUGGAUUACACACAAUAUAUUUACUUUUUUCUCUUCUAUACACAAAAUAAUUGUCUUGCUAAUGGGGAUAAAGUUGUUUUUUUAAAGGGAUCUAAAGGUUAUUUGUAUAUUGAUCGGGGAUAAUUUAGUAGAUUUACUGCUUUUUUUGAACAUUAAAACUACAUCUUUGCCUUUGCAAGCAAAAAAAAAAAAUUGUCCUUUCGUUUAGGUUUAGGGUUUAUUUUAUCUUUCCUAUUUUUUUUCAUAGUAAAAUAACAUCAAUAUCCUUGAUAACAAUACAACAACAAAGGAAAAUACCAAUAUUUAAAAUACAACAACUCUUUUUUUCCCAUCUUCUGUUUUCUUUUUUUCAUAUCAAUACAACAACAAAGAAAAAUACAAAUAUUUAAAAUACAACAUAAAAUUUAUUUUCCUGUAGAAUCAAUGUAACAUUAAAGAGGCAUCUUCCGUUUUCUAGUCAGGAGGGAUUAUAAGAACUCAAGAAAAUUGCCAUAUGACUUGAGGAAAAGAUUUAUACUACCGCCACCAAUCAUGUGUUUGCCUAAUGCGAGGUUCGAUAAUUACGGUAUUCUUUAGACAUGAAUAUACACACGCAUUUAUGCAUGUACAAAUGUGUGUGUAGUGUGCCUACACUUCCUCACCGUUCAUUCUGUAUGCAAGGCUAAUUGGGAGUUCACAUCUUUUUGUUAAUUCUCUUGACAAGUGUUUUAUUGAGAGUGACCAGGUUCAAGUAUUGGGGAAGUGUGCAAAAAGAAAAUAGCAAAUCAAUACAUAAAUAAUUAAAUUAAAAGAGAGGAAACAGAACUAUAUCCUCACAGAAGAUGAAAUGAUAGAGCAUAUAUCCAUUUCCCCCCUUCUCUUGUAACAUGGAUUGCUCUGAGAGCUAAUGUUUUGUUAUUGAUAUCUGAUUUCGGUCUGAUUAUCUGCGUAAAAUAUCUCUGGAGAUUCUUUCGAUGGAAAUCAGGUCUCAAAACGCCAUGCCCACUGCCCCCAUGGACCCAUAAGGUAAUAAUGCAGCCAAGCAUUGAAUUUCUAAACAUCUUACCUUUUGUUUUUCUUUUCGCAUUGUUAUCGAACUCUUUUACAUUUUAUUGCUGCAUAUUGUUAUGUAUUUCGCCUUGCUGGAAAAAUCUCAUGAUCACCUCCACGAUGCUAAUUCUGUAAUGCAUGUGAAGUGUUUCUGAUAAGGUCCCAAUCAAGAGUGAUACACAAUUGCAGAAAUGCUAGGAUUCUCUUAGGGUGAGAAUUUACCACAAUAUUGUUUGGAUAAACAUAAUGCUAUUCUUUUUAUUCUUCUUCAUACAUAUAAAGAACUAAACCAUAACAACUUUCAGCAAAUCCAGCCGAAAUGGAAAUAACAGAUUACAAAACAGAAAUGCAAAUAAUGUGAAAGUGGCUGCUUUAUUUUCUCCCAUUGAAUCGGAAGCAUGAUUCCAAUUGACUUGCUUGUAACUCCCUUUAAUCACGAUAUCUUUUAAUCACGAUAUUUUAAAUUCUUCUUUAUGACACGUGGGGUCCUUCGUGGCAGCAGCUCUCCAAGCUGCGUAUCAUUACCCCCCACAUCAAGUGGAUGCUUGUCCCCAAGGUCCAAGCUUGGGUGGUUCGUUAGCAGUUCAGCCGUUGGUUCCCAGAUGGCAUCAUUUGUAGACAAAUGUUUCCACUUCACCAAACUCUCCUCAAUAAAUCUUGCCCCAUGUGGAAUCCAACGUGUGUCCAGAAUAGCUUCUGGUGUGACCACAAUGGUGCCUUCUUCAUCAAUAGGUGGAAGUUCCAUACUAGUGUCUGCUUUGUCACCCAACUUCCUUUUAAGCAACGACACAUGAAAAACUGAAUGUAAACGUGCCCCCUCCGGAAGCUUGAGUUUGUAGGCCACAUCACCGACUCGCUUUUCAAUUGGGAACGGACCAUAAAACUUGCAAGCAAGUUUUUGAUGAGCUCGUCGAAAAGCAGUCUGUUGGCGAUAAGGUUGUAAUUUGAGAUACACAAGGUCACCUUCUAUGAAUUCGACAUCCCUUCGCCCACGAUCAACCAACUGUUUCAUGCGAUUCCUAGCAUUCGCUAAAUUCUGCUUGAGAUUCCUAAGAAGUGUGUCCCGUACCUGAAGACUGUGAUCAACUUCAUUAACUGGUGAAGAGCCUGUAGCAUAAAGUGGAAAUGUAGGUGGUAAGCGUCCAUAAAGAGCUUGAAAAGGUGUCGUUCCUGUUGAUGAAUGGUAAGCUGUAUUAUACCACAGCUCUGCCCAAGGAAGAAAUUGGCUCAACUGUCGUGGUCUUUGGUGAACAAAACAGCGCAAAUAUUGUUCCACACAAUGAUUAACCACCUCUGAUUGACCAUCCGUUUGAGGAUGAUAUGCUGAGCUCAUCUUAAGCUGAGUACCAGACAUCUUAAAAAAUUCCUGCCAAAACUUACUAAUAAAGACUUUAUCUCUGUCGCUCAUAAUAGAACUAGGCAUGCCAUGUAGCUUCACCACACCAUCUACAAACUUUUCUGCCACCAUCUUUGUUGUGAAAGGAUGUGUUAAGGCCAAGAAGUGAGCAGAUUUGCUUAGAUGGUCCACUACCACUAAAAUGGUAUCGCGACCAUGUGAAGUAGGGAGACCUUCAAUAAAAUCUAUAGUAACGUCAUCCCAUACCUGACACGGAAUAGGAAGAGGUUGCAAGAGCCCAGCUGGUUUGAGAUUAUCAGCUUUAGUUUUCUAGCAUGUCACACAUGUGUGGACAUAUUCUUUGACAGAAUGAUACAUAGAUGGCCAAUAAAACUGCUGAGAUAGACGUUUGAAUGUACCCAAUAUACCAGAAUGGCCGCCCAUCUUUGUAUCAUGAAAUUCCUGUAGUAAUUGUUCUAUCACAGCUGUGUUAGGAGGCACCACAACACGUGUUUUGAAGAAAACUAACCCAUCUCGCCAGGUAUAAGGUUUUCCAGGACUAUUUUGAGCUUGCUGAAUAAUUUGUUCCAUAUAUGGGUGUCCAGUGGAGGCCUUUUUUAUGUCUUCCCAUAAAGUUACUUGUGGCACAGACAACGCAUUAAGAAUAGGGCUUCCAGACACUCUUGAUAAUGCAUCAGCAGCUGAGUUGUCGCGUCUUGGGCGAUAUAUGAUUUCAUAGUCAUAGCCAAGUAAUUUAGCCACCCAACGUUGUUGUUCUGGUGUCCCAAUUCUUUGCUCCAAUAGAUACUUUAGACUGUGCUGGUCCGUUUGAAUGAAGAACUUUUUGCCCAGUAGAUAUGGUCUCCAAGUGCGUAUUGCCUGAAGGAUGGCAAUCAUUUCUUUGGCAUAUGUUGACCAUGAAAGUUUGGCCACUCCGAGUUCUCGGCUGAGGAAAGCAAUGGGUUUACCUUGCUGUGUCAACACUGCACCAAUACCCUCUCCAGAAGCAUCAGUUUCAAUUGUAAAUGAUUCAUUGAAAUUUGGCAUAGCUAAAAUAGGUGUGGUUGUCAUAGCUUGUUUGAGCUGUAGGAAAGUUGCCUCCGCCUCUUGACUCCAUCUGAAUUGCCCUUUCUUCAAGAGAUUGGUUAAUGGCUUUGCCAGCAGACCAUAGUUGCGCACAAAUUUUCGAUAAUAACCUGUAAAGCCUAGAAAACCAGGUAAGUCUGAAAUAGUGCUUGGCCUUGGCCAAUUUACCAUAGCUGUAAUUUUGCUUGAAUUAACCUUGACCCCUUUAUUAGUCACAAUGUGACCGAGGUACUCGAGCUCUGACUGCCCAAAUGUAUAUUUGCCUUUACAAAAUAUGUAUGUUGCCGUAGAAUUUCAAAAACCUUUGUAACAUGUUCAAGAUGCAUGGUCCGGGCUAUAAAUCAAAAUAUCAUUAAAAAAAAAACUAAUAUGAAUUGACGGAGAUGAGGAUGAAAAAUAGAAUUCAUAAUAGCUUGGAAAGUGGAAGGAGCGUUGCAAAGACCAAAGGGCAUGACCAUAUAUUCGUAGUGGCCAUUAUGGGUACGGAACACAGUUUUGUGAGUGUCUUUUGGAUUUACUCGUACUUGAUGGUACCCUGCUCUUAAGUCUAAUUUUGUAAAGAAGGCAGCUCCAUGGAGCUCAUCAAGCAUGUCAUCAAUGGUAGGAAUAGGAAAUCGAUCCUUAAUGGUUACGCUAUUGAGAGCUCUAUAAUCAGUACAAAAACGCCAAGUGCCAUCUUUUUUUUUAACUAACAAAACAGGUGAAGAAAAGGGACUAGUACUUGGUUUUAUAAGUCCCAAUUUAAGCAUGUCUUGAACUUGUUUUUCAAUUUCAGUUUUUUGAAAAUAGGCAUACCUGUAGGGCCUCACAUUAAUAGGCUCAGUAUCUUCUUUAAGAGGAAUGCAAUGAUCAACUUCACGAGCUGGAGGUAACUGUGUGGGCUCAUAAAAAAUGUCCUCAAAGUUGUUGAUGAUUUCCUUCAUAUCUGUUUGCAUAUUGGGUCGUUCCAUCUUUUCUAUGGAUUGACAAUACACUGUAAAAGUGGAACAGCCAUGACGGACAUCUUUAGUAAUUGCUGAUAGUGAAGCAGGUUGUAUAGCUUGGCUAUUAGAACCAUUUAAUGUUUGAGCUUGAUUCUUCCACCAAAAGUCCAUUGUAAAUUUUUUCCAAUUACACACCACUGGUCCGAGUUGUUCAACCCAUUGUACACCAAGAACAAGAUCAAGGCCUGUGAUAGGUAUUGAAUAAAGGGUUAAUGAAAAUGGAAUGUUUUGGAGAAUAACCUGGACUUGUUCAAACCUUCCUUGGCACUUCAUUUGAUUGCCAUCUGCCACCCUUACAGUGAAGGGUCUCAUAGGAAUAACAGGUAAUUGAAGCUCCUCUGCUAUUUUAGAAUUGAUGAAAUUAUGGGUAGACCCACUGUCGAUGAGCACUGUUAGAGUGUGAUUCCCAACUCGUCCUUCAAUCCUCAUGGUUCGUGGUGUGGACCAACCCGUGAGUGCAUGGAGUGAAAUUUCUGGCUCAGUGUUCUCCUCAGCUAUGUCCUCUACUGGAAUGUCAUCAGUAACUUCUUCGCACAUGACUCUGACAGGUUCACUAAGGCUUUCUAGUAAUAACAGUUGCGGUCUUUGGCACUUAUGUCCAGCAGUGAAUUUGUCAUUGCAAUUGAAACAAAGCCCUUGUGCACGCCGUCUCUGCAUUUUAUCCCAUGUUAGUCUUUUUAUCGGAACUGGAAAACUGGAUUUUGGUGGGGGAAAAGUCAAUGGUGUGCGAGUUAAUUGUGUUGGCCGUGUAAAUUUCCCUUGCCGCAUUAUUUGUUCAUCCUUCAUUUUAUCUAAACUGAUAGCCUCUUUCAAAGUCCGUGGUUUGAACAUCCGAAUAGCAUCAGAAAUUUCUACUUUAAGUCCACCCAUGAAUGUUGUAACAACCCCGAUUUUUCUACAUUCUUUUUCGCGAUAUAUUGGAAAUUUUCAGGUAAAUUUUUUUUUUUGUGAUAUACAGGUUCCACCAAAAUUUCUACCAAAAUUUCGGCAGAGUCUCCCCUAUACUGGUAGGUCCCAGGUUAUCGACAUAUACCAUGUUUACACUUCUAAUAUCUCACAUCUCAUAACUCAAAAUCACGACCCAAUCAUCCUGGGUCUCAACCCAACUCAUUAUCAUCAACACAACACAUCUUAUUCAAUAACAUCAUAUAAUAUAGUUCAAAUGAAAGAUUCAAUUUCAACUAUAAAUAUGCAUGGUCAAAUAGGUACUAAGAGUUUAAACCAUUAGAGUAAAGACAUACAUUCAAAUUUACGGAUUAAUAUUACAUCUCAAGUUUUAUAAUUUACAUAGUCAAAAGCAAAAGAUAUCUAAACUAGCAUUACCCUUGACGCGACCCUGAUGGACCUGAAAAUAGAAAUUAACAUGUACACAUAAAUAUAAAAGAUAGUAACAAGCAAUAACAAUGGCAAACAAUAAUCUCUACGGAAUUUCUUUUGAUAUAUAAAAUUAGGCAUAAACCUCUUUUACAACAUAUAUUUUACAUUUAUUACCAAUAUCCAUCUAAUAUCCUAUCUCAUUUACCAAGAAUAAUUCCAUCUUGGAAAUCUCAACACAACUCAACGGUUUGCGAACACCAUCUCUUUAUAAAUCAAUUCUCACUUGAUACCAAGAUAUUCCUCUCUUGGUAUUAUUAGCUUAUCUCAUUCUUUUGGAAUAACUAAUUAAUAUUUUCCCUUUUCUGAAUCUGUUGCUAGAAGGUAAUCACUGAAACUAAUAAAUCUCAUUAGUAUCAUUAGUCUUCAAAUAUUGGGCUAGACUAAUCAAUUUAAGAAAUACUGGCACCGAUGAAACUUCAUCGAUACCAUUAGCAAUCCAAACUUGGAUGGCUAAUCAAUUCCAUUUGAUUCUUCCAUUCGUACCGAACCCCUUUUAUCUUUCUUAUUAACAUCAUAUGCAUUGUAACCACGGUUGCCAAGUAUCAUUUGCACACAAUCUUAGUUAUCGACACUACGGUCACUAAGCAUCCUUCACAAAACCUUGGUCACCUUCAUCACAGUGCCAAGUAUCAAUUUAUGCCCUUAGCCACCAUCAUUAUGGUGUUAAGUAUCAUUGUAAUGUAUCCUUAGCCACCGACACUAUGGUAACCAAUUAUCUAUCAAUUCACCUCCAAUCUCCAAGUCAUUGUGUCUACCCAAUAACCACAUUAAUUAAUUUACUCAAUAUGUUAGUCAUAUAUUAAUUAUUUUACUCAUAACAUUUAGAAUUUACUAUUUCUAACUUCAAUCAAUUAAUUCACAUAAUCUUUUCAAAACUUAACUAUCCGGCUAACUCAUCUCGAUUGCCAAUAAUUCUGGUAAUUUCAUAUAAUUACCCACACUUUUGGUUAACCUCCAUCGGUUACCAAUACAUCUGGUAAUUCCAUACGAAUUACUCAGCCUCCAGCUAACUUCUUUUGUUUGUCAAUUAAUCCUGUAAUUCCAUACGAAUUACCCCAUAUCCAGUUAACCUUCUUGUUAACCAAUAAACCCGGUAAUUCUCUUAAUUGUCCAAGAAAUCUGGCUAACCCAUCUUGGUUGCCAAGGUCAAUCCGGUAAUUCCAUACGAAUUACCCAUCAUCCAGCUAACCUCUCUUGUUAGCCAAUGAAUUCGGUAAUUCCAUACGAAUUACCCAUCAUCCAGCUAACCUCUUUUGUUAGCCAAUCAAUCCGGUAAUUCUAUACGAAUUACCCCAUAUCCAGUUAACCUUCUUGUUAACCAAUAAAGCCGGUAAUUCUCUUAAUUGUCCAAGAAAUCUGGCUAACCCAUCUUGGUUGCCAAGGUCAAUCCGGUAAUUCCAUACGUAUUACCCAGCAUCCGGCUAACCUCUUUUGUUAGCCAAUGAAUCCGGUAAUUCCAUACGAAUUACCCAUCAUCCAGCUAACCUCUUUUGUUAGCCAAUCAAUCCGGUAAUUCCAUACGAAUUACCCAAUAUCCCGGCUAACCUCUUUUGUUAGCCAAAUAAUUUCGGUAAUUUCUCUUAAAUUACCAAUAAUUCUCAUUUGUAAUAAUCACUCAACUUAUUCAUUUGUUUCAUUCUUUUAACAUCAAUUAAACACACAACACAAAUAUUUAAGAAAAACUAAUAAUUACAAAAUAAGGUGAUGAAUCACCUACCUAGAAUAGGUGCACGUGCUGCCACUCCAUGCAAUUGUCCAGUCCCCACAGCUUUCCCCUGUACCACCAGGGAUUCAAUUUUUAUCAACAAUACAACCAACAUCACAUCUUCAUUUAAUUCUCAUUCAACUAGUAUUCUCAAACUAAUCACAAGGAAUUUUCUUUAAGAUCUCAUACUCUUACUCAUUUUAAUGUUUAUAUUUAUUCUUAUAAUUUUGUUAUCAAAACCAUCACUCAACAGCAAUUCCAAGCAACGAUUAAAAAUUGUCUAAUUCCGAUCAAUUAAGCUUAACCAACCCAUAACACUAUCUAGUGUCUUAAUCAUAACUAAAGUUGUAAAACUCAGUUUUGGGCGUGAUUUAUAUCUCUAUGAAAGGCUAAACAUAGAGAUACAAAUUUUAUGAAGAAACCAACUCCAAAUUAUUUUGUUUUAAGGCUUAAAAUCAACAAUCACAAUAGCCCUUCUUUAUGGCUAAAAUUUUGGACAACGAGGAUUUUCAUUCCUUGGAAAUCCUUUUCAACUUCCAACUUAUUUUCAUGCAAAAUCAACAUCAUCCAAGGUCAUUUGGCAUCAUUAAAUCACAAGUUCAAACCAAUUCUAAAGCAAAACAUUCAAACAAUUUCCCUACCUCUACAAUAUAGCAAGAUUAGACCAAAAUAAGGAAACUCAUUCCUUUUGAGAUUUCUCCUAUUAUUAUUAUUAAUACAACAAAAUGAUGAACUAUUCAUUUUCUUUCGCUUUCUCCUCGUGCGAUUAAACAUAUACGGCAAACCUUAACAAUUAAUAUUCUCAGAUCAUUAUCACAACAAUAAUUUCACUCUACUAAUUGGGAUCCAUGACAACCUUCAUUAACUAACCAUUUGCUAAAAACACUUAUGGCUAGCUUUAAAUAUGUUUUAUUUUUUUCAAAUUUUUUUCAUUUCAAUUUCUUCAUGGUUCCACCCCAUUUAUAUCCACACAACCAACAAGUUAGCUUUCUAUUCAAUCAACAUGUUCUAUUCAAUCAACACGUUCAUAUAGCAAUAUUCUUUACUAUUCUUACACAACAAUCAUUCUUCCCCUCAUAUAAAGAAUACACAAUUAAUCUAUAAUAUUACUAAUAACAGGAACAUAUUUUAUCAUUACAUCUUCCAUAAAACCUACACCCACACAAUUCUAAUUUCAUCAAAACAUGUAUUUAAUCAAGCUUACUACAUUUUGCAAAAACUAGCAAUAGAUUCAAAAAGCAAUAAGUCAUCAACCUCUGAUUAUUGUUUCCCACCCAACGGUCAGACUACAUAUCAUAGCGUUGUGCAUAAUAUAUCUCAAAUUCAUAAUGAUCCAACGGUUAAAUCUCCCUAGAUCUGAAGAAAACCGAGCUUACCUGAAAAUGAACGAGCUACUGUUCAACAUGCACGCAACCUUGCCGGAGAAAUAUGUUCCGAUCUCCACUGUCCAGAAUGAAUUUAACAUCUACGCGCACCACAUAUCCAACAAUUAGCAUGAUCCAACGGUGGAAGAGAGAGAAAUCGGCCGGCGACCAAACUGCCCUGCAGGUGCAUUUCCUUUUUGUUUUCCAUGAAAUUCCAGAUGAUGAUUUCUGUCAAAUGGAUUGUGUUCCUUCCAAUCACUCCGGUCAGUUAGUAGAGGAGUGUAAUGAGAACAACACGUCCAAAACGCAGCUUGAUCCAACGGUUGAUUCCCGAGAUAUGACCACCGGAGCAUUAUUGGUUUUCUCCAAAAUUUGCAGCUCUCUCCCCUUAUCCGCUUUUCUCUAUUUUUUUUCUUUUUUUUCUUUCUUUUUUUCUUAACUGGUGGCCUCUUUGCAGAUUUAUAGGCACCUUUUUUUUUCAUAAUUACAAUUUUGUCCCUCUUUCAUGCUUUUAUGUAUUUUAUUUUAUUUUUCAUGUAAACUAUCUCGUUUAUUUCUGUUUAAAUCGCUAGUCUUUACCAAACUCUGAUUGGGAUGAGAUAUUUAACCAAGGUAGGAAAACAUAUUAAUAGGCUUCAUACAAAAUUUCAUCCCGAUCCGACGAUUGGAUUGAGAGCUCUGCUUCCUAAUGUAAAAUUGAUCAGUUCAUAACUUUUCGUAAACAAUCUAGAUUUUUUUUUUGUUCAAUCUUCACAAAAAAAAAAAACAUAUCAAUUAUCAUUCUAAACCUUUAAGGUCAUUUAAUUAUUUUGGAAUGUAUUCAUUUUAGGAUUUCCACCUUUAUUUAUUUAUCGGGCUUAUUAUCGUUUCAAAAUAACAUCACUGAUUUUUAAGCGGUGCUUGCACCUUCAGUCCUACCCUUUUCAUUGUACUAUCAUUUAUUAUAAUGUAUUCUUUAUUACCUCACUUAUUUCCUAAAAAUAUUUUGUCAUUUUUCUCAUUAUUUCAUCCAUCAAAACACGUUACCAGUUUCUCUAUCCUUAUGAAUUCUAAACCAAAAUUCAUUUUAUGAAGGUCAUCUCUUCUAUUAUAUAUCAUUAUUUAUCUAUUAUUUCUAAUCUUGGUUUCCAUCACUCAUUGAAAUAUUACCACUUUCAGUCUUAUGUUUACAUGAGGGUUUAUACAUCUACAUAUUUAAAUUAUAAAUUUCCAGGGUUUCACAAAUGUGCCCACCAGCGCCUUUUGAGUCCAACCAUGAACUCGAUUGCCCAACCUCUCAAAUUCCUUCUGAUAGUCCCUUAAGGAACCCACUUGUCUGACCUUUGAUAAUGCUUCAUCAAAAUCCUCAUAUUCUGUGGGCCCAAACCGUGCCCAAAGCUCUUCUUCAAAUAUCUCCCACGUGACAGUGCGCCCUUCUUCCUUGUGAGCUCGAUGCAACCAUUGCCACCAUUGGUUGGCUUCUCCUUCCAAAUGGAAUGAGGCCAAUGAUACUUUUUGAUUGUCCGCAGUCUCUUGAUAUUCAAAAAAUUGGUCCACCCAAUUGAACCAUUCGGUUGGAUCAUCCCCAGAAUAUCGUGGAAAGUCUAACUUGGCCAUUUUUUAUGAGAAGACGUGGCGUCCACACUCAUUAUCAGUUUUCUUCUUUCCCCCAUCAGUGUCAUCCCGAUAUGUGCGUGAGAAGCCAUCCCGGUCGUUGUUGUGGUAACUUGAAGACGCCUUGGAAGCGAUCAUGACCUCUGAAAGUUUGUUGAUGGUUUCCUCCAGGCUGUGCAAUCUAUUGAUCAUGUAAUCUUCCAGUCGCUGCAUGCCAUCUUGGACUCCACCAAGUCCUGUCUCCAAAAGCUCAAUUCGUUCUUUGUUUGUUGCCAUUGCGUAGGCUCUGAUACCAAUUGAUAAGGUCCCAGUCAAGAGUGAUACACAAUUGCAAAAAUGCUAGGAUUCUCUUAGGGUGAGAAUUUACCACAAUAUUGUUUGGAUAAAAAUAAUGCUAUUCUUUUUAUUCUUCUUCAUACAUAUAAAUAACUAAACCAUAACAACUUUCAGCAAAUCCCGCCGAAAUGGAAAUAACAGAUUACAAAACAGAAAUCCAAAUAAUGUGAAAGUGAUUUCUUUAUUUUCUCCCAUUGAAUCGGAAGCAUGAUUCCAAUUGACUUGCUUGUAACUCCCUUUAAUCACGAUAUCUUUUAAUCACGAUAUUUCAAAUUCUUUUUUAUGACACGUUGGGUCCUUCGUGGCAGCAGCUCUCCAAGCUGCGUAUCAGUUUCAUUCUUAACUUGUUAAGGAACAAGGACUGUGAUGCAUGGCUAUUUUAUAUUUUAUGAUUGAGAUGGUAGAUUUUAAAGAUUUUCCUGUUUAGGAGGUAAGACGUCACUUUCUUGCUUUUCUUCCGAGAGAAAGUAUUUGAUCCUUUCUUCAUAUAUAAUAAUGCUGCCAAGCAUUGAAUUUCUAAACAUCUUACCUUUUUGUUUUGUUUGUCGCAUUGUUAUCAAACUCUUUUGCAUUUAAUUGCAGUAUAUUGCUAUGUGUACGGCAUGCUUUAAUCAAAAAGUUGAGUACUCGAUGAAUGUUAGGCAAGAAAAUUACUGAUUAUUUUUGUUUUCUGCCUCCUCCUUUUCUUUCUCCCAACCUGAAAAUUGUCAUAUUAUUUUUGUUUUCAGCCGCCUCUUCUUCCCCCAACCCUGAAAAUUGUCUGAGGACACUUUUAUGCUUUGAAUCAAAUCCAUCCUAAUUCUUUCGCUCAUAACUUUAUGUGUGAACUGCCGAUGUUUGAUCAUUUGUCUUCCUUGUUCAGUGCCUUCUUUUUUUCUUUGACAUGGUUUCCUUUUUUCCUUUUAUCUUGAACAGCAUCCCAUAGUAUGCCCCCUCAAGUUCAGAAUCAUGGGCUAUUUCUCCCUAUCCUAUUGUCCACUGAUCAAUCUCAAGUACGCUAGCAGUUGUUAUCACAGAACAUGCAGAAUUGCAUGGCAUCUAAUGCAAUUCAAAGUUCUGCUGGUUUACUAGCGGCACUGCCUCUUGUCUCCGGUGUAACCCAGACUAUCCCCAACACUGUUGUCCAGAAUCCUAACAUGCAGAGUAUCCCCGGUGUUUCACAGAACUCAGUGGGGAAUUCAAUGAGACAAGGGAUUCCCUCCACUAUGUUUGCCAAUUCUCAUAAAGAAAUGCCAGGUAAUGCUCUUUUUGGUAGCUUUAUGUCUUCCACUUAUGGCAUUAGAAAUGCCACUGCUAUUGGAACUAUUGCAAUCACACAUGCAUUUGGCAUCACACGAUGCCCUUCAGUGCUCUGCACCAACUUUUCACCUCCCAUAAUGGUUCUAGUCAGUAAUGCUUUUUUAGGUAGCUUUAUGUGCUACUGCUGCCACUUAUGGCAUUAGUAAUGCCACUGCUAUUGAAACCAUUGCAAUCACACACACAUUUGUUACCCACAUCAUACCCUCCAGUGCAUUGCACCAGCUGUUCACCUCUCAUUCUGGAUUUAUAGGGUUUGUCCGUCUGUUUGAAUGAUUACAUAACGUUUAGAUGGAGUUCCUAGUACUCCUAGUUCAAAAAGACUUGUAUUCCUCUGUAGGAAAAUACUAAUAGUCCUAUCUAGAAUAGGAAAACCUAAUGAAGCUCGCUAUACUUUGGGAUAAUAAAAUACUAAAUGGAAAAUAAAAUGAGACUUGCAAUAUUCCAUAAUUUUCAGCAAGCGUGAAAAUUACAGAAAUACCCUUGUAUAUGGAAAACACACAAAAAUACAUGAAUUCUAAUCUUUGUUGCCCGCAUUGAAAUAUUUGUAGCAUCCCUAGAUUCUACAGCACAGACUGGACAUGCAAAAGGCGCUGAUUGACAAGAGUAGAUCUAUCAAAAGGUAAUUUCUGUGAUUUACUGUUCAUUAGAUGGAGUUCAUGUAUGCCAUAGUCUUAAAAAUAAAAGUGCACUAUUUCUGAAUGACUUACAGUUUAUCUUUUGUUAAGUGAAGAGUUAUUUGCACGAUUGCAAUCAACUUGUUGUGAAAAAUUUCCAGUAUUGAAUUUUAUAGAAAAUGAGGUUGAAAUUCUGAAUGUCUCAAGUCAUAACUGCAUAUUUGAUAAGGACAUUUUUCUUGUGCUUAAGUGAGUAUUAAAACGGGAAUAAGAAUGGUUGUUGUUAAGGAUCCAUGGGGUCAUGCAUAGGAUCUAAGGCUAAGAAGCGUCGCUAAAGUUGUGAAAUCCAUUGACUUGAGCUAGAACAGCAGAAAACAAUGAUGUGUAGUUUGCAGGGAGACAGUAACUGAACUUAACCAACCCCUGAAUCUUGUCUAAUGGUGUACUUACACAGUCCUUUGCAUCUUUCCAUUCCAUCAAUAUCGACAUCCUGUUGAGUUUCUAGCAUUAAUUCCACUCUAUUAUUUUUAUCUCAACUAAUUUAUGUUGUCCUCUGCCCUUUUUUUGUUAUUUUAUUUUUAUCAAUUCCCUUAAGUUUGUUUGUUUUACUUUCUUUCUGACUGGCACCUGAAGAGAUCAAGCAUAUGAGCGAUAAUGUUUUGCUGGUUAUUUGUACUUCCUAGAUCAAAGUUAUGAAGGAGACUUAUUUCCCUGAAAUAAAUGAAAUGUAUCAGAGAAUUGCUGCCAAGUUACAGCAGGUAAAUUGUCUCUGAAAUUUCUUCCGGAUUAUCUGUGCAUGCAUGAUUAUCUGCAAUUUCCCCAUGUUGAGUUUUGUAUUAGUUUGUUUUCCUCAUCAGCAUUGCCUGUCACUGUAUCAUCUGCACUAUUCACCUACCCCACCCCCAACCGCCCCCACAACCAUGCAUCGACACAGAAGAAGUGGAAUAGAAACAUUUUGUUUCACUAAUGUUUUGCUACAAAGGAUCAAUGCAAUUUUUAAUUCUCGUGUAUGUUAACUUUGCUUUCUAGCAUGACUCUCAUCCGCAACAACCGAAGUCGGAACAGCUUGAAAAGCUGGAGGUAUUCAAGGCCAUGUUGGAGCGCUUGAUAACAUUCUUACAGGUCUCUAAAAACAAAAUCACACCUAGUUUCAAGGAGAAAUUGGGUUCCAAUGAGAAGCAUAUUGUAAGUUUUCUAAACCCAGGCAGAUCAGGAAGCCAAUUCCUAAUCUACAGCGAGGACAACUUCCCCAGCCUCAUGUGCAACCUAUGCAGCAAUCCCAGUCUCCAGUUCCUCAAUUGCAGUCCCAUGAAAAUCAACUGAAUACCCAGUUGCAAUCAAUAAAUGUGCAAAAUUCUAUACCAACAAUGCAGCAGAACAAUAUGUCAAGCUUGCAGCAUGGUUCUCUUUCAUCUUUAUCUGGGUUUUCUAUGUCACAACCAAUCAUGAUGAUGUGGGACGAGAGAUUUUACGAGAAGAAAAGGGGGUAGAGAGAAUGAUAUUGUAGCAAAAAUAACUAAUCAAAUAGAAAGGCUGAGCUUAGAGACAGCACACUACAAAGGAAGCACCCAAUAGCUAGACAUACAAUCAUAACAAAUUCAUCUUCUAAAGUUGGAGAACUUGCGAAAACUAGCAACCAUAAAAUAGUAACAAGUAUCUAUGCAAUCUUCGAUGAAGUACAACCACCUACGUCGCCAAUAUGGAUUGAUGUAGAGAACUGCUGCAAUCGUCAUCACCACAACUGUGUAACAUACACUGAAACUGAUGUAGAAAAACUCCAUGUCUAUGAAACCAUCAUCUUCUUGUUCAUCAUGAGGCACUGGCUGGGACAACACUACUUCUUCACUACAAUUGUUUCGCAAUGGAGGUCCACACAAGAAAGGAUUUCCUUCGUAACAGCUUUCAUCGAAGGUCCCAAACUGAUAUUUUCUCUCGGGUGUCUUACCUGACAAGUUAUUGUGCUCCACACUAAAAACUUCUAGUGUGGUCAUUUCAGUAAGUUGUGGAGGGAUGUCACCAUUCAAGUUGUUGUAAGAAAGAUCCAAACUCUCAAUCCGCUUCAGGUUUGAGAAUGUUGCAGGGAUAGAUCCAGUGAGAUUGUUGUGUGAUAAGUUUAAUGACAGUAUCUCGCUUAAGUUUCCAAAUUCUGGUGGGAUUGCUCCUACAAAGUUGUUAUUGGAGAGAUCAAUACCAGACAUGUAGAUGAGAAUUUUCCCUUUGUAACCAUAAUACAUAUUUUUAGUUGUAAAUUCUAUCACUUCUUCUGUAAAGUUAGUCCAAUAACCCUUUAAUAAGGUGUAUAUGCUAUCCACUUGUGGUGGACCCAUUAUUUCAUAAUAAGCCUUUUCUAAGAACCCUGGUAGUAAAAGAACAUCGAGAUUCACUAAUGCUUUCUGGGAACUUUCUUUGAAAGUAAGAUUUUCCAAACAGGAGGGUAAUGGACCAGAAAGCUGGUUUUGUGAAACAUCCAAAAUGCUUAAUUGUUUUAAUAAGCAUAACUGAACAGGGAACUCACCAUCAAAGUGAUUAGCUCUCAGAAGAAGAACACUCAAUGAUGAAAGAUUGCCAGCCCAAUUUGGAAUUGAGCCGGUGAAGCUGUUAUCUCUAAGAUCCAUCGUAACCAGGGAAGAGCUAUUAUAAAAUCCAUAUUUUAAUGGACCGCUCAAUCUAUUUUUGGAUAGAUGCACAUGGGUUAUUUGUGGUGAAUUGAAACAAGAUGGAAUAUAUCCAAACAAAUUGUUCUCAGAAAGGUCCAAAUAUUCAAGCUGGUCAAACUUACAAAAAAAGUCUUUUGGGAUAGGACCCUUAAAAUGGUUUUUUGAAAAAUCAAUUGCUCUAAGGUUCGUCGAAUUGACGAACCACCUUGGAAGCAUGCCUGAAAAUUGAUUGUUACUCAAAUCCAAUACAAUCCACGUUUUCCACCCGUUUAAUGGAAAAUCUGAUAUUUGACCCCAAAAGUUGUUAUCACCUAGAUAGAGAUAUUCUGAGGUAGAAGAAUUGAACACGGAGGUUGGUAUUUGCCCACCCAAAUUGUUGUUUGACAGCUUGAGAAACAUUAAUGUUGUUAGUAGUUCUAGUUUUACCGUGGACAAUUGAUUGUUGGAUAAAUCUAAAACUCUCAAAGAGCUAAUAUUUCCUAAACAAGAAGGAAUACAACCCGUGAAUCCAUUCUUAGCCAUCCUUAAUCCCUUCAGAUUUGGAAAGAUCAAACAAAUAUCCUUUGGAAUUUGACCGCUCAUGUUGUUGUUGGAUAUAUCCAAUUCGGUCAUUUUCGGAUAUGGGUGAUCUUGCAACUGCAAAGUACCAACAAAGGAGUUCCCGCUCAGAUAUAGUUGCUCCAAUCGUGUAUUGUUCUUAAGCAACCACGAUGGAAACAUUCCGGUGAUGUUGUUGUGGGAGAGAUCAAGGAAUCUUAAGUGGUAUUGGUAAUAGAGGAAGUUGGGAAUUUCUAUAUUGAGUGCUUCCGUUGUUUUUGUCGAGCUAAAAAAGACUAGUUGGAACUUUGGAAUCAACUGAUCAAAUGCAGCAGGUUCUAUUACUAAUCUGUUGUUCUCAUUGCAGAAGAACUUGAGGCUUGAGUGGUUCAUAAAAGGUUUCAUUGAAGUGGGAACUUCAAAGAGGUUAUUUGAUAGUGAGAGGAAUUCAAGGGAUAUGAGGUUGGUAAGGGGACCGAAGGCAAUAUUUCCAGUAAAUUGGUUUUCAGAAACAUCUAAUAGUUGUAGAGAAGACAAGUUCCCCAAACAAUAUGGGAGUGAACCUCCUAAAUCAUUUUCAGAGAGAUCUAAUUGCUUCAGAUUCUUCAUUUCACACCAACCUGUACAAUUUAUGGAUAUAAAGUCGUUAAAGAUGAAGGCUAAGUCAAACAUGAUAAAAUACUAUCAUUAAAUUGAUCAUUGCAUAGAUAUAAAGUCCUUUUUUAUAUAUAUAUAUAUAUAAUGUAAUGAAUAUUAUUGAUUAUUCAACAUAGUUUUAAAUAAUAUAAUAUUUUUUAAAUUUAUAAUAUUAUAAAUUAUAAAAUUAUUGAUACUUGCAAUGAAGACCAAGUCUCAAAAUACCAUAUCCACUGGCAGUGGUAAUGCAGCGAAGCAUUGAAUUUCUAAACAUCCUUACCUUUUGUUUUAUAUUGCUAUGUAUAUACAAUGCUUUAAUCAAAACCUAUAAUGCAGGAAUAUCUGCAGAUGGCCAUUCCCAAAGGGAAAACUAAUCUUCCCUAGAAUAUUACAAAGUGCCAUUUCUACAGUGAGACACUGAAUAGUGAAAUUAGUGUUUCGUUUUUGUUGUUUUGUUGCUGAUAACUAGAUCUGUUAAAUCUUUUCCCUGUACUUUUACAUUAUGCAGUAAACUGGUCCCUUCAUUAGUUUUUCGUUAGUCAAAUAUUGUAGAGCUGUCAGCAAUAUUUCCUCUGUUUGUUCCACUAACUUGACGGUAAAAUGUGAUUAAAGAAUCAAUUAAUUAUUUAAAAAACGUCGAGGGAUUAAUUUGUUUGUUUCACAAAAAACAGACACUGGUUAUAUAAAAUUAUACUCAAAUUUUUUUCAUCAUAUGCGUGUGUUUACUUGUAAAUAUUUUGGAAGGAACUAGUUUAUGUUUUGCGCAACAUAAAAAAAAUCAUCUAGGCUUAAGAAACUAGCUCGAUCUAGUGGAUUAAUUUUUAAUUUUUUUUAUUUGACUUUUUAUCUAUAUCAAGUUUAACAUGAAAGUUAAUGUCUUUGUUUAAUUCGCAUGAUAACAAUUCUAUGUCUAAGAUCAUUUGGUUGGCAUACAUAUGUAAACCUAGGUGUUGUUAGUUCGAGGGAAGGAAGACACAAUAAAAAAUAAACAAACAUGGAUGAUAUGUCAUUUAUGUUUUACUUUUUUUAAUUAAAAAAACAGGCUUAAUAAAAAAUAUCAAGCGAGGUCAGAUGCGCGAGCCUUGUUUUAUAAUUUUUUAUUCAAAUUUUAAUAAUUGUUUUCAAUUAUUAUGCAUAUGACAUAAAAAUCUGUUCAUGAAAAUUAAAUUCAAAUCACUUUUUUAAUCUUAGAAUUUUUAGAUAUAUUUUUAGCAUAAUUUUAUCAUAUUUAUGAUUUUUUUUAACUUUCAAUCACAUGAAUAUAUUAUUUUGAUACAUUUUUAAUUUGUUGUGACAAUUAUAGAAUAUUCUUUUAAUAGAAACAAUGAUUCUAGUUAAGAAAAAAAUCUUGCAUUCAUCGAGAUAAACAAGAAAUAUGUUAAUAAGAAAAUUUAUCUUGAUGGAGAAAAAUUCAAAACGACUAAAUUUUCAAGUUUAAUAACAAUGCCAAGGAGUUUCCUUAGACUUGGAUAUUUUGUUCUACGUUUAAAGUUUUUUUUAUCUCCAUAACAUAGCAUUAGCAUACAAACUUGUAUAUUUUUAAGACAGCGUUUGGUUACUAUCCGGGACAAUAAAGACAAAGACAGAGGAGACAAGACAUAAAAGAAGAUGGAGAUAGAAUUGUGUUCAGUAGUGAUGUACAAGAUAAAAUAAUUGUCUUUGUAUCAUAUUUAGUUAUGUUGAAUAAGAAAGAAUAAAAUACAUAAAAAACUAUUUUACCUUUAAUAUGUAUUGUUGUCAAACUUCCAUAUUUAAAAAAUAAUUAUUUUUAUUUUUUUACUUUAGUUUAUAUUGAAUGUUGAAAUUAUUAAUAUUAUAAUAACCCUAAUUAUAAAACCAGGACUGAUUUGACAGGUUGGUUUAAGGCGUAGACUUGCCCGAGUUUUAGAAAAAUAGAUUAAUGAUUAACUAGACCUGACCUGGUAAAAAAUAUGAGUCAGGUUAAGAUAAAACACAAGUAAAAAACCCAUUGACUUUUUUGAAAAAGAAAAUUGGUCAAAACAAGGUUUCUUUGACUAUUUUUUUUAAAAAAAAAUUGGGUCAAUCAGGUUGACCUUCCCAACCCAUGACCUACACCUUUCCUUUGGUCAACUCCUAAGUUGAGUUUUAAAACUAUGAUAUUAAUAAUUUUUAUCCAUACUCAGGUCAACCUGUGUUGACCCUCUCGAUCCAUGACCUAGGCCUUACUUCUGUCGACUCCCGAGUCGGGUUUUAAAAUAUGAUAAUAACUAUUUUUAUCCUUACAUUAAUCCGGGUCGACUCUCUUGAUUCGUGACCCGAGUCUUACCCCAAAUUGACUAUCGAAUCAAAUUUUAAAACUAUGAUUAUAACCACCUUUAUUUUAUGUUGACCCGGGUCAAUCCGGGUUGACCCAUAUAACACGUGACUCAAGCCUUAUCCCGAGUCGAUCCCCGAUUUGGGUUUUAAAACUAUAAUAAUAACUAUUUUUAUCAUUACAUUUACCUAGGUCAAUAAUCAACCUCACUUGUGACCCCAAAAUUGCCCGGGUCGACCCUUAAAUCGAGUUUCAAAAUAUGAUAAUAACUAUUUUUAUUUUUAUACUAAUACAGGUCAACUCAACUCGUGACUCGGGCCUCAACCAGUGACCCAGAAUUUACCCCGGAUCGACCUCAAAGUUGGAUUUUAAAACUAUGAAAAUAAUUAUUUUUACCUUUAUAUGUCUUAAUUAGACAAUUUAGAAUUGAGAGUUUUUUAUAAGGAUAUUUUAGAAAUAAAAAAUAAUAAAUAUUGUCUCUAUAAACAUGUCCCUUCUAUACCUCAUAUUUUGAAAAUAUAAAAAUUCACUCUAAAAUUAUUCUAGAGACAAAUUUAUUUUUAUGUAUUUGUCUUUAUCUCUUUAACCAUAUAUAUUUAUAUCUUUAUUGUCUUCAUCCUUUUUAUCACACGACAAUGACCAAACAUUACCUAAAGGAUCUACAACUACUGAUGACAAACUUGGCUUUAUUUCAUCUUUGAUUUCUUCUCAAUGAUAUCUCACCUAUAUGUGUGGAGGCACUAGAUCGUUGAUUGAAAGGUUGACUUUGAAAAAAUAUAUUCAUAAAGUAAUGUUUGAAUCUUGGUGUUUUUUAUUGGCUCAAAAAAAUUACCAACCCACCAAAACCAACAUGUAUGAAACAUUUAGAUUUAAUAUUAUAUGUAUAAUUUAUUAUCAUAAUUGAUAUGCUAUUCAACUCACUAACUUAGUAGGAUGACCUAUAAUACCUGUUGAUCUAGGAUUUUAGCCGAAUCAAGCUUUAAGCCAGAUAUAAUAACUAUGAUUUUAUAAAAUUACUAUGAACUUCCCUUUUAUGUCUUCUUAUUUACUCAUUUGAUUUUAUGAAGUUAAGAUGUUUGCAUUUAUAUCAUGAUUAAACUCUAGGAUAACAUUUAGUUAUUACUUCAGGAUAACAAAAAUAAAGAUAGUAAAGACAAAAUUAUGUUUGGUUGAAAAGACAUAGAUAUAAAAAUAAUUUUUUUCAUGGGAUAAUUUUAGAGUGAAUUUAUGUACUUUCAAAAUAGAAAGUACAAAUAAGAUAUAUCUUCAUAAACAAUAUUUUUUAUUUUUAUUCCUAAAAUAUCAUUGAAAAAACUUUCAAUUCCAAAAUUGUCUAAUUAAAACAUGUAAGAACAAAAAUAGUUAUUAUCACAGUUGUAAAAUCUAACUCGAGGGUCGACCUGGGACAAGGCUUGGGUCAUUGUUUGGGUUGACCAUUGACCCGAGUCAACAAAAAAAUAAAAAUAGUUAUUAUUAUAAUUUUAAAACCUAACUUGGAGGUCGACUCAGGGCAAGACCCGGGUCAUAGGUCAGGAGGGUCAACUCUGGUUGAACUGAGUUAAUGUAAGGAUAAAAGUGGUUAUUGCAAUAGUUUUAAAACUUGACUCAGAGAUCGACCUGAUGUAAGCUCAGGUCUUGGGCUAGGAGGGUUAAUGCAUGGAUAAAAAUAAUUAUUAUCAUGAGUCGAUUUGAGACAAAGCCUAGGUUAUGGGUUGGGAGGGUCAACCCGAGUUGACCCAAUUUUUUUUUUUAAAAGAAUCAACACAACUUUGUUUUGACCAUUUUUUUUUAAAAAAAAAUAGCUGGUUUUGCCCUAUGUUUUAUCCCGAGUCGACCUGUGUUUUAUCCCGAAUCAACUCGGUUUUUUAAUUCACCUAUCUAUUCUUAAACUUAGAUUAAUACAGGCUUAGAGACGACUAGGUCCCGAAUAGAUUCACUAGGUCAGUCUAGGUUUUAUAACUAGGAUUAUUAUAAUAUUAUUAAAAUUAAACUAAAGUAAAAAAAAAUCUAAUUAUUUGUAUAAAUAUGUAAGUUUAACAAUAAUGCAUAUUAAAGGUAAAAUAAUUUUUUUAUUUUUUAUUUUUUUUAUUUAUCAUUAUCAAAUAAGAUAUAGAGACAGUUACUACCAAACACAAUUUUAUUUUCAUCUCCUUUUAUAUCUUGUUUUCAUGGUCUUCUUCCUUUUUAUUCAGGACAGUAACCAAAUAUUACCUAGUUAUAACAUAUAGAAACAUAUAAGUUGUCAAGUUCAAGCCUUUCUCUUAUCGAUUUAAAUAAAUUGAAACACAAUUGCAAGAAGAUUCGAGUGUGUUUGGUAUUGUGAUAGCUUUUGUGGUUGUGAUUUGAAAAAAAAUUGUUUUAUAAAAAAUACUUUUGGUUGAGGUUGGUUUGGUAUUUAUAUAUAUUUGGUUCAAACUGUGGUUGAAAUUGAGGUUGAACAAAAAGUAGUUUAAUGUGUUUGGUUAAGAAUGCUUUUCAAAUUGAGGUUAUAAAAUAAUUAAAAAAAGAUAUUAAUAUUAAUGGUUUUUAAUUUAAAUAUUGUAGAUUUAACUACUGUUAUUACAUCAUGAAAUAAAUAAUACUUUAUAUAAAAUAUUUUUAUUGUUCCAUUAAACUAUCUACAAUUCCAUCACGUACGAAAUCCAUCCGACAAGGACUACAGUUUCCUUGGUUUUUUAAGUGCGCAACAACAUCAUGUAAAAUAUCAUCAAGAACAAAAUUAGGAUUGCGAUCAAAUUCUGUAAAUGUUACGUCAUUAAGCGAUCUCCUUCUAAUUUAUGUAGUGUCAUUGAAUAAUGUUAAACAUUAGUUUUUUUGAAUAAAAUACAAUUAAAAAUAAAAAAAUUGAAUUUUAUUUUAUUUUACUGGGUCGGACCCGGUUCAAUGCAUUUAGCUUUGAACCGGACCCAAUUCGGCCGGAAUAAUAAAACAUUCUCCACUGUUCACGUGAACAGUGGAGAGUGAAGUAAUUCACUCUCACUAGGUGGAGACAACAGAAGAAAAGAAAAGGCAGCUUUGAGCUGCUUUCAAUGACACUGCAUUUUAAACAUAAAUUAUAAUGGAUCCUGUAAACAGUAAAUAAUAUUUUAUUAAUUAUCACAUGAUUGAUUUCUGUGGUUUGUUACAAAAACAGAAGCAACCACAGAAAUAAUCAGGUUCAAAGAAGAAAAGACAUAUGAUUAAAGUGCCACGCAACCUUUUGACAUUAUCAGUAUUUUGAUGUAUUUCCAUUAAUUUAUAAUAUACAAGUAUAUUUCCACGUUUCUUUUAUUUGGAUAGAACAUCUUUCCAAUAGAAUUUGUUUUUAUUAGAAUUCCAUAUUCAUGAUAUUUUUUUAAUAAUAAAAAUAGCAUUGGAUGAGUUUGUAUGUCAAUUGAAACUAAAAAUGUGUUAGAUACGAUCGAUGGAUUGAACAUGAUAAUAUAAAUAUCAAAUAAUGUUUAAUUAGAUUAAAUUGAACUAGAGAAUAUAUGUUUUUAUUCUAUGUUUGGUGCACACAAAAUAAGAUCAAAUAAUUUUAUUUUUAUCAUUGAGAUUUUUUCAAUCAUUUAUUUUAGUCUUUGCAUUUUAUUUUUAUGAUAUUUUAGUCCUUACUAGAAUUUCUUUAUCAUCUAGAACAAUCUAGUUCUUAAAUCAAAAAGGUUUUUGCAAUUAAACUCUUACAUGUAAAUAUUUAUUUUAAUAAAAUUGGUCAAAUUUUGGUUUUCCAAAUUAAAAAAUAAAUAAGUGAUAAAUAAAUAAUAGAUAAUAUAAAAAUUAAGAAAAAAUAAUUUUGUACAAAUUUUUUGUCCUGAGGAAAACUUUGGACAAGACAAUGACAAUGAUCAAUCCUUGUCAUGUCCAAAGUGUAUAUCAAACAUUUCAUAGCUUGCCAUGUGCAACAAAUAUAUCACAACUUGUUUUUAUUGUAUUCUAUUAUGAUCUCUUUUGUGUUUUAUAUUAUUUAAUAUAUUAAAAUAAAUUUAAUAAAUUAUACUGAAGCAAGAUCUAAUAUUAGAAAGUUAACGGAAAUAAUAAAUGUACCUUUGCCCGUCCCUUCAACAAAAUGCUGAGCUGUAUACUAAUUCUCAGAGGCAGUGAUAACUAGUUGUUCUAACUAAUCCCUAUACUUUUAAAUAUGUUUACAAUUCAGUCCCUUCAUUAAUUUUUCGUUAGUAAAAUGUUGAGCUGUCAGCAAUAUUUCCUUAGUUUGUGCCGCUAACUUGACGGUAAAAUGUGAUUAAAGGAUCAAUUAAUUAUUUAAAUCAACUUGAGGGAUUAAUCUGCAUUUGCUUAACAAAACGACAAACACUAGUUAACUCAAAUUUAAGGUAUGUUUGUUUUUAUAUUUCAAAAACGUUUUGAAAAAAUUUGAAAAUUUUUUAUUUUUUUCUUUGCUUCAAAUUAAUAUUUUUUGGUAUUUUUAGAUCAUUUUGAUAUGCUAAUAUUAAAAAUGAUUUUUUUCAAAAAACAUAUUUUAAUAUAUUUCUGAGUGAAAAACAUUUUAAAAAAUAUCUGUAACCACACUCUCAAACAAUCACAUUCCCAUACAGGUUAAUCAUCAUAUGCGUGCAUGCGUGCGUGCAAGUGGGGUUCAAUCCGGGUGCCCUAGCAUUAUAUUAUAAUACUUAUAUAUAUAAGAAACCCUGUAUGGAUUCGUACAACACUGGAAUGCAAUGAUUGAAUGAAAUAUUACAUGGACAUUGGACCUGCUGUGUAAACAUGUUUAGGAUGGAUGCGACGACAUUUCAGAGUUUUUGCUUUCAACUUGGAAACCAAUGUCAUAACCCAAUUCUGGGUUAUUCCCCAAAAAUCAUUUUUUUUUCAAAAUAAAAAUCAAAAUAAUAAUAAUAAAAGCUGGAAACGUGGAGAAGGCAAACCGGGGAAUCAAGUUGUAAUUUUGGAGGAAAUUCAAGGCCUAAUUGUACCCCAUUAUGCCAAAAAAUGGAGGAAAAAAAUGCAAAUUCAAGGUCAAAUUAAAUGACUAUUGGAUGAAUUUGCAUAAAAAUUAAGUCCAAGAACAUAAUUAAAUUUUUAAUAGGCCAAUUUGAUUUAAUCAUGGGCCAAAUUGAAUUUUAAUUAUGUUUAAGAAUUAAUUUGGGUCCAAUUGAAGGAUUUAGUUAAGUGCAAGGACUUAAUUAUACUUUAAAUGGGUAAAAUUAAUUUUAUUUGGGGCUUAAUUGGUGAAAAAUUAAGUUUGGGAGCCUAAUUUGGGCUUAAUUGAGAAGAUUGGAAUUUUAAGAGAUCAAAUUUAAUUUUUUCCAAGUUAAUUGCUUGAAAUCAGGGGCCAAAUUGCAAGAAAAUUGAAGUUUUGGGGUCAAUUAGGGGUUAAAUUGACAAAAUUUGCAGCCAAGGACCAAUAUGCAAAAAGUGCCAAACUAUAGGGCCUAUUGGCAAAAUCCAGGGUGAAAUUGAAGAAAUUGAAAGUUUAAUGGUUGAUUAGGGGUUAAAUUGCAUAAAUCCAAGACUAAAGACUUAUAUGCAAAAGGCGCGUAAAUUUGGGGUUCCAAUUGAAGUUCAGCAAGGGCGUAAUUGCAUUAAAUCAAAAGUUUAUGGUCAAUUAGGAGUUCAAUUAAAACAAAUUGAAAUCUGGAGGACUAAAUUAAAACUUAGUUAAAAUCCCUAAUUCAAACCUAAAACAACAUUGUUUUGAAUAAUAAUAAUAAAAAAAGAAUCAGACAACACGUCGUCUGGUCAUUAUUUAUUGUCUUCUUCUUUUACCCGGUUAAUCAUCAUAUGCGUGCGUGCAAGUCAGGGUUAUUGUGUUGUCUAUUCCGUGUGUAAUGUGGGGUUCAAUCCAUGUGAAUCGCACGACUUGUCCAUAUCUUUCUUAUUGAUUACAAAUAGCAUUGAGAAUUAAAGAAUAUUAUCUUAAUAAGUUCCAAUUUAUUCUACAAAAACUAUAUAUAAAGAUGUGACAAAAUCUUAAGUUCCAUUUUAUUCUACAAAAACUAUAAAGAUGUGACAAAAAGAUGCAGCUUACGGAUCAAGCCUGGUUCAGGUUUUGAUCCUGUUAAAAAUCUAUUUUGUUGAAUUGUUCAUCAACUCGUGAAUUAUUGGGUUAAAUAGAUUAAUUUUUUAAACAAAACAAUGCCAUUUUUUUUAUAUAUAAAAAAUUUGGUUCUGGCGUAUAAAUAUAAUAUUAGAAACUUAAACCUUAUUGAUUAGCAAAAACUCAAAGGGAAAUUUUGAAAUAGAUUUUUGUAAAAUCAAAUAUGAACCAAGUACUAGAAAGUUUGUUUGAAAUAACAAUUACUUUAUAGAAAGCAAAUAUAAAUAUAUUUAUUAAAUUUAAUAAAGUUUAAAAUCAGCAAGUUAAGCUACGAAACCCUGAUCAAUUUAAUAUAAUGCCGUUCAAUACAAAAAAAAAAUACAUCUUAAAAAAAAUUUAAGUUAAAUCAUGUUUCUACCUAUUAUUUAGGUUGUCUUCAGACUUAUAAAGUCGACUAGGUUAUAUUAGAAAAACUUUUAUAUAAUUAAAUUUAAAACUCGAGUUAGGAAAUUUUAAUAUUGAUUUGUUGAAUCGGAUUUAAUAACAAUACCAAAAAUCUAAAAUUUACUUUUUUAAUCAAUUUUUUUUAAUUCAACUCGUAUCAUAACACAGUAUAGUAAAAUAAAUAGAUAUAAAAUAUUUUGAUGGAUCCUCGGGAUAAGAGAUUGUUUUAGGACAUUUUGCUAAUUUCUUUUGUUAUCUAAUCAACAAGCUCAUAGUGAAUAAGUAUAUAAAUAUAUACAAUUAAAUUAAAUAACAUAUAAGAGAAAAAUGGUCGAAAGGUAAAGCUAAAGUGAUGCGACGUUGAGCCACUAGUCGAUAGUUGUAACGUCAGUUUGUUGGUUCGUCGUUCGUUUCUCGGAUUUAUUGAUCUUUAGAUUGUCUGUUUCUAGAAAAGAAAGAAAGAAAUAUUUAUAUUAUCAAUGCAAUGCAAUGCAAUGACUAAUAAGAGCUUGAAAUUAAGAGGUUUGCUUUCUCUAUAGUUUCAGGUUCGAACCCUGUGGUUGCUCAUAUGAUGGCCACUGAAGAUUUACAUGGUCGUUAACUUUAGGGCCCGUGGAAUUAGUCGAGGUGCGCAAAUUAUUAUCAUUUUAUCAAUGUAUACUACAUCUUUUUCUCAAUUGUUUGAGUUUGAAAUUAUAUCUGUGAACCCAUUAAUUUAUCUAGAAAAAAAAAAUUUAGGUAAUUGGAUCAAUCCUUGAUAUCAUAUAGAGAUAAAUUAAUUGUUUUGAUUAAAACAAUAUCAUUUUAUUUAAAAAUAAAUUUAUAAUAUUAAUUGAAUCACUAAAAACACAACUAGACCAAUCAUGUUUUAAAUAUUUUUAAAUAUUUUUAUAUUUAAUUUGAAAUUGAUUUAAAUUAAACUUUAAAUUAUGGGUUUUUCAAACUAACAUGUGUUGGGUUACGUCGAUUGAGUUAGGUAUAACAUAUCUAGAAGAAUUUAUUAAAUUUCUCUAUAAUUAGUCAAUCGAUGAGGGAAUUUAGUUUUAAUUGAUGGAGAAAUUAAUUUAAAGAUACCAUGCAAGAUAUAAAAAAAAACAUUUAAAGAUAUCAAUUAUUGUUUUCCGUUUAAUUAUAAAUAGAAUGAAGAGAGCGAUGCUCGCUGCACUUUUAUAAGCGACUAAAGUAGUUUCCAUCUUAGAUACAGUUAGAAUCUCCCAUAUCUGUCAAAAUGCCAAAAAAGCUAUUCGCAAAGAAACUCUCAAAAACUGACAUUAAUUAAAUAUAGAAUGGCAGUUCCAAUGGAAAGCCUCUACGCUUUCCAAAUCCCAGAAGGAGAACACUCUAAAGAAUUUGGUGUCACUGGCAUCCAUGGCAAGAGGUGGAGGUUCCGAUGUUGUACAAGAAAAACUGAGUUGAUCACCUUAAACCAGUCAUGUUUUCAGUUUGGAUUGAGUUCGCCAAAAAAAAGGGUUCUCAAAAAAGGUGAUGAAGUCACCUUCUCUGUGCUGGACAUGAAGGGAGCUGAGGAUCUGGAAUUGGGAAUUCAAGCUCGGAAAAGAAUCAAGCUAUUCGGCCAAGAUUUUUGGAGUAAUCCUUUGUGAAGAAGAAGAAGAAGAAGAAGAAGAAGCUACUCCUCGCAUAAGUAUAGAUUUUGUGCACCGAAGAUUGUGUCUGUGAGUAAUAGAGCUGGUUGCCUAUGUACAAUUAGUAUGCUUUGGCAGGAACUUCGUGACUGGUCCUUGGAUAGCUGAGAAAGCCAAGUCUAUGGCAACUUCAGGGGAAUCCAGGAGCAGGAAAAAAAUCAAGGUGAAAGGAUAUGAAUUUGCUAGUGCAACUGCUGCAAAGGAUCUAGGAGACAUAAAUUUGCGAACUAGAGAAGAGUUAAUUUUGAGCUCUGCAUUCUUCUUGCAUGUUCAUCUGUUUCCCGUUGUGGUUGAUCUUAGCAGUUCUCAGUAUAGUAAUUUGCAUUUCCUUCUAGAUCAGAUGAUUAAUGGAUUAUCAGGCAUGGACUGCGAUGUAGUCGGUGCUAGGGAAUCAACAAAGUUAACUCAUUGUAUUUUCAUAAAUUAAAGGGAUUUCUCUUCUUUUCUUUGUCAAUUACAGUGCAUGAUGUAUAAAAGUUUUCUUACUCAGAGUAAAUGCUAUUGUAAUGUUUUCACAGAGACUCCUCUAUUUUGCAACUAAUUCACUUAUAUAUCUUGGAAACAGAAAGGCAAUCAACGAAGAGUAAGGCAUCUUCUGAAGAAACAAAGAAAUUUAAUGCCCUAAACUAAGCAGCAGGUAGAAGGCAAAAACUGAGCUCAAAUUUUCAGUAAGGGACAAACGAAAAAAACCAAAAAGAAAGCAGAGAAAAAUACAGACUCAAAUUCACAACACCCAUUUUCUUUCCAUUGGAACACUUUAAAUAGUUUAUUAAAUUUAUAAUGAUCUGAUUUCUACGCAUAUUACAAAAUCAACUUCAUGAUCAAUUCUCUAUAAUUUCGGCAUUACUAAAAACAUCCAAACUAAUAAACUAUUAGUUAUUUUAGCCAUUUUAAUAAACAUUUUAGUUAUGAAUUCACCAAACAUUUUGAACAAUUCAUAUGGAUGAAUUAACAUGUUAAUUUUAGAUUUUUUAACUUAUUAAUUCCUUCAUGAAUUACUUCUAAAGCAUGUUAUAUAUAUCUAAGCACUUUUAUAUAAUAUAAUUCUAUCAAAUUCACUUUUACCCAAUGUAUAAUAUAAACAUCCAUAAAAAAUAACUUAUAUUGUCAAUGCAAUGAAAUGACUAAAUAACAUUUAAUUAUUAUAAUAGCUUUGUCCUCAUACCUAAGGAAGUAUACUACGUCUUUUUCUCGAUUCUUUGAGUUUGAAAUUAUAUCUUUGAACCCAUUAAUUUAUCUAAAAAAAAAUUUAGGUAAUUGGAUCAAUCCUUGAGGUCAUCAUAUCAUAGGGAUAUAAAUCAAUUAUUUUUAUUAAAAAUAAUUUUUUUUUUAAUAUUUUCAUAUUUAACUUGAAAUCGAUUCAAAUUAAAUUUUAAAUUACAGGUUUUUCAAAUUAACAUGUGUUGGGUUAGGUCUAAUAUAUCUAGAAGAAUUUAUUAAAUUUCUCUAUAAUUAGUCAAUCGAUGAGGGAAUUUAGUUUUAACUAGUUACAUGACCCGCGCGAUGCCACGGGUCAAUUUUGUUUUGCAUAAAAAAUAUCAAAAAAAGCUAAGAUCUAAAAGUGUUAGGUCUUUCUAUAAAGUUAUACCCAAAAGUCUUGGGUUUGGCUACAACGCCUGAUCCAAAAAUAAUAUUUAUAAUAUUAAUAAUAACAUUAAACUUGCAUAUAUCCACGAAUAUGUACAAUAUUUGAAACCUAUAAUGCAAGAAUAGCUGCAGAUGUACAAUAUUUUUAAUUUAAAGAAUCAAUUAAUUAUUUAAAAAACUUGAGGGAUUAAUUUGUUUGUUUUACUCAAAUUUUUAUUGUUUACUUGUAAAUAUUUUGAAAGGCACAACAUGAAAAAAUCAUAUAUGCUUAAGCAACUAUUUGGCAUCUUAAACUUAAUCUCGUAAAUUAAUCUUAAAUCCUUUUUAUUUAACUCUUUCCCAGUAUCAAGUUUAAAAUUAAUCAACAUAAAAGUUGUUUUAAUAUAACUUAGUUAAUUUAAUGGGUUCAAAAUUAAUACAUAUGACAUGAGAUCUACCAGCCAUCAUCUGGCCGGAAACGGGCCGCGAUCGUCGACUGCCACCGAAGCUUCAAGUCGUCGAUUCUCGCUCAUCAGCCAUCAACGGCCGUCAAGACCACCACCAUAAGAAUCCUCGACAUCAGAUCUACCAGGAUCGACCAUCGGUUGGCCAGAAAUCGCGCCGGAAAAUCUCCCCGCCGCCAACAGUAGCCGCGCGUGUGCCACACGCGCCGCCAGUGGCAUUUUUGUAAAUUUUGGAGAAACCCGAGGGUAUUUCAGUCUUUUACCUAUACAGUGGCACUCAGGUAAUUUUUCGGGGUUUCUACUGGUAUUUUUGAUAUUUUUUAUAUAUAAAUGCUUGUAAAUUUUCUUGCAUGUUGUAAAAAAUACAAAAACCAAAGUCGACACGUCUCUUUUUUUAAAAGGACCGAUGUCAAAAAUGUAAAUACCAAAUAUGGCAUAUGUCCAUUAUUUUUUUUUGGUGACCCAGACGUAAUUCUCCUUUUUAGGGUUGAAACGUCAUAUUUUAGACAAGUCUCCUAAUUUUUAGGGACUGAUGUCAUUUUUAACGUGUCUCCUAUUUUUAGGGACCGACGUUAACCAUUUAAAAAAACAAAUUACCAAUAAACCCAAAAUAUAAUGGAUUAUAUCCAUUAUUUCUUUUGGUAACUCAGACGAGUCUCCAAUUUUUAGGGACUGAUGUCAUUUUUAACGUGUCUCCUAUUUUUAGGGACCGACGUUAAUCAUUUACAAAAAUUUACAAAUAAGCCCAAAAUAUAAUAGCAUUUGAAUCAAAUAAAAACACACAAGUAAGGGUAACCUUUCUUUUGAAAGGAUGUUUUAAGGGUGGUGUCUACCUUCCCUUAAUCAUAACUAACCCCGUACCCGAAUCUCUGGGACCAGUGUCUAAUUUGGGAUUUCUAGUUCCCUCAAAUUACUAGAUGGCGACUCCAAUAAAAUCUUUGUUUCCCCCAAUCGAGAAAAAAACCCUUUUUGUUAAACAAACAAAAAAAGCGGGAGCCGUCGCCCGACGUCGUGUAUCGACAAAUGUCUGCAAAUCUUGUGGUCAUAUACAGGGUGCCGGUUUUCUUUCCACGAGCCAAAACCAUUGCUCCCUUUGAUACCUUCCACAUACCUCCAGAAAAAAGGAUUGAAUGACCACUAUCAUCAAGUUGUCCGACCGAGAUCAGCUUCUUCUUUAGAUCAGGAACAUGCCUUACAUUUUGCAAGGUCUAUAUAGAUCCAUUCAUUGUCUUGAUUUGUACAUCUCCUAAACCCACAAUAUCCAAUGGUUGUCCAUCGGCCAGAUAGACUACACCGUGAUCUCCAGCAAUAUAGUUUUGCAUCAUUUCAUGGUGUGGUGUACAGUGAAAUGAAGCACCAGAAUCAAGAACCCAAUCAUCAACAGGACUAUGCACAGCAAGAAUCAAAGCAUCUUGCACCUCAUUUGUGGUAGCGUUUGCAGAGUCAGCUUCAGGUUUUUUCGGUUUUGUGCAAUUCCUCAUGAAAUGACCGGGUUUGCCACAAUUCCAACAUUCAACCUGUUUUCUGGGUCCAAACUUGCUUUUACUUCUAUAUCUUGAUUUUGAUCUGCCUCUGGAUAAGCCUCUAUCAUGUCUCCUCCCUCGAGUGUUGAUGUUGAGAGCUGAUCCUGAGCUUGAACUUUCACCCGAGUCUUUCCUUCGCACUUCUUCAGCCAAAAUCAAGUCUCGAAUGUCAUCAUACUUCAGUUUGGAUUUUCCAGCUGAAUUGCUCACGGCUGUCCUCAUGCCUUCCCAACUGCUUGGAAGUGAAGCUAGCAAGAUGAGUGCACGAAUCUCAUCAUCAAACUCAAUCUCAACAGAUGAUAAUUGAUUUGUGAUGGUAUUAAAGUUAUUGAGGUGUUGUGUCACAGAAGUGUUUUCGACCAUCUUCAAGUUGAACAACUUUUUCAUCAGGUGCACUUUAUUAUUUGCUGAUGGCUUCUCAUACAUCCCAGACAAGGCUUCCAUCAAUCUUGCAGUGGAUCUUUCUUUCGUAACAUUGUGAGCAACUCUUCUUGAUAAGGAUAACCGGACAAUGCCCAGAACUUGUCUAUCAAGAAGUAGCCAAUCUUCUUCUUGCAUAUUUUCUGGUUUGCUCCCCAACAAGGGAAGAUGAAGUUUCUUCCCAUAUAGAUAAUCCUCAAUUUGCAUUUUCCAGUAUCCAAAAUCUGUCCCGUCAAAUUUUUCAAUUCCAGCUGCUUUUAUUUCAUCUGCCAUUUUUACUGCUUCUCCGAUUCGAAUUUCCCAAAUCUGACCUUACAGAUGUGUCCGGAACAGCCGAAAACCUUGGAAAUGACACUGAGAUAACCCCAAUCGGACUUCGGAUGGCUCAGAUUUUAGCAAUCAAAGUUUUGGAUUAACGGACGGUGCAGAUGCAGCCGCGUGUCAACCAGAGUACCGCCUGCGUCGCACCGGAUCAAAACCUCAGUAGCGGUUCUGAUGAAGCCACGUGUCAGCAGAUUAGGUCCUGCGUCACACCGUAUCAAAACUCAGUAACGGUUAUGAUGAAGCCACGUGUCAGCAGAUGAUGGCCUGAGUCACACUGGAUCAAUACUCAAUAGUGGUCCUGAUUUAACCACGUGUCAACUGAUUGGAUCUUGCGUCGUACUGGAUCAAAACCCCUCAACGGUUGUGAUGUAGCCACGUGUCAGAAUAUCAGCUUCUGCGACACAUCGGAACAAAACUCAGAGAUGACGUGGCAGGUGACGUGGCAGGUGACGCGGACGGUGACCGUACGGCUGUGCUGACGUGGCGGGUCAGCCCGACCCGUUUUGCAGAAGUCGGGCGAAGAUGGAGCGUGGCGCGCGUACGGCGCGUUGGUGCGCGUGGGCAGUCUGGGCGUCGGCGCGUGUUGGCGCGUGCGGGCAUGCAGGACGUCGGUUCUUCGCCGGGUUUUCAACAGUGGAUUCGUCCGGUUGUCCUCUACACGAUGGUAUGUUCAAAAACACGUUUUGAGAACUUUGAUUUUUGAGUUUGGAUCAAACACCCUCUUUGUCAAGAACAAGCUCUGAUACCAGUUGUUGGGUAAUUCCAGAACUCAAACACACAUCAAUUUACGUGGUUCGGCAACUUGCCUACUCCACGGAGCUACUGGUUUGUAUUAAUCAAGCUUAGAAACAAUACAAACAACAAAACAAGGAGGAGGAGAAAAUCUUCUCUACUCAACUCAAGCUCUCUCUCUCUCACGUUUUUCUCUCUGUGUUUUCACUCUUCUCUGUGUUCUUCACGCUUCAACCCUCCAGCUCUUCACUGAGCAUACAUAUAUAUUAAGCUAGGAGUGAAGGGCAUAAAUCAUGCCAUGAUUUAUGCCCACCGUUUGCCUCCACUUGUGCUAAGUGGAGAUUAGGUAUUCCCACUAAGCACAUAGUGGAGGUGGGACAUUGCUUGUCUCCAAAUAGCUAACAUAACUGAGGUGGGGUCGCCCUUGAAACAUUGGUAGAUGUAAGUGUUGCUCACAUGCAUAGAAUAUUUUUUUUCUACUUAGUAGUGGUUUUGGCAAUUUUUUUCAGACAAGUCUUGAGAGUUGAAAGAGUAAUCACACCCGAGUCAACCAACAAUCCAAAUCAGCUCCCUUCCUAAUGGUUCAGGAAUGAGAAGUCCAGCUUAUAUAUUUGAUAUAGAGACGGUACACUACAAAUUAAGCACCCAAUAACUAGACAAACAAUCAUGAUAAACUAGGAACAAUUGUCUUCCCAGUAACAAAUUCACCUUCUCACGUUGGAGAACUUGCGAAAACUAGCCACCACAAAAUAGUAGCAAGUAUUUAUGCAGUCUUCGAUGAAGUACGACCACCUGCGUCGCCAAUAUGGAUUGAUGUAAAGAACUGCUGCAAUCGUCAUUACCACAACUGUGUAACAUACACCGAAGCUGAUGUAGAAAAACUCCAUGUCUAUGAAACCAUCAUCUCCUUGUUCAUCAUUAGGCACUGGCUGUAACGGCACUGCUUCCUCACUACAAUUGUUUCGCAAUGGAGGUCCACACAAGAAAGGAUUUCCUUCGUAACAGUUUUCAUCAUCAAAGGUCCCAAAUUGAUAUUUUCUCUCGGGUGUCCUACCUGACAAGUUAUUGUACGCCACACUAAAAACUUCCAGUGUGGUAAUUUCAGUAAGUUGUGGAGGGAUGGCACCAUUCAAGUUGUUGUAAGAAAGAUCCAAACUCUCAAUCUGCUUUAGGUUUGAGAAUGUUGCAGGGAUAGAUCCAGUGAGAUUGUUGUGUGAUAAGUUUAAUGACAGUAUCUUACUCAAGUUUCCAAAUUCUGGUGGGAUUGCUCCUACAAAGUUGUUAUUGGAGAGAUCAAUACCAUACAUGUAGCUCAGAACUUUCCCCUUGUAACCAUAAUACAUAUUUUUAGUUGUAAAUUCUAUCACUUCUUCUGUAAAGUUAACCCAAAAAUCCUUUCCCAAGUUGUACAUACUAUCCCCUAGUGGUGGACCCAUUGUUUCAUAAUAAGCUUUUUCUAUGGACCAUGACGGAAAACCAUAUCCGAGAUCCGCGAGCGUUUUCUGGGAACUUUCCUUGAGAGUUAGAUUGCCCAAACAUGAGGGUAGUGGACCAGAGAGCUGGUUUUGUGAAACAUCCAAAAUACUUAAUUGUUCUAACAAGCAUAACUGAACAGCGAGCUCACCAUCAAAGUUAUUAGCCCUCAGAAGAAGAACACUCAAUGAUGAAAGAUUGCCAAUCCAAUUUGGAAUAGAGCCAAUGAAGCUGUUGUCUCGAAGAUCCAUCGUAACUAGGGAAGAGCUGUUAUAAAAACCAUAUGUUAAUGGACCGCUCAAUCUAUUUUUGGAUAGAUGAAUAUGGGUUAUUUGUGGUGGAUUGAAACAAGAUGGCAUAUAUCCAGACAAGUAGUUAUCAGAAAGGUCCAAAAAUUCAAGCCGGUCAAGCUUACAAAAGUCUCUUGGGAUUGGACCCUUAAAAAGGUUUUUGGACAAAUCAAGUACUUCAUCGUACGUAAAAUUAAAAAAGCUUCUUGGAAGCAUGCCUGAAAAUUGAUUGUUACUCAAAUCCAAUACACUCCAUACUUUCCACCCAUAUAAUGGAAAAUCUGAUAUCUGACCCCAAAAGUAGUUACCACCUAGGUAGAGAUAUUGUGAGAUAGAAGAAUUGAACACCGAGGUCGGUAUUUGCCCACCCAAACUAUUGUUUGACAGCUUGAGAACCUGUAUUGUUGUUAAUUGUUCUAGUUUUACUGUAGACAAUUGAUUGUUGGAUAAAUCUAAAAAUGAAAGAGAGCUAAAAUUUCCUAAACAAGAAGGAAUAUAACCUGUGAAUCCAUUGUCAGCCAUCCUUAAGAUCCACAGAUUUGGAAAGAUCAAACAAAUAUCUUUUGGAAUUUGACCAUUUAUGUUGUUGUUGGAUAUAUCUAAUUCGGUCAUAUUCGGAUAUGGGUGAUCUAGCAAUUGCAAAGUACCAACAAAGGAGUUCUCGCUCAGAUAUAGUUGCUCCAUUCGUGUAUUGUUCUUAAGCAACCAUGAUGGAAACAUUCCGAAGAUGUUGUUGUGGGAGAGAUCAAGGGUUCUUAAGUCGUAUUGGUAAUAGAGGAAGUCGAGAAUUUCUACAUUGAGUGCUUCCGAUGUUGGACUACUUGACAAGCGGAAAAAGACUAGUUGGAACUUUGGAAUCAAAUUAUCAAAGGCAGCAGAUUCCGUUACUAGUCUGUUGUUCUCACUGGAGAAGAACUUGAGGCUUGAGUGGUUCAUAAAAGGCUUCAUUGAAAUGGGAACUUCAAAGAGGUUAUUUGAUAGUGAGAGGAAUUCAAGGGAUAUGAGCUUGGUAAGAGGACCAAAUGCAAUAUUUCCAGUAAACUGGUUAUCAGAAACAUCUAAUAGUUGUAGAGAUGACAAGUUCCCCAAACAAUCUGGGAGUGCACCUCCAAAAUUAUUUCUAGCGAGAUCUAACUGCUUCAGAUUCUUCAAUUCACACCAACCUAUACAAUUUAUCUUGAAACAAUCAAAACAAUGUUGAAAGAAUCUUUUAUUGAUGAUGUAAUUAUAGGCGGAUGGAGAGUUGUUAAUUUACCUUGAGCGGGUAGGGUGCCAUGGAGGUCACAUUCAGCAACAGACAAAACUUUAAGAGCAGGCAAUGCUCCAGUGUUCUGGAGAAAGUUUAUUGGGAGAGAAGUAUUAUCUAGAUGCAAUUCUUCAAGGGUGCUAGAAUUGAAGAAAGUCCCUGUGAAAAAGAAAGAAGAAGAGAUAUGAUGAAAAUAGUGGUGGUACAGAAUAGCCAUUCCAUUCAAUAUUAUUAAUUAAGAUUUUAAGAAACUAAACUAUGAUUAACCUUGACUUAAAUUAGUAUCCUUGAGAGAAAGGGUCUUCAGCGAUGGCCAUGAACGCAAUGACUGCAGGAUGUCCAGAUUCCUUAAACCUAUGAUAUUUGGAUAGAAACAACAAAUUGCUUGAAGAAUCUAGAGAUUUCAAAAGGUAUUGUUAAGAAAUGAAGUAAAUAAUAGAAGAUGCCAAGAGAUAUUCAUAACUUUACCAUUGAUAGUCGUCGAUCCUAGCAACAUAUUGCCUGAUAAAUUUAAAGACUUGAGAUGAGAAAGUCCACGCAGAUGUGAUAAAAUGCUGUCAUUGAAUAUAUUAUUAUGGCUCAGGUCCAGGUUCUCGAGUUUCCCCAAAUGUGAUGAUAUGAUCUCAAAACCUGCAAGAGUAAGUCGUUAAAGUCGUUAUAUAAAAUAUAAUUCUAAUUUUGAUCUUAUUGGAAAUAUUACGAAACAAUUUUUAAAUAUCAUUCUAGUUUCGAUCUUAUUGGAGAAAAAAAAACAAUUUAUGGAUAUAAAGUCGAUAAAGAUGGAAGCUAAGUUAUGGAUAGACUUACAAAACAAGAUAAAGAAACUUAUAAUUAAGAUCUCAUCGGUAAUUAAAACAAGAAUAAUAAUCGAUCCUAGAUAGCAACAUAUUGUCCAAAUAUUUCACCAUAAAAUCACCCAUCACCAUUCACCACGACCAUAAGGCAAAAUCCUCCACCACAUAAUAAUAUUUUGAUUAAAAAAAGGUCCAAAAUAAUAUAAAACCAUGAUUAAAAAGGAGAGGAAAUAAUAAAUGGCUACAAACAAGAAUUAAAUAUCAUAUAUGUGGGUUUUAUGUUGUUCUCUUUAUUGAUAAAACAGUCGAGAGUUUUUCUAAUAGAGAAAUUGGCUGUCGAGAGUGAUUUGUAUUGGAUAGUUUUUUUGAUAGUUUUUAUUAAAUAGAUAUAAAGUCCUCAUUUUUGUUGAUAAAGAAACAAUAUAAUUAAGAGAAUGUCAUGUGAAGCAUUUAGGUAGGUAGAAACUGUGUAUUAUACCUGAUCCUGUCAGCUGAUUGCCUGACAGAUACAAAGAUUUUAGGGAUGAAAACCCAGUUAGAGAUGGAAAAAUGCUAUCGUUGCAUUGAAUCUCACUUAGAUGAAGGUUCUCCAGCUUUUUCAACCUUGAUGACAAGUCUUUGAGACCUGCAUGAUGUUCCUCAAUAGCAUAUUGGAAGGAAAUAAACGCAUAGAAAAAAAAUGAUAUGAGAAGGAGAAAAGAAAAGGUUUCAAAGCUAAAUAAUUAAAAGGUUACCAUAGAAGCUACCUCCUAAUCCAGCUGUCAACCCAUCGGUAAUUAAAACAAGAAUAAUAAUCGUUAAAUAUCAUUCUAAUAAUAAUCCAUGGCAAGUUCAAAUCCGUUGGUAACUGAAUUCCUCUAUCUAUUUAGUUAGUAAGAUGCUUAGUUGUCACUAAUUUAGUAAUUAUAAUUUGUUCCUCUGUUUUCUAGCAACUACUUUCCCAAUUUUAUCCAUUCACCACGACCGUAAGGCAAUAUCCUCCACCACAGAAUAAUAUUUUGAUUAAAAAAAGGUACAAAACCCAUUAUUAAAAAGAGAGGAAAUAAUAAAUGGCUACAAACCGAAAACCGGUCCAAUAUGUGGGUUUUAUUUAAAAAGAUAAAUAUAAAAUAUAUAUUUAUAGGAGAGUUUUGAAGUGAACUUCUGAUUACUAAUUUAAUCUAAAUAUUACAACACUUUUGGCAUAAAAGGGCUAAAAUAAGAAUAAAAUAUAUGCCUCUUGGACCUAAUUCCAAGUGCCUCUUUUCUUGAUAUAAAGUCCUCAUUUUUGUUGAUAAAGAAACAAUAUAAUUAAGAGAAUGUCAUGUUAAGCAUUUAGGUAGAAACUGUGUAUUAUACCUGAUCCUGUCAGCUGAUUGCCUGACAGAUACAAAGACUUGAGGGAUGAAAAUCCAGUUAGAGAUGGAAAAAUGCUAUCGUUGUAUUGAUUCUCUCUUAGAAGAAGGUUCUCCAGCUUUUUCAACCUUGAUGACAAGACUUUGAGACCUGCAUGAUGUUCCUCAAUAGCAUAGAAAUGAUAUGAGAAGGAGAAAAGAAAAGGUUUCGAAGCUAAAUAAUUAAAAGGUUACCACAGAAGCUACCUCCUGAUCCAGCUGUCAACCCAUUGAAUGAUAGAUCCAAAGACUUGAGAGUGGAAAGGUUACCAUUGAAACAUGACAAAAUGCUUUUAUCAUUAGUAAAUUUGUUAACACGUAGGUCAAGAUUGCUCAGUUUUGAUGAUAGGACUUCGAAGCCUGGGAAGAGAAUCAUCAAAGCAAGAUAAUUGACAUUAAACACCAACCAACCAACCUUCAUUUAUUUUAUGAUUAUAAUUAAGUGCAGAAACAUUGAACUAACCUUCAUUCUCCAUGCAACCAACCAAUCCAGUACCUCCCAAAUCAAGACCUCGCAAUUCUUUGAAAGGCUGAAACAAAGAUGCGUUGAGAACCCAAUCGCCCAAGUGGAAAUCCCUUGCCCCCCAAAGAGAGAGUUGGAUCACUCGCCUUGUAGUGUUAUCACACUCGAUCCCACGCCACUCACAACAAUUACUAUUGGUGUCCACCCAAUGAUCUCUCCAGGAAACGCCAUGUGGGUUGAUCAAAGAUUGGAUCUCCAAGAGACCAAUCCUCUCCUCCUCCAAACACCCAUAACAACGACCAUGCCAUUCGCCAACCAAAGUGAAUAAUGCUAGCAACAUCCAAGCCCCAAUUCUUUUCAUCAUCAUCUUAGAUAAUUCUAUGAACUGCUACGUAGAAUAUUGUUGUUUGUUAUGUGCCUUUGGGCAACCAUAGAGGUCCUAUUUAUACUACACUCUGGCCAUUUCCAUGACUUUGAGAUGUUUUCUUUAUUUCAUUUCUUUUUGGAAUAUUUUUGGAUUUGAAUAUUAUUCUAUUUUAUUGUCUAGCACUUAGUCUAUUUGCCAGGUUGGGAAAAAUAUUCAAAUUAGUUUUGUUGGCAUGUAAACCUCACCAAAUAAUUUGCGUAGACCGUAUUGACUGGGAGUCAAUUAUUGUCGUAGUGCUUUUAUGCACGAUCUGUGUGCGUGAACGGAAAGAAAAGCAGGGUGUGAAAAGCAUUAAAGGUUGUGAACGCGGAUGCUUGACUUGCUGUGUACCAUUUUGAUUUUUAAACACGGCCAUGCAGUCAUUUCCUGGCGAUUUCCUUAUGCAUACUGGUGGUCUUUCAUAAUCUUUUUCCAAACAAUCCUCGUUAGGCCGGCUCGGGGGUUAACUUAGAGUAAGGCAUCGUUUGACAUUGCGUUUGUAACUGCGUUUUAUUAAAUUUUGAAUUUUUUAUUUUUGCUAAAAUUAAGUGUAGCUUGUACUUUUUGGAUCUUUUUGAUGUGCUGAUGUUAAAAAUAAUUUUUAAAAAAUAAAAAAAUAUCAUUAGCAUGUAUUUCGGCACGAAAAGCUAUUUGAAAAGUACCCGCAACCACACUGCCAAACACGCUCUAAGAUUUGUAUCAUCGUUUUUUAUCAGAUUCAAGAUCAACUUGGAUCAAUCUUAAUUUUAUGCUAUUGUUUUUUAUAUAUAAACAUAAAUAAAAAUCCAGAUCUCUUUUAUAAUCUUAAAGGUAGUAUAUUAAUAGUAGAACCAUUAUCUAUCCAGAUACAAUUCAUCAUCUUUUCAUCGACAUAUCUUUUAAUUAAGAAAAGCUGUUUAUAGAGUUUUAAUCUAAGCAAUAGGUUUUCAUCGUUAAAGGAUACCUAUGUGGUGCUAAGUUCUUCUAAAGUUGGAGAACUUAUGAAAAUUAAUGCAAGGCUUCAACACUCCGAAGCCUGCAAGAGAAAUAUCAAAGCAAAAUAAGUAGCGUUAAACAGCAGCCAUUUCUUCAUUUUUAAUUUUAGUAUAACACAAUAAUAUGAACCAACCUUGAUUCUCAAAGGCACCCAACUAAUUCAUUAGCCUUCAAAUCAAGACUUUGCAAUUCCUUAAAAGGCAGAAACAAAGAUGCGUUGAGAACCCAAUCGCCCAAGCGGAAAUCCCCAGUACCCCUAAGAGAGAGCCGGAUCACUCGUCUUUCGGUGGUAUCACACACGAUCCUAGACCACACACAACAAUUACUGCCCAGGUAUUUCGACAGUUAUGGCUUGUGUGGGUUUUGGUUCACGAUGGAGAUGAUGGAUACAAUGAUGUAUUUCGACAACAAAAUUUUCAGUUCUUGUGAAUGGCUCUCCAACUAAAGAGUUCUUUAUGGAAAAGCGAUUGCGACAAGGGGACUCUUUAUCAACAUCUCUAUUCAACAUAGCAACUGAGGGUCUUGGUAGAAUGCUAAAAUUAAAAGGAGAUGUGAUUUGGGACUUAUAAAAGGUAUUUGUUUUGAUCACUUUCAAGUUUGUAGAUGAUACACUCAUCUUCAGUUCAUAUGAUUAUCCAUCUCUUCAAAAGAUCAAAAGAACUAUGUGAUGUUUUGAGUUGAUUCCUAGGCUGAAGGUUAAUUUCCACAAGAGCUCAAUCACUAGAACUAGAACUAGAAUUGAUGAUGUUGUUAUUUCUUCAACUGCUAGCAAUCUAAUAUGUAGGAUGGAGGGGAUGCCAUUUAAGUAUUUGGGUCUGCCUAUUUAUGCAUCUUCAUCUCAUACAUCCGUUUGGAAAACUAUUGCUUGAUUAACUCAAUUAUAAAUAACCUUUCUUUAUUUCCUAUCCCAUCCACUGUUGCUACCAAAAUUGAGAAACAUAUCAUAUCUUUCUUUGGUUCUCAGGAGGAAGGAGGGAAAAAACUAUGCAAUGUUAAAUGGGCAUCAGUGGUUCCUCCAAAAAAACAAAAAAGGUGGGUAUAGACUGCAUUAUUGAUAAAAAUAAAGCCUUGUUUUUCAAAUGGCUAUGGAGGUUUGGGAGGUCUAAUACAAGACUAUGAAAAGAUGUUAUCUACAACAUCCACAACCAAAAAGCGUAUUUGAACAUGCCUUUAGUUUGUGUUAAUUUAAAGGGUAGUACAUGGUCCAGGAAUGUCGUUACUUUUUAUAAGAACGAGGGACUUCAAAAUAUUGCCAAGAAAGAAGUUUGUGGUUUGGUUGGCAAUGGUAGAGAUAUUAACUUAUGGAAUGAUGUCUGGCUGAUAGAUUCUUGUCUUGCAGUUCAAUUUCCUAGACUUUAUAGUCCACCUGAAGAUCAUGUCUCCCCUGUAGCUACUGCAGCAGUAAAAGCUUCUAUCCAACCAGCCAGUGUGAGGCCUUCCCCUGUUGCUAGCAAUGUAGCUUCUUCAAGUAGCUAAAGUUCUGCUUCAAUAAAUGCCACGACAUCAGCAAUAACUGGUGCUACAACAAUGAGCUUCAACUACCCAAACUUCCCUGGCAAAAUUGCAGAAUGGUGCGUACGAGAUUCUAAUCCCUGAACAUGUUGGGGGCCACGAUAGCCUACAGAGGAACCCAUCCUCAGGCUAUGCCUUUCUUCAAUGGAUCAAUUCUAUUCUUCUUGAAUGUUUCAUCCUUCAUAGCUUCAGCGACAGCAACAACCAUUCAUACAGACACAACAAAGCCAACAGGGUCAUCAAAAUCCAAGUAUUUCUAGUGGCUCCUCGUCAUCCCAGAAGCAUUUGCUGAAUUAGGUGGAAUCAGCAGCGGUCAUCAAGAUCCAACCAUUUACAGAAUCAUCAGCAGAAUCAUUCCCUGCCGAACUAGCAGCGGCAGCUGAUGCAAAAUCAGAAUGUUACUCACAAACACCUCCUCCUUUUGCAAUGUCAUUUGCUCCAUCAACGGAACCACAACUUCCCCAGGUCUUGAUGUUUCAUUGCUGGUACAGAAUCAUGCUCUUCUCCAAAGCCCUCCAGAGGCAGCAAGUCAUGGCUAUCACUUCAUCACUGCGGCCCAAGCAACACAGCAGACGAAUUACCGUGUGCCUGAAGAAGGGAAAAAUGGAGGAAAUGACACUUCAAAUAUGGAAGGAGAGAGAAAGGCCGAUAUGGUUGGAGGACAGACCCCAUUAACUGGUGGGCAGUCAAUUGUGUUCUCUCGGCUAGAUUUUGUGUUCUCUCGGCUAGAUUUAACAGACUCCUCUGUUUCAACAAUGCCUGUGAACAAUGUUGUUGAUAGCUCAGCCCGAACUCUUAACCUUGGGUCCACUCUUGCUCGGACCUCAAGCCCUGUUAUGUCAGCUACUAUUGGCAGUGUAAAUGCACCAAGUAUACAACAACAGAUGCAGUGGAAUCAGCAGCAGCAGCAACGAAGUCAGCAAAUCCUUCAACUUCAGAAGCGUCAACAAUUUGCAGCUGCAGCUUCCACUCGAAGUGAAACACCAACAACUAGUAAUGGAAGUGUUUAUUCGGACCACAUCUCAUCAUCAUCAUCUAUGGGCACCAAGUUACCUAAUGCACUUUUGCAUUUCCUCAAAAUCUUGUUCAAAGCGGCAGUAGCAGCAGCAGUUAACAAAGCAUGCACUGCAACAGGCUCAACUAAUCUACGCUAAUGCUUUUAUGCAAGCUCAAGCUCAAGCUCAAGCUCAACAUGUGGCAAAUUCAACAAGCUUUGCAUCAACAGCUAGUGGGUUUCAUCUGCAAAGACAUCGCAAUGAGCAGCAACCGCAAUGCAUCGGCAACCUCUUCUACAAGGAUGUUGUUGUUAUGUCAUCCGAUCAUGUAAAUUUUUGUGACUCCCAACCUCCUAGCAACCACGAGAGGAUGUUUCCAGUUUUUUUUUUCAACAGCUAAUGCUUAGAUAACAAAAAUAGAGGAAUAACUGAUAGAGCUCCAGCAUUCGAGCAGAGUUUAAUAAAAAAAUAUAAAGUAAGGUUAGAUGCGUGAGCCUUGUUUUGUAAAUUUUUAUUUGAAUUUUAAUAAUUGUUUUUAAUUGUUAUGUAUAUGAAUAAAAAUUUGUUCAUGAAAUUUCAAUUUAAAUCACUUUUUUAAUCUUAGAAUUUUAAAAUAUAUUUUGAGCAUGAUUUUAUUAUAUUUAUGAUUUAUUUUAACUUUCAAUCACACAUAAAAAUAUAAACAUACUAUUUUGAUUUUUUUUUAAUUUGUUCUGACAAUUAUAGAAUAUUCUUUUAAUAUAAAAAAUGAUUCUAGUUAAGAAAAAAACUUGUAUAUUCACCAAGAUAAAACAAGAAAUAUGCUAAUAAAAUUUUUUAUCUUGAUAGAGAAAAAUUCAAAACGACUGUAUUUUCAAGUUUAAUAACAAUGUCAAGGAGUCCCUUAGACUGGGAUAUUUUGUUUUACAUUUAAAGUUUUUUUGAUCUCCAUAGCAUAGCACUAGCAUACAAACUUGUAUAUUUUUAAGGCAGCGUUUAGUUACUAUCCGAGACAGUAGAGACAGAGACAAUGGAGACAGAGGAGACAAUACAUAAAAGAAGAUGGAGAUAGAAUUGUGUUCACUAAUAAUAUAUAAGACAAAGUGAUUGUUUUUGUAUCAUAUUUGAUUAUGAUAGACAAGAAAGAAUAAAAUAUAAAAAAAAUAUUUUACCUUUAAUAUGUAUUGUUGUCAAACUUACAUGUUUUAAAAAAUAAUUAGUUUUAUUUUUUUACUUUAGUUUUAUAUUGAGUAUUGAAAUUAUUAAUAUUAUAAUAACCCUAGUAUUAAAACCAGGAUUAACUUGACAGGUUGACCCGAGGCCUAUACUGGUCUAAGUUUCAGAAAAAUAGAAGAAUGAUUAACUCGACCUAACCUAGUAAAAAACAUGAGUCAACUUAAGAUAAAACACGGGUCAAAACCCAUUAAAUAUUUUGAAAAAGAAAAUUGUUCAAAACAAGGUUUCUUUGACUAUUUGUUUUUAAAAAAAAUUAGGUCGAUCGGGUUAACCUUCUCUUGGAUUAACUCCUGAGUUGAGUUUUAAAACUAUGAUAAUAAUCAUUUUUAUCCAUACAUUAACUCAGGUCAAUCUGUGUUGACCCUCUCGACCCAUGACCUAGGCCUUGCUUCUGUCGACUCCCGAGUCGGAUUUUAAAAUUAUAAUAAUAAUAAUUUUUAUCCUUACAUUAAUUUGGGUCAACUCUCUUAAUUCGUAACCCAAGCAUUGCCCCAAGUUGACUAUCGAAUUAAAUUUUAAAACUAUGAUAAUAACCAUCUUUAUUUUAUGUUGACUCGGGUCAAUCUAGAUUAACUCAUCUAACACAUGACCCAAGUUUUAUCCCGAGUCGAUCCCUGAUUUGGGUUUUAAAACUAUGAUACUAAUUAUUUUUAUCAUUACAUUAACCUAAGUCAAUGAUCAACCCCACUCGUUACCCAAGAAUUGCCCAGGUCGACCCCCAAAUCGAGUUUUAAAAUAUGAUAAUAACUAUUUUUAUUCUUCUACUGACACAGGUCAACUCGACUCAUGACUCAAGCCUCAACCAGUGACCCAGAAUUUGCCCCGGAUCGACCCCCAAGUUGAAUUUUAAAACCAUGAAAAUAAUCAUUUUUACAUUUAUAUGUCUUAGUUGGACAAUUUGAAAUUGAGAGUUUUUUUAUAAAAAUAUUUUAGGAAUAAAAAAUAAUAAAUAUUAUCUCUAGAGACAUGUCUCCUCUAUACCUUACGUUUUGGAAGCACAAAAAUUCACUCCAAAAUUAUUCUAGAAACAAAUUUAUUUUUAUGUAUUUGUCUUUGUCUCUUCAACCAAAUAUAUUUAUAUCUUUAUUGUUUUUAUCCUUUCUAUUAUAGGACAAUGACCAAACAUUACCUAAAGGAUAUACAACUGACAAGGAUGAACUUGGCUUUAUUUCAUCUUUGAUAAUUUCUUCUCGAUGAUAUCUCACCGAUUUGUGGAGGCAAUUGAUCAAAACCUAGUUGAUUCAAAGGUUGACUUUGAAAAAAUAUAUUCAUAGAGUAAUGUUUGAAUCUUGGUGUUUUUUAUUGGCUCAAAAAAAUUACCAACUCACCAAAACCUGUAUGAAACAUUUAGAUUUAAUAUUAUAUGUAUAAUUUAUUAUAAUAAUUGAUAUACUAUUCAACUCAGUAACUUAGUAGGAUGACCUAUAACCUGCUGAUCUAAGAUUUUAGCCGAAUCAAGCUUUAAGCUAGAUAUAAUGACUAUGAUUUUAUAAAAUUACUAUGAACUUCCCUUUUAUGUCUUCUUAUUUACUCAUUUGAUAUUUUUUUUUAUGAAGUUAAGAUGUUCACAUUUAUAUCAUGAUUAAACUCUAGGGUAACAUUUAGUUAUUAUCUUGGGAUAAAAAGAAUAAAGAUAGUAAAGACAAAAAUAUGUUUGGUUGAAAAGAUAUAGAUAUAAAAAUAAUUUUUUUCAUGGGAUAAUUUUAGAGUGAAUUUAUAUAUUUUCAUAACAGAAAAUACAAAUAAGACAUAUCUUCAUAAACAAUAUUAUUUUUUAUUCCUAAAAUAUCAUUGUAAAAAACUUUCAAUUCCAAAAUUGUCCAAUUAAGAUAUGUAAAAAUAAAAAUAGUUAUUAUCGUAGUCUUAAAACCCAACUUGGGGGUUGACUUGUAGAAAGAUAUGUGAUCUUUGUUGACCCAAGUCAAGGUAAAAAUAAAAAUAGCUAUUAUCAUAGUUGUAAAAUCUAACUUGAGGGUCGACCUGGGACAAGGCACGGGUCAUUGUUUGGGUUGACCAUUGACCCAAGUCAACAAAAAAAUAAAAGUGGUUAUUAUUGUAAUUUUAAAACUUAACUUGGAGGUCGACUCAAGGCAAGGCCCGGGUCAUGGGUCAGGAGGGUUAACUCUGGUGGAACCGGGUUAAUGUAAGGAUAAAAGUGGUUAUUACAAUAGUUUUAAAACUCGACUUAGAGAUCGACCUGAGGUAAGCUCAGGUCUUGGGCUAGGAGGGUUAAUGCAUGGAUAAAAAUAAUUAUUAUCAUAAUUUGAAAACUUGAUUCAAGAGUCGACCCGAGACAAAGCCUAGGUUAUGGGUUGGGAGGGUCAACCCGAGUUGACCCAAUUUUUUUUUAAAAAAAAAGAAUCAACACAACCUUGUUUUGACCAAUUUUUUUUAAAAAUAACAGGUUUUGCCCCGUGUUUUAUCCCGAGUCGACCCGUGUUUUAUCCCGAAUCAACUCGGUUUUUUAACUCACCUAUCUUUUCUUAAACUUAAAAUUAAUCCGGGCUUAGAGACAACUAGAUCCCGAAUAGAUUCACUAGGUCAGUCUAGGUUAUAUAACUAGGAUUAUUAUAAUAUUAUUAAUUUCAACACUUAAUAUAAACUAAAGUAAAAAAAAGUUCUAAUUAUUUGUAUAAAUAUGUAAGUUUACCAAUAAUACAUAUUAAAGGUAAAAUAAUUUUUUUAUAUAUUUUUUUUAUCAUUAUCAAAUAAGAUAUAGAGACAGUUACCGCCAAACAUAAUUUUAUUUUCAUCUCCUUUUCUAUCUUUUUUUUCUUUAUUUUCAUGGUCUUCUUUUUUAUUCAUAACAGUAACCAAAUAUUGGCUAGUUAUAACAUAUAGAAACAUACAAGUUGUCAUGUUCAAGCCGUUCUCUUAUCAUUUUAAAUAAAUUGAAACACAAUUGCGAGGAGAAGAGUGUGUUUUGUAUUGUGUUAGCUUUUGUGGUUGUGGUUUGAAAAUUGUUGUUUUAUAAAAAAUACUUUUAGUUGAGGUUGGUUUGAUAUUUAUAUAUGUUUAGUUAAAAUUGUGGUUGAAAUUGAGGUUGAACAAAAAGUAAUUUAAUGUGUUUGGUUAAGAAUGCUUUUCAAAUCGAGGUUAUAAAAUAAUUAAAAAAGAUAUAUAUUAAUAUUGAUAGUUUUUAAUUUAAAUAUUGUAGAUUUAACUACUGCUAUUACAUCAUGAAAUAAAUAAUACUUUAUAUAAAAUAUUUUUUUAUUGUUCCAUUAAACUAUCUACAAUUCCAUCACAUACGAAAUUCAUUCGACAAGGACUACAGUUUUCUUGGUUUCUUAAGCGCACAACAAUAUCAAGUAAAAUAUAAUCAGGAACAAAAUUAGGAUUGCGAUCAAAUUCUGCAAAUGCUAUGUCAUCAAGCAAUCUCCUUAUAAUUUAUGUAGUGUUAUUGAAUAAUGCUAAACACUAGUUUUUCAAAUAAAACAUAAUUAAAAAUAAAAAAAAAUUGAUUUUUUUUUAUUUUACUGGGUCAGACCCGGUUCAAUGCAUUUAGCUUUGAAUCGGACCCAGUCCGGCCAGAAUAGUAGAGACAUUCUAAGCAACUUCAAGUGAGUCUCGUAAACAGUAAAUAACGUACCAAACAAUUAUUUUUAGUAAAGCAGAAGCAACCGAAGAAGAAGAAGAAGACAUGUGAUUACGGUGCCAUGCAGCAUUUUGACAUUAUGAGUAUUUUGAUGUAUAUCCAUUAAUUUAUAAUAUACAAGUAUAUUUCCAUGUUUCUUUUAUUUUGAUAGAACAUUUUUCCAAUAGAAUUUGUUUUUAUUGGAAUUCCAUAUUGAAUGGAUGUCAAUUGAAACUAAAAAUGUGUUAGAUAAGAGCAUACUAAUAUAAAUACCAAAUAAUGUUUAAUUAGAUUGAAUUGAACUAGACACCAUAUGUUUUUAUUCUAUGUUUGGUGCACUAAAGAUAAGAUCAAAUAAUUUUGUUUUUAUCAUUGAGAUAUUUUCAAUCAUUUAUUUUAGUCUUUGCAUUUUAUUUUUAUGAUAUUUUAGUCCUUACUAGAAUUUCUUUGUCAUCUAGAACAAUCUAGUUCUUAAAUCAAAAAGUUUUUGCAAUUAAACUCUUACAUGUACAUAUUUAUUUUAAUAAAAUUGGUCAAAUUUUGGUUUUCCAAAUUAAAAAAUAAAUAAGUGAUAAAUAAAUAAUAGAUAAUAUAAAAAUUAAGAAAAAAUAAUUUUUGUACAAAUUUUUUGUCCAAUCCUUGUCAUGUCCAAAGUGUAUAUCAAACAUUUUAUAGCUUGCCAUGUGCAACAAAUAUAUCACAACUUGUUUUUAUUGUAUUCUAUUAUGAUCUGUUUUGUGCCUUAUAUUAUUUAAUAUAUUAAAAUAAAUUUAAUAAAUUAUACUGAAGCAAGAUCUAAUAUUAGAAAGUUAACGGAAAUAAAUGUACCUUUGCCCGUCCCUUCAACAAAAUGCUGAGCUGUAUACUAAUUCUCAGAGGCAGUGAUAACUAGUUGUUCUAACUAAUCCCUAUACUUUUAAAUAUGUUUACAAUUCAGUCCCUUCAUUAAUUUUUCGUUAGUAAAAUGUUGAGCUGUCAGCAAUAUUUCCUUAGUUUGUGCCGCUAACUUAACGGUAAAAUGUGAUUCAAGGAUCAAUUAAUUAUUUAAAUGAACUUGAGGGAUUAAUCUGUUUGUUUAACAAAAAUACAGACACUAGUUAAAUAGAAUUUAACUCCAAUUUUAAUCAUCAUAUGCGUGCGUGCGAGCGAGCGAGCGAGUGUUUACUCGUUAAUGUUUUUUUAGAAGGAAUCUGGAAAAGAAUAAAGUCAUCCAUUUCACUUUGGUCCAGCAUUCCUCACCUCUCCCCGCCAGAGCUCUCCCUCCCUCCCUCCCUCCCUCCCUCCUCCGCCUCUCGGAAACCGCCGCCGCCAAGAAGGCUUCAGAUUUCUGCCAGGUGCUUCUAUUUCUAUCAUGUUUUUGUUUUUAAAAUUUAUGGGUGUUUUCAUUUAUUCUAUUGGAAUUAUUAUUCAGAGACAGAAAUUCUAUUUUAAUGAGAAAAUUAAAAAAAAUAAUCGAUCCGAUGAAAUCUCUGCUAGUGAACGCAAUUCGAUUUUAAUAAGUAAAUUAAAAAAAUAUAUAAUCGGAUCCGUUGAAAUCGCUGCUCGUGAACGCAAUUCAAAGAAACGCACAAUCAGCCGAUUCUAAUAUUUUCUUUUUCAAUUUUUCCCCUUAAUUUACAUGAUAUUAUCCGAUUUUUCUCACAGUUAUUGUUGUAAUAAUCAAGCCCUGAAUUCUUGAACCCAAAUUUAUUUUAUUUUAUUUUAUUUUAUUUUUUAGUGGAGAAUAGAAAUCAAUUCAAAUCUUUUAGGCUCGAUCGAUAAUUUGUUAAUUAGUUUAUGCAGCAGCUGGAGUGGAAGAGAUUUUUCUGCCGGAAUGGCCGAAAAAUGAGCUGUUUGGUUGAUUCUUCUUUUUUGGAAUUUACUGAAUUCUUCAAAAUUAUUGUGUUCUUAACAACAAUACGAUAUCCUUGGGUUUUAUGCUCGCUCACACAUGGAAAAAAGAAAGAAAGAAAAGGACUUUACAUUUUAUAAUUUGGUCAUGUUAACGCAAAAAAAAUAAAAAUAAUAGUUUAUGAUGACUCAUUGUUUGGUUGAUAACCCUACAUGAUAUAUCUUUCUUUUUAGGACUUCCUAGCUGGUCUUGAGUAUGAGGUGAAAGCUUGAGGAGGGCAGUUGGUCCUAACCAAGGACUGUAUUGUGAUUGAUUGAGUUGAAAGUUAAGAGCAUGUGGAAGUGUAAAACAAAUGACUUUGUUCACUUCACCCCAAAGGCGCACCUGUGCAUCUAGUUAGGAAGAACAUUUUAUAACUUACCUCAAGGUCGAGCAUGGUCAGGGUUAUUGUGUUGUCUAUUCCGAGAAAGAUGUGCCUGCAAAUUUAAUCUUAUUUCAACAAGAGUUGUUAAGUUAAUUCUUAUCAGUCCUCUUUAGAGUUGAUGAUGACAUGAAAUAUUCAUGGUUAAUGCUUGUCGUUUUCUUCUUCAUUUUCCUAGCUUAAAACAUCCUAGAAAUCUAUCUAUUGAAGUAAAGCAUUUAAAUGCGUAUACAAUGUUUUUGGAACUUUAAAUAUCUAUUUGAUCAGAAUCUGUGAACCUAAAACCACAAUGAAUACAAAUGCAAGUUUGUCAUUGUAAACAUUGCAUCAAUGAUGUAUCACGAGUGUUGCUAGAAAACAUCAAGUUAAAAUUGAAGCACCAUGAGUUUCUCCAUGGCUUGGUUUACCAACACUCACCAUCUGAUGGUGUGGCAAGUUAUGAACUAGCUGGCUAGUUUUUUGCUUCCUUGGUUUUAGAAGGACCAUGAAGAUUCAGGCCCAAAUCUUGCUUAUAAUACCUAAAUACCCAAGAUCCUAGCACCUUGCCCUGAAUGGUCGUGUAUAUUUGUUAUGGCUGUUCAGAUUUUAUGCAUCCAUAUUUGGUAGAAUUCUUUAAUAAAGUACAUGCUAUUGGAUGGAAGUUCUUUUUAAAUCUAUUCAAGUCUGAAUAAACUGACAUUCCAAUUUUCAUGACUUUGAUAUGCUCUUACUCUUCUGUUGUUCCUGACUUUCUUUUUAGGGUCUAUUCUAACAUGCAAUAUAAUUAUUAUUUUUUUUUUUGGUGAUUGAAGUGAUUUUUUUGGUUGGCCAAAACCCCAUGGAUGCCAAUAAUUGGAGGCCCACUGCCCCAGGCGGAGAACCUGUUAUGGACACAGGUGAUUGGAGAACUCAAUUGCAGCCUGACUCACGGCAAAGAAUAGUCAACAAAAUGUAAGUCUCUGUUUCCUAAUAUGUGCAAGUGCUGCAAAAUAGUAAAUCUUGUAUUUAAAUGAAAGAAAAAGAGAAGGGAAAAAGGUUAAUUAAAAUCAGCAGGACUGCCAUGAGGCAACCUCAAGUAUCAUACACCUCUGUUUUUGUCUUUUUCAUUUUUCACGUGUUUCUCACAAGAAGUGAACUUGAGGGAAUAAAAAGUGCUGGGAAGUAAUUUUUGUUGGAACUUCUUGUGUAACAUCUUUCGAUGAUGACCUCUAGGAUGGCUGCAUGAAGCUUCUUCCGCUUUAAAUUUCAAGGUUAAUCUAUUGCUAUGAGCAUUGGUGUUUCAAUUUCAACCUUGAGUUGCAACUGAACUUAAAUGAACAGUGUUGGAUUUGAGCCUUCCAUUUGCUUUAACUUCUACAGGGUUGAAAUGAUAGUUAUCUUAAAGUACAAAAGCAGCAGACAAAAAUCAAUUAGUCACAAUAGUGCAUGGUUUCCUAGUUUCUCAGUAUAAAGUGGAAUGUUUUGGUGAUAUCUCUACAUCCAAAUUCAUAUAGACAGCUACUGUUGGCAUUUGCAGUAGCCAAUGAGCACUGUAGAGUAUAUAUUGCAGCGUGAGAUAAGGUUAACUCAUUGCAUUUUCAUAAAUUAAAAGGAUUUCUCUUCUUUUCUUUGUUAAUUGCAGUGCAUGUAUAAAGGUUUUCUUAUUUAGAGUAAAUGCUGUUGUAAUGUUUUCACAGAGUUCCCUUGGUUUGCAGCUAAUUCAUUUAUAUAUCUUGGAGCAUAGCCAUAGCCAUAAAUGGAAGGUUCUUCCAGUUCAAGAAAAUUAACCAUGAAGCUCAUAGCUAGAAUUUUAAACAUAAGGGUGGCCAAGUGAACUCCUAUACCCUGUACCUGUGGAAUAAUACGGGGAAAGGAAGUAAAAAUAGAUGUGUAUUUUGAUGCCAUAUAUUACUUGACCGACACUUGGCUAUAUCAUUAUUUGUUUUUACUUUUUCCUAAUGAUUCCGUUGUAUACAUUUCUGAUAUUGGUGUGGUGUAUGAGUUCACGGUUCUUUCUCACUGCUGCUAACUUCUCUAUACCUGCCUUGUCAUUAAAAAUUAAAUGUAAUGUUUUACAUGUGCAGAAUGGAGACAUUAAAGAGGCAUCUUCCGUUUUCUGGUCAAGAGGGAUUACAAGAACUCAAGAAAAUUGCCGUACGGUUUGAGGAAAAGAUUUAUACUGCCGCCACCAAUCAGGUAUUCGGCUAAUGCUAGGUUCAAUGAUUUCGAUAUUCUCUAGACAUGAAUAUACACAUGCAUAAGUUUGUGGAUUAAUGCAUGUACACGUGUGUGUAGUGUGUCCACACUUCCUUACUGGUCAUUCUGUAGAAGUUCUCAUCUUUUCGUUAUUUCUCUUGACAAGUGUUUUAUUUAGAGUGACCAAGGUCCUUUUCAAGUACAAGGGAAGUGUGCAAAAUGCAAAUAACGAAUCAAUACAUAAAUAAUUAAAUAAAAAGAAAGGACACAGAAGUAUAUCCUCACAGAAGAUGCAAAUACAGAAAGCCUAGCAUAUUAGAAAGAGCAUAUAUCCCUUUUCCCCCUUCUCUUGUAACAUGGACUGCGCAGAGAUCUAAUGUUUUGUUAUUGAUAUCUGAUUUCAGUCUGAUUAUCUGCGUAAAAUAUCUCUGAAGAUGCUUACAAUGGAGACCAAGUCUCAAAAUACCAUACCCACUGGCAAUGGUAACAAAACCCUGGAUCCAGGAGGUAAUAAUGCAGCCAAGCAUUGGAUUUCUAAACAUCCUUACCUUUUGUUUUGUAUUUUGCGUUGUUAUCAAACUCUUUUACAUUUUAUUGCUGCAUUUUGCUAUGUAUAUACCAUGCUUUAAUAAAAGAGUCGAGUAAUUGAUGAAUGUUCAAAAAAAAAUUACAGAUUAUUUUUGUUUUCUGCUCCCCACCCCCCCACAACAAAAAAAAAAAAAAAAGUCAAAUGACACUUAUGCUUUGAGGUAAAACCAUCUUAAUUAUUUCCCUCAUAACUUUACGUGUGAACUGUCAUUGUUUCAUUUGUUUUUCUUGUUCAAUGCCUUCUUUUUUUUUCCUUUGACAUGGUUUUCCUUUUUGCCUUUUAUCUUGAACAGCAUCUCAUAGUAUGCCGCCUCAAGUUCACAACCAAGGGCAGUCGCUCCCUAACUCAUUGUCCUCUAAUCAGUCUCAAGCACGUCAGCAGUUAUCACAGAACAUGCAGAAUAGUAUGUCAUCUAAUGGAGUUCAAAGUUCUGCUGGUUUACAAUCAGCAAUGCCUUCUGUCUCCGGUUUAACCCAGACUAUCCCAAACACUGUUGGACAGAAUGCUAACAUGCAGAGUAUCUCUGGUGUUUCACAGAACCCAGUGGGGAAUUCAAUGGGACAAGGGAUUCCCCCCAAUAUGUUUGUCAAUUCUCAGAGACAAAUGCCAGGCAGGCAACAGGUUGUUCCUCCACAGCAACAGCAGCAGUCCCAAAAUCCUCAGCAGUAUCUUUAUCAGCAGCAGAUGCAACAUCAGCUUUUAAAGCAGAAGCUUCAACAGGGAAAUCAUCCACACUCACUUGUGCAAUCUCACAUCCACCAGCAGCAGCAGCAAAAUUUGUUACAGCCAAAUCAGUUGCAAUCUUCUCAGCAAUCUGGUUUGCAAACAUCAACUGUUAUGCAGCCUUCAAUGAUGCAAACUGUCUCUGGCCUUCAACAGAACCAACCAUCUUCUGUUCAACAGUCAACACAACCAAUGCACCAGCAACAUCCACAAUCAGUCCUUAGGCAGCAGCAGCAACAACCUCAACAGUCUGCUGGUAUUCAUCAGCAGCAAACACCAAUGAUGCAGCAGCCACUAUUGCCUCCACAACAGCAGCUAAUGGGGCAACAAUCAUNNNNNNNNNNNNNNNNNNNNNNNNNNNNNNNNNNNNNNNNNNNNNNNNNNNNNNNNNNNNNNNNNNNNNNNNNNNNNNNNNNNNNNNNNNNNNNNNNNNNACAGCAGCUAAUGGAGCACAUCAAGUACACUAACAUGUCGCAAAAUCAGUUAAUUGGACAACAAAACAUUGUUGGGGACUUGCAGCAGCAGCAGCAGCAGAGAUUGCUAGGGCAGCAGAAUAACCUUCAAAAUCUGCAGCAGCAGCAGCAGUUAAUGGCUCAACAAAAUAACCUCUCAAGCAUGCAUCAGCAACAGUUGGCCCCUCAAAGUAAUGUCACUGGUUUACAGCAACAGCAGUUGCAUGGAGCUCAGCCUGGUAACUCAAGCAUGCAAUCUAAUCAGCACUCUCUACACAUGCUGCAACAGCCCAAGGUUACGCUGCAGCAGCAAGCACAACAAAGUGGAAGUGGUUUGUUGCCGAAUCAAGGGCAGCAGUCACACUCACAGCUGCCACAGCAGCAAUUGAUGGCACAGAUUCAAUCACAGCCUGGACAGCUGCAACAGCAAUCAAAUCCAUUACAACGUGAUCUGCAGCAAAGGCUUCAAGCAUCAGGCUCCUUGCUUCAACAGCCGAAUGUGAUUGAUCAGCAAAAGCAGUUAUAUCAACCUCAAAGAGCCCUUCCAGAAACGUCCUCAAGUAAGUUUUUCUCAUCCUUGCAGCUUUCUAGCCUUGCUCCAACUUUAAUUUUGCAGCUUUGUGCUUUCAUGUUAGAUUAUAACAUAUUUAUUUAAAUUUUUUGAAAAUACAAUAAUGGUUCAAGUCAGUAAUGCUCUUUUAGGUAGCUUUAUGAGCUAUGGCUGCCACUUAUUGCAUCAGAAAUGCCACUGCUAUUGGAACCAUUGCAAUCACACAUACAUUUAUUUGAAUGAUUACAUAUCGUUGAGAUGGAGUUCCUAGUACUCCAAGUCCAAAAAGGACUUGUAUUCCUAUGUAAGAAAAUACUAAUGGUGCUAUCUAGGAUAGGGAAAACCUAUUAAAGCUCCUUAUUCUUUAGGAACAAUAAAAUACUAAAUAGAAAUAAAACCAAGACCUACAAUAUUCCAUAAUUUUCAGCAAGUGUGAAAAUUACAGAAAUACCCUUGUGUGCGGAAAACAUUCAAAAAAUACAUGAAUUCUAAUCUUUUGUUGGCUGCAUCAAAAUUUUUGUAGCAUCCCUAGAUUCUACAGCAGAGACUGGACAUGCAAAUGGUGCUGAUUGGCAAGAGGAGAUCUACCAAAAGGUAAUUUCUAUGGUUUACUGUUCAUUAGAUGAAAUUCAUGUAUGUCAUAGUCUUGCAAGAUUUCAAUGGAAAAGGUCUCCUGGAAUAUGGUACAAGGGAGUUUUAUUCAGCUAUGGUUGUGAUUAGUUAGGAAGCAUUGUAAGUUCCAUGAUUGCAGCAACUAAGAAACGAUAAAUUACUGAUAAGAUGAUUAAAGGUAAAAUAUUCAGAUUUCUAGGUCAAGAGGGUUAUUUUCUUGGUAUUGACACGACAAUUUUUUCUAUUGCAAAUCUCUCCCUUUCAAUUUUUUCCCUGUAUUUCCAUACAUUUAGUGUGGUGAAUUAUUAUUUUAUUAUUUCCAACAAGUCCAAUUGACAAUACUUCUUACUGUAAUAGACCGACUUGAAAACAAGAGUGAACUGUUUCUGAAUAGUCAUCGUUAUAUUUGGUUAAGUGAACAGUUAUUUUCAGGAUUACAAUCAAAUUUGUUCUGAAACAUGUGACAAUGGAAGAAAGGAAAAUAAGUGGACCUAAUCCAUUGAAUCAUGACCAUGUCCAGUAUUGUUGAAUUUUAUAGAAAACGAGGUUGAAAUUCUGAAUCAUUUAAUGGCUGUAGUUGCAAUUCAUAACUGCAUAUUUGAUGAGGUCAAUUUUUUUGUGCCUGGGAGGGUACUAAAACGGGAAUAGGAGUGGUUGUUGAUAAUUAGGAUAUAAGGGUUGUAAAUCCAAAGUUAUAAAGCUAGGAAGUGUUUACCAAAGUCGUGACAUCCAUUGACUUGAGUUAGAACAAUAGAAAACAAUGGUGAGUAGUUUGCUGUGAGACAAAGUAACUGAACUUGACCAACCCCUGAAUCUUGUCUGAAGAGGUAACUACACAAUCCUUUGCAUCUUUGCAUGCAAUCAAUAACGAUAUUCUCUUUUGAGUUUUCGGCAUUGAUUCCACUGCUAUUUUUAUCUCAAACAAUAUAUGCUGUCGUCUGCCAUUUUAUUUAUUUAUUUAUCAGUUCUCUCAAGUUUGCUUAUGUUUCUUUCUGACUCUGGCACCUGAAAGAAUCAAGCAUAUGAUUGAUAAUGUGCUUGCUGGUUAUAUGUACUUCCUAGAUCAAAGUUAUGAAGGAAACGUAUUUGCCUGAAAUAAAUGAAAUGGACCAGAGAAUUGCUACCAAGUUACAGCAGGGAAAUUGUCUGUAAUUUUUUCCGAUUUAUUUUCCCACACAUGAUUCAUAAACCCCCACAGUUGAGCUUUUGUAUUAAUUUGUUUUCCCCAUCGGCAUUGCUUGUCACUGUAUCAUCUGCACUAAUUACCUCCCCCACCCCCAACCACCCCACAACCAUGCAUUGACACAGAAGAAUUGGAAUAGAAACAUUUUUUUCACUAAUGUUUUACUAGUUUUGCUACAAAGGGUCAAUGCAAUUUUUAAUUCUCGUGUAUGUUAACUUUGCUUUCCAGCAUGACCCUCUUCCGCAACAACCGAAGUCAGAACAGCUUGAAAAGCUGAAGUUAUUCAAGGUCAUGUUGGAGCGCUUGAUAGGAUUCUUACAGGUCCCUAAAAACAACAUCACACCUAAUUUCAAGGAGAAAUUGGGUUCCUAUGAGAAGCAGAUUCUAGGUUUUCUAAACCCAAGCAGAUACAGGAAGCCUAUUCCUAAUCUUCAGCAAGGACAACUUCCCCAACCUCAUAUUCAACCUAUGCAGCAACCCCAAUCUCAAGUUCCUCAAUUGCAGUCCCAUGAAAAUCAACUGAAUUCCCAGUUGCAAUCAAUAAAUAUGCAAGGUUCUGUACCAAAGAUGCAGCAGAACAAUAUGUCAAGCUUGCUGCAUAAUUCUCUUUCAACUUUAUCUGGGGAUUCGACGUCACAAUCAAACAUGAUGAAUCCAAUACAACCAGGCUCCAAUUUAGAUUCUGGAC